RNAcentral lists this long non-coding RNA (234831 nucleotides) under Zea mays. Its description in RNAcentral is "long non-coding RNA (ZMAY_LNC005369)". The record is from RNAcentral. Lineage: Eukaryota; Viridiplantae; Streptophyta; Magnoliopsida; Poales; Poaceae.
AAGACGCCGGUGCCGAGGCGGAGGGGGAUGGCGAGCGAGGCGCCGAGGACGCUGCCCAGCUGGCCGGACUUGACCUCGAACCUCUUGGGCUCGGGCGCCUUGAACCCCGGCGGAGGCUUGAACUCGGGCGUCGGCUCAGGCGCGGUGGUGGAGACGGCUGCGGCGGUGGUGUCCGGCUGGGCCCUGACGGCGAGAGAAGCGGCCCUGGCGGCGCGCGCGGUGGCGGUGGCACCCAAGGCGACGGUGCGGCGGGGGAGGAGGAGGGGCGUGCGGUGGUGCAGUGCGGCGGGCGGAGCCAUGGAUUGGAUUCGGCGGCGACGGCGACUCGGGCCGGACGGCGGGGAGCGGCGUGCGAGUUUCUGUGGCGCCUACGCGGCGAGACGCGGGGACGAAGCGAUUGGUGUACCUGCUGCUAGUGCAAGUGGAGUGGGUGGGCCCGGUCUGUUAAAUGGAGUAACGACCACCGGUGAUAAGUUAGCCAGCGUCUGACAUGUGGGACAACAGACGGCCCACAAACUCUUGGCACUCCCGCUUGACUGGGGAUCUUUGGGUCGGCGGAAAUCCCUUUCAACAUUCGUGGGCGGGGCGGCGGAUGACCUGGAGCUGGAGGUUCGUGGUAGCGGCCGCCGCCGGCCAUGGAGAAGAGAAAUCGGAUUCUCGACCUGCAGGACCUCCUCUCUGACGCGGACUUCGGCCCACUACUCGCCCGACAGCUACUGUCUCCGUUCAUGCGGCGGCCACCUACCUAUACCUCGUAGCAAGACACCAUAUCUUAAGUGCUGCCAUGGAUUUGCACCUAGAGCUCUACAUUGGUCGCCGGCGCCGCGGCGGAGGCAAGACUCAGAACUCAGAAGUACCCUCCCAUGGGAGUCCACUUCUGUCGGCUUGAUGGAGCACCUGAUGGAUGGAGAGGAGCUCGCCCAACAGGUACUCUCACCCUACCAGGCUAUUUUUCUUAUAGAAUUUAUAAUUGGUAAUCUAUUUUAUACAUUCAGAAGCAUCAGAUAGCAUGCAUUAUAUGCCAAUGAAAUUUCCUUCGUGGAGAGUUUGAGUAGCUUGUCUCCGAUGCUUAUCCAUGUCCCUUUCUUAUUUUUUUUCUUCUCUCUUUUAAUUAGAUAGACGUCGCCCGUGGGUUAAAUAUCUUGUGUAGUCAUUUAUUAAGGCGAGAAUAUUGUUACUUCUCAGACAUGUAUUAGUAGCUUGUCUGUGAUCUGGUAGUAACAUGAUAACAAUUAUUAAUUUUGAGGGGAAAAAUCGUACGUACAUUAUUAAUUAAUAACAUUCGGAGUCAAGUCAAUAUUAUGCAUCAGUAACAUUGUAUAAAAAAUUAGACACCUUACUUUGAUGUAUGUUACAUGAUUUAAUCAUGAACAAAUAAAUAAAUAAACGGGGAAUGGGAGGUAAUUAUGGUGGUUGAAAGAAAAAACGAUAUUUUAUGGUGGCGGAAAUAAAUAACGGGGAAUGAGAAAUUUAGAAGAUAGCCUUAGCUUCCGUUGUUUUAUCCGCAGCCACAAGUUUUGCUCUGCGUCUCCCAAGUUCCCGAUCUCGGCCGCGCGAGUCAGUGCACCCCGUGCGUGAUCAACAGGUCCUUCCUGCUGCCGCGGCCGCCUCCCACUUCGACUGCUCCCGCACCUUUCGUUCACGCAAGCGCAACCUGCUUCUCCCGCUGGCUGUCUCGGACACCCCCUCCCUCCUGCCACGCAUCCUCCCCGCCCACGAGUCUCCCCCGCAACCGGAUAAUAAGGAAGAGGAAGAGAAACCGUGCGGUGCGGCGAAAGGAACAGUGAAAAAGGAAGAAUCUCUCUGAUCGAGGUUCCUGUCCGGCUUGCAGAAUCUUGGCGGACAGCCAUAUAUGGAUGUACUGCUAGGUUCCGGGAGGUUCUUGGCGCGACGGCCUCCCCUCGCGCUCGUCCCUCGCUGCUCUCGAGGCUCCCCGGACAAAAGCGGCAGCGACAAAGGUACGCGAUCUGGUAGCUCUGUCACCGCCUAGUUCCUUGCUGCUGCCGUAGAACUGUUUGGUGAAAUGCCACUGAGAGAUCCAGCACGGUUUAAGAAGUAGCCCGGUCAUCGCAUCAGGAGUGCAGGACUAGUGCUGGGAAUUGGGCCGUGCCGGGCCGGCCCGGCCCAAGCCCAUCGUGCUUCGUGCCAAACGGGUUCGGGCCAAGAAAGUCUAAACAAUUUUUGGGCCGUGCCGUGCCAGCCCGAAGUGUAAAAACAGUAGCCCAGCCCGGCCCUAAACCACGUCGUGCCUUCGUUGGGCCGUGCCGGCCCAAGCCCGGCCCGUAUAUUUCACCACAUAAAAUCAAAAUAUUAUAAACAUAUAAAGUUCAUAUCUUACUAAAUUAAAGAUAUUAAACAAUUAUAGCAUCAUUUAACCACAUAAACUCUAAAUAUAACAACAAUAUAAAGUCAAUAUCUUACUAAAUUAAAGAGAUUAAACAGAUUGGGCUUAAUUGGGCCGUGCCGGCCCAAGCCCGGCCCAUCUAUGCGUGCCGUGCUGGGGGCCCGACGGGUCGGAAUUUGAGGCCCGGCCCAGGCCCGCCUUCGGGCCGUGCUAGCCCGGCCCAUAUUAUUUCGUGCCGGGCCGUGCUUUGGGCUCUUAUUUUCGGGCCGUGCUCGUGCUGGCCCGAAAAGCCCAGCCCAGAUUCCCAGCACUAUGCAGGACGCAACUGCCUGCUUGAUGCGAUCUGUUUAUCUGAUCGCGUAGGGCCUGCUAAGAUUUGAGUUGGCCCUGCUUGCUUGCUUGCUUGUUUGCUUGCUUGUUUGCUUCAAUUUCAAGAGGCCGGUGCAGGUUUUGGUGGUUGUCUGCGACCUUUAGACAAGAUAUGUAUACGUUAUAGUUUCACGUAAGGAGUUGUAUUAAGCCGAGAGAGAAAAAAUCAAAGAUGCACCAGUUGUGUAGACUGUAGACCGUCCUCAUGUUGGCGUUCAUUUCCCUUUCUGUGUGUCUGAAUGAGGUUUACAGUCCACAAUCCAGUAGUUAGGUCCUGACUAAUCCAAAACACUUUUACUCCAUUUUUUUGGUUUUUUGACACGAUGCAAACUCUCCUUCACUGUAAUUGAAACCUUUUCUUUUUUAAAAAAAAAUGUCAGCAGUAUGAUGGUUUUGAAGAAGAAACAGUGUUUCUGCUUUCCGGAGAUUUCCACACUCGAAUUUGCACUAUUCUUCGUAUACCUAAUCCCUUUACACAGAAAAAGUUACUACCCGGCUUUGAUUCUGUUUAUCCCUACAUUUGCUUUGGUGGAUUUUUGGUGGUGAUGAUUGAUGAAUUUCCAUCUUAAUUAUAGUUGUUUUUAGAAGUCUAUUCUACAUUAUGGUACAAGGUUAUGUAUGAUCUGAGAAACAUCUUAUGGCCAGAAUUUUGUUGCUGUACUAAUAAAAUAACAGUAGAUGGCUCGGGGCUCUCCUGCAAAACAAAAUUCUAACCAUAGAUUAGAUAGCUUGCAAGGAGUGGAUGGGCCACUGUUCUAAAAUUUGCUCCCAUCAGCCUGAAAACACAAAAGGCAUUGCUCUAUAUUGUUCCUUUGCACAGGAUGUUUGGAAAAAACCCGAACUGGAUGUACACGGCUAGCUGUAGCUCUAGUCUGCAAUUGCAAAAGACCUCCUAGAAAUGUGGUGGUAGUUCUGGUGGAAAGGAGAAAGGAAGCGAGUGGCAUCGUUGGCUACAUCUUGUGAAACCGUCGCAAUACACCAAACCAUAGUGUGUUUCAAAAAAAAAACAAAUCUGACAAUCAGAUAGCAUCUACUACGUCAUCAGGGAGGAUAUUGCUCAAACAAAGUUAGCAUUAGGAAGUUAAACCUUCUGUAUAGAUUUAAAUCUGCUGGUGUGACCCCACUGUACCUUUUAAAGCUUCUUACUUCCCUUUUUGAUCAAGAUGAAACCGUUCCUGCCUUCCUUUUUAACAAGAAAAAAAAUCGCACUACUUAUCUGUCCAUAGUUACUUAGUUUAUUUUGGAUACCAUUAUGACGGUAAAAGUAACCAUCUCUUCUCUUCCUCGUCAGGUGAAACCUCUGCUGACUGGGACAAGGCAUGGUCUGCCUUCAAGAAGAAAGGGAAGAGGACCCUGUUUUCUGAUUUCUCACCGGACAAGUACGUGACCUGGAACCCACGGCGCAGCGAGUAUCCAUUGUCAGAAGAGGUCGAUCCAAUCAAGAGAACUGAAAGAUCUAACUUGAUGUUGUGGACAAGCCCCCAGUUCACCUUGGUCGGGGCGAUUAUCAUCGUCUUGACAUUGCUAAUCUAUACACUAGUUGUUCCUCCUCCCAAGUAACUGCAGAGGUGACAACUACUGGGGGGGGGGGGGGGGGGUGAGCUGUAAACUAGUACUAUUUCAACUGGGAAGUCUGUAUUGUACAUUUUUACGUGUACUAUGGCAACUCACUAUAGCAGUAUUGAUUCAAUUGCAAUCAUGUAGAUACAACACCACUGUCCAUUCCAUUCUGGAGGUUUUUCUUCAAUUGUGUGCUAAAUGGCUGCUGUCUGAGUCUUAUAUUCACUUGUUAUAAUGAAGAAAUAUUUGGGGUCAGGUAGAAUUAUAUGUUGGUCGACUCCUGAUGUGUGUUUCUAAACAGCAACUUACCAAUCCUAUCUCCCACCACAUACAUAUUUCAAACUUCACUAUGUAAACAAUGCAGCGUAAAAUAGUGUAAACAAUGCAGCGUAAAAUAGUGUUUUGUACGACUACGCACGAUCUGGUGGAGAUAGCCUAAAGUUAUAUUAACCUGUGAAAGUUUGUACUAGUGUUGGGAGUGUUUGGGCAAUGGGGAACUGAUGGACACAUGAGAAUCACGUUUCUUAUUACAGAUAAAUUCAGGUCAAUGUCAGAUCAUCGCCUCCAUACAAUAAUAAGCCUUAGGCAUUAGGAUGUGUUUUAACAGACAAUUCGUCCACGGUGGUGGCCAGGACUUUCUUUCCCUGUGUGAAUGGAAUAGAAGAUGGGGUACAAUACAUUCUGGGACCUUUUCAAACCUGAGAGACGAGCUCCUUGCUCCCCAAGGAAGUUUGUCACACACACUCUUCCCCGUCGCCGCAUGUCCCCAGCAGCAUCUCAUCUGCUCUGCGGCUAUAAAAGUGAGCAAGCCUUCGCCUCCUGCCGUCACUCACUCUGACAUCAGACACAACACACUCAGCAGAUGGCUCUUCAGUCCCCUGAUUCCCGUGCCUUCCUGAGCAAGAAGCCACCCGCGGCGGCAAUGGAGCGGCAGGAGGCGGCGAGGCGGACCCUGCCGCGGCACGGGCAGAUCAAGCUGCGCAUCUUCGCGAGCCUGUUCCGGUGCUUCAUCACCCCCGAGGCACCCGCGCGCAAGGAAGGCGACAAGAACAGAGAUGGCGGCGGCCGCCGCGUUUCCCCAGGAGGCUGACGCGGCUCGAGCGAUGCAGGAUGUUGUCUCUGAACUCCGGCUUCAGCUCGAGUGCUACGUCUCAGGGGUGUUUGUUGCUCCGGCUAAAGUUUAGCCCGGGUCACAUGACCCAACCAACUGGACUAGAUUCGUCUCGUCUUUUAAUCUUCGGCUGACAAAUUAGUUUUAUAAUCCGACUACAUUUAAUACCCAGAACGGAGGUUCAAACAUUCGAUGGGACAGGGGCUAAAUUUUAGUUUGGGGUAACCAAACACCCCCUCACUGUAUAUAAUAUAAUAGGCUUAGCUGCAGUACAGCCUGCGGAAGAGUGGUUCAAUUUUUCUGAGAAUUUGUUAGCCUGAAUGAUGACAAAAACAAAAACAAAAAAAACAUCCUGUUCAAGUGUAAAUUUCUACCUGUAGAGUUGCAGUUGGGGUCAAGUGAUACCUUGACUUUGUAAAUUCGCCUCUCUGAAUAUACUGGUGUAAUCUACUUGUUUCAGCCAAUGCCUUGCUACCGACACCGAGUACUGAGCAGUAUUGACAUCCCUCCCUCCAUUUCAUUUGGUCGAAUUUCCCUGGUAUCCUAAUCAGGAGUAAUAGCUAUUUGAUAGUUGGUUUAUUAACUAACCUGUUCUAAACCUCUUGGCUAAUUUUAACGGCUAAUAAUUAGUUUUAGAAGUUUGGAACAUUCGCUGGUUUAUUUACUAUAGUAAUGAUUUUGUAGGCCUUAGUACUGGUUCACUAUAGUAUUGACAUCGCCUUAGUACUCUUUCGUACUCACGAUUUUAGUUUCUGUCUAAAUGUAUUAACAAGUUAAUCUAUCCUUUAAAAUAGUAUUCUGACUUCCUUUUAAUCAUUUCCAUUUUUUGGUUAUUUCUUACCGGACCAUGCUAUCCCACCUUGGUCACCGACGGGAGCAUCCGGCCGGCCGGCCCGCCUCCCUCCCUCCCCAUUCUCAUCCUCUGCCACCCAAUCCAAUUAAAGAAGUUACAUCUUAAACAUCAUGGUAUUGCACAUUUCUAAAUAUGGUUCUGCUCAAAAUAAUAAAUAAAUGAUUUCAAGUAACAUUCCGAAUAUGCAACUUUUCCAAUGUAUUGUUUAUAGCAUUACUAUCCCUAUAGGCCAAUAAUCACAACAAGUCAAAGGUGACUUUAAUUUGUGUCACGUAGUUUUGAGUUGAUCUUUAUAUGUGCGUACUUCUUUGGAACGCGGGAAUUUCACAUAAACCAUAUAGGAAUUUUAUAGGAAUUAGUUCAAAACCUAGGAAAAACACAGGAUUUAGGAAAUAAUCCUUCAACCCAAAGGAGCCCUAACCUCGUAGACAUGCUCGGGGAUAGCUUAAUUCUGCAACACCUACUGUCCAAAUGUUUGGCUGAACAUAGUUCUGACAAUAAUGGGCUCUAUAUACAAACAUCAUAUGUGUUAUUGAUGGGAAGAUGAAAAACAGGCUUGACACUUCUUUGCAUUUUUGUUGCAUAAUUUUUUUGAAUCCAUAUUACAGUUAUAAUGAUCCUACUAUCUCCACAACUGAGCUAGUAAUGGAUGGAUCGAUGUCAGCUGUUAAAACAAUGGUGAUUAUGACAGGUAAAAUCAAGUACCGAAUCUUCCUGCCUUCCCUUAAAUGUGUUUGUGUGUUUCAGAUUUGAUUAAUGCUGACCCUCACUUGGCAUUCUAUGUUGUAGAAUCACACGAAGAAAAUAAUAAUGUGAACCAAGCAAUCUGUAACGCUAGUAAAAAAUGUGAGUGCUCACCUUCUUCACUCCGAAGGACCAAGCUUCACAUCGGUAAUGCAUGUCGGCGCCCGAUUCCACGAGACAUCGGCAAUGACAAGGUUUUGCAUCAAUGGGGUUGUGGGAUCCUGGCAAAGAGUGGUUGGCACUAUGUGCGUACCAAAGCGAGGAGAGGGUGGAGCAAUGCGCAUCAUAAAGCACUGGUGAAGAGCAUGAGGCGGUCGUCACACGAUGGCAAAGCGACGUUGUGUCCCCCGCCCCCAUGUCAUCAAUGUGGUGAGCAGGUAUAUGCAUGAGUACUAGGGAUGGAAAUUUAAUCCGUGGAUUUGGAUAUCCGGCAGAUAUCCAACCCGACGGAUUAGGAUAUGGAUAUGUUUUUUGACCCACGGGUUAGACCCGUAUCCGAUCCGAGAUAAAGUGGGCAUGGAUUUGGAUAUUAAAUCUCACUCGUGGAUAAUCCGUUGGAUAUCCGAAAUUAACCAUUAGUUCAUUAUUGAGCCCAGGCGCCAGCCCACCAAAGUAACAUUCAGCGCACCAAAGCACCAAGCCACCAGCCCACCAUAAUCCCUAAUUUCCCAAUCCCCAUCCGACCAUCCCCUAGCCUCAAUCGUUCAAUCCCAGCCUCCCAGUCAUCCUGCAGCCUCAAGCGCAAAAGCCACCCGCGCCGCCUAGGCAACCCGCAACCCGCAAGCCACCCGCGUUGCCCCGGCCCCCCGUGCAGACGCAGCUCCAAGCUCCGCCCUGCUCUAAGCGCCGUCGGCCCCCGCAUAGACGCAGCUCUGAAAAUCUGAAAUCCGCCCUGCUCUGAGCUCCACCCUGCGCAGCUGCACUGAGCUCCGCUCUGCUCUGUUGAGACAUGUAGACAUGUAUUUUUGUCAUGUUGAGAAUAUUGCUUGUUGAAGGACAUGUGAAAGGGAAUUAGACUUACACCUAUUUCCUAAUUGAUUUUGGUGGUUGAAUUGCCCAACACAAAUAAUUGGACUAACUAGUUUGCUCUAGUCUAUAAGUUCUACAGGUGCCAAAGGUUCACAAUAAGCCAAUAAAAAGACCAAGAAAAGGGUUCAAACAAGAGAGCAAGGGAUAACCGAAGUGUGCCCUGGUCUGGCGCACCGGACUGUCCGGUGUGCCACCGGACAGUGUCCGGUGCACCAGGGGACUCCAAGCUGAACUCCUCACCUUCGGGAAUUCUCAGAGGCGCUCCGCUAUAAUUCACCGGACUGUCCGGUGCCCCAAGUAAGAGCGACUCUGAACUCGCCAGCUUCGGGAAUCCGCUCCGCUAAAAUUCACCGGACUGUCUGGUGUGACAGCGGAGCAACGACUACUUCGCGCGCAACGACCGACUGCAGCGCAUUAAAUGCGCGCCUGCGCGCGCAGAGGAGCAGAGCACGCGCGGGUGGCACACCGGACAGCCUACAUGGCCUGUCCGGUGCACCACCGGACAGCCAGGCGGGCCCACAAGUCAGAGCUCCAAGGGUCGGAACCCAACGGCCAGGUGACGUGGCUGGUGCACCGGACAGUGUCCGGUGGCGCACCGGACUGUCCGGUGCGCCCGUCGACAGCAGCCUCCACCAACUGUCAAGUUUGGUGGUUGGGGCUAUAAAUACCCCAACCACCCCCACAUUCAAGCAUCCAAGUUUUCCACCUUCCAACUACUUACAAGAGCUCUAGCAUUCAAUUCUAGACACAACCAAAUAGAUCAAAUCCUCUCCCAACUCCACACAAAGCUCUAGUGAUUAGAGAGAGAGAUUUGUUGUGUUCUUUUGAGCUCUUGCGCUUGGAUUGCUUCUUUCUCAUUCUUUCUUGUGAUCAAAACUCAAUUGUAACCAAGGCAAGAGACACCAAUUGUGUGGUGGUCCUUGCGGGAACUUCGUGUUCCGUUUGAUUGAGAAGAGAAGCUCACUCGGUCCGAGGGACCGUUUGAGAGAGGGAAAGGGUUGAAAGUGACCCGGUCUUUGUGACCACCUCAUCGGGGAGUAGGUUUGCGAGAACCGAACCUCGGUAAAACAAAUCCUUGUGUCUCACUUCUUAUUCGCUUACUAUUUGUUUUUGUGCCCUCUCUCGGACUCACAUUUAUUUCUAACGCUAACCCGACUUGUAGUUGUGCUUAAGUUGUUAAAUUUCAGAUUCGCCCUAUUCACCCCCCCUCUAGGCGACUUUCAAUUGGUAUCGGAGCUUGGUGCUUCAUUAGAGCCUAACCGCUCGAAGUGAUGUCGGGAGAUCACGCCAAGAAGCCCGCUACAAGCCACGGGAAGGCUCCAUCGGGAGAGUCCUACAACAAAGGGAAGGGGAAGGAAAAGGAAUCCCCUUCACACAAGUCGCGUCGGAGCAGUGACAAGAAAAAGAAGAUGAGGAAGGUGGUCUACUACGAGACCGACUCCUUGUCGCCAUCCACCUCUGGCUCCGACACGCCGUCCGUAACUUCUAAGCGCCAUGAGCGCAAGAAGUUUAGUAAGAUCCCCCUACGCUAUCCUCGCAUUCCUAAACAUGCACCUUUACUUUCUGUCCCAUUAGGCAAACCACCAACAUUUGAUGGUGAAGAUUAUGCUAGGUGGAGUGAUUUGAUGCGAUAUCACCUAACCUCACUCCACAAAAGUAUAUGGGAUGUUAUUGAGUUUGGCGUACAGGUACCAUCCGUAGGGGAUGAAGAUUAUGAUGAGGACGAAGUGGCCCAAAUCCAACACUUCAACUCCCAAGCCACAACUAUAUUCCUCACCUCUCUAAGUCGAGAGGAGUAUAACAAGGUGCAAGGAUUGAAAAGUGCUAAGGAGAUUUGGGACACGCUAAAGACCGCGCACGAAGGAGACGAGGUGACCAAGAUCACCAAGCGGGAGACGAUCGAGGGGGAGCUCGGUCACUUCCGACUUCGCCAAGGGGAGGAGCCACAAGACAUGUACAACCGGCUCAAAACCUUGGUGAACCAAGUGCGCAACCUCGGGAGCAAAAAAUGGGAUGACCACGAAAUGGUUAAGGUUAUUCUAAGAUCACUUGUUUUCCUUAACCCUACUCAUGUUCAAUUAAUUCGUGGCAAUCCUAGAUAUACACUAAUGACUCCUGAGGAAGUAAUCGGGAAUUUUGUGAGCUUUGAAUUGAUGAUCAAAGGCUCAAAGAAGAUCAACGAGCUUGAUGGCCCCUCCACGUCCGAAGCACAACCGGUCGCAUUCAAAGCGAUGGAGGAAAAGAAGGAGGAGUCUGUAUCAAGUAGACAACCAAUCGAUGCCUCAAAGCUCGACAAUGAGGAGAUGGCGCUCAUUGAAAGAGAAUUAGGCUUACAUCUAUUUUUCUAAUUGAUUUUGGUGGUUGAAUUGCCCAACACAAAUAAUUGGACUAACUAGUUUGCUCUAGUCUAUAAGUUAUACAGGUGCCAAAGGUUCACACUUAGCCAACAAAAAGACCAAGAAAUGGGUUCAACAAAGAGAGCAAGGGUUAACAGAAGGCAGCCCUGGUCUGGCGCACCGGACUGUCCGGUGUGCCACCGGACAGUGUCCGGUGCACCAGGGGACUUCAAGCCAAACUCUUCACCUUCGGGAAUUUUCAGAGGCGCUUCACUAUAAUUCACCGGACAUGUCCGGUGCUCCAGGGGAGAGCGACUCUGAACUCGCCAGGUUCGGAUUUCCGCUCCGCUAUAAUUCACCGGACAUGUCCGGUGCACACCGGACUGUCCGAUGAGCCAGCGGAGCAACGACUACUUCGCGCCAACGGUCGUCUGCAACGCAUUAAAUGCGCGCCAGCGCGCGCAGAGGAGCAGAGCACGCGCGGGUGGCACACCGGACAGUCUACAGGACUUGUCCGGUGCACCACCGGACAGCCAGGCGGGCCCACACGUCAGAGCUCCAACGGUCGGAACCCAACGGCUAGGUGACGUGGCUGGCGCACCGGACAGUGUUCGGUGGCACACCGGACUGUCCGGUGCGCCAUGUGACAGCAGCCUCCACCAAACGGCUAGUUUGGUGGUUGGGGUUAUAAAUACCCCCAACCACCCCACAUUCAAGUCAUCCAAGUUUUCCACCUUCCAACCACUUACAAGAGCUAGGCAUUCAAUACAAGACACACCCAAGUGAUCAAAUCCUCUCCCAAUUCCACAAAAGCUUUAGUGUUAAGUGAGAGUGAUUUGUUGUGUUCUUUUGAGCUCUUGCGCUUGGAUUGCUUUCUUUCUCAUUCUUUCUUGAGAUCAAACUCACUUGUAAUUGAGGCAAGAGACACCAAUCGUGUGGUGAUCCUUGUAGGAACUUUGUGUUCCAAGUGAUUGAGAAGAAAAGCUCACUCGGUCCGAGGGACCGUUUGAGAGAGGGAAAGGGUUGAAAGAGACCCGGUCUUUGUGACCACCUCAAUGGGGAGUAGGUUUGCAAGAACCGAACCUCGGUAAAACAAAUCCACGUGUCACACUCUUCAUUCGCUUGUGAUUUGUUUUGCGCCCUCUCUCUCGGACUCGUUUCUAUUAUUAACGCUAACCCAGCUUGUAGUUGUGAUUAAUUUUGUAAAUUUCAGUUUCGCCCUAUUCACUCCCCCCUCUAGGCGACUUUCAAUUGGUAUCAGAGCCCGGUGCUUCAUUAGAGCUUAACCGCUCGAAGUGAUGUCGGGAGAUCACGCCAAAAAGGAGAUGGAGACCGGCGAUAAGCCCACUACAAGCCACGGGAAAGCCUCAUCGGGAGAGUCCCGCAACAAAGGGAAAGGUAAGGAGAAGAAAUCCUCUUCCCACAAGUCGCAUCGGAGUGGCGACAAGAAAAAGAAGAUGAGGAAGGUGGUCUACUACGAGACCGAUACGUCAUCGCCUUCCACCUCCGGCUCCGACGCGCCCUCCGUAACUUCUAAGCGCCAUGAGUGCAAGAAGUUUAGUAAGAUCCCCCUACGCUACCCUCGCAUUCCUAAACAUACUCCAUUACUUUCCGUUCCAUUAGGCAAACCGCCAACCUUUGACGGUGAAGAUUAUGCUAGGUGGAGUGAUUUGAUGAAAUUUCACCUAACCUCACUCCACAAAAGUAUAUGGAAUGUUGUUGAGUUUGGAGCACAGGUACCAUCCGUAGGGGAUGAGGAUUAUGAUGAGGACGAGGUGGCCCAAAUCGAGCACUUCAACUCCCAAGCCACAACUAUACUCCUCGUCUCUCUAAGUCGAGAAGAGUAUAACAAGGUGCAAGGAUUAAAGAGCGCCAAGGAAGUUUGGGACAUGCUCAAGAUCGCACACGAAGGAGAUGAGCUAACCAAGAUCACCAAGCGGGAGACGAUCGAGGGAGAGCUCGGUCGCUUCCGUCUUCUCCAAGGGGAGGAGCCACAAGACAUGUACAACCGGCUCAAAACCUUGGUGAAUCAAGUGCGCAACCUCAGGAGCAAAAAAUGGGAUGACCACGAAAUGGUUAAGGUUAUUCUAAGAUCACUUAUUUUCCUUAACCCUACUCAAGUUCAAUUGAUUCGUGGCAAUCCUAGAUAUACACUAAUGACUCCCGAGGAAGUGAUCGGGAAUUUUGUGAGCUUUGAGUUCAUGAUCAAAGGCUCAAGGAAGAUCAACGAGCUUGAUGGUCCCUCCAUGUCCGAAGCACAACCGGUCGCAUUUAAGGCGACGGAGGAGAAGAAGGAGGAGUCUACACCAAGUAGACAACCAAUCGACGCCUCAAAGCUCGCCAAUGAGGAGAUGACGCUCGUCAUCAAGAGCUUCCGCCAAAUCCUCAAGCAAAGGAGGGGGAAGGAUCACAAAUCUCGCUCCAAGAAAGUUUGCUACAAGUGUGGUAAGCCCGGUCACUUUAUUGCAAAAUGUCCUAUUUCUAGUGACAGUGACAGGGGCGACGACAAGAAGGGGAGAAGAAAGGAGAAGAAGAGGUACUACAAGAAGAAGGGCGGCGAUGCCCAUGUUUGUCGCGAGUGGGACUCCGACGAGAGCUCCACCGACUCCUCCUCCGACGAGGACGCCGCAAACAUCACCGUCACCAAGGGACUUCUCUUCCCCAACGUCAGCCACAAGUGCCUCAUGGCAAAGGACGGCAAAAAGAAGAAGGUUAAAUCCAAAUCCUCCACUAGAUAUGAGUCCUCUAGCGAUGAUAAUGCUAGUGAUGAGGAAGAUAAUUUGCGUACUCUUUUUGCUAACCUCAACAUGCAACAAAAGGAAAAACUAAAUGAACUAAUUAGUGCUAUCCAUGAAAAGGAUGAUCUCUUGGACUCUCAAGAGGACUUCCUUAUUAAAGAAAACAAAAAGCAUGUUAAGGUUAAAAAUGCUUACGCUCUAGAAGUAGAAAAAUGUGAAAAACUAUCUAGUGAGCUAAGCACAUGCCAUGAGACUAUAAACAACCUUAGAAAUGAGAAUGCUAAUUUGCUAGCUAAGGUUGAUGCAAAUGUUUGUGAUGUUUCAAUUCCCAAUCUUAGAAAUGAUAAUGAUGAUUUGCUUGCUAAGAUUGAAGAAUUAAACAUGUCUCUUGCUAGCCUUAGAAAUGAAAAUGAAAGAUUGCUUACUAAGGCUAAAGAAUUAGAUGUUUGCAAUGUUACAAUUUCCGAUCUUAGAGAUAAAAAUGAUAUAUUGCGUGCUAAGAUUGUUGAACUUAAUUCUUGCAAACCCUCUACAUCUACCACUGAGCAUGUCACUAUUUGCACUAGAUGUAGAGAUGUUGAUAUUAAUGCUAUUCAUGAUCACAUGGCUUUAAUUAAACAACAAAAUGAUCAUAUAGCUAAACUAGAUGCUAAAAUUACCGAGCAUGAACUAGAAAAUGAAAAUUUUAAAUUUGCUCGUAGUAUGCUUUAUAGUGGGAGACGCCCUGGCAUUAAGGAUGGCAUUGGCUUCCAAAAGGGGGACAAUGUCAAACUUAAUGCCCCUCCUAAGAAAUUAUCCAACUUUGUUAAGGGCAAGGCUCCUAUGCCUCAGGAUAACGAGGGUUACAUUUUAUACCCUGUUGGUUAUCCCGAGAGCAAAAUUAGGAGAAUUCAUUCUAGGAAGUCUCACUCUGGCCCUAACCAUGCUUUUAUGUAUAAGGGUGAGACAUCUAGUUCUAGGCAACCAACCCGUGCUAAGUUGCCUAAGAAGAAAACUUCUAGUGCAUCAAAUGAUCAUGACAUUUCAUUUAAAACUUUUGAUGCAUCAUAUGUGUUAACUAACAAAUCCGGCAAGUUAGUUGCCAAAUAUGUUGGGGCAUGCACAAGGGGUCAAAGACUUGUGUUUGGGUACCCAAAGUUCUUGUGUCUAAUGCCAAAGGACCCAAAACCAUUUGAGUACCUAAAGUCAAGAACUAAACUUGUUUUGUAGGUUUAUGCAUCCGGAGGCUCAAGUUGGAUCAUCGAUAGCGUGUGCACAAACCACAUGACAGGGGAGAAGAAAAUGUUCUCCUCCUAUGAGAAAAACCAAGAUCCCCAACGAGUUAUCACAUUCGGGGAUAGAAACCAAGGUUUGGUCAAAGGAUUGGGUAAAAUUGCUAUAUCUCCUGACCAUUCAAUUUCCAAUGUUUUUCUUGUAGAUUCCCUAGAUUACAAUUUGCUUUCUGUUUCUCAAUUAUGUCAAAUGGGCUACAACUGUCUUUUUACUGAUGUAGGUGUCACUGUCUUUAGAAGAAGUGAUGAUUCAAUAGCAUUUAAGGGAGUGUUAGAGGGUCAGCUAUACUUGAUAGAUUUUGACAGAGCUGAACUCGACACUUGCUUAAUUGAUAAGACUAACAUGGGUUGGCUCUGGCACCGCCGACUAGCCCAUGUUGGAAUGAAGAGUCUUCAUAAGCUUCUAAAGGGAGAGCACAUUUUAGGAUUAACAAACGUUCAUUUUGAGAAAGACAGGGUUUGUAGCGCAUGCCAAGCAGGGAAGCAAGUUGGUGCUCAUCAUCCACACAAGAACAUCAUGACGACUGACAGGCCACUGCAACUCCUACACAUGGAUCUAUUCGGCCUGAUUGCUUACAUAAGUAUCGACGGGAGUAAGUACUGUCUAGUUAUUGUGGAUGAUUAUUCUCGCUUCACUUGGGUAUUCUUUUUGCAGAAAAAAUCUCAUACCCAAGAAACUUUAAAAGGAUUCUUGAGACGGGCUGAAAAUGAGUUCAGCUUAAGGAUCAAGAAAAUCAGAAGCGACAACGGGACGAAGUUCAAGAACUCUCAAAUUGAAGGCUUCCUUGAGGAGGAGGGCAUCAAGCAUGAGUUCUCUUCUCCCUACACACCACAACAAAAUGGUGUAGUGGAGAGGAAGAAUAGAACUCUAUUGGACAUGGCAAGAACCAUGCUUGAUGAGUACAAGACUUCAGAUCGGUUUUGGGCCAAGGCGGUCAACACCGCAUGCUACGCCAUCAACCGAUUGUAUCUACACCAAAUCCUCAAGAAGACAUCAUACGAACUCCUAACCGGUAAAAAGCCCAAUAUUUCAUAUUUUAGAGUCUUUGGUAGCAAAUGCUUUAUUCUUGUUAAAAGAGGUAGAAAAUCUAAAUUUGCUCCUAAGACUGUAGAAGGCUUUUUACUAGGAUAUGAUUCAAACACAAGGGCAUAUAGAGUCUUUAACAAGUCCUCUGGACAAGUUGAAGUUUCUUGUGACGUUGUGUUUGAUGAGACUAACGGCUCUCAAGUAGAGCAAGUUGAUCUUGAUGAGAUAGGUGAUGAAGAGGCUCCGUGCAUCGCGCUAAGGAACAUGUCCAUUGGGCAUGUGUGUCCUAAGGAAUCCGAAGAGCCUCCAAAUGCACAAGAUCAACCAUCCUCCUCCACGCAAGCAUCCCCACCAACUCAAAAUGAGGAUGAGGCUCAAGUUGAUAAAGGAGAAGAUCAAAGAGAUGAGCCACCUCAAGAUGACGACAAUGAUCAAGGGGGAGAUGCAAAUGAUCAAGACAAGGAGGAUAAAGAACCAAGGCCGCCACACCCAAGAGUCCACCAAGCAAUCCAACGAGAUCACCUCGUCGACACCAUCCUCGGCGACAUUCAUAAGGGGGUAACCACUAGAUCUCGUGUUGCACAUUUUUGUGAGCAUUACUCUUUUGUUUCCUCUAUUGAGCCACACAGGGUAGAGGAAGCACUUCAAGAUUCGAAUUGGGUGGUGGCGAUGCAAGAAGAGCUCAACAACUUCACGAGGAAUGAGGUAUGGCAUUUGGUUCCACGUCCUAAUCAAAAUGUUGUAGGAACCAAAUGGGUGUUCCGCAACAAGCAAGAUGAGCAUGGUGUGGUGACAAGGAACAAAGCCCGACUUGUGGCCAAAGGAUACUCCCAAGUCGAAGGUUUGGAUUUCGGUGAAACCUAUGCACCUGUAGCUAGGCUUGAGUCAAUUCGCAUAUUAUUAGCCUAUGCUACUUACCAUGGCUUCAAGCUUUAUCAAAUGGACGUGAAGAGUGCCUUCCUUAAUGGACCAAUCAAAGAAGAGGUCUACGUUGAGCAACCUCCCAGCUUUGAAGAUAGUGAGUACCCUAACCAUGUAUAUAAACUCUCCAAGGCGCUUUAUGGGCUCAAGCAAGCCCCAAGAGCAUGGUAUGAAUGCCUUAGAGAUUUUCUUAUCACUAAUGGAUUCAAAGUCGGAAAGGCCGAUCCUACACUCUUUACCAAAACACUUGAAAAUGAUUUGUUUGUAUGCCAAAUUUAUGUUGAUGAUAUUAUAUUUGGGUCUACUAACGAAUCUACAUGUGAAGAGUUUAGUAGGAUCAUGACACAAAAAUUCGAGAUGUCUAUGAUGGGGGAGUUGAAGUAUUUCUUAGGACUUCAAGUGAAGCAACUCCAAGAGGGCACCUUCCUAAGCCAAACGAAGUAUACUCAAGAUAUUCUAAGCAAGUUUGGGAUGAAGGAUGCCAAACCCAUCAAGACACCCAUGGGAACCAAUGGGCAUCUCGACCUCGACACGGAAGGUAAAUCCGUCGAUCAAAAGGUAUAUCAGUCGAUGAUAGGUUCUUUACUCUAUUUAUGUGCAUCUCGACCGGAUAUUAUGCUUUCCGUAUGCAUGUGUGCAAGAUUCCAAGCCGACCCUAAGGAAGCUCACCUUACGGCCAUAAAACGAAUCUUGAGAUAUUUAGUUUAUACUCCUAAGUUUGGGCUUUGGUAUCCUAUCGGAUCCACAUUUGAUUUGAUUGGUUAUUCGGAUGCCGAUUGGGCGGGGUGUAAGAUUAAUAGAAAGAGCACAUCGGGGACUUGCCAGUUCUAAGGAAGAUCCUUGGUGUCUUGGGCUUCAAAGAAGCAAAAUUCCGUAGCUCUUUCUACCGCCGAAGCCGAGUAUAUUGCCGCAGGACAUUGUUGCGCGCAACUACUUUGGAUGAGGCAAACCCUUAGGGACUACGGUUACAAAUUAACCAAAGUUCCCCAAUGGAAUUCCACAAAAGCUUUAGUGUUAAGUGAGAGUGAUUUGUUGUGUUCUUUUGAGCUCUUGCGCUUGGAUUGCUUUCUUUCUCAUUCUUUCUUGAGAUCAAACUCACUUGUAAUUGAGGCAAGAGACACCAAUCGUGUGGUGAUCCUUAUAGGAACUUUGUGUUCCAAAUGAUUGAGAAUAAAAGCUCACUCGGUCCGAGGGACCGUUUGAGAGAGGGAAAGGGUUGAAAGAGACCCGGUCUUUGUGACCACCUCAACGGGGAGUAGGUUUGCAAGAACCGAACCUCGGUAAAACAAAUCCACGUGUCACACUCUUCAUUCGCUUGCAAUUUGUUUUGCGCCCUCUCUCUCGGACUCGUUUCUAUUACUAACGCUAACCCGGCUUGUAGUUGUGAUUAAUUUUGUAAAUUUCAGUUUCGCCCUAUUCACCCCCCCCCUCUAGGCGACUUUCACUCAUCAUCAAGAGCUUCCGCCAAAUCCUCAAACAAAGGAGGGGGAAAGAUUACAAGCCCCGCUCUAAGAAAGUUUGCUACAAAUGUGGUAAGCCCGGUCAUUUCAUUGCUAAAUGUCCAUUGUCUAGUGAUAGUGACAGGGGCGACGACAAAAAGGGGAGAAGAAAGGAGAAGAAGAGGUACUACAAGAAGAAGGGCGGCGAUGCCCAUGUUUGCCGGGAGUGGGACUCCGACGAGAGCUCCACCGACUCCUCCGACGAGGACGCCGCCAACAUUGCCGUCACCAAGGGACUCCUCUUCCCCAACGUCGGCCACAAGUGCCUCAUGGCAAAGGACGACAAAAAGAAGAAGGUAAAAUCAAGAUCCUCCACUAAAUAUGAGACCUCUAGCGAUGAGGAUAAUGCUAGUAAUGAGGAGGAUAACUUGCACAUCCUUUUUGCCAAUCUAAACAUGCAACAAAAAGAAAAAUUAAAUGAAUUGAUUAGUGCUAUUCAUGAGAAGGAUGAUCUCUUGGACACCCCAGAGGACUUCCUUAUUAAAGAAAACAAAAAGCAUGUUAAGGUUAAAAAUGCUUACGCUCUAUAAGUUGAAAAAUGUGAAAAAUUAUCUAGUGAGCUAAGCACUUGUCAUGAUAUUAUUACCAACCUUAGAAAUGAGAAUGCAAAUUUAAUUGCUAAGGUUGAUUCGAAUGCUUGUGAUGUUUCAAUUCCCAAUCUUAGAGAUGAUAAUAUUGAUUUGCUUGCUAAGAUUGAAGAAUUGAAUAUCUCUCUUGCUAGCCUUAGAGAUGAAAAUGAAAAAUUGCUUGCUAAGGCUAAAGAUUUUGAUGUUUGCAAUGCUACCAUUUCCGACCUUAGAACUAAGAAUGAUAUAUUGCAUGCUAAGGUUGUAGAAUUAAAAUCUUGCAAACCCUCUACAUCUACCGUUGAGCACACUUCUAUUUGCACUAGAUGUAGAGAUAUUGAUGUUAAUGCUAUUCAUGAUCACAUGUCUUUAAUUAAACAACAAAAUGAUCAUAUAGCAAAACUAGAUGCAAAAAUUGCCAAGCAUAACUUAGAAAAUGAAAAAUUUAAAUUUGCUAGAAGUAUGCUCUAUAAUGGGAGACACCCUGGCAUCAAGGAUGGCAUUGGCUUCCAAAGGGGAGACAAUGUCAAACUUAAUGCCCCUCCUAAAAGAUUGUUAAAUUUUGUAAAGGGCAAGGCUCCCAUGCCUCAGGAUAACGAGGGUUAUAUUUUAUACCCUGCCGGUUAUCCCGAGAGCAAGAUUAGGAGAAUUCACUCUAGGAAGUCUCACUCUGGUCCUAACCAUGCUUUUAUGUAUAAGGGUGAGACAUCUAGCUCUAGGCAACCAACCCGUGCUAAGUUGCCUAAGAAAAGAACUCCUAAUGCAUCAAAUGAUCAUGACAUUUCAUUCAAAACUUUUGAUGCAUCAUAUGUGUUGACUAACAAAUCCGGCAAAGUAGUUGCCAAAUAUGUUGGGGGCAAGCACAAGGGGUCAAAGACUUGUGUUUGGGUACCCAAAGUUCUUGUGUCUAAUGCCAAAGGACCCAAAACCAUUUGGGUACCUAAAGUCAAGAACUAAACUUGUUUUGUAGGUUUAUGCAUCCGGGGGCUCAAGUUGGAUACUCGACAGCGGGUGCACAAACCAUAUGACAGGGGAGAAGAAGAUGUUCUCCUCCUACGAGAAAAAGCAAGAUCCCCAACGAGCUAUCACAUUCGGGGAUGGAAAUCAAGGUUUGGUCAAAGGUCUUGGUAAAAUAGCUAUAUCUCCUGACCAUUCUAUUUCCAAUGUUUUUCUUGUAGACUCAUUAGAUUACAAUUUGCUUUCCGUUUCUCAAUUAUGCAAAAUGGGCUACAACUGUCUUUUCACAGAUGUAGGUGUUACUGUCUUUAGAAGGAGUGAUGAUUCAAUAGCAUUUAAGGGAGUGUUAGAGGGUCAGCUAUACUUGGUAGAUUUUGAUAGAGCUGAACUCGACACUUGCUUAAUUGCUAAGACUAACAUGGGCUGGCUCUGGCAUCGCCGACUAGAACAUGUUGGAAUGAAGAAUCUUCACAAACUUCUAAAGGGAGAACACAUUUUAGGACUAACAAAUGUUCAUUUUGAGAAAGACAGGGUGAAAGUGCAUUCAUCCCUUUUGUGAUUUUGGUGAUUUGGAUAACAACACAUUUAAAGGUCUAACGAGUUUGCUAAGUGUUGAACAGGAAAUUCAGUAUGAUGAACAUACUUGAAUAGUGUAUAAUGAUCAGUGAACAAGGUUCAACACAAGGUCAAAUAACCAGUGAGACAAUGCAAAUGGAUAUAAUAUGGUCUCUAUAUUGGUUUGAAUAUAUGGACAAGUCCUAAGAAAUCACUAUGCAUAAAUAUGAUCAUAAUAGAGGUUGAAGUGAUUAAGAGGAUUGGUCAAGCCAAAGUGAAUAAGAUAUGAGGAAUCAUGAAUUGGCUUGACCAUAUUACUAUUAGUCCAUAUAUGAAUAUAUGAGAAUCAAACUAGAGCUUGAUUGAUCUUAGCAGUUAUAUCUAGAUGACAUUCAAGCAAGGUUCACAAUAUUGAAGAAAUGAUUCUCUCAAUGGAUGCUCAAUAGGAUGUGACUCAAGAAUGGCUUGAUAGGGUGAAGAUAGCAAGGAAAGGGCUUCGAGGAACUAAGCGAAGGUGAAGGCCAAGCGACGGCUUGUAGACCGAGGUACCAUGGCUAAGGUGAAGAAGAGAGUACUUGCACUAAGUCGAUGAACUAAUCAGCUAUGAAGAGUUACAACAUGUUGAUGCAUCAGUCAGGUGACUUGAAGCCAUGAUUUGAACUCAUAUAAGGUGAUAUAGUACAAGUCACAGGGUUUGAUUUGAGUUUGCUUCAAAAGGUGAGACAAAGAUGUUUGUGAUCCUUAUGAAGCAAUGCCAUGGAGAAAUCACACAUGAGACACCAGUGACUCAAGGAGUUUUCUUAAUUAAUUUUAUUUAACUUGAGUAUAGGAAUCGUCGUACUAUAAAGGGGGAUCCAAAAAGAAGGUUGGUGUUUGCCAAAGCUCAAACCUCUCUAUUCAAAAGCUAUUUUUGAAAAGCAAAAAUCUCUUUAACGUUCUAUGGUUGACCGUGGUUAGGGUUGAGAAACCUAGAGUGUUCUUGCUGAAAAGCAGCUGAACUUGUUCAGCUGCAGCUGAGCUUUUCAGCUGAGCUGGACUUCAGCUGAGCUGAGCUCCUUCAGCUGCAGCUGAGCUUUUCAGCUGAGCUGGACCUCAGCUGAGCUGAGCUUCUUCAGCUACAGCUGAGCUUUUCAGCUGAGCUGAACUUCAGCUGAGUUGAGCUUCUUCAGCUGCAGCUGAGCUUUUCAGCUGGGCUGAACUUCAGCUGAACUCAACUUCAGCUGUGAACCUCUUUGACCAUACACCAGCUGAACUUGCCUCCGGGCAGUUGAGCUGGGGUUUUCUCUCCUAAACUCACUGGUCAAGACCAGUUGAACUGGUCCUGAGGGGCAGUUCAGCUGGUCUCUGACCCCUCUGACCUCUGUUCUGCAGUCUGCCAGUCAGACUGGCAAACAGGUCGCCAGAAGUGUCAGGGGCGGUUCAACCGCCCCCCCUGGGCGGUUCAACCGGUCUUGGUCAACUUGACCAGUCUGCAGGUCAGUCUGCGCGUCAGUCUGCCAGUCAGACUGGCAGACAGGCUGCCAGGCCUGCCAGGGGAGGCUCAACCGCCCUAGGGGGAGGUUCAACCGCCCUCAGGCAGAAAAUUCUGCCCAACGGCUAGUUUUGAGCUCCACCUAUAUAUACUACCUCCUACCUCUCUCCCCAAAGAUGUUAGCACGAUUUGAACUCCAUUUCUAACCCAAGAAACACCUCCCUCUCUCUCACACACAUCUCUUGCCUCUCCCAUUUCAAAUCUUUGGAGAGAAAUCUUUGAGUGAGCUUGAGAGCUGCGGUUUUGUGCUUCAUCUCUAAAUCUCUCUUGCUCUUCUUCUUGAUUCGAGCUUUGGUACUACAUCGAGUUCUUUGUGGAUUCAUUACUCUUGGAGCUUCUAGCUCCUAGACGACUAGGUGUCUCUUGUGAGUCUCCAAAUCUUGUGGAAGACCACAAGAAAGUUUGUAUUACCCGCUCGUUUGAGCAAAGAUUAGUGUGUGAGCUUGACCUUUGUGGUCGGCAAAGGGAGGAUUAGGGUUGAAAGAGACCCGGCUCUUUGUGGGCGCCUCAACGAGGAAGUAGGGCACCUUGGUGGUGUGACCGAACCUCGGGAUAAAUCUUGUGUCUCUUGUGUUCUUGCUCAUUGUGUUUGUUCAUGUUCUUCGUUCUCUCACCAUUGUGUGGAAGAUUUGUUUAUAUCUUUUUGGUGUGUGGAUUUUGAGAAGUGCCCUUCUCAAAUCUACUACUUUGAAUCCUGUGGAUCAUUUAGAACAUCUCAUUUCCAAAGUUAACUGGGUGAAUUUCGAGAUCAAUUCAGUUUUACCCAGUUUGCUUCUAGUUUUUGUUGAAAAAGUUUUAACUUGCCUAUUCACCCCCCCUCUAGGCAACUUUCAAUUGGUAUCAGAGCCUAAUCCUUGUUCUAACGCUUAACCGCGUGAGGAAAAGAUCAUGUCGGGGGGUCUAAGAAAUGAAAAUGCUUCUAAGCUUGAAAAAGUUGAGAUUGUCUCGACUUCAUCUUUUGGUGCAGAUGUUGAUCCUAGGGCAAUAGAUCUUGCUAUGAGAAUCGCCGAAAGGAUGUUCCUCAAAAUGAAGGAAGAUGAGGCGAAAAACAAAAUUGAAGAAGAAAAUGAUCGAUGGAGACCAAACGACGAAUCCACCUCUUCACAAGGUUCGUCUUUCAAAUCCACUUCUCAUAUGUGCUUUAUUGCUAAUGGGAGUGACAGUGAAAGCGAAAGUGAGGAUGAGGAGGAGCAUGAAAGUGAUAGUGAAGAUGAGGAUGAUCUUCAAAAAUUCUUCGCUCAACUAAGUAAGAAGAAUCGGAUGAGCUUGCUCAAACUCAUGAAAAGAGCGGAAGAACAAAAGGAAAUGCUUCAUAAGCAAGAAGAUAUCUUCAUCGGAAAAAUCAAAGACUUGGAGAAGUUGACCAAAGAGCAUGAGAAGCUAAAGUGCUCUCAUGAUGAUUUGGUCCAAAGGUAUGAAGACAUUUCAAUUGAGCAAAUUAAAGCUAUUAAUCAUUCAUCAUAUAUUGCUCAAUUAGAAAAUAAAAAUGCUAUGCUCAAGAACACGGUAGAAAAGCUAAACAUUGAAAAUCUAGCUUUGCAAGAAAAACAUGAUAUGCUUGUAUGCUCUCAUAAUAAAUUUAUGGAUUCACAUAUCAUGUUAGAAAUGGCUCAUGAGGUUAUGUUAACUAAUUUGAAAUCAUACCAACCUCACAUGUGCACAUGUGUUGAAAUUGAAACUAUAUUACCAUGUGCUAACAAUUGUUGUUAUCAAGCAAGCCAAUCUUCCAUUGAGCUAGAAAUUUCAGGAAUUAGUGAUAUUUCUAUCACACAAGAAAAUAAAGAGCUCAAGGAAGAAGUUGGAAGGCUAAGAAGGAGCUUAACUCUUUUGAAGGGAAAGUGUCAUGCUCAACCUUCUCACGAUAACCGUGAUAACAUGGUGAAGAAGCUUGAAAAGGCGACAAUCGUAGCAUGCACAAACCCCCUUCAAAAGAAUGCUAAGUUCCCUAAGAAAGGCAUGAGCAAACAUCAAGAGAAGAAAGCCAAAGCUCAUGACAAGUGCCUCAACCAUGCCUCCACAUGCUCCACACAAGGUAACAAACAAGUCACUCUUCCAAAUAAGAGAAGAUGCGCUAGAAAGUGUUAUCAAUGUCAUGAGAAGGGACAUGAGAUUAAGUCAUGUCCCUACACAAAGGAUAGUGGCUUAACUUUAGAAAGAAAGAGGCUCACUAACCGUGUAGCAAACAAGAAGCAAGGCAAAAAGGAGUCUUGCAAAAUUAAAAAUCAGAUUUGCUACACUUGCCGAAGAAAGGGACACCUAUGCAAGGAUUGUCCCAUGAGUGAGUAUCCUAAGCCUACCAUGUCAAUUCAUUCAUAUUCACUUAGAAGACCCAAAAAUGACACUUGUGCUAGAAAGGUAAUUAGUUCACCUAAAACUAGCACAAAGGCCAUUUGGGUGCCUAAGUAUUUAUUAGCUAACCUUGGCGGACCCAUCCAAAAAUGGGUACCAAAAUGUACUUAAUAAGUUUUGUAGGUACCCAGAGAUGAUAUGAAGCUUUGGGGUGCUUGAGCGGUUUAACUCAAUUCUUAUCUCAAGCUAUCAAUCUUACAUUGUAUAUCCUUUAAGAUUGACCCAAAGAUGAAUUGAGUUGUUAUAUCACUAACUUCAUAUUCAUCUCUAGCAAGAACUUGUGUUGUAGGGAAUAAGGAUUAACCUUUGUGGGAAUCAAGCAAAAGGCCUACAACCAAGUGAUAUCCAAAGGAUGGUAACAAUUAAUUCUUAAGUGCACAUUGCUUUUAAUUGGUAUAUUCCUUUGUGUCUUUUGUAGCCACAUAGGAAAAAUGAAGCACUUGAGAAUGAACUUAAAAGAUUUUACCUUGCUUUGGAAAGGAUCUAAUUAUAUGGUAGAUUGCAAGUUCAUAUUUUUAUAUUAUGACAAUCUACAUGCUUUAAAUUGGUUGAAUGUAUCUUGUGGCAUAUUUCAAAUUGAUUAUCGUAUUAUUGCCAUGACCUAGACAUAAAGAUGAUUAUCCCAUGUUCUUAAAUGAAUAGAGUGCUAAGUAAGAAAUUCAAAUUCUUAAAGCACUUACCAAAAGGGAAAUUCUCUAUAUGACUAGAGUUGUGAGACUAAUGUUUUUAUCUAAGUGAUUUAUGUAGUUUCACAACAUGAGAAUGUGUUUCUCAAAUGGAGUGUGGCAUUCAACAUUCAAAGAAGAUCGAACCAAUACUAUGUGAUGUAUUCAUUCUCAUUUAAAUUGGUUUUGGGUCUUCUACAUUAAUCACUCACCAUGCUAUGAAUUAAACUUGCCAUGUAAACUUAAUUAAAUAAUCAUGCUACUUUCAUAUUUUUUUAUAAUUGAUGUUAUGCAUGAUGCUUGUAAGGGUAAUUUAGUUCAUAUCAUGAGGUUUCCUUGUUUUAGUAACCUUCUUGUCAUUCAUAUACUAGAGGUUGCUAAAUAGGAAACUAUUGCUUGUGUUACUAAUACAAUCUCUUUUAAGAUAUUUAAUGGAAAUUCAUAAGUAGAGAUUGUGCUCUUUCAAUUGGUAAAAUCACAAGCUUUAAAGGUUAAUCUUCACCUAAAAGGAAGAUUAGGAAUGUUCAAGGCAAAGGUAUGGAACAAAUUCCUUCAAUUGGUAGUUGAUCAAUAGUAGUUCCUUCCAAGUGGCAUUCUUUCAAUUGGUAAUAAUAUAUUCUAUGGAAAGGAAUGUCAAUAUGAAGGUUAAAUUCUUUUUGGAUUAAAUUUGUAAAUUAAUGCAUAUUGUGAAUUCACUGCUCCAUGUGCAUUAACUUAAAAGGAAUUUAAUUUAUACCUUUACGCCUGAUAAAUGAUGAUUUGUUUGUCAUCCAUAUAUAGAUAUCAUCAUUCAUUAAAUACUUCCUUGUACUACUAAUACCUCUUUUCAAAGUGUUUUAUCGACUAGUUUUAAAAGGAAAAGAGAUAACAAAGAAGGAAGUCUCCACAAAUGAUGAAAAGAAGAAUACUAAGGUGACACCACCACAGAUAGUAAGAUCUGUCAAAUUGGUAUAAUAAAUGGUACAUUCUAUAUGGUGGUAAGUAUUCUUAGGCAUAAGUUAAUUCAUUGCAAAUUUGUCAUGCCUUGACCAUGAUAUAUAAUGUACUCCUCAUGAGACUCUUAAAUGAAUUGAAAGUGCAUGUGGUAAGUCAUUCAAAUACUUGAUGCACAUAUCUAGUGGGAGAACAUUAUAUAUAUUGUGUCAUAGAGAAUAAGUUUCCCUUGAGUAAGCUAUACUAAGACAAUCCAAAAUGGUAAAUUUGUAUCUCAUUCAUAUGGAUUGUAAUCUUUGUUUUCUAAAUAGCUACUCUUGAUGCAGUUUAAAAUUCCCUUAUCGUUAAUUCUAAAAGUGCAUAAGAAUCUUUUUGUUGAUAUUCAUCACAUACAUAUGCACUAACAUGGAUAUGAUUUUUAAACUGAAAAAGGUACAAUUAGUGAUCCAUACUCUCUAAAUUUUGGAAACCCAUAUUUUGAUAUCUUAGAAAUCUACUUCAAUCGAUAUCCAUAUACUUCACAUUGAAUUGGAUCACUAAGUUGUAAAUUCCAUGCAUAACUUGUCUUUAUGAUAUGAAUGCUUGUGCAACUAACCUUGAUAAGCUAGGUGCACCCAAAGUCAAGCUAGGUUCAUCAUCAAGAAGGCAACACAAUGAUGUAUCAAGAAAAGGAGAAAAGGCUCCUAUUCUUAACUCUAGUUUUCUUUUAUCUGUGUGAUUAAAUAUUGACUUGAAACCAUGUAAGAUGGUUGUCAAGUAUAUGUGGGUGCCUACACAAAGAGAAAGGCCACAAUAAGGAUUGUGUGGGUACUCAUGGCUCUUCCUACUAAUCUCAAAGGACCCAAUUCAAAUUGGGUACCAGAUAUGAAGCUUAAACUUGUUUUGCAGGAUCACACCUUCAAUGGAUUAAGUUGGGUGCUCGAUAUUGAAUGUAUAAAUCAUAUUUGAAGAUAGUAGCAAGGGUGGUAACAACUGAAUCUCAAGUGCAUAUUAUUUUCAAAUCUUAUCUCUUUUGUGACUUGUGUAGCCACUAAGGAAAAGGAAGCACUUGAGGAUAUACAUCAUUUGUUGAUUAUGAAAUAAAGGUCUAAUUGGAAGAUGAAUGAAUAUUGUCAUAUGGUCAACAAUCCAAAAUUAUGUAACGUAUUUUCUAUCUAGUUAAUUUGGAUUUUAUUAUUCCAUAUUAGACACUCACCAUAAUAUGGAUUAAGUUAGCCCUUUAGACUUCAUUGAAUAACCAUGCAUAUUAUCCAUAUCAUUCAAAAUAUAUUGUGCUUAAGGGCUCAAGGGAAAUUUAGUCCAUAUUAUGACGUUUCUCUAUUUUUAGCAACACGCUUGUCUUUCGCAUAUAAAGGGUUGCUGAAUAAGAAACUAGUGCUUGUGCUACUAAUGCCAUCUCUUGUGUUGAGUUUAUCCAUAGAAAAUCUAUGUUAAGAGAUGGUGCUUGUUUUAAAUUGGAUAAAUCACAAGCUUAAAGGAUACUAUUCAACUAAAGUAAGAUGAAGUUGAUAAGAGGCCAAGGUAUGAAAACUUCUUAUCCUUCAGUUGUUUUAGUAUUCUAUCCUUAGUGGGAUGUACCAUAGUAUAGGUUAAAUUCAUUGCAUUAUAAAAUGUUCGAUAGUGCAUAUAACUUUGACAUCAACUAUAUGUGUGCACUAAUUUAAAGGAAUUUAGUCUAUCCUUUUGGGUUUCAAGAAUGAUGGUUCAUUUUCAUCCACAUAUAAGGAUCAUCAUUUGUGAAACCUUCCCAUGUGUUUUCAAUGCUCUCUUUUCUAAGUGUUUCAACAAGGUCCUUCCAAGUGCUUUCAAGAUGGAUUCAAAAUCUACAAAUAUAAGAGACUUGGUUCUUUCAAUCAUUGAGUUUCAAUGGGUCUCAUAUCAAGUAUGAUCGAACCAAGCAAAGAUGAAAGAAGUUCAUGAUCACUUGGUUGGAUGAAAUCGUAAAGAGAAAAGAGAUCACAGUGAUUCAAGAAGGGAGUUAUAUUUUUUUGUCAACCAAAUAAUGAAGAUGUAGUGAUAUAUUUAUAUGAUAUCCUUCAUUAUGAGGUUUGAGGUUCAUAUUAGCAUGCUUUACCCUUCAAGAUUUCAAUUGAUAUACUUUUAGUUCUUAAACUUUUAAUUGGUAUAAUUUUCAUCAUCUAUGUAAAGCAUGUUAUGUUAAACCAAGAUACAGUGCAAACAUCUCCUUUAACCUCGUUUUGUUGAUGUGCAUAAGUGUACUUUGUGUACUCUUGCAUGCACAAAUUGAGGGAGAGUUUAGCCUAUAUCUUGUGAGACUAAUGAUUUCUUUCAAGUUCAUGUUGUGUAGUCUCACACCUUGGUGAAAGAAGAACAUCAAAUGAGGAUGAGUGGUUCCAAAGAAAUGAUCAAAUAAUUACCACAUGUCACCCCAUGGAUUAGUUCUUUUGGGGAACGACAUGUGUUCUCUAGCAUAAAUUCAAUUGUUUCAAAUAUAUUAUGCCUUGACCAAGAUAUAUGAUGAACUCCUCUAAGAAUCUUAAUUGAAUCAAGUGCAUGUUACAAGUAAUUCAAGUACUUGAUGCAUACAUUUAGGGGGAGCUCAUUCUAUAUCUUGUGUCAUUAAAGACUAACAUUUUCUUUUAGUGAAUUUGUGUAGUUCUUUGAAGAGAAUGAGUUUCUCUUGAUCGUUUAAAGAGGAUAAGUUUCUCUUUGAAAUGUCAAGCCUAUCAAAAGCUAAGAUAGGAAUUCAUGAUUAUAAUGAAGACCAUAUGGCAUGGAACAAAGGUGUGUCACUCCAUGAACUAUUGUAUUACAUUUGUGUAUCUAGACUCUUACAAGUUAGUGUAUGCAUGUAUAUGCAAUAUAUUAAGUCACAUCAUAAGGUUGCACUUGAAUCUUGGCUUAAAAUAUUGCAUAUCAUGUCUAUUAGUAUACCGUUUGAUUAUGAGUAAUUCCUUAAAUUGGUGCAAUUUCAUAUUUUCAUACUUUAUUUGUACCAAGGUUCAAAUUGUAGGACUUAAUCCCCUGGCCUCACAAGUCCAAGUGCAUAAGCUAAACAAGUAUUCAUCACUUGUAUGCACACAUUUAGGGGGAGAAUGGUCUAUAAUUUGAAUCUUUGAGACUAACUUCAUUUUCAAGUCUAUUAUGUGUGUAGUCUCAAAUUAGAGAGGAAUCUUCAAGCAAAGACAAUAGCUUCCACUGCAAAUUUUGAUGGGUAUCAAAGAUUCUUUGCUCCAAUAAAUGUAUCUUCUAUACAUUUCAUAAGAGAAUGAGUUUCUCUUAUAUAUGCUACUCCAACGUCAUCUAAAAUUGGUAAAUAUGUAUCACAUCUUUUUGGAUUACAAAUAUCUGAAGUAGCAUAGCUUAUAGAUUCUCUUGUCUCGAACUUAAUUGAUUAAAUAGUGCACAUGUUUCUUAUGUUGUAUGAUUAUGUUCAAUUGAUACUCCGUUUAUGCCAAUGGUACUUUAAGUUGCAAAUAAGUACUCUCAACAGAUAUCAAUUGAAUUCAUAUAUAUAUGUGUGCACUAAAACUUGAGGAGAACUUAGUGUAAUAUGCUAUUAGUGAUCUAUUUAUCUAUCAAAUUGUAUCAAUUGGUGUUUUUCAAUUGAUAUUUUUCAUACAUGAUCACUAGUUGCAUAAUCCAUACUUGUGCAAUUUUCAUGUUGCCUCUUGUUGUGAUAAGAAAAUGCUAGGUGACAUCUAGACUCUAGGUAUCAAGAUUUAUCUUUCAGUUAGUAUGACAAUAUUCAUUUGAUAUCUUGGACCUAUGUCACAAUUAUGCCGACAAGAGAUUGCAAAAUGAACUCUAAAUACAACACAAGUCUGGAAACCCCUUGAAAAGGUAAAACGCAAAGGUACAUCACUUGUGACACUUAUCCAUUACCUUUGUGCCAUCUAAGGAUCCCUUUCAUGAUAGUGUGUUCACAUCUCGCUUAAUCAUAAUUUCUAUCCUUUAUAUUCUUUGUAUCCUUUUUGGAGAUUUAUGACAAAGGGGGAGAAAUUGUGCAUUAAAGCUUACCUUUAGUCUUAUGUAACUAAGUGUUAGAAGACUUUUAAAAAGGGGAAGUCAUAAGAAAAACAUAAGAUGAAGAAAGUUGAUAAGUGCAUUCCAUGUCAUGAGCAUCACGUUUAUUUUAUGACACACUGCACCCUAUGAAUAGUAUGAUAUAAGUUGUCUAUACUUUGACCUAAAUAUGUGCUUUUGGCAUUUGAGUACAAAAGUGUUAUUUUCUGAAAUGCACAUAUUUAGGGGGAGGAAACUAUAUCAUAGGAUUUAAAAUCUUAUUUAUCAAAUCUUAUGUAAGCUUUAAAUGUGUUGUCAUCAAUCACCAAAAAGGGGGAGAUUGAAAGUGCAUUCAUCCCUUUUGUGAUUUUGGUGAUUUGGAUAACAACACAUUUAAAGGUCUAACGAGUUUGCUAAGUGUUGAACAGGAAAUUCAGUAUGAUGAACAUACUUGAAUAGUGUAUAAUGAUCAGUGAACAAGGUUCAACACAAGGUCAAAUAACCAGUGAGACAAUGCAAAUGGAUAUAAUAUGGUCUCUAUAUUGGUUUGAAUAUAUGGACAAGUCCUAAGAAAUCACUAUGCAUAAAUAUGAUCAUAAUAGAGGUUGAAGUGAUUAAGAGGAUUGGUCAAGCCAAAGUGAAUAAGAUAUGAGGAAUCAUGAAUUGGCUUGACCAUAUUACUAUUAGUCCAUAUAUGAAUAUAUGAGAAUCAAACUAGAGCUUGAUUGAUCUUAGCAGUUAUAUCUAGAUGACAUUCAAGCAAGGUUCACAAUAUUGAAGAAAUGAUUCUCUCAAUGGAUGCUCAAUAGGAUGUGACUCAAGAAUGGCUUGAUAGGGUGAAGAUAGCAAGGAAAGGGCUUCGAGGAACUAAGCGAAGGUGAAGGCCAAGCGACGGCUUGUAGACCGAGGUACCAUGGCUAAGGUGAAGAAGAGAGUACUUGCACUAAGUCGAUGAACUAAUCAGCUAUGAAGAGUUACAACAUGUUGAUGCAUCAGUCAGGUGACUUGAAGCCAUGAUUUGAACUCAUAUAAGGUGAUAUAGUACAAGUCACAGGGUUUGAUUUGAGUUUGCUUCAAAAGGUGAGACAAAGAUGUUUGUGAUCCUUAUGAAGCAAUGCCAUGGAGAAAUCACACAUGAGACACCAGUGACUCAAGGAGUUUUCUUAAUUAAUUUUAUUUAACUUGAGUAUAGGAAUCGUCGUACUAUAAAGGGGGAUCCAAAAAGAAGGUUGGUGUUUGCCAAAGCUCAAACCUCUCUAUUCAAAAGCUAUUUUUGAAAAGCAAAAAUCUCUUUAACGUUCUAUGGUUGACCGUGGUUAGGGUUGAGAAACCUAGAGUGUUCUUGCUGAAAAGCAGCUGAACUUGUUCAGCUGCAGCUGAGCUUUUCAGCUGAGCUGGACUUCAGCUGAGCUGAGCUCCUUCAGCUGCAGCUGAGCUUUUCAGCUGAGCUGGACCUCAGCUGAGCUGAGCUUCUUCAGCUACAGCUGAGCUUUUCAGCUGAGCUGAACUUCAGCUGAGUUGAGCUUCUUCAGCUGCAGCUGAGCUUUUCAGCUGGGCUGAACUUCAGCUGAACUCAACUUCAGCUGUGAACCUCUUUGACCAUACACCAGCUGAACUUGCCUCCGGGCAGUUGAGCUGGGGUUUUCUCUCCUAAACUCACUGGUCAAGACCAGUUGAACUGGUCCUGAGGGGCAGUUCAGCUGGUCUCUGACCCCUCUGACCUCUGUUCUGCAGUCUGCCAGUCAGACUGGCAAACAGGUCGCCAGAAGUGUCAGGGGCGGUUCAACCGCCCCCCCUGGGCGGUUCAACCGGUCUUGGUCAACUUGACCAGUCUGCAGGUCAGUCUGCGCGUCAGUCUGCCAGUCAGACUGGCAGACAGGCUGCCAGGCCUGCCAGGGGAGGCUCAACCGCCCUAGGGGGAGGUUCAACCGCCCUCAGGCAGAAAAUUCUGCCCAACGGCUAGUUUUGAGCUCCACCUAUAUAUACUACCUCCUACCUCUCUCCCCAAAGAUGUUAGCACGAUUUGAACUCCAUUUCUAACCCAAGAAACACCUCCCUCUCUCUCUCACACAUCUCUUGCCUCUCCCAUUUCAAAUCUUUGGAGAGAAAUCUUUGAGUGAGCUUGAGAGCUGCGGUUUUGUGCUUCAUCUCUAAAUCUCUCUUGCUCUUCUUCUUGAUUCGAGCUUUGGUACUACAUCGAGUUCUUUGUGGAUUCAUUACUCUUGGAGCUUCUAGCUCCUAGACGACUAGGUGUCUCUUGUGAGUCUCCAAAUCUUGUGGAAGACCACAAGAAAGUUUGUAUUACCCGCUCGUUUGAGCAAAGAUUAGUGUGUGAGCUUGACCUUUGUGGUCGGCAAAGGGAGGAUUAGGGUUGAAAGAGACCCGGCUCUUUGUGGGCGCCUCAACGAGGAAGUAGGGCACCUUGGUGGUGUGACCGAACCUCGGGAUAAAUCUUGUGUCUCUUGUGUUCUUGCUCAUUGUGUUUGUUCAUGUUCUUCGUUCUCUCACCAUUGUGUGGAAGAUUUGUUUAUAUCUUUUUGGUGUGUGGAUUUUGAGAAGUGCCCUUCUCAAAUCUACUACUUUGAAUCCUGUGGAUCAUUUAGAACAUCUCAUUUCCAAAGUUAACUGGGUGAAUUUCGAGAUCAAUUCAGUUUUACCCAGUUUGCUUCUAGUUUUUGUUGAAAAAGUUUUAACUUGCCUAUUCACCCCCCCUCUAGGCAACUUUCACAGGGUUUGUAGCGCAUGCCAAGCAGGAAAGCAAGUUGGUGCCCAUCAUCCACACAAGAACAUCAUGACGACCGACAGGCCGCUUGAACUACUCCACAUGGAUCUAUUCGGCCCGAUUGCUUACAUAAGCAUCGGCGGGAGUAAGUAUUGUCUUGUAAUAGUGGAUGAUUAUUCUCGCUUCACUUGGGUGUUCUUUCUGCAGGAAAAAUCUCAAACCCAAGAGACUUUAAAAGGAUUCUUGAGACGAGCUCAAAAUGAGUUCAACUUAAGGAUCAAGAAAAUUAGAAGCGACAACGGGACGGAGUUCAAGAACUCUCAAAUUGAGGGCUUCCUUGAGGAGGAGGGCAUCAAGCAUGAGUUCUCUUCUCCCUACACGCCACAACAAAAUGGUGUAGUGGAGAGGAAGAAUCAAACUCUAUUGGACAUGGCAAGGACCAUGCUUGAUGAGUACAAGACUUCGGAUCGGUUUUGGGCCGAGGCGGUCAAUACCGCUUGCUGCGCCAUCGACCGGUUAUAUCUACACCGAAUCCUCAAGAAGACAUCUUAUGAGCUCCUAACCGGUAAAAAGCCCAACAUUUCAUAUUUUAGAGUCUUUGGUAGCAAAUGCUUUAUUCUUGUUAAAAGAGGUAGAAAAUCUAAAUUUGCUCCUAAGACUGUAGAAGGCUUUUUACUAGGAUAUGAUUCAAACACAAGGGCAUAUAGAGUCUUUAACAAGUCCACUGGACAAGUUGAAGUUUCUUGUGACGUUGUGUUUGAUGAGACUAACAGCUCUCAAGUAGAGCAAGUUGAUCUUGAUGAGAUAGGUAAUGAAGAGGCUCCAUGCAUCGCGCUUAGGAACAUGUCCAUUGGGGAUGUGUGUCCUAAGGAAUCCGAAGAGCCUCCAAAUGCACAAGAUCAACCGUCAUCCUCCACGCAAGCAUCUCCACCAACUCAAAAUGAGGAUGAAGCUCAAGUUGAUGAAGUAGAAGAUCAAGCAAAUGAGCCACCUCAAGAUGACGGCAAUGAUCAAGGGGGAGAUGCAAAUGAUCAAGACAAGGAGGAUGAAGAACAACAGCCGCCACACCCAAGAGUCCACCAAGCAAUCCAACGAGAUCACCCCGUCGACACCAUCCUCAGCGACAUUCAUAAGGGGGUAACCACUAGAUCUCGAGUUGCACAUUUUUGUGAGCAUUACUCUUUUGUUUCCUCUAUUGAGCCACACAGGGUAGAAGAAGCACUCCAAGAUUCGGAUUGGGUGGUGGCGAUGCAAGAGGAGCUCGACAACUUCACUAGGAAUGAGGUAUGACACUUAGUUCCACGUCCUAACCAAAAUGUUGUAGGAACCAAAUGGGUCUUCCGCAACAAGCAAGAUGAGCAUGGUGUGGUGACAAGGAACAAAGCCCGACUUGUGGCCAAGGGAUACUCCCAAGUCGAAGGUUUGGAUUUCGGUGAAACCUAUGCACCCGUAGCUAGGAUUGAGUCAAUUCGCAUAUUGUUGGCCUAUGCUACUUAACAUGGCUUUAAGCUCUAUCAAAUGGACGUGAAAAGUGCCUUCCUCAAUGGACCAAUCAAGGAAGAGGUCUAUGUUGAGCAACCUCCCGGCUUUGAAGAUAGUGAGUACCCUAACCAUGUUUACAAACUCUCUAAGGCGCUUUAUGGGCUCAAGCAAGCCCCAAGAGCAUGGUAUGAAUGCCUUAGAGAUUUCUUUAUUGCUAAUGGCUUCAAAGUCGGAAAGGCCGAUCCUACUCUAUUCACUAAAACUCUUGAAAAUGACUUGUUUGUAUGCCAAAUUUAUGUUGAUGAUAUUAUAUUUGGGUCUACUAACGAGUCUACAUGUGAAGAAUUUAGUAGGAUCAUGACACAAAAGUUCGAGAUGUCUAUGAUGGGGGAGUUGAAGUACUUCUUGGGAUUUCAAGUGAAGCAACUCCAAGAGGGCACCUUCAUUAGCCAAACAAAGUAUACUCAAGACAUUCUAAACAAGUUUGGGAUGAAGGAUGCCAAGCCCAUCAAGACACCCAUGGGAACUAAUGGGCAUCUCGACCUCGACACGGGAGGUAAGUCCGUGGAUCAAAAGGUAUACCGGUCGAUGAUAGGUUCUUUACUCUAUUUAUGUGCAUCUCGACCGGAUAUUAUGCUUUCCGUAUGCAUGUGUGCAAGAUUCCAAGCCGACCCUAAGGAAGCUCACCUUACGGCCGUAAAACGAAUCUUGAGAUAUUUGGCUUAUACUCCUAAGUUUGGGCUUUGGUAUCCUAGGGGAUCCACUUUUGAUUUGAUUGGUUAUUCGGAUGCCGAUUGGGCGGGGUGUAAAAUCAAUAGGAAGAGCACAUUGGGGACUUGCCAGGUCUUGGGAAGAUCCUUGGUGUCUUGGGCUUCAAAGAAGCAAAAUUCGGUCGCUCUUUCCACCGCCGAAGCCGAGUACAUUGCCGCAGGCCAUUGUUGCGCGCAAUUGCUUUGGAUGAGGCAAACCCUGCGGGACUACGGUUACAAAUUAACCAAAGUCCCUUUGCUAUGUGAUAAUGAGAGUGCAAUCAAGAUGGCGGAUAAUCCCGUCGAGCAUAGCCGCACUAAACACAUAGCCAUUCGGUAUCAUUUUCUUAGGGAUCACCAACAAAAGGGAGAUAUCGAGAUUUCUUACAUUAACACUAAAGAUCAAUUAGCCGAUAUCUUUACCAAGCCUCUUGAUGAACAAACUUUUAACAAACUUAGGCAUGAGCUCAAUAUUCUUGAUUCGCGCAAUUUCUUUUGCUAAAAUUGCACACAUAGCUCUUUUAUAUACCUUUGAUCAUAUCUCUUUCAUAUGCUAUGACUAAUGUGUUUUCAAGUCUAUUUCAAACCAAGUCAUAGGUGUAUUGAAAGGGAAUUGGAGUCUUCGGCGAAGACAAAGGCUUCCACUCCGUAACUCAUCCUUCGCCGUCGCUCCGUACCACUCUCCAUCUUUGGGGGAGAGAGCAAAAGGACUUCGUCUUUGGUAUAAUCUUAACUCAUUUAUUUAUAACCAAAGGGGAAGAAAAGAACAUGAGGGCUCUAAUGAUUCCGUUUUUGGCGAUUCAUGCCAAAGGGGGAGAGAGUAUGAGCCCAAAGCAAAAGGACCGCACCACCACCAAUUUCAAAAACUUAGUUUUUCAGUUUUUCAAAGAGUAUUUUCAAUUGGUAUCCUAUUGUGUUCAAAAGGGGGAGAAAGUAGUAUUUCAAAAAUGAUACAUCAAAACCCUCUUGAACACUAAGAGGAGGAUCUCAUUUAGGGGGAGUUUUGUUUUGUCAAAGGAAAAGCAUUUGAAACAGGGGGAGAAUUUCAAAUCUUGAAAAUGCUUUUCAAAAUCUUAUUCAUUUACCUUUGACUAUUUGCAAAAGAACUUUGAAAAGGAUUUACUAAAUAGUUUGCAAAAACAAAACAUGUGGUGUAAGCAUGGUCCAAAAUGUUAAAAAUAAAGAAACGAUCCAUGCAUAUCUUGUAAGUAUUAAUAUUGGCUCAAUUCCAAGCAACCUUUGCACUUACAUUAUGCAAACUAGUUCAAUUAUGCUUUUCUAUACUUGCUUUUGUUUGUGUUGGCAUCAAUCACCAAAAAGGGGGAUAUUGAAAGGGAAUUAGACUUACACCUAGUUCCUAAAUAAUUUUGGUGGUUGAAUUGCCCAACACAAAUAAUUGGACUAACUAGUUUGCUCUAAGUGUAUAAGUUAUACAGGUGUAAAAGGUUCACACUUAGCCAAUAAAAAGAUCAAAUAUUGGAUUCAACAAAGGAGCAAAGGGACAACCGAAGGCACCUCUGGUCUGGGGCACCGGACUAUCCGGUGUACACCGGACAGUGUCCGGUGCACCAGAGGACUCCAACUUAAACUUGCCACCUUCGGGAAUUUCCAGAGGCACUCCGCUAUAAUUCACCGGACUGUCCGGUGUACACCAGACAGUGUCCGGUGCUCCAAGGAAGAGCGGCCUCCGGAACUCGCCAGCCUCGAGAAAACGCAGCGGCUGCUCCGCUAUAAUUCACCGGACAUGUCCGGUGUACACCGGACUGUCCGGUGAACCAGCAGAGCAACGACUACUUCGAGCCAACGGUCACCUGCAGGCGCAUUCAAUGCGCGCCAGAAGCGCGCAGAAGUCAGGCACGCCCAUACUGGCGCACCGGACAUUGAACAGUACAUGUCUGGUGUGCACCGGACAUCCAGGCGGGCCCAGAAGACAGAAGCUCCAACGGUCGGAAUCCAACGGCAUUGGUGACGUGGCUGGCGCACCGGACACGUCCGGCGUACACCGGACUGUCCGGUGCACCAUACGACAGACAGCCUCCACCAACGGUCAUGUUUGGUGGUUGGGGCUAUAAAUAUCCCAACCACCCCACCAUUCAUUGCAUCCAAGUUCUCCAGCUUCCAACCACUAUACAAGAGCUAGCAUUCAUUGCAAAGCACACCAAAAGAGAUCAAAUCCUCUCCCAACUCCACACAAAGCAUUAGUGACUAGAGAGAGUGAUUUGUAGUGUUCAUUUGAGCUCUUGCGCUUGGAUCGCUUCUUUUCCUUGGCAUUCUUUCUUGUGAUCAAACACUCACUUGUAAUUGAGGCAAGAGACACCAAUUGUGUGGUGGUCCUUGCGGGAAGUUUGAUUCCCAAGUGAUUUGAGAAGAGAAGCUCACUCGGUCCGAGGGACCGUUUGAGAGAGGGAAAGGGUUGAAAAAGACCCGGCCUUUGUGGCCUCCUCAACGGGGAGUAGGUUUGCGAGAACCGAACCUCGGUAAAACAAAUCCUUGUGUCUCACCGCUUUACUCGCUUGCGAUUUGUUUUACACCCUCUCGCGGACUCGGUUUUAUUUCUAACGCUAACCGGACUUGUAGUUGUGUUUAUAUUUGUAAAUUUCAGUUUCGCCCUAUUCACCCCCCCUCUAGGCGACUAUCAUGUAUCUAGAAUUGAAUGCUAGAGCUCUUGUAAGUGGUUGGAAGUUGGAAAACUUGGAUGACUUGAAUGUGGGGUGGUUGGGAGUAUUUAUAACCCCAACCACCAAAAUAGUCGUUUGGUGGAGGCUGUUGUCGCAUGGCGCACCGGACAGUCUGGUGCGCCACCGGACACUGUCCGGUGCGCUAGCCACGUCACCAGGCCGUUGGGUUCCGACCGUUGGAGCUCUGACGUGUGGGCCCGCCUGGCUGUCCGGUGGUGCACCGGACAAGUCCUGUAGACUGUCCGGUGUGCCACCCGCGCGUGCUCUGCUCCUCUGCGCGCGCUGGCGCGCAUUUAAUGUGUUGCAGUCGACCGUUGGCGCGAAGUAGCCGUUGCUCCGCUGGCUCACCGGACAGUCCGGUGUGCACCGGACAUGUCCGGUGAAUUAUAGCGGAGCGGAUUCCCGAAGCUGGCGAGUUCAGAGUCGCUCUCCUCUGGAGCACCGGACAAUGUCCGGUGAAUUAUAGCGAAGCGCCUCUGAAAAUUCCCGAAGAUGCGAAGUUUGGCUUCGAGUCCCCUGGUGCACCGGACACUGUCCGGUGCGCCAGACCAGGGCAGCCUUCGGUUGUCCCUUGCUCUUUUGGUUGAACCCAUUUCUUGGUCUUUUUAUUGGCUAAGUGUGAACCUUUGGCACCUGUAUAACUUAUAGACUAGAGCAAACUAGUUAGUCCAAUUAUUUGUGUUGGGCAAUUCAACCACCAAAAUCAAUUAGGAACUAGGUGUAAGCCUAAUUCCCUUUCAAGACUAACGGCUCUCAAGUAGAGCAAGUUGAUCUUGAUGAGAUAGGUGAUGAAGAGGCUCCGUGCAUCGCGCUAAGGAACAUGUCCAUUGGGGAUGUGUGUCCUAAGGAAUCCGAAGAGCCUCCAAAUGCACAAGACCAACCAUCCUCCUCCACGCAAGCAUCUCCACCAACUCAAAAUGAGGAUGAGGCUCAAGUUGAUGAAGGAGAAGAUCAAAUAGAUGAGCCACCUCAAGAUGAUGGCAAUAAUCAAGGGGGAGAUGCAAAAGAUCAAGUCAAGGAGGAUGAAGAACCAAGACCGGCACACCCAAGAGUCCACCAAGCAAUCCAACGAGAUCACCCCGUCGACACCAUCCUCGGCGACAUUCAUAAGGGGGUAACCACUAGAUCUCGUGUUGCACAUUUCUGUGAGCAUUACUCUUUUGUUUCCUCUAUUGAGCCACACAAGGUAGAGGAAGCACUACAAGAUUCGGAUUGGGUGGUGGCGAUGCAAGAGGAGCUCAACAACUUCACUAGGAACGAGGUAUGUCAUUUGGUUCCACGUCCUAAUCAAAAUGUUGUAGGAACCAAGUGGAUUUUCCGCAACAAGCAAGACGAGCAUGGUGUGGUGACAAGGAACAAAGUCCGACUUGUGGCCAAGGGAUACUCCCAAGUCGAAGGUUUGGACUUCGGUGAAACCUAUGCACCCGUAGCUAGGCUUGAGUCAAUUCGUAUAUUAUUAGCCUAUGCUACUUACCAUGGCUUCAAGCUUUACCAAAUGGACGUGAAGAGUGCCUUCCUCAAUGGACCGGUCAAGGAAGAAGUCUAUGUUGAGCAACCUCCCGGCUUUGAAGAUAGUGAGUACCCUAACCAUGUGUAUAAACUCUCUAAGGCGCUUUAUGGGCUCAAGCAAGCCCCAAGAGCAUGGUAUGAAUGUCUAAGAGAUUUUCUUAUCACUAAUGGCUUCAAAGUCGAAAAGGCUGAUCCUACUUUAUUUACUAAAACUCUUGACAAUGAUUUGUUUGUAUACCAAAUUUAUGUUGAUGAUACUAUAUUCGGGUCUACUAACGAAUCUACAUGUGAGGAAUUUAGUAGGAUCAUGACACAGAAAUUCAAGAUGUCUAUGAUGGGGGAGUUGAAGUACUUCUUAGGAUUUCAAGUGAAGCAACUCCAAGAGGGCACCUUCAUUAGCCAAACAAAGUAUAUUCAAGACAUUCUAAACAAGUUUGGAAUGAAGGAUGCCAAGCCUAUCAAGACACCCAUGGGAACCAAUGGGCAUCUCGACCUUGACACGGGAGGUAAAUCCGUCGAUCAAAAGGUAUAUCGGUCGAUGAUAGGCUCUUUACUCUAUUUAUGCGCAUCUCGACCAGACAUUAUGCUUUCCGUAUGCAUGUGUGCAAGAUUCCAAGCCGACCCUAAGGAAGCUCACCUUACGGCCGUAAAACGAAUCUUGAGAUAUUUAGUUUAUACUCCUAAGUUUGGGCUUUGGUAUCCUAGGGGAUCCACUUUUUAUUUAAUUGGUUAUUCAGAUGCCGAUUGGGCGGGGUGUAAGAUUAAUAGAAAGAGCACAUCGGGGACUUGCCAGUUCUUGGGAAGAUCCUUGGUGUCUUGGGCUUCAAAGAAGCAAAAUUCCGUAGCUCUUUCUACCGCUGAAGCCGAGUAUAUUGCCGCAGGUCAUUGUUGCGCGCAACUACUUUGGAUGAGGCAAACCCUUAGGGACUACGGUUAUAAAUUAACCAAAGUUCCUCUUCUAUGUGAUAAUGAGAGUGCAAUCUGCAUGGCGGAUAAUCCCGUUGAGCAUAGCCGCACUAAACACAUAGUCAUUCGGUAUCAUUUCUUAAGGGAUCACCAACAAAAGGGAGAUAUCGAGAUUGCGUAUAUUAACACUAAAGAUCAAUUAGCCGAUAUCUUUACCAAGCCACUUGAUGAACAAACCUUUAACAAAAUUAGGCUUGAGCUAAAUAUUCUUGAUUCUAGGAAUUUCUUUUGAUGUUUUGCAUACAUAGCUCAUAAAUAUACCUUUGAUCAUAUCUCUUAUAUGCUAUGACUAAUAUGACUUCAAGUGAAUGUCAAAACAAGUCAUAGGUGUAUUGAAAGGGAAUUGGAGUCUUCGGCGAAGACAAAGGCUUCCACUCCACUCCAUCAAAAUACAAUCCUUCGCCGUCGCUCCGCAUCACUCUCCAACUUUGGUAUAAUCUUCACUCAUUUAUUUAUGACCAAAGGGGGAGAAAGUAAUUCAAAAGGCUCUAAUGAUUCCGUUUUUGGCGAUUUAUGCCAAAGGGGGAGAGAGCAUGAGCCCAAAGCAAAAGGACCGCACCACCACCAAUUUCAAAAAUUUUAGUCUUUCAAUUUGUUUUUAAAGAAGUAUUUUCAAAUUGGUAUCUUAUUUGUGAUAUAAUUUCAAAAUUGGUAUACCCUCUUCAAAAUUAACAUCAAAACCCUCUUGAACACUAAGAGGAGGAUUUUAUCAAGGGGGGGUUUUGUUUUAGUCAAAGGAAAAACAUUUCAAACAGGGGGAGAAAAUUUCAACUCUUGAAAAUGCUUCUCAAAAUCUUAUUCAUUUACCUUUGACUAUUUGCAAAAGGACUUUGAAAAGAAUUUACAAAAGAAUUUGCAAAAACAAAACAAGUGGUGCAAGCGUGGUCCAAAAUGAUGAAAAUAAAGAAACAAUCCAUGCACAUCUUAUGAGAAUUUAUAUUGGCUCAAUUCUAAGUAACCUUUGCACUUACAAUUAUGCAAACUAGUUCAAUUAUGCACUUCUAUAUUUGUUUUGGUUUGUGUUGGCAUCAAUCACCAAAAAGGGGGAGAUUGAAAGGGAAUUAGGCUUACACCUAUUUCCUAAUUGAUUUUGGUGGUUGAAUUGCCCAACACAAAUAAUUGGGCUAACUAUUUUGCUCUAGUCUAUAAGUUCUACAGGUGCCAAAGGUUCACAAUAAGUCAAUAAAAAGACCAAGAAAAGGGUUCAAACAAGAGAGCAAGGGAUAACCGAAGUGUGCCCUGUUCUGGCGCACCGGACAGUGUUCGGUGCACCAGGGGACUCCAAGCUGAACUCCUCACCUUCGGGAAUUCUCAGAGACGCUACGCUAUAAUUCACCGGACUGUCUGGUGCCCCAAGGAAGAGCGACUCUGAACUCGCCAGCUUCGGGAAUCCGCUCCGCUAAAAUUCACCAGACUGUCCGGUGAGUCACCGGACAGUGUCCGGUGCACACCGGACUGUCCGGUGUGACAGCGGAGCAACAGCUACUUCGCGCGCAACGGUCGACUGCAACGCAUUAAAUGCGUGCCUGCGCGCGCAUAGGAGCAGAGCACGCGCGGGUGGCACACCGGACAGCCUACAGGGCCUGUCCGGUGCACCACCGGACAGCCAGGCGGGCCCACAAGUCAGAGCUCCAACGGUCGGAACCCAACGGCCGGGUGACGUGGCUGGCGCACCGGAUAGUGUCCGGUGGCGCACCGGACUGUCUGGUGCACCCGUCGACAGCAGCCUCCACCAACGUUCAAGUUUGGUGGUUGGGGCUAUAAAUACCCCAACCACCCCCACAUUCAAGUCAUCCAAGUUUUCCACCUUCCAACUACUUACAAGAGCUCUAGCAUUCAAUUCUAGACACAACAAAAUAGAUCAAAUCCUCUCCCAACUUCGGCUUGCUCCUCCUUUGCAGCUAAUUCAAAAGAAACGGCAGGAGGAGAUUAAGUUUACAUUUAACGUUGGCAAAUGUGAUAAGAUAUUCGAUGAAUUACUAAAAAAUGGUAACAUUAAGAUUGAUUAUAUCGUUCCACUUGCCGACGAACUAAAGCAUCGCGCAUAUUGCAAGUGGCACAACUCAUUUUCCCAUGCCACUAAUGAUUGUAAUGUGUUCCGACGACAAAUCCAAUCGGCCAUUAAUGAGGGACGAUUGAAAUUUCAGGAGGACACAGAGCCCUUCCCAAUGAAUAUGAUUGACUACAAUGGCAAAAAAGUCCUAAUUCGGCCCAGCACAGCCGAUAAGGGCAAAGACAAAGAAGUCAUCAUCGGCAACGCACAGGAGGUCGAUAGAAACAACAAAAUUGCUUGCAGGAAAGUGGUGGCCGAGAAGACUCCUGAUGGAGGGGAGACACUGAAGGUGACCAUCACAAACUCUGGCACUGGAGGGCAAGUGCAGACAAGGGGACAUGCGCAAGAACCCAUACUACACAUCGCGGACGGUCCGGUGCCCAGGCGCGGACGGUCCGUGACAUCGCCAGACGGUCCGGAGCGUUCCAGCGGACGGUCCGGCAACGCCGAAGAACCAAGGCGACCUCGUACCUUCAAACCACGACGACCAGAAAUAGGUACAUGAAAAACUAACACGUUCAAAGCAACUGGUCGGUUGGUAAAAUCCAGCCCGACCUUUGAUCAAUUAUUGUCUAAAUAUGUGAAAAAGAAGGCUGGCCCCAGCGACCGGCCACCAAAGCAACCUCGCUUACCCACCCAGGUGCGACGACAGGUUAAGUCGAUUGGAUCACCGCACCAAUCGGAAAGGACGAAAUGUCAUAAUGUUCAAUCAAGACCUAACGUACCUACAUGGACACCCCCACCACCAUAUCCACCUAUGUCAUAUCCAUACACAUACAUACCUCCACCAUAUAUCCCAAAUCAAAUGUGGGGCAUGCCACCAUACCCAUUUGGGAUGCCACAGUACCCCGCUUGGGGGGCACCCCAAACAUCUGUGUUCAGUAGGUUGACACCUCCAGUACAAGACCGAUUGAGAGCCCCUCAAUCUGGUCCACGAGCACAGGCCCAACAAGAUUGCCGAACAACUCAGCCCCAAAGGCUGACUAAUCCGGCAGGGGGGCAUACAGCUACAACCUCCAACAAUGCGAAAAAGGAGACGUCAUUAAAAUAGGAACGACAGAUGUCGUCGUACAACAAAGUAACGAAGGGCCGAUGAUUUUUGGUGAAUCGGCCAACACAAACAAAAAAGAAGGUAUAGCUGUCAACAAAACAACCGAUCCAAAAUACUCUAUGCCCCGAUGGUGCCCAUCGGGAUUGACACGAUCGCAAAAGCGAAAAUUACAGCGCCUUAGAGCAAAGGAGAAUCAGGAAAAGGAGGCGAAAAGAAUAUUCAAUGACACGCAUCUUGAAAGGGAAUUAGGCUUACACCUAGUUCCUAAAUAAUUUUGGUGGUUGAAUUGCCCAACACAAAUAAUUGGACUAACUAGUUUGCCCAAGUGUAUAGAUUAUACAGGUGUAAAAGGUUCACACUCAGCCAAUAAAAAGACCAAGUUUUGGAUUCAACAAAGGAGCAAAGGGGCAACCGAGGGCACCCCUGGUCUGGCGCACCGGACUGUCCGGUGCGCCACCGGACAGUGAACAGUACCUGUCCGGUGCACCAGGGGACUCAGACUCAAACUCUUCGCCUUCGGGAAUUCUCGGAAGCCGGCGCGCUAUAAUUCACCGGACUGUCCGGUGUGCACCGGACAUGUCCGGUGCUCCAAGGAAGCUCGGCCUCCUGAACUCGCCAGCCUCGGGUUCGCGCGGCAGCCGCUCCGCUAUAAUUCACCGGACUGUCCGGUGUGCACCGGACUGUCCGGUGUGCCAGCAGAGCAACGGCUCCCUGCGGCGCCAACGGCUCCCUGCGGUGCAUUAAAUGCGCGCGCAGCGCGCGCAGAAGUCAGAAUCGCCCAUACCGGUGCACCGGACAUCAAACAGUACAUGUCCGGUGUGCACCGGACACCCAGGCGGGCCCACAAGUCAGAAGCUCCAACGGUCAGAAUCCAACGGCAGUGAUGACGUGGCAGGGGCACCGGACUGUCCGGUGUGCACCGGACUGUCCGGUGCGCCAUCGCGCAGAAGCCUCCAGCCAACGGUCAAGUUUGGUGGUUGGGGCUAUAAAUACCCCAACCACCCCACCAUUCAUUGCAUCCAAGUUUUCCACUUCUCAACUACUACAAGAGCUCUAGCAUUCAAUUCUAGACACACUAAAGAGAUCAAAUCCUCUCCAAUUCUACACAAAGCCCUAGUGACUAGUGAGAGUGAUUUGCCGUGUUCAUUUGAGCUCUUGCACUUGGAUUGCUUCUUUUAUUUCUCACUUGUUCUUGAGAUCACAACUCCAUUGUAAUCAAGGCAAGAGGCACCAAUUGUGUGGUGGCCCUUGCGGGGAAGUUUUGUUCCCGGCUUUGAUUUGAGAAGAGAAGCUCACUCGGUCCGAGGGACCGUUUGAGAGAGGGAAGGGUUGAAAGAGACCCGGCCUUUGUGGCCUCCUCAACGGGGAGUAGGUUUGCAAGAACCGAACCUCGGUAAAACAAAUCUCCGUGUCUCACUUGCUUAUUCGCUUGGGAUUUGUUUUGCGCCCUCUCUCUUGGACUCGUUUAUUAUUACUAACGCUAACCCCGGCUUGUAGUUGUGUUUAAUUUGUAAAUUUCAGUUUCGCCCUAUUCACCCCCCCUCUAGGCGACUAUCAAUUGGUAUCAGAGCCCGGUGCUUCAUUAGAGCCUAACCGCUCGAAGUGAUAUCGGGAGAUCACGCCAAGAAGGAGAUGGAGACCGGCGAAAAGCCCACUACAAGCCACGGGAGCACUUCAUCGGAAGAGUCCCGCACCAAAAGGAGGGAGAAGAAGAAGAGCUCCUCCAUCAAAGGGAAGGAGAAGAAAUCUUCUUCUCACCACAAAGAGAAGAAGGAAAAAUCUUCUUCCCACAAGCCGCAUCGGAAAGGCGACAAGCACAAGAGGAUGAGGAAGGUGGUAUACUACGAGACCGACACUUCAUCAACAUCGACCUCCGACUCCGAUGCGCCCUCCGUCACUUCUAAGCGCCAAGAGCGCAAGAAGUAUAGUAAGAUCCCCCUACGCUACCCUCGCAUUUCCAAACAUACACCUUUACUUUCCGUCCCUCUAGGCAAACCACCAACUUUUGAUGGUGAAGAUUACGCUAGGUGGAGCGAUUUAAUGCGAUUUCAUCUAACCUCGCUCCACAAAAGCAUAUGGGAUGUUGUUGAGUUUGGUGUGCAGGUACCAUCUAUAGGGGAUAAGAACUAUGAUGAGGAUGAGGUAGCCCAAAUCGAGCACUUCAACUCACAAGCCACAACAAUUCUCCUCGCCUCACUAAGCAAAGAGGAAUAUAACAAAGUACAAGGGUUGAAGAACGCCAAGGAGAUUUGGGAUGUACUCAAAACCGCGCACGAGGGAGAUGAGCUCACCAAGAUCACCAAACGGGAAACGAUCGAGGGGGAGCUCGGUCGGUUCCGGCUUAACAAAGGGGAGGAGCCACAACACAUGUACAACCGGCUCAAGACUUUGGUAAACCAAGUGCGCAACCUCGGGAGCAAGAAGUGGGACGACCACGAAGUGGUAAAUGUUAUUUUAAGAUCUCUCAUUUUUCUAAAUCCCACUCAAGUUCAAUUGAUUCGUGGUAAUCCUAGAUAUACUAAAAUGACCCCCGAGGAAGUUAUCGGGCAUUUUGUAAGUUUUGAGUGCAUGAUAGAAGGCUCGAGGAAAAUCAACGAGCUUGGCGACCCAUCCGAAGCUCAACCCGUUGCAUUCAAGGCGACGGAAGAAAAGAAGGAGGAGUCUACACCAAGUCGACAACCAAUAGACGCCUCCAAGCUUGACAAUGAGGAGAUGGCACUCGUCAUCAAGAGCUUCCGCCAAAUCCUCAAGCAAAGGAGGGGGAAAGACUACAAGUCCCGCUCCAAGAAGGUUUGCUACAAAUGUGGUAAGCCCGGUCAUUUUAUUGCUAAAUGUCCUAUAUCUAGUGACAGUGACCGAGGCGACGACAAGAAGGGGAGAAGAAAGGAGAAGAAAAGGUACUACAAGAAGAAGGGCGGCGAUGCCCAUGUUUGUCGGGAAUGGGAUUCCGACGAAAGCUCAAGCGACUCCUCCGACGACGAGGACGCCGCCAACAUCGCCGUCACCAAGGGACUUCUCUUCCCCAACGUCGGCCACAAGUGCCUCAUGGCAAAGAACGGCAAAAAGAAGAAGGUUAAAUCCAACUCCUCCACUAAAUAUGAAUCGUCUAGUGAUGAUAAUGCUAGUGAUGAGGAGGAUAAUUUGCGUAUUCUCUUUGCCAACCUUAACAUAGCUCAAAAAGAAAAAUUGAAUGAAUUGGUUAGUGCUAUUCAUGAAAAGGAUGACCUUUUGGAUUCCCAAGAGGAUUGUCUAAUUAAAGAAAACAAAAAACAUGUUAAGGUUAAAAAGGCUUAUGCUCUUGAGAUAGAGAAAUGUGAAAAAUUAUCUAGUGAGCUAAGCACUUGCCGUGAGAUGAUUGACAACCUUAGACAUGAAAAUGCUAGUUUAAAUGCUAAGGUUGAUUCACAUGUUUGUAAUGUUUCAAUUCCCAAUUCUAGAGAUAAUAAUAAUGAUGAUUUGCUUGCUAGGAUUGAAGAAUUAAACAUUUCUCUUGCUAGCCUUAGAUUAGAGAAUGAAAAUUUGAUUGCUAAGGCUAAAGAUUUUGAUGUUUGCAAAAUUACAAUUGCCGAUCUUAGAGAUAAGAAUGAUAUACUUCGUGCUAAGAUUGUUGAACUUAAUUCUUGCAAACCAUCUACAUCUACCAUUGAGCAUGUCACUAUUUGUACUAGAUGUAGAAAUGUUGAUAUUGAUGCUAUUCAUGAUCAUAUGGCUUUAAUUAAACAACAAAAUGAUCAUAUAGCAAAAUUAGAUGCUAAAAUUGCCGAGCAUAACUUAGAAAAUGAAAAAUUUAAAUUUGCUAGAAGUAUGCUCUAUAAUGGGAGACGCCCUGGUAUCAAGGAUGGCAUUGGCUUCCAAAGGGGAGACAAUGUCAAACUUAAUGCCCCUCCAAAGAACUUAUCUAACUUUGUAAAGGGCAAGGCUCCCAUGCCUCAGGAUAACGAGGGUUACAUUUUGUACCCUGCCGGCUAUCCUAAGAGCAAAAUUAGAAAGAUUCAUUCUAGGAAGUCUCACUCUAGCCCUAAUCAUGCUUAUAUGUAUAAGGGUGAGACAUCUAGUUCUAGGCAACCAACCCAUGCUAAGUUGCCUAAGAAGAAAAUUCCUAAUGCAUCAAAUGAUCAUGCCAUUUCAUUUAAAACUUUUGAUGCAUCAUAUGUUUUGACUAACAAAUCCGGCAAGGUCGUUGCCAAGUUUGUUGGGGGCAAACACAAGGGCUCCAAGACUUGUGUUUGGGUACCCAAAGUUCUUGUGUCUAAUGCCAAAGGACCCAAAACCGUUUGGGUACCUAAAGUCAAGAACUAAAAUUGUUUUGUAGGUUUAUGCAUCCGGGGGCUCAAGUUGGAUACUCGACAGCGGGUGCACAAACCACAUGACCGGGGAGAAAAGGAUGUUCUCCUCAUAUGAGAAAAACAAAGAUCCCCAACGAGCUAUCACAUUCGGGGAUGGAAAUCAAGGUUUGGUCAAAGGAUUGGGUAAAAUUGCUAUAUCUCCUGACCAUUCUAUUUCCAAUGUUUUUCUUGUUGAUUCUUUAGAUUACAACUUGCUUUCUGUUUCACAAUUAUGUCAAAUGGGCUACAACUGUCUCUUUACUGAUGUAGGUGUCACUGUCUUUAGAAGAAGUGAUGAUUCAAUAGCAUUUAAGGGUGUGUUAGAGGGUCAGCUAUACUUGGUAGACUUUGAUAGAGCUGAACUCGACACUUGCUUAAUUGCUAAGACUAACAUGGGUUGGCUCUGGCACCGCCGACUAGCCCAUGUUGGGAUGAAGAAUCUUCACAAGCUUCUAAAGGGAGAACACAUUUUAGGACUAACAAAUGUUCAUUUUGAGAAAGACAGGAUUUGUAGCGCAUGCCAGGCAGGGAAGCAAGUUGGAGUCCAUCAUCCACACAAGAACAUCAUGACGACCGACAGGCCGCUUGAGCUACUCCACAUGGAUCUAUUCGGCCCGAUUGCUUACAUAAGCAUCGGCGGGAGUAAGUAUUGUCUUGUAAUAGUGGAUGAUUAUUCUCGCUUCACUUGGGUAUUCUUUUUACAGGAAAAAUCUCAAACCCAAGAGACCUUAAAGGGAUUCUUAAGACGGGCUCAAAAUGAGUUCGGCUUAAGGAUCAAGAAAAUUAGAAGCGACAACGGGACGGAGUUCAAGAAUUCUCAAAUUGAAGGCUUCCUUGAGAAGGAGGGCAUCAAGCAUGAGUUCUCUUCUCCCUACACACCUCAGCAAAAUGGUGUAGUGGAGAGGAAGAAUCGAACUCUAUUGGACAUGGCAAGAACCAUGCUUGAUGAGUACAAGACACCGGACCGGUUUUGGGCCGAAGCGGUCAAUACCGCCUGCUACGCCAUCAACCGGUUAUAUCUUCACCGAAUCCUCAAGAAGACAUCAUAUGAACUCCUAACCGGUAAAAAGCCCAACAUUUCAUAUUUUAGAGUUUUUGGUAGCAAAUGCUUUAUUCUUGUUAAAAGAGGUAGAAAAUCUAAAUUUGCUCCUAAAACUGUAGAAGGCUUUUUACUUGGCUAUGACUCAAACACAAGGGCAUAUAGGGUCUUUAACAAGUCCACUGGACUAGUUGAAGUCUCAUGUGACGUUGUGUUUGAUGAAACUAACGGCUCUCAAGUAGAGCAAGUUGAUCUUGAUGAGAUAGGUGAAGAACAGGCUCCAUGCAUCGCGCUAAGGAACAUGUCCAUCGGGGAUGUGUGUCCUAAGGAAUCCGAAGAGCCUCCAAAUGCACAAGAUCAACCAUCCUCCUCCAUGCAAGCAUCUCCACCAACUCAAAUUGAGGAUGAGGCUCAAAAUGAUGAAGAGCAAAAUCAAGAAGAUGAGCCACCUCACGAUGAUAGCAAUGAUCAAGGGGGAGAUGCAAAUGAUCAAGAAAAGGAGGAUGAGGAAGAACCAAGACCGCCACACCCAAGAGUCCACCAAGCAAUCCAACGAGAUCACCCCGUCGACACUAUCCUCGGAGACAUUCAUAAGGGGGUAACUACUAGAUCUCGGGUUGCUCAUUUUUGUGAACAUUACUCUUUUGUUUCCUCUAUUGAGCCACACAGGAUAGAGGAAGCUCUCCAAGAUUCGGAUUGGGUGGUGGCGAUGCAAGAGGAGCUCAACAACUUCACUAGAAAUGAGGUAUGGCAUUUAGUUCCACGUCCUAACCAAAAUGUUGUAGGAACCAAAUGGGUCUUCCGCAACAAGCAAGAUGAGCAUGGUAUGGUGACAAGGAACAAAGCUCGACUCGUGGCCAAAGGGUAUUCACAAGUCGAAGGUUUGGAUUUCGGUGAAACCUAUGCACCCGUAGCUAGGCUUGAGUCAAUUCGCAUAUUAUUAGCCUAUGCUACUUACCAUGGCUUUAAGCUUUAUCAAAUGGACGUGAAAAGUGCCUUCCUCAACGGACCAAUCAAGGAAGAGGUCUAUGUUGAGCAACCUCCCGGCUUUGAAGACAGUGAGUAUCCUAACCAUGUUUAUAGGCUCUCUAAGGCGCUUUAUGGGCUCAAGCAAGCCCCAAGAGCAUGGUAUGAAUGCCUAAGAGAUUUCCUUAUUGCUAAUGGCUUCAAAGUUGGCAAGGCCGAUCCUACACUCUUUACUAAAACUCUUGAAAAUGACUUGUUUGUAUGCCAAAUUUAUGUUGAUGAUAUUAUAUUUGGGUCUACUAACGAGUCUACAUGUGAAGAGUUUAGUAGGAUCAUGACACAGAAAUUCGAGAUGUCGAUGAUGGGGGAGUUGAAGUAUUUUCUAGGAUUCCAAGUCAAGCAACUCCAAGAGGGCACCUUCAUUAGCCAAACGAAGUACACUCAAGACAUUCUAACCAAGUUUGGGAUGAAGGAUGCCAAACCCAUCAAGACACCCAUGGGAACUAAUGGGCAUCUCGACCUCGACACGGGAGGUAAGUCCGUGGAUCAAAAGGUAUACCGGUCGAUGAUUGGUUCAUUGCUUUAUUUAUGUGCAUCUCGACCGGACAUUAUGCUUUCCGUUUGCAUGUGUGCAAGAUUCCAAUCCGACCCUAAGGAAUCCCACCUUACGGCCGUAAAACGAAUCUUGAGAUAUUUGGCUUAUACACCUAAGUUUGGGCUUUGGUACCCUCGGGGAUCCACUUUUGAUUUGAUUGGUUAUUCGGAUGCCGAUUGGGCGGGGUGUAAAAUUAAUAGGAAGAGCACAUCGGGGACUUGUCAGUUCUUGGGAAGAUCCUUGGUGUCUUGGGCUUCAAAGAAGCAAAAUUCAGUCGCUCUUUCCACCGCCGAAGCCGAGUACAUUGCCGCAGGACAUUGUUGCGCGCAAUUGCUUUGGAUGAGGCAAACCCUGCGGGACUACGGUUACAAAUUAACCAAAGUCCCUUUGCUAUGUGAUAAUGAGAGUGCAAUCAAAAUGGCCGACAAUCCCGUCGAGCAUAGCCGCACUAAGCACAUAGCCAUUCGGUAUCAUUUUCUUAGGGAUCACCAACAAAAGGGGGAUAUCGAGAUUUCUUACAUUAAUACUAAAGAUCAAUUAGCCGAUAUCUUUACCAAGCCACUUGAUGAACAAUCUUUUACCAGACUUAGGCAUGAGCUCAAUAUUCUUGAUUCUAGAAAUUUCUUUUGCUAGCUUGCACACAUAGCUCAUUUGAAUACCUUUGAUCAUAUAUCUCUUAUAUGCUAUGACUAAUGUGUUUUCAAGUCUAUUUCAAACCUAGUCAUAGGUAUAUUGAAAGGGAAUUGGAGUCUUCGGCGAAGACAAAGGCUUCCACUCCGUAACUAAUGCUUCGCCAUCACUCCGAGCAACUCUCUAUUCCUUGGGGAGAAAUGAGCAUCAAAGAAAAGGACUUCAUCCUUGGGGGAGAGAGCAAAAGCUCAAAAGCAAAAGGACCGAAUUUCGUCUUUGGUAUAGUCUUAACUCAUUCACUUAUGACCAAAGGGGAAGAAAUUACUUCGAGGGCUCUAAUGAUUCCGUUUUUGGCGAUUCAUGCCAAAAAGGGGGAGAAAUGAGCCCAAAGCAAAAGGACCGCACCACCACCAAUUUCAAAAACUUAGUAUUUUCAAAGAAGUAUUUAUCAAUUGGUAUCCUAUUGUGUUCAAAGGGGGAGCAAGUAGCAUUUCAAAAUGAUAUAUCAAAACCCUCUUGAACACUAAGAGGUGGAUCUCUUUUAGGGGGAGUUUUGUUUAGUCAAAGGAAAAGCAUUUGAUUCAGGGGGAGAAAAUUUCAAAUCCUAAAAAUGCUUUGCAAACUCUUAUUCAUUUACCUUUGACUAUUUGCAAAAGAUCUUUGAAAUGGAUUUACAAAAGGACUUGCAAAAACAAAACAUGUGGUGCAAACGUGGUCCAAAAUGCUAAAUAAAGAAAGAAACAUUCCAUGCAUAUCUUGUAAGUAGUUAUAUUGGCUCAAUUCCAAGCAACCUUUACACUUACAUUAUGCAAACUAGUUCAAUUAUGCACUUCUCUAUUUGCUUUGGUUUGUGUUGGCAUCAAUCACCAAAAAGGGGGAGAUUGAAAGGGAAUUAGGCUUACACCUAGUUCCUAAAUAAUUUUGGUGGUUGAAUUGCCCAACACAAAUAAUUGGACUAACUAGUUUGCCCAAGUGUAUAGAUUAUACAGGUGUAAAAGGUUCACACUCAGCCAAUAAAAAGACCAAGUUUUGGAUUCAACAAAGGAGCAAAGGGGCAACCGAGGGCACCCCUGGUCUGGCGCACCGGACUGUCCGGUGCGCCACCGGACAGUGAACAGUACCUGUCCGGUGCACCAGGGGACUCAGACUCAAACUCUUCGCCUUCGGGAAUUCUCGGAAGCCGGCGCGCUAUAAUUCACCGGACUGUCCGGUGUGCACCGGACAUGUCCGGUGCUCCAAGGAAGCUCGGCCUCCUGAACUCGCCAGCCUCGGGUUCGCGCGGCAGCCGCUCCGCUAUAAUUCACCGGACUGUCCGGUGUGCACCGGACUGUCCGGUGUGCACCGGACUGUCCGGUGUGCCAGCGGAGCAACGGCUCCCUGCGGCGCCAACGGCUCCCUGCAGUGCAUUAAAUGCGCGCGCAGCGCGCGCAGAAGUCAGAAUCGCCCAUACCGGUGCACCGGACAUCAAACAGUACAUGUCCGGUGUGCACCGGACACCCAGGCGGGCCCACAAGUCAGAAGCUCCAACGGUCAGAAUCCAACGGCAGUGAUGACGUGGCAGGGGCACCGGACUGUCCGGUGUGCACCGGACUGUCCGGUGCGCCAUCGCGCAGAAGCCUCCAGCCAACGGUCAAGUUUGGUGGUUGGGGCUAUAAAUACCCCAACCACCCCACCAUUCAUUGCAUCCAAGUUUUCCACUUCUCAACUACUACAAGAGCUCUAGCAUUCAAUUCUAGACACACUAAAGAGAUCAAAUCCUCUCCAAUUCUACACAAAGCCCUAGUGACUAGUGAGAGUGAUUUGCCGUGUUCAUUUGAGCUCUUGCACUUGGAUUGCUUCUUUUAUUUCUCACUUGUUCUUGAGAUCACAACUCCAUUGUAAUCAAGGCAAGAGGCACCAAUUGUGUGGUGGCCCUUGCGGGGAAGUUUUGUUCCCGGCUUUGAUUUGAGAAGAGAAGCUCACUCGGUCCGAGGGACCGUUUGAGAGAGGGAAGGGUUGAAAGAGACCCGGCCUUUGUGGCCUCCUCAACGGGGAGUAGGUUUGCAAGAACCGAACCUCGGUAAAACAAAUCUCCGUGUCUCACUUGCUUAUUCGCUUGGGAUUUGUUUUGCGCCCUCUCUCUUGGACUCGUUUAUUAUUACUAACGCUAACCCCGGCUUGUAGUUGUGUUUAAUUUGUAAAUUUCAGUUUCGCCCUAUUCACCCCCCCUCUAGGCGACUAUCACAUCUGCAGUAUCCGCCACCACAAAAGAGAUGGAGACCAAAUGCCGUUGAGAAAAAUCAAACGGCCACAAAGAUAGAAAAUAUAACGACAACUGUGCAUCUCUCUGCAGGUAUGGUAGACUGUCCGGCUAUAAAGGCCGGAUCAUCUGCACAGGACGCGGACCAUCCGACCCCUAAGGCUGAACCAUCCGCACUACACCAAGGGUGUGUUUGGUUUGGCUUUUGGCUUUGGCUUUUGCCUCCUAAAAGCCAAAAGCCAAACCAAAGGGUUGGAUUCAGAAAGCAGCUUUUUCUAAAAGCUGACUUUCUCGCAGUGCAAAACUGAAAGCACCUCUAGACCUGCUUUUAGUGGCUUUCGGAUGAAACUGUGAAAACAUAUAUAGAAAACUUUUAACGGCUUUUAGUGGUUUUCACCAAACGAUUUUUAGCUUUUUAACAGCUCACAGCCCACAGCAGCUUUUUCCACAGCUCACAGCCCACAGCAGUUUUUUUCACAGCCACAGCCCAACCAAACAGACCCCAAGACACCUCCGACGACGUACCGACGCCCAUGGAGGAAGACGACCUGCAAGGAGAAGACCUGGUCGACUACGGAGCUACGCCAGAACACUUAGAAAAUUAGGAAAGCAAGGUGACGAAUUGGUCAGGACCAGUAUGACGCUCGGCGGUGUUGGGACUGACAGUUCGAUCAAAGCUAAAGGGAUCACGUCCGUUGAGUCAACCAUCGAGACCAAGGCCACUGCGUACCAUCCUAGUAAGUGGCAAGAUGCACAAGAAAACCGAUGUGAUCACAUCGAGUUAGUUGCUUUUGGUUCGCUCAGCUCCACCAAAAGGCAGAGGGGCAUAUGUUGAGCACCAUUUUGAGUGCACGGACGGUCCGGCCCUGGGGCCAGACGGUCCGCGGUCCGGACAGUCCGCGCCUAUGGGCCGGACGGUCCGCGCAGGCGCAGAACAGAUUAGGGUUCCGAGUUUCUUGCUAUGUUUGUUGGCGAAAAUCUCGAGAUAAGCUCGGAAAUUAGUUUGUAAAGGGUCCAGCCCCCCUCCUCUAUAAAUAGAGAGGUAUACGGCCGAUCAAUCAUUAUCAAUCGAAUCAAUACAACUUCUAUUUCGCAUUUUAUCCUAGGAGUAGUUCUAGUCUAGUUUAGGUUUAGCCUCUCGAUCCCCAAAUUCUUCGCCUCUCUUCGACUCUACGCCGAUUAGAGGAGUCUAGGUCGGCCGGCCCGAGCCUAGACAACCCCUAGAAUCUCUCCUCCCCGACGGGGUCCCUCCCGGGAGCGAGUCCAGGCGCCGCCGGCGAUCUUCCGCCGCCCCUGCGCAUGCGCGGACCGUCAGGCCCUAGGGCGCGGACCGUCCGGCCGUCAGGCAGGAAACCUUAGCCCAUGCGCCAGGUCGCGGACCGUCCGGCCCCAGGCCGCGGACCGUCCGCGCCUGACCAAAGAGCACCGCCGCCGGUUCUUCUUAAGUAUUUGGCGCUCCGAAAAAGUGUCAACACGAAGUAACUUCAAAGUUUAGAUCUGCAUAGACAAAAUCGGCUGUGCAUCAUACAGAAUGCGUGGCCCACUAUUUCUUUUCCUUUUAUUACCGGGAAGAACUGAAUCUACACGCAACAUUACAAUGACCAUUUCUGAUACAUCACUACGAGCUUGGGUACAGGGCAUAUGUUGCCUUCAGGUAGUCUAUGAUUUCAGCGCUUUCAAACAUCUGGACUCCCGUGUUAGGAUCUUCGAUGUACGGCGCCUGCCAACACAGUAACACAUACACACACAUAUACAUGAUGUCGCACACCAGGCAGGCAAAUCAAAAGAAUGUUCAGCGUCAAAUGCAUCAAUAGCGUUUUAGCAAGGCGUCCUACCUGGAAAAGCCCCUUUUUCUUGAAAAAUUCUUGUCGUUUGGGGCUGCCUCGUGCGCAGCUGCAGGAGUAACUUCUAGUUACUAACACUCUUGCAGAGCACAUAUCUCAGUCCAGAAGAACUGAACUAAAGUGAUAAUUCUACUAGGUUAAGUUUAGCAACAGCUUGCAGGCUGUUCUGAAUUCUGAUGCCAUUCAGUGACUUGUGGUUUUAAAGUAUUUUGGAUACCUGUGUAGCAGAUGUGGCAAUUCCAACUCGACAAGUGUCUCUCGUACUAAUUUACAGAAGGGAGAUCCCUGCGAAAACAGACCAUCAGCUAUUCAGAGUCCACGCGACCUGUAUAGUAAGAAGAGAGCUCAUGUGCUGAGGAUUCAGACCUCACAUGCCCAUAUCUCUAUGGGCUGCGGUGGGACUUUUGAAGCAAUGUAGGAAUUUCCCUGUAAACAACGACGUAAUGCCACACGUUUCUGAGCAAACAUCCACAGGAAAACACGCAGCGAACUUUGUUAUAAUGUUUUUGCACAAUGUACCUUUCCAAUACGACCAAGAGUAGCAAGCCCUGCUGUAAUUGCCUAAAAAAUAUUUAAAAGUUAUCAAAACUGCAAACUGAUCCUUGGCACAAAAUAAAGCAUUAUACCCAUCGGAUAGGCAAAUACUGAAGCAUACUGAAAGCAAAGUGUAAAUAUGUCAAAUAUUCCUCGAUAAUAGUUGGGGGUACUUAGUUCAAACAUAUUUUUAUACAUUUGGACUAAUAUGUACACUGGUUAAAACAUAUAAUAUACUUUUAAAUUGCUGGGUGCUUGUUUACUUACUGUCAACAGACCAAGUGAUAGCAUAAUUGGAACAGUUCCAUCGCCUAAGAAAAACAAGCAUAAGUGAGUGAGGUCAGUAAGGUCAUUAUAGGAAGAAACUUUAAGAGGGCAUACCCAGUGCCAAAAAUGGGGUCUAGGAAGGGGAUAAAACGAUACAAUCCUUUUCACACACAAAUCCAGUGAGGCUCCUACAUGAAUGGGGUCUCGGGGAUAAACCAAGACAAGCCUUUUCCCCCACAAAUAGGGAGGAACAACCUUUAAGAGCAAAAGUGAAAAGGAGAUGUGUUGAAUACACACCAUAUGUAUCAGCUAGAUAUUUUAUGAUGUCAUCGGAUUCAUACAUGGCGACCCCUGUGUUUGGAUCUACCUGCAAUAGAGGUGCAUCUUAUGUAACUGUUAACACUGAAUGAUAGAACUGAUUUGCAUUUCAUUACGCAAUUUAUUUCUUGGGAAAACUCAGAUGACCAACCUUACUUUCCCCGACGAAAAAUUAUGACACACACAUCAAAGCUUAUUUAUCAAAUAUAAUGAGCAAGUUAACCUAUCUUGCCAGGGGCCCACAGGUUAUACUCAGUGGUCAUCAUAUGAGCAAGUUUAUUUAUCAAAUAAAAUUCAUACACCACAUUUCCAUAUUUAACAUACGUGGAUGUGGAUGAGGAGAUGCUAGCAACCAAAUAUGAUCUGAAGUGCUAACACAAAAUAGAAUAUCAGAAUUUAUGUAGGACGUCUGCAUACCAUGUAAGGGAAUUGUUUCUUUCCACCCAUUUCGAGGACUUUAGGUCGGAACGUUGGGCCUUUUGAGGACAGGGGUAAAAUAAUACAUCUAGGUCCAAGACUGUUACCAUCUCUCUGACCUGCAAUUUUUCCAUGGUGAAUACAAACAACAAAAUUGCUCUUGUGCAUGAAGAAUGACAUCUGCAAAACGCAGUUGCAAGAGGCUGGGCAUAUUCACCUUCCGACAAAAUGGACAACUGAAGAUUAGCAAGAAUACACCAACAAUGAAGAGAAGAAACAAGUCAGCAUGAUUACUCAGCAUGGUAUAAACAGGAGGAAGAAGCAAGAUAUGCUGUACCCUUCAAAUUCAUAUAUCUCGAUAGGCUUUUCUGGUCGUUUGCACUGUCCUAUUUUUGAUUCCUCUUUCACCUUCCAAGCUACGAUAAGAAACGCAUGUUUACAAGUAAACUUAACAGAGCUAUGUAUUCCACAAACUGCAUCUUAUUGUGCGAUUCUUUGUGGUUUCCAUGAUAUAGUAGGAGUAAUAAUAGCUGCAAUGGAAGAAUUGUGAAUAAACUCACCUCCAAAUUCCAGUGCAUACUGGUCUGAUGGUAUCUCUGAUGGAGAAACAAGAGAUGGCGAGUACCUGCACAUUGAAGUGACACGUGCAGGUAAGCAGGUGCAGGCUGUAGCCCGUAGGCGAGGUAGACGCCCGGACGGUGAGAGAAGGCGCGGUGCGUACCCGAGGACGAAGACGCCGGUGCCGAGGCGAAGGGGGAUGGCGAGCGAGGCGCCGAGGACGCUGCCCACCUGGCCGGACUUGACCUCGUACCUCUUGGGCUCGGGCGCCUUGAACCCCGGCGGAGGCUUGAACUCGGGCGUCGGCUCAGGCGCUGAGGUGGAUCCAGCUGCGGCGGUGGUGUCCGGCUGGGCCCUGACGGCGAGAGAAGCGGCCCUGGCGGCGCGCGCGGUGGCGGUGGCACCCAAGGCGACGGUGCGGCGGGGGAGGAGGAGGGGCGUGCGGUGGUGCAGCGCGGUGGGUGCGGCGGGCGGAGCCAUGGAUUGGAUUCGGCAGCGACGGCGACUCGGGCCGGACGGCGGGGAGCGGCGUGCGAGUUUCUGUGGCGCCUACGCCGCUACGCGGCGAGACGCGGGGACGAAGCGAUUGGUGUACCUGCGGCAUUGCUGGCGAGUUUAUUCCCGAACGGUGGGCUUCGGAAGUCUGCUACCCCCAACCUUGCAAUUGGAAUCUUAGUAUUAUAAUAGGCUUCCGUUUAGAAAUUUGUCAUCGUGGGCACUAUUAUCCGUCGCGGUAAGUAUUAACUUGUACCGGCUGCUGUUACGUUGAAGAUUUGGAUUUCCCGUUCGUCACAACGGAUCGGCCUUCCUCUAUUCUUCAGAACGGAUCGCGAGCCGAGCUCGCUCCUUUCUUCCUCUCCGUCUCUGUCCGGCUCCCAGCUAGGCCUUCCUCUCCCUCUCUGUCCGGCCAGCUAGCUCCCAGCUGAGUACUCCUCCCAGCUAGGCUGUGCUCUCCCCCGACUGCUCCCGGCGCUCGUCGAGCUCGCGAGUCUGCAAGGUCGUCCCUACCGGCGCUCCAGGUGGAUUUCCCGACAACUCUCAUUGCUUGUAUUUCUUCGUCCCAAUGCAAACUCCGGCAGUCCCCUCGCCGGACGAACUCUCGCCGGACCUCGCAGUCCACGCAGCCGGCGAGUUAGCCUCGUCGUUGCCUCCAGGCGAGGUCGUUGGCAGCGACACAGGGCUGGCCCUCAAUCCGUCGCCGUUGGUCGAUGCUGCUCUGACGAUCGCCGACGUUGACAACUCUUGGUUGGAGGCACCACCAGAUUGUCGUGAAGAUCCUGUUGAAACGGUAACUGAUUUGGACCCCCCUAUUUCCAGUUCCCAACUCGUUCCCACCAAGGUUGGCACCAUUCUGUGUCAACUUGACUGGGCCAAAAUUAUAUCACAUCUACCUCAGAUUUUCUAGUAGUGCACAACCACUGUCGUGGCUUGUUUAUUGUUGCCUGUGCACGUAGAAAUGAGUUGAUGUUUCUCAUUUGUACUGCUCCUCAUAAUUUUUGUAGGGCACUGUCAAUUUUCAGUUAACAGUGUUUGACCCAUCGGAAGUAUUUGAUUUUGAGGGUAUUGGACCUGAUCUUCGAUGGGAUGAAGAAGGGGCUCAACAUGUACCCAGUGAGUUAGCUAUGUAUUCGAAACUUGGAUUGGCGGCUGAAGAUGAAAGAGAAAACAAAGAGAGAGAGGAGGCUUCUAAUCUUUGUGGUCAUUCAAAUAAUCCAAAUGAGUUUGGAGUUGAUUCUUCAUCCUCCAUGCCCUGUGUUGAUUUUUUGCCAAACGAGAGUAGAGUUUUGUGUGAUUCUAACCAUCCAGUCAUGGCAGUUGGCCGCAUGUAUCCAUCUAUGGCUGAAUUCAGACUUGCUAUGAGACAGUAUGCCAUAGAAAAAGAGUUUGAGUUAGGCAUUGAGGCUAGUACCCCGAAGAAAUACAGAGGAUUUUGUCGAGGUGGUGAUUGUCCUUGGAGCAUACAUGCAAGAAUUGAGAGGGCUGGGUCACCUACCAUAAUUGUACGGUUUUGUCAAAGUUUUAAUUUUGUUGAAGUUUUUUUAUGCCUUAUUAGUAAUGGAGUGCAUUUCAUUUAUACUUCUGUAGGUGACUGUGAUGAAUGAUCAUCACACUUGCACUUCUAGUGGCCGGAGGAGGACAAGCACACCAACCAGUGCUUGGGUUGCUGCUAAAGCUUUACCUAUCCUUGCGAAGAAACCACACACAGGUGCAAAGGAUUUACAGACUUUCCUUCAAGAUACGUACAAGUGCACCAUUUCUUAUGAUACAGUUUGGUAUGGAAAAGAGAAAGCCUCGAAGGAGUUGUUUGGGACUUGGGAAGAGAGUUUCCAACUUCUAUUCUCUUGGAAGGAGGUUGUAUUGCAGAGGUCACCUGAUAGUGUCAUUGAAAUUGAUGUACGUGUUGAGGAUGGCAGAGUUUAUUUUAGUAGGUUCUUCUGUGCACUUGGCCCUUGUGAAAGGGAAUUAGGCUUUGAAAGGGAAAUGUGCCCUUGGGCCAUUUCUAAGUAUUUUGGUGAUUGAGUGCCAACAUAAGUGUUUAAAUGUAAAUCUAUGCCCAUGGAUGAAUAAAGUGCAAAUCACAAGUAAAGGUAUGUUUCUAAGCCUCAGAACAUUGGUUUUGUGUACUAAUAUAUUUGUCUAAGUAUUAGAAACAGAGAGAAGAAGAAAAGGAGAAUGUUGGCUGUGUACAGCCAACAGGCUGUUUCGGUCUGGAGCACCGGACUGUCCGGUGGUGCACCGGACAGUGUCCGGUGCGCCAGGCUGCCUCGGCCGAAGAGGCCGCUCUCGGGAAUUUGCUGACGGCGUACGGCUAAAAUUCACCGGACCGUCCGGUGUGCACCGGACUGUCCGGUGAGCCAACGGUCGGCCGAGCCAACGGUCGGCCGCGAAAUCUGCGCGCGACACGUGGUCUGGCCAACGGUCGGAAGGAGGCACCGGACUGUCCGGUGUGCACCGGACUGUCCGGUGCGCCAGAUCUGCAACGGUCGGCAACGGUCGGCUGAGCUGUUUAUGGAAAUAAAUCGGGCACCGGACAGUGUCCGGUGUGCACCGGACUGUCCGGUGCGCCCGACGACAGAAGGCAAGAUUGGCCUUCUGGAUUUUCUCUCAACGGCUCCUAGCUGCCUUGGGGCUAUAAAAGGGACCCCUAGGCGCAUGGAGGAGAAUACCAAGCAACCUUAGAGCACUCUUGAUCAACCACACUCAGUCUUUGCGCAUCCGAUUGUCAUUCUAAGUGAUUCGAGCUCCGUUCUUGUGAGAACUUUGAGAUAGUCUUUGAGCUCGAUUCUUGGCCGUGUGUGUGCGCAUUUCGCUGUGGAUUUGUGUGUGUUGCUUCCCUCCCUUACUCCGUGCUUCUUUGUGAAUCUUAAUUGUAAGGGCGAGAGACUCCAAUUUGUGGAGAUUCCUCGCAAGUGGGAUAAAGAUAAGCAAGGCAAAACACAGUGGUAUUCAAGUGGGUCUUUGGACCGCUUGAGAGGGGUUGAUUGCAACCCUCGUCCGUUGGGACGCCACAACGUGGAGUAGGCAAGUUUUGUACUUGGCCGAACCACGGGAUAAAUCACCGUGUCUCCUCUGUGUUGAAUUCUUUGUGAUUGUCGUAUUGUGCAAGAUCUCCUGUUUAGCCACUUGGCAAUUAUUGUGCUAACCCUUAACAAGUUUUGUGGCUAUAAGCUUAAGUUUUUACAGGAUCACCUAUUCACCCCCCCUCUAGGUGCUCUCAAUUGGUAUCAGAGCCGUUCUCUUCACAAAGGGACUUACCGCCUGAAGAGAUGGAUCCUAAGGGGAAGGGAAUCGUGAUCAACGACAAAGAAAAGGAAUCCUUCGUCAACGAGCCAAAGGACGACAAGCCUACCGACUCCGGCUCGGGGCAUAGACGGAAGGAAGGAAAGAAGAAAAAGACAAGGCGCAUCAAGGAGAUCAUCUACUACGACGAUAGUGAUGAGUCUACUUCUUCCCAAAAGGAUGAUGACAACGACUACAAAAAGACGGUCAAUUCGAACUUUUCAUUUGAUUAUUCUCGUAUUCAACAUAGUUCGAAUUCGCAUUUGCUUUCCAUUCCUCUUGGCAAACCUCCACACUUCGAUGGGGAGGACUACGGAUUUUGGAGUCACAAAAUGCGUAGUCACUUAUUCUCUCUCCAUCCAAGCAUAUGGGAGAUUGUGGAGAAUGGAAUGAAAUUUGAUAGCUCGGAUAGCCCUAUGCUUAUAAAUGAACAAAUUCAUAGAAAUGCACAAGCUACUACUGUUCUCUUAGCGUCUUUGUGCAGGGAAGAGUACAAUAAGGUGAGCGGCUUGGACAAUGCCAAGCAGAUAUGGGACACCCUCAAGAUCUCUCACGAGGGGAACGACAUCACCAUGCUCACCAAGAUGGAGUUGGUGGAGGGCGAGCUUGGACGAUUCGCCAUGAUAAGGGGAGAGGAGCCAACUCAAACUUACAACCGGCUCAAGACCCUUAUCAACAAAAUAAGGAGCUACGGAAGCACGCGUUGGACGGAUCACGACGUCGUCCGCCUAAUGCUCAGGUCCUUUACCGUUCUUGAUCCUCAUCUCGUGAACAAUAUUCGUGAGAAUCCUAGGUACACGAUGAUGACGCCUGAGGAAGUACUUGGAAAAUUCGUGAGCGGACGGAUGAUGAUCAAGGAGGCAAGAUACGUCGACGACGCGUUGAACGGUCCACUCCACGAGCCUCAACCCAUUGCUCUAAAGGCAACUAGGAGCAAGGAGUCGCUACCUAGCAAGGUGGCGCAAGUUGAGGCGGCUGGGCUCAAUGAUGAAGAGAUGGCUCUCAUCAUCAAGAGAUUCAAGACGGCGCUAAAAGGUCGAAAGGGACAGCCAAGCAAGGCCAAGACCAAGGGAAAGCGAUCAUGCUUCAAAUGCGGUAAGCUUGGUCAUUUUAUUGCUAACUGUCCCGAAAAUGAUAGUGACCAGGAGCAAGGGAAAAAUGGGAAGAGAGAGAACAAGAAGGUGUACAAGAAGGCCAAAGGCGAAGCACACCUUGGAAAGGAGUGGGAUUCGGAUUGCUCUUCGUCCGACUCCGACGACGAAGGACUCGCCGCCACUGCCUUCAACAAAUCGGCUCUCUUCCCCAACGAGCAUCACACUUGCCUCAUGGCAAGGGAAAAGAAGGUAAUCACUCGUAAUGCAAAUACUUAUGAUUCUUCUAGUGAUGAUGAAUCUAGUGAGGAUGAAAUUGAUUACUCUAGUUUAUUCAAGGGAUUGGAUAGAACUAAGAUAGCUAAGAUUAAUGAGUUGAUCGAUGCCUUAAAUGAAAAGGAUAGAAUCUUAGAGAAACAAGAAGACCUGUUAUAUGAAGAACAUGAUAAAUUUGUUAGUGCACAAAAUUCACUUGCUCUAGAAGUUAAAAGAAAUGGAAUACUUUCUUGUGAACUUUCUACUUGUAAUGAAACCAUUUCUUCUUUAAAAGGUGAAAUUAAUGUUUUAACUGCUAAACUAGAAGUAGCAAGUAACUCGUGUGUUGAAAAUAUUACAAUUUGCACUAGGUGUAAGGAUUUUGAUGUUAAUGCUUGUAGUGAACACUUAGUUUCAAUUUCAAAACUAAAUGAUGAAGUGGCUAGUCUUAAUGCUCAACUUAAGACCAGCAAGAGUGAAGUUGAUAAAAUAAAAUUUGCAAGGGAUGCCUACACAGUAGGUAGACACCCCUCAAUUAAGGAUGGUCUUGGCUUCAAGAGAGAGGCCAAGAACUUAACAAGCCAUAAGGCUCCCAUCUUCGUCAAGGAGAAAGGGAAGGCCCCUAUGGCUAGUAGUGCUAAAAGGAACCAUGCUUUCUUGUACCAUGAUAGGAGACAUGCUAGAAAUGCUUAUAAUGAUUUUGAUUCACAUGCUUAUGAUUCUCAUGCCAUGUUUGCUUCUAGUUCUUCCUAUAAGAAUGGUAGAGAUAUGACUAGGAGAAAUGUUAUUCAUCAUGUGCCUAGAAAGAAUACUAUUCAUGCUCCUAGGAAAGUAGUAAAUGAACCUUCUACAAUUUAUUGUGCUCUAAAUGCUUCCUUUGCUAUUUGUAGAAAGGAUAGGAAGAUAGUUGCUAGGAAGUUAGGGGCAAAAUGCAAGGGAGACAAAACUUGCAUUUAGGUCCCUAAGGAAAUUGUGACUAACCUUGUAGGACCCAACAAGAGUUGGGUACCUAAGUCCCAAGCCUAAAUUUGCCUUGCAGGUUUAUGCAUCCGGGGGUUCAAGCUGGAUUAUUGAUAGCGGAUGCACAAACCAUAUGACGGGGGAGAAGAAGAUGUUCACCUCCUACGUCAAGAAUAAGGAUUCCCAAGAUUCAAUUAUAUUCGGUGAUGGGAAUCAAGGCAAGGUAAAAGGAUUAGGUAAAAUUGCAAUCUCAAAUGAGCACUCAAUUUCUAAUGUGUUUUUAGUUGAGUCCUUGGGAUAUAAUUUGCUAUCUGUUAGUCAAUUAUGCAACAUGGGGUAUAACUGUCUAUUUACAAAUGUAGAUGUGUCUGUCUUUAGAAGAAGUGAUGAUUCACUAGCUUUUAAGGGUGUAUUAGACGACAAACUUUAUUUAGUUGAUUUUGCAAAAGAAGAGGCCGGUCUAGAUGCAUGCUUAAUAGCUAAGACUAGCAUGGGCUGGCUGUGGCAUCGCCGCUUAGCACAUGUGGGGAUGAAGAACCUUCACAAGCUUCUAAAGGGAGAACACGUGAUAGGUUUGACUAACGUGCAAUUCGAAAAAGAUAGACCUUGUGCAGCUUGUCAAGCAGGUAAACAAGUGGGAGGAGCACAUCACAGCAAGAAUGUGAUGACCACUUCAAGACCCCUGGAGCUGCUGCAUAUGGACCUCUUCGGACCCGUCACCUAUCUGAGCAUAGGAGGGAGUAAGUAUGGUCUAGUUAUUGUUGAUGACUUUUCCCGCUUCACUUGGGUGUUCUUUUUGCAGGAUAAGUCUGAAACCCAAAGGACCCUCAAGCGCUUCCUCAGGAGAGCUCAAAAUGAGUUUGAGCUCAAAGUGAAGAAGAUAAGGAGCGACAACGGGUCCGAGUUCAAGAACCUUCAAGUGGAGGAGUUCCUUGAGGAGGAAGGGAUCAAGCAUGAGUUCUCCGCUCCCUACACACCACAGCAAAAUGGUGUGGUAGAGAGGAAGAACAGGACGCUAAUCGACAUGGCGAGGACUAUGCUUGGAGAAUUCAAGACCCCCGAGCGUUUUUGGUCGGAAGCCGUGAACACGGCUUGCCACGCCAUCAACAGGGUCUACCUUCACCGCCUCCUCAAGAAGACGUCAUAUGAGCUUCUAACCGAUAACAAACCCAAUGUAUCGUAUUUUCGUGUAUUUGGGAGCAAGUGCUACAUUCUAGUGAAGAAGGAUAGAAAUUCUAAAUUUGCUCCCAAAGCAGUAGAAGGGUUUUUGUUAGGUUAUGACUCAAAUACAAAGGCGUAUAGAGUCUUCAACAAAUCAUCGGGUUUGGUUGAAGUCUCUAGCGACGUUGUAUUUGAUGAGACUAAUGGCUCUCCAAGAGAGCAAGUUGUUGAUCCUGAUGAUGUAGAUGAAGAAGACGUUCCAACGGCCGCUAUGCGCAUCAUGGCGAUUGGUGAUGUGCGACCACAGGAACAAUUGGAGCAAGAUCAACCUUCUUCCUCAACUAUGGUGCAACCCCCAACUCAAGACGAUGAACAGGUUCAUCAACAGGAGGCGUGUGAUCAAGUGGGAGCACAAGAUGAUCAUGUGAUGGAGGAAGAUGCGCAACCGGCACCUCCAACCCAAGUCCGAGCGGUGAUUCAAAGGGAUCAUCCUGUCGACCAAAUUUUGGGUGACAUUAGUAAGGGAGUAACUACUCGAUCUAGAUUAGUUAAUUUUUGUGAGCAUUACUCCUUUGUGUCUUCUAUUGAGCCUUUCAGGGUAGAGGAGGCCUUGCUAGAUCCGGACUGGGUGUUAGCCAUGCAGGAGGAGCUCAACAACUUCAAACGCAAUGAAGUUUGGACACUGGUGCCUCGUCCCAAGCAAAAUGUUGUGGGAACCAAGUGGGUGUUCCGCAACAAACAGGACGAGCACGGGGUGGUGACAAGGAACAAGGCUCGACUUGUGGCAAAAGGGUAUGCCCAAGUCGCAGGUUUGGACUUUGAGGAGACGUUUGCUCCUGUGGCUAGGCUAGAAUCAAUUCGUAUCUUGCUAGCAUAUGCCGCUCACCAUUCUUUCAGGUUGUACCAAAUGGAUGUGAAGAGCGCUUUCCUCAAUGGGCCAAUCAAGGAGGAGGUGUACGUGGAGCAACCCCCUAGCUUCGAGGAUGAACGGUACCCCGACCACGUGUGUAAGCUCGCUAAGGCGCUCUAUGGACUUAAGCAAGCCCCAAGAGCAUGGUAUGAAUGCCUUAGAGACUUUUUGAUUACUAAUGCUUUCAAGGUCGGGAAAGCCGAUCCAACUCUUUUUACAAAGACAUGUGAUGGUGACUUGUUUGUGUGCCAAAUUUAUGUCGAUGACAUAAUAUUUGGUUCUACUAACCAAAAGUCUUGUGAAGAGUUUAGCAGGGUGAUGAUGCAGAAGUUCGAGAUGUCGAUGAUGGGCGAGUUGAACUACUUCCUUGGGUUCCAAGUGAAGCAACUCAAGGACGGCACCUUCAUCUCCCAAACAAAGUACACGCACGAUCUGCUAAAGCGGUUUGGGAUGAAGGACGCCAAGCCCGCAAAGACUCCGAUGGGGACCGACGGACACACCGACCUCAACAAAGGAGGUAAGUCCGUUGAUCAAAAAGCAUACCGGUCAAUGAUAGGAUCUUUGCUUUACUUAUGUGCUAGUAGACCGGAUAUUAUGCUUAGCGUAUGCAUGUGUGCUAGAUUUCAAUCCGAUCCUAAGGAAUGUCACUUAGUGGCGGUGAAGCGAAUUCUUAGAUAUUUGGUUGCUACGCCUUGCUUCGGGCUCUGGUAUCCAAAGGGGUCUACCUUUGACUUAGUUGGAUACUCAGACUCCGACUAUGCUGGAUGUAAGGUCGAUAGGAAGAGUACAUCAGGGACGUGCCAAUUCCUAGGAAGGUCCCUGGUGUCGUGGAACUCUAAGAAACAAACCUCCGUUGCCCUAUCCACCGCUGAGGCCGAGUAUGUUGCCACAGGACAGUGUUGCGCGCAACUACUUUGGAUGAGGCAAACCCUCCGGGACUUUGGCUACAAUCUGAGCAAAGUCCCACUCCUAUGUGAUAAUGAGAGUGCUAUCCGCAUGGCGGAAAAUCCUGUUGAACACAGCCGCACAAAGCACAUAGACAUCCGGCAUCACUUUUUGAGAGACCACCAGCAAAAGGGAGAUAUCGAAGUGUUUCAUGUUAGCACCGAGAACCAACUAGCCGAUAUCUUCACUAAGCCUCUAGACGAGAAGACCUUUUGCAGGUUGCGUAGUGAGCUAAAUGUCUUAGAUUCGCGGAACCUGGAUUGAAUUGUAGCAUACAUGUAUUUAUGCUUUUGAUCAUGUUCCUUUUUGCAUUUUAUUGCUUAUUAUGGUGCUCAAGUUGUACAAACACUCCCUGGACCUCACAAGUCCGCUGCAAAGUGAUGCACAUGUUUAGGGGGAGAUGUGUUACAACUUGAUCCUUUGAGACUAACCAUGUGCUUGAGUUUGAUGAUUUAGUCUCGAAGGAGGAUUGAAAGGGAAGAGGUGGACUUGGACCAUGAAAGACUUCCACUGCACUCUGAUGAGAGGGUAACUUAUUCCAAGUUCAUCUUUAGACUCUUAUUGCCUUUGUGUUCUCAUUUGAAGAUUUUGGUAAGGCAAUGGGGUUAAAAAGGCCAAGAUUGAUCCCGUUUUGGUGCUUGAUGCCAAAGGGGGAGAAAAUAAAGGCCAAAGCGAUAAAUGGAUCAGCUACCACUUGAGAGAUUUUGAAAAUAGUAGAAUAGAGUUUUUGUUUUGUCAAACGCUUUUAUUGUCUCUCAUUGUCUCUCUUGUCAAAAGUUGGCGUCUUGUGGGGAGAAGUGCUGAUUAUGGGAAAUAGGGGGAGUUUUUGAAAUCCUUGAUCAAUCUCUUUUGGGAUGACUCUCUUUAUGCUCCAACAUGUGUGUUUGACUUAGAGAUAGAGAUUUGAGUUUGAUUUGCAAAAACAAACCAAGUGGUGGCAAAGGAUGAUCCAUAUAUGCCAAAAUCGAAUAAAACUCAAAUUUAUUUUUAUUUGAAGUGAUUUUGCACUUGUUCUAGUUGCUUUAUGUUGUGUUGGCAUAAAUCACCAAAAAGGGGGAGAUUGAAAGGGAAAUGUGCCCUUGGGCCAUUUCUAAGUAUUUUGGUGAUUGAGUGCCAACAUAAGUGUUUAAAUGUAAAUCUAUGCCCAUGGAUGAAUAAAGUGCAAAUCACAAGUAAAGGUAUGUUUCUAAGCCUCAGAACAUUGGUUUUGUGUACUAAUAUAUUUGUCUAAGUAUUAGAAACAGAGAGAAGAAGAAAAGGAGAAUGUUGGUUGUGUACAGCCAACAGGCUGUUUCGGUCUGGAGCACCGGACUGUCCGGUGGUGCACCGGACAGUGUCCGGUGCGCCAGGCUGCCUCGGCCGAAGAGGCCGCUCUCGGGAAUUUGCUGACGGCGUACGGCUAAAAUUCACCGGACCGUCCGGUGUGCACCGGACUGUCCGGUGAGCCAACGGUCGGCCGAGCCAACGGUCGGCCGCGAAAUCUGCGCGCGACACGUGGUCUGGCCAACGGUCGGAAGGAGGCACCGGACUGUCCGGUGUGCACCGGACUGUCCGGUGCGCCAGAUCUGCAACGGUCGGCAACGGUCGGCUGAGCUGUUUAUGGAAAUAAAUCGGGCACCGGACAGUGUCCGGUGUGCACCGGACUGUCCGGUGCGCUCGACGACAGAAGGCAAGAUUGGCCUUCUGGAUUUGCUCUCAACGGCUCCUAGCUGCCUUGGGGCUAUAAAAGGGACCCCUAGGCGCAUGGAGGAGAAUACCAAGCAACCUUAGAGCACUCUUGAUCAACCACACUCAGUCUUUGCGCAUCCGAUUGUCAUUCUAAGUGAUUCGAGCUCCGUUCUUGUGAGAACUUUGAGAUAGUCUUUGAGCUCGAUUCUUGGCCGUGUGUGUGCGCAUUUCGCUGUGGAUUUGUGUGUGUUGCUUCCCUCCCUUACUCCGUGCUUCUUUGUGAAUCUUAAUUGUAAGGGCGAGAGACUCCAAUUUGUGGAGAUUCCUCGCAAGUGGGAUAAAGAUAAGCAAGGCAAAACACAGUGGUAUUCAAGUGGGUCUUUGGACCGCUUGAGAGGGGUUGAUUGCAACCCUCGUCCGUUGGGACGCCACAACGUGGAGUAGGCAAGUUUUGUACUUGGCCGAACCACGGGAUAAAUCACCGUGUCUCCUCUGUGUUGAAUUCUUUGUGAUUGUCGUAUUGUGCAAGAUCUCCUGUUUAGCCACUUGGCAAUUAUUGUGCUAACCCUUAACAAGUUUUGUGGCUAUAAGCUUAAGUUUUUACAGGAUCACCUAUUCACCCCCUCCUCUAGGUGCUCUCAGGCUUACACCUAGUCCCUAAUUAAUUUUGGUGGUUGAAUUGCCCAACACAAAUAAUUGAACUAACUAGUUUGCUCUAGUGUAUAAGUUAUACAGGUGCUAAAGGUACACACUUAGCCAUUAUAAAGACCAAGAGUUGGGUUCAACAAAAGAGCAAAGGGCCAACCGAAGGCACCUCUGGUCUGGCGCACCGGACUGUCCGGUGUACCAGAGGACUCCAACGCGAACUUGCUACCUUCGGGAAUUUCCAGAGGCGACUCCGCUAUAAUUCACAGGAUUGUCCGGUGUACACCGGACAGUGUCCGGUGCGCCAAGGAAGAGCAGCCUCAGGAACUCGCCAGCUUCGGGAAUCUCCAACGGCUAGUCCACUAUAAUUCACCGGACAUGUCCGGUGUGCACCGGACUGUCCAGUGCAACUCCGGUGCAACGGCUUCCUCCGCGCCAACGGCUACCUGUGGCGCAUUAAAUGCGCGCGCAGAUGUCAGGCGUGCCCAUACUGGCACACCGGACAGUAAACAGUACAUGUCCGGUGUGCACCGGACACCCAGGCGGGCCCACAAGUCAGAAGCUUCAACGGUCAGAAUCCAACGGCAGUGAUGACGUGGCGGGGGCACCGGACAUGUCCGGUGUGCACCGGACUGUCCGGUGCGCCAUCGAACAGACAGCCUCCCAACGGCCACUUUUGGUGGUUGGGGCUAUAAAUACCCCAACCACCCCACCAUUCAUUGCAUCCAAGUUUUCCACUUCCCAACUACUACAAGAGCUCUAGUAUUCAAUUCUAGACACACCAAAGAGAUCAAAUCCUCUCCAAAUUCCUCACAACGCCAUAGUGACUAGAGAGAGUGAUUUGUUUGUGUUCUUUCGAGCUCUUGCGCUUGGAUUGCUUUCUUCUUUCUUGAUUAUUUCAUUGCGAUCAAACUCACUUGUAAUUGAGGCAAUAGACACCAAACCUGUGGUGGUCCUUGUGGGAACUUUGUGUUCCAAGUGAUUGAGAAGAGAAAGCUCACUCGGUCCGAGGGACCGUUUGAGAGAGGGAAGGGUUGAAAGAGACCCGGCCUUUGUGGCCUCCUCAACGGGGAGUAGGUUUGCGAGAACCGAACCUCGGUAAAACAAAUCCGCGUGUCACACUCUUUAUUUGCUUGCGAUUUGUUUUGCACCCUCUCUCGCAGACUCAUUUAUAUUUCUAACGCUAACCCGGCUUGUAGUUGUGUAUUUAUUUGUAAAUUUCAGUUUCGCCCUAUUCACCCCCCUCUAGGCGACUAUCAAUUGGUAUCAGAGCCCGGUGCUUCAUUAGAGCCUAACCGCUCGAAGUGAUGUCGGGAGAUCACGCCAAGAAGGAGAUGGAGACCGGCGAAAAGCCCACUACAAGCCACGGGAGCACUUCAUCGGAAGAGUCCCGCACCAAAAGGAGGGAGAAGAAGAAGAGCUCCUCCAACAAAGGGAAGGAGAAGAAAUCUUCUUCUCACCACAAAGAGAAGAAGGAAAAAUCUUCUCCCCACAAGCCGCAUCGGAGUGGGGACAAGCAAAAGAGGAUGAGGAAAGUGGUCUACUACGAGACCGACACUUCAUCAACAUCAACCUCCGGCUCCGAUGCGCCCUCCGUAACUUCUAAACGCCAAGAGCGUAAGAAGUUUAGUAAGAUCCCCCUACACUAUCCUCGCAUUUCUAAACAUGCACCUCUACUUUUCGUCCCAUUAGGCAAACCACCAACCUUUGAUGGUGAAGAUUAUGCUAGGUGGAGUGAUUUAAUGCGAUUUCAUCUAACCUCACUCCACAAAAGUAUAUGGGACGUUGUUGAGUUUGGUGCACAGGUACCAUCCGUAGGGGAUAAAGACUAUGAUGAGGAUGAGGUGGCCCAAAUCGAGCACUUCAACUCUCAAGCUACAACAAUACUCCUCGCCUCUUUAAGUAAAGAGGAGUAUAACAAAGUUCUAGGGUUGAAGAGCGCCAAGGAGGUUUGGGAUGUGCUCAAAACCGCGCACGAGGGAGAUGAGCUUACAAAGAUCACCAAGCGGGAAACGAUCGAGGGGGAGCUCGGUCGGUUCCGGCUUCGCAAAGGGGAAGAGCCACAACACAUGUACAACCGGCUCAAGACCUUGGUAAACCAAGUGCGCAACCUCGGGAGCAAGAAGUGGGACGACCACGAAAUGGUUAAGGUUAUUCUAAGAUCUCUCAUUUUCCUUAACCCCACUCAAGUUCAAUUAAUUCGUGGUAAUCCUAGAUAUACUAAAAUGACCCCCGAGGAAGUUAUCGGGAAUUUUGUAAGUUUUGAGUGCAUGAUCGAAGGCUCGAGGAAGAUCAACGAGCUUGAUGAUCCCUCCACAUCCGAAGCUCAACCCGUCGCAUUCAAGGCGACGGAGGAAAAGAAGGAGGAGUCUACACCAAGUCGGCAACCAAUCGACACCUCCAAGCUCGAUAAUGAGGAAAUGGCGCUCGUCAUCAAGAGCUUCCGCCAAAUCCUCAAGCAAAGGAGAGGGAAAGACUACAAGUCCCGCUCCAAGAAGGUCUGCUACAAGUGUGGUAAGCCCGGUCACUUUAUUGCUAAAUGUCCAUUAUCAAGUGAUAGUGACAGGGGCGACGACAAGAAGGGGAGAAGAAGAGGUACUACAAGAAGAAGGGCGGUGAUGUCCAUGUUUGUCGGGAGUGGGACUCCGACGAAAGCUCAAGCGACUCCUCCGACGAUGAGGACGCCGCCAACAUCGCCGUCACCAAGGGACUCCUCUUCCCAAACGUCGGCCACAAGUGCUUCAUGGCAAAGGACGGCAAAAAGAAGGUUAAAUCUAAAUCCUCCACUAGAUAUGAAUCCUCUAGUGAUGAUAAUGCUAGUGAUGAGGAAGAUAAUUUGCGUAACCUUUUUGCCAACCUCAACAUGCAACAAAAAGAGAAACUUAAUGAAUUGAUUAGUGUCAUCCAUGAAAAGGAUGAUCUCUUGGACACCCAAGAGGACUUCCUUAUUAAAGAAAAUAAGAAGCAUGUUAAGGUUAAAAAUGCUUAUGCUCUAGAAAUUGAGAAAUGUCAAAAAUUAUCUAGUGAGCUAAGCACUUGCCAUGAAACAAUAGACAACCGUAGAAAUGAAAAUGCUAAUUUGUUAGCUAAGGUUGAUUCUCAUGUUUGCAGUGUUUCAAUUCCCAACCCUAGAGAUAAUAAUGAUGAUUUACUUGCUAGGAUUGAAGAAUUGAACAUAUCUCUUGCUAGUCUUAGAUUAGAAAAUGAAAAUUUGAUUGCUAAGGCUAAAGAUUUUGAUGUUUGCAAAGUUACAAUUUCCGAUCUUAGAGAUAAAAAUGAUAUUCUACAUGCUAAGAUUGUUGAACUUAAAUUCUUGCAAACCAUCUACAUCUACCAUUGAGCAUGUCACUAUUUGUACUAGAUGUAGAGAUAUUGAUGUUGAUGCUAUUCAUGAUCAUAUGGCCUUAAUUAAACAACAAAAUGAUCAUAUAGCAAUAUUAGAUGCUAAAAUUGUCGAGCAUAACUUAGAAAAUGAAAAAUUUAAAUUUGCUAGAAGUAUGCUCUAUAGUGGGAGACGCCCUGGCAUCAAGGAUGGCAUUGGCUUCCAAAGGGGAGACAAUGUCAAACUUAAUGCCCCUCCUAAAAGAUUGUCCAACUUUGUUAAGGGCAAGGCUCCCAUGCCUCAGGAUAACGAGGGUUACAUUUUAUACCCUGCCGGUUAUCCCGAGAGCAAGAUUAGGAGAAUUCACUCCAGGAAGUCUCACUCUGGCCCUAAUCAUGCUUUUAUGUAUAAGGGUGAGACAUCUAGCUCUAGGCAACCAACCCGUGCUAAGUUGCCUAAGAAGAAAACUCAUAGUGCAUCAAAUGAUCAUAGCAUUUCAUUUAAAACUUUUGAUGCAUCUUAUGUGUUGACUAACAAAUCCGGCACAGUAGUUGCCAAAUAUGUUGGGGGCAAGCACAAGGGGUCAAAGACUUGUGUUUGGGUACCCAAAGUUCUUGUGUCUAAUGCCAAAGGACCCAAAACCAUUUGGGUACCUAAAGUCAAGAACUAAACUUGUUUUGUAGGUUUAUGCAUCCGGGGGCUCAAGUUGGAUACUCGACAGCGGGUGCACAAACCACAUGACAGGGGAGAAGAAAAUGUUCUCCUCCUAUGAAAAAAACCAAGAUCACCAACGAGCAAUCACUUUCGGGGAUGGAAAUCAAGGUUUGGUCAAAGGAUUGGGUAAAAUUGCUAUAUCUCCUGACCAUUCUAUUUCCAAUGUUUUUCUUGUAGAUUCAUUAGAUUACAAUUUGCUUUCUGUAUCUCAAUUAUGCAAAAUGGGCUACAACUGUCUCUUUACUGAUGUAGGUGUCACUGUCUUUAGAAGAAGUGAUGAUUCAAUAGCAUUUAAGGGUGUGUUAGAGGGUCAGCUAUACUUAGUAGAUUUUGAUAGAGCUGAACUCGACACAUGCUUAAUUGCUAAGACUAACAUGGGUUGGCUCUGGCACCGCCGACUAGCCCAUGUUGGGAUGAAGAAUCUUCACAAGCUUCUAAAGGGAGAACACAUUUUAGGACUAACCAAUGUUCAUUUUGAGAAAGACAGGAUUUGUAGCGCAUGCCAGGCAGGAAAGCAAGUUGGAACUCAUCAUCCACACAAGAACAUCAUGACGACCGACAGGCCGCUUGAGCUACUCCACAUGGAUCUAUUCGGCCCGAUUGCUUACAUAAGCAUCGGCGGGAGUAAGUACUGUCUAGUUAUUGUGGAUGAUUAUUCUCGCUUCACUUGGGUGUUCUUUUUGCAGGAAAAGUCUCAAACCCAAGAGACCUUAAAGGGAUUCUUGAGACGAGCUCAAAAUGAGUUCGGCUUAAGGAUCAAGAAAAUAAGAAGCGAUAACGAGACGGAGUUCAAGAACUCUCAAAUCGAAGGCUUCCUUGAGGAGGAGGGCAUCAAGCAUGAGUUCUCUUCUCCCUACACACCUCAACAAAAUGGUGUAGUGGAGAGGAAGAAUCGAACUCUAUUGGAUAUGGCAAGGACCAUGCUUGAUGAGUACAAGACUUCGGAUCGGUUUUGGGCCGAGGCAGUCAACACCGCUUGCUACGCCAUCAACCGGUUGUAUCUACACCGAAUCCUCAAGAAGACAUCAUACGAACUCCUAACCGGUAAAAAGCCCAAUAUUUCAUAUUUUAGAGUCUUUGGUAGCAAAUGUUUUAUUCUUGUUAAGAGAGGUAGAAAAUCUAAAUUUGCUCCUAAGACUGUAGAAGGCUUUUUACUAGGAUAUGAUUCAAACACAAGGGCAUAUAGAGUCUUUAACAAGUUCACUGGACAAGUUGAAAUUUCUUGUGACGUUGUGUUUGAUGAGACUAACGGCUCUCAAGUAGAGCAAGUUGAUCUUGAUGAGAUAGGUGAAGAACAGGCUCCGUGCAUCGCUCUAAGGAACAUGUCCAUUGGGGAUGUGUGUCCUAAGGAAUCCGAAGAGCCUCCAAAAGCACAAGAUCAACCGUCCUCCUCCAUGCAAGCAUCUUCACCAACUCAAAAUGAGGAAGAGGCUCAAGUUGAUGAAGAAGAAGAUCAAUCAAAUGAGCCACCUCAAGAUGACGGCAUAGAUCAAGGGGGAGAUGCAAAUGAUCAAGACAAGGAGGAUGAAGAGCACAAGCCGCCACACCCAAGAGUCCACCAAGCAAUCCAACGAGAUCACCCCGUUGACACCAUCCUCGGAGACAUUCAUAAGGGGGUAACUAUUAGAUCUCGUGUUGCACAUUUUUGUGAGCAUUACUCAUUUGUUUCCUCUAUUGAGCCACACAAGGUAGAGGAAGCACUUCAAGAUUCGGAUUGGGUGGUGGCGAUGCAAGAGGAGCUCAACAACUUCACUAGGAAUGAGGUAUGGCAUUUAGUUCCACGUCCUAAUCAAAAUGUUGUAGGAACCAAAUGGGUUUUCCGCAACAAGCAAGAUGAGCAUGGUGUGGUGACAAGGAACAAAGCUCGACUCGUGGCCAAAGGGUAUUCACAAGUCGAAGGUUUGGAUUUCGGUGAAACUUAUGCACCCGUAGCUAGGCUUGAGUUAAUUCGCAUAUUAUUGGCCCAUGCUACUUACCAUGGCUUUAAGCUUUAUCAAAUGGACGUGAAAAGUGCCUUCCUCAAUGGACCAAUCAAGGAAGAGGUCUAUGUUGAGCAACCUCCCGGCUUUGAAGACAGUGAGUAUCCUAACCAUGUCUAUAAGCUCUCUAAGGCGCUUUAUGGGCUCAAGCAAGCCCCAAGAGCAUGGUAUGAAUGCCUUAGAGACUUUCUUAUUACAAAUGGAUUCAAAGUCGGAAAGGCCGAUCCUACACUCUUUACUAAAACUCUUGAAAAUGACUUAUUUGUAUGCCAAAUUUAUGUUGAUGAUAUUAUAUUUGGAUCUACUAACGAGUCUACAUGUGAAGAGUUUAGUAGGAUUAUGACUCAAAAGUUCGAGAUGUCUAUGAUGGGGGAGUUGAAGUACUUCUUAGGAUUUCAAGUGAAGCAACUCCAAGAGGGCACCUUCAUUAGCCAAACGAAGUACACUCAAGACAUUCUAAACAAGUUUGAGAUGAAGGAUGCCAAGCCCAUCAAGACACCCAUGGGAACCAAUGGGCAUCUCGACCUCGACACGGGAGGUAAGUCCGUGGAUCAAAAGGUAUACCGGUCGAUGAUAGGUUCUUUACUCUAUUUAUGUGCAUCUCGACCGGAUAUUAUGCUUUCCGUAUGCAUGUGUGCAAGAUUCCAAGCCGACCCUAAGGAAGCUCACCUUACGGCCGUGAAACGAAUCUUGAGAUAUUUGGCUUAUACUCCUAAGUUUGGGCUUUGGUAUCCUAGGGGAUCCACUUUUGAUUUGAUUGGUUAUUCGGAUGCCGAUUGGGCGGGGUGCAAAAUCAAUAGAAAGAGCACAUCGGGGACUUACCAGUUCUUGGGAAGAUCCUUGGUGUCUUGGGCUUCAAAGAAGCAAAAUUCGGUCGCUCUUUCUACCGCCGAAGCCGAGUACAUUGCCGCAGGUCAUUGUUGCGCGCAAUUGCUUUGGAUGAGGCAAACCCUGCGGGACUACGGUUACAAAUUAACCAAAGUCCCUUUGCUAUGUGAUAAUGAGAGUGCAAUUAAGAUGGCGGAUAAUCCCGUCGAGCAUAGCCGCACUAAGCACAUAGCCAUUCGGUAUCAUUUUCUUAGGGAUCACCAACAAAAGGGAGAUAUCGAGAUUUCUUACAUUAACACUAAAGAUCAAUUAGCCGAUAUCUUUACCAAGCCUCUUGAUGAACAAACUUUUACCAAACUUAGGCAUGAGCUCAAUAUUCUUGAUUCGCGCAAUUUCUUUUGCUAAUUUACACACAUGGCUAGUUUAUAUACCUUUGAUCAUAUCUCUUUUAUAUGCUAUGACUAAUGUGUUUUCAAGUCUAUCUCAAACCAAGUCAUAGGUAUAUUGAAAGGGAAUUGGAGUCUUCGGCGAAGACAAAGGCUUCCACUCCGUAACUCAUCCUUCGCCGUCGCUCCAAGAGACUCUCCAUCUUUGGGGGAGAGAGCAAAAGGACUUCAUCUUUGGUAUAAUCUUAACUCAUUUGUUUAUGACCAAAGGGGAAGAAAUUACUUCUAGGGCUCUAAUGAUUCCGUUUUUGGCGAUUCAUGCCAAAGGGGGAGAAAGUAAGAGCCCAAAGCAAAAGGACCGCACCACCACCAAUUUCAAAAACUUUGUGUUUCCAAGGAUAUUAUCAAUUGGCUUUCCUAUUAUGUUCAAAAGGGGGAGAAAGACCGCACCACCACCAAUUUCAAAAACUUUGUGUUUCCAAGGAUAUUAUCAAUUGGCUUUCCUAUUAUGUUCAAAAGGGGGAGAAAGUAGUAUUUCAAAAAAGAUAUAUCAAAACCCUCUUGAACACUAAGAGGAGGAUCUCAUUUAGGGGAGUUUUGUUUAGUCAAAGGAAAAGCAUUUGAAACAGGGGGAGAAAAUUUCAAAUCUUGAAAAUGCUUUACAAAAUCUUAUUCAUUUACCUUUGACUAUUUGCAAAAGAACUUUGAAAAGGAUUUACAAAAGAGUUUGCAAUAACAAAACAUGUGGUGCAAGCGAGGUCCAAAAUAUUAAGACUAAAAGAAACAAUCCAUGCAUAUCUUGUAAGUAUUUAUAUUGGCUCAAUUCCAAGCAACCUUUGCACUUACAUUAUGCAAACUAGUUCAAUUAUGCACUUCUAUAUUUGCUUUGGUUUGUGUUGGCAUCAAUCACCAAAAAGGGGGAGAUUGAAAGGGAAUUAGGCUUACACCUAGUCCCUAAUUAAUUUUGGUGGUUGAAUUGCCCAACACAAAUAAUUGAACUAACUAGUUUGCUCUAGUGUAUAAGUUAUACAGGUGCUAAAGGUUCACACUUAGCCAUUAUAAAGACCAAGAGUUGGGUUCAACAAAAGAGCAAAGGGCCAACCGAAGGCACCUCUGGUCUGGCGCACCGGACUGUCCGGUGUGCCACCGGACAGUGUCCGGUGCACCACCGGACAUGUCCGGUGUACCAGAGGACUCCAACGCGAACUUGCUACCUUCGGGAAUUUCCAGAGGCGACUCCGCUAUAAUUCACCGGACUGUCCGGUGUACACCGGACUGUCCGGUGUACACCGGACAGUGUCCGGUGCGCCAAGGAAGAGCAGCCUCAGGAACUCGCCAGCUUCGGGAAUCUCAAACGGCUAGUCCACUAUAAUUCACCGGACAUGUCCGGUGUGCACCGGACUGUCCGGUGCAACUCCGGUGCAACGGCUUCCUCCGCGCCAACGGCUACCUGCGGCGCAUUAAAUGCGCGCGCAGAUGUCAGGCGUGCCCAUACUGGCACACCGGACAGUAAACAGUACAUGUCCGGUGUGCACCGGACACCCAGGCGGGCCCACAAGUCAGAAACUUCAACGGUCAGAAUCCAACGGCAGUGAUGACGUGGCGGGGGCACCGGACAUGUCCGGUGUGCACCGGACUGUCCGGUGCGCCAUCGAACAGACAGCCUCCCAACGGCCACUUUUGGUGGUUGGGGCUAUAAAUACCCCAACCACCCCACCAUUCAUUGCAUCCAAGUUUUCCACUUCCCAACUACUACAAGAGCUCUAGUAUUCAAUUCUAGACACACCAAAGAGAUCAAAUCCUCUCCAAAUUCCUCACAACGCUAUAGUGACUAGAGAGAGUGAUUUGCUUGUGUUCUUUCGAGCUCUUGCGCUUGGAUUGCUUUCUUCUUUCUUGAUUCUUUCAUUGCGAUCAAACUCACUUGUAAUUGAGGCAAGAGACACCAAACCUGUGGUGGUCCUUGUGGGAACUUUGUGUUCCAAGUGAUUGAGAAGAGAAAGCUCACUCGGUCCGAGGGACCGUUUGAGAGAGGGAAGGGUUGAAAGAGACCCGGCCUUUGUGGCCUCCUCAACGGGGAGUAGGUUUGCGAGAACCGAACCUCGGUAAAACAAAUUCGCGUGUCACACUCUUUAUUUGCUUGCGAUUUGUUUUGCACCCUCUCUCGCAGACUCAUUUAUAUUUCUAACGCUAACCCGGCUUGUAGUUGUGUAUUUAUUUGUAAAAAUUUCAGUUUCGCCCUAUUCACCCCCCCUCUAGGCGACUAUCACCUUGUAUUAGUGGUUUCUUACAUGGAUGCAGACCUUACUUGAGUGUUGAUUCGACAGCUUUGAAUGGUAGAUGGAAUGGUCACCUACCAUCUGCAACAGCCGUCGACGGCCACAACUGGAUGUUCCCUGUUGCAUAUGGAUUUUUUGAGUCCGAAACAGAGGACAACUGGCAUUGGUUCCUUCUACAGUUACGCAAGGCCAUCGGGGAUUUACCUAACCUAGCAUUGUGUUUUGAUGCUUGCAAAGGGCUAACAAAUGCAAUGAAGGAUGUUUUUCCAGAAGCUGAGAAAAGAGAGUGUUUCCGGCACCUAAUGAACAAUUAUGUCAAGCAAUAUGCUAGAUCAGAAUACAUGUACCCUGCUGCCAGGGCGUACAAGGCAGAAGUAUAUGACAUGUACAUUGCAAAUGUCAGAAGCAAUCCUGAUAUUGCUGCUUGGUUAGAUAGGUUCCAUUCCUUGUUGUGGUACCGAAGUGCAUUCAACCCUACUAUCAAAUGCGACUAUGUAACAAAUAACAUUGCUGAGGUGUUCAAUAACUGGAUAAAGGACUACAAAGACCUCCCUGUUUGUGACCUGGCUGACAAAAUUAGGAUAAUGAUCAUGCAACUAUUUUACAAGAGGAGGCGGAUAGGAAGGAGGUUGGAGGGAAAAAUUUUACCUUCUAUCAUAGCACAACUCAAUGCAAGAACUAGAGGACUUGGACACUUGGAGGUCAUAAAAGGCGAUGACUAUGUUGCAGAGGUGAGAGACAAUGGUGAUUGUUUUUCUAGAUAUGUGGUGAAGGCUCAUCUUAGAGAAUGUUCAUGUAAGGAAUGGCAACAUACAGGGAAGCCCUGCCACCAUGCAUUAUGUCUAAUUACCGCACAGCAAUAUAGAAAUGUAAUGAUGGAGGAGUUUGUCGACGAUUACUACUCAGUUGACAUGUUUAGGAAAGCUUAUGAGAGAUUGGUGGAGCCAAUUGAAAGCAAAUUAUUUUGGCCAAAGGUGGAUUUUGCAAAGGAGGUUGGUGCUCCACUAGGCAAGAGAGGCGUGGGACGUCAAAGGAAAAAUAGGUUCAAGAGUUGUCUAGAAGGUGGGAGUAGUAAGAAAAAGCCUGCCAACGAAAGUGAGAAAGCUAAGAAGAUUAUUCGAGGCAAAUUCAAGUGCCCUAAUUGUGGGGAGUUAGGGCAUAGGAAGACUAGCUACAAAUGCCCCCUAAAUGGAACAAAGAAAAGGUACUCGUAUAAUCUCAUAUCUGUUUUUAUAAAUUAAUUUUGGUUGUUUAUCUAAUAAUCAUCUGCACAGGAAAAGGAAACCAAGAAAGAACUCAACAAAGAAAUGGUUUCCUAAGGAGCCAGCUGAAGCUUCUUCAUCACAGCCAGAACUAGGGGAUUCUGGUCAACACCAACUUGUCUCCAUUGAUGUUCCAGAAGAAAUAGUUGGUACUACCCCACAGAGGAGUGUGAGGCGUGCUGUCAAAAAGAAGAUUACUCCGAAGAAGAAGAUCUGCUUCUGAGUAGCUGCUUAAGUAUGACAGUUGUGUCUGUAUUUUAAGUAUGAAUUAUGGCAGUUGUGUCUGUAUUUUAAGUAUGAAUUAUGGCAGUUGUGCCUGUAUUUUAAGUAUGAAUUAUGGCAGUUGUUUCUGGCAGCUGUCAACAAUUUCUGUUUGUGCCUGAGAUGAAAAUGUAGUACUGAGUGUGUUUAGAAAUGUCAUUCACCCUGUUGAAGUAGUGAAAAUGUAGUGAACUAUUUCUGUUUGUGAAUGACAUGAAAAUAUAGUGAAACAGAAACGCCCAGUAGUGAUUGAAGUAGUGAACUAUUUCUGUUUGUGAAUGACAUGAAAAUGUAGUCAACAUUUUCUGUUUGUGCCCAGCUGUCAACAAUUUCUGGCAGGGUGAACUGCUGUUUCUGUUUGUGCCCAUCAGCUCAGUGUCCAUCAACAUUUACCUUUGUGCUCAUCAGAUCAGUGUCCAUCGCUCUGUGAAUGUAAAGUUAAGUCAGCUCAGCUCAGUUGUCAACUAUUUCUGGCAAGUUAAGUCAGCUUCAGUUCAAGACUGUGAAUGUAAAGUUGCUAGUGUACAGAUUUUCAAGUUGCUAGUGUACAGGCAUCGGUUUAGAACUGAUCAAGUUGCUGUAGUGAUCAUGCUGCUGUGUGGCAGUUGUGUGAACAAUUUCAAUAAUGCAGUUUGGUAUGGUGAAAAUGCAGUUUGCCAAUUAUUCAGUUAUCUUCAGUUUUCAGAAACCACAUAUUUGAUUUUGUCACUGACUAAAGGUGGCACUGGCAGGAAAAUUAACUGAAACUUCCCUUUGUCACAAGCCAGCAAAACAUUAUUUGAUUUUGUCUUUAAUCUUCAAGGACCGAGCAAUGGACCAGUUAACCAGUUAGCCAGUUAGCCACAUAUUCUUAAUUUGCUAGCUUAUAAAAACUGGCCAUUUCCAUGUCAUUGCAGUUAGCUUCACAUAUUCAAGUGCUACUGAAUUGCAUGGAUCAACAAUGGACCAGUUAACCAGUCGCUUGGUCAGUUAACCAGUUGCAUGGAUCAAAAUACAGUAGAAUCAACAACGGACCAUAUUUUCUGGUUAACUGCCAGAUUUUCUGGCAGCCCAGAUUUCUGAAAACAAGCUUCUCAAAUAAUGUUUAGAUGGAUCAACAACGGACCAUAUUAUGAAAUACAUGUACAAACUUGAAAGGAGCAUAUUCUGAAAUAAUGUUUAGAUCAAUGUACAAGCUGGAAUAAGCUGAAUUCAUUAAACUGGGCACAAAUAGUUGAAGAUACAUCAUGAACUACAAGUUGAAGAUACAUUAUGGCCAAAACAAUCAUGGCCGAAACCAAGUUGAACUAAAAAUACAUGGCUAUUGUCGAGGAGGCGACUCUAUCACAGACAAAUAGCUCAGAUAGGGCCCUUCAUACGGCGAUCAGGGAUCUCAUCCGAGUCAAAAGAAGAGUUGUCUUCAUCCGAACCACACAGCUCAGUACAAUCACAAUGAACAUCAGUUUUGAAAUCAUCGUACAUUCCAAGGGCUUCGUAAUCCUCAAGUAGAGGUUGCGGACCAAUAAGAACUUCCUCCAAAUCCCUGCUCAUAGUGUCUAGACCUUUUGCAAUUUCAGUAACAUCACUCAUGGCAUUAACCAAUGCAUUCUUGUGCACCAUAUCAUAAUACUCAGGCACAUGAUUGCGGCGGCUCAACUUCCUCAACUCAUCGGCAGAUAAUUGCAUCUGUCUAAUGGCGUCUAAAAGACCAUCCCAAACUUGAUUAUAUCUCUGCGCCUACAACCAAUUGAAUAAUGACAUUCAAUAUCACAUUAUAGUAAUGACUGUUACUAUAAUAACACAUUAUGUUAUUUACAGUAAAAACAUACCGGAUCAUGUGUCCUACAUAAUCGAUGGCGCGGACGUAAUCUACUAGUGCCAUAAUCAAUGUUGCUCGUGUCGACGAUGCCUGUGCGCCUAAUCCCAUCUGCAACUACUGCGACAUCUUUGCUUGUGUCGGCCCUAGCAGGUCCAGAUCCGAUAGGAAUUGAUCUUGGUGAUUUAUCCAUGGCCGCGGCGAAGGAACCUACGACGAGCUGCUCAAGGGGCGCCAGGAGAAAAGUGAGCACCUGAUAAUUCCCCAGGUCUGAACUGAACACCUGGUAAUUCUCCCUGUCUGAAACCAAGAUUUAUGACUACGAAAACUGACUACACCGUUUUCAACUGAACUGAAACACGUGUAGUUUUCAGUUCAGUUUUACGACUAGGGAAAGAGAGAGCUGCUAUUGAAAUGUGGGGAGUUCCUAUUGUUGCUCAUUGGACUUGUUUUUGUGAAGGAAAACUCUCCCAUACAUGAACAAAUGAAAAUUCUGUUUGGUGAGCAGUGCGCAUCACUUAUAUGGGCAGCAAGCCGGUUCGGCUCCACCUUGGAUGCAGAUCAAAGGCAGACGACCUUGCAAAUACAAGCAAUGAGAGUUGUCAAAUCCUUGGAACCCUACUCACCUGGAGCGCCGAGCGCCGGUAGGGAUAAAUAUCUUGUGUAGUCAUUUGUUAAGGCAAGAAUAUUAGCUUGUCUCUGAUCUGGUAGUAACAUGAUAACAAUUAUUAAUUUUGGGAAAAAAUCGUACGUACAUUAUUAAUUAAUAACAUUCGGAGUCAAGUCGAUAUUAUGCAUCAGUAAUAUUGUAUAAAAAAUUAGCCACCUUACUUUGAUGUAUGUUACAUGAUUUAAUCAUGAACAAAUAAAUAAAUAACGGGGAAUGGGAGGUAAUUAUGGUGGUCGAAAGAAAAAAACGGUAUUUUAUGGUGGCGGUGAGGUUAAAAUAGAGGGAAUGGUUGACGAAGAUAUUGAAAUAGAGAAAAAAAUGGAAUAUAGGGUGAGAAAUUUAGAAGGUAGGGUUAGCUUCCGUUCUUUUAUCCGCAGCCACAAGUUUUGCUCUGCGUCUCCCAAGUUCCCGAUCUCGGCCGCGCGAGUCAGUGCACCCCGUGCGUGAUCAACAGGUCCUUCCUGCUGCUGGCUGUCUACCCCCCGCGGUGCGGCGAAAGGAACAGUGAAAAAGGAAGAAUCUCUGAUCGAGGUUCCUGUCCGGUUUGCAGAAUCUUGGCGGCCAGCCAUAUAUGGGUGUACUGCUAGGUUCCGGGAGGUUCUUGGCGCGACGGCCUCCCCUCGCUGCUCUCGAGGCUCCCCGGACAAAAGCGGCAGCGACAAAGGUACGCGAUCCGGUAACUGUCACUGUCUAGUUCCUUUCUGCUACCGUAGAACUGUUUGGUGAAAUGCCACUGAGAGAUCCAACACGGUUUAAGAAGUAGCCCGGUCAUCGCAUCAGGAGUGCAGGACGCAACUGCCUGCUUGAUGCGAUCUGUUUAUCUGAUCGCGUAGGGCCUGCUAAGAUUUGAGUUGGCCCUGCUUGCUUGCUUGCUUCAAUUUCAAGAGGCCGGUGCAGGUUUUGGUGGUUGUCUGCGACCUUUAGACAAGAUAUGUAUACGUUAUAGUUUGACGUAAGGAGUUGUAUUAAGCCGAGCGAGAGAAAAAAAUCAAAGAUGCACCAGUUGUGUAGACCGUCCUCAUGUUGGCGUUCAUUUCCCUUUGUGUGUGUCUGAAUGAGGUUUACAGUCCACAAUCCAGUAGUUAGGUCCUGACUAAUCCAAAACACUGUUACUCCAUUUUUUUGGUUUUUGACACGAUGCAAACUCUCCUUCACUGUAAUUGAAACCUUUUCUUUUUUUUAAAAAAAAUGUCAGCAGUAUGAUGGUUUUGAAGAAGAUAUUGGAAUAACUGAAACCCUAACCCUACACUAGGGUGGGCUUGUAUAUUAAUAGACUGAGUUGGGCCUGGCCCAUUACAAAUACAGGGGUACAAUUCUAACACCCCCCCGCAGUCGCAACUCUAUCCUGUACAGAUGUUGAGACUGGAGCGAAAGUCUAAAAAUACACUCGACGGUAACCCCUUGGUGAAGAUGUCGGCGAACUGCAGCGUGGUGGGGACGCUGAGAACCCGAACGUCACCGGCGGCGACACGCUCCCGGACGAAGUGCAGGUCGAUCUCCACGUGCUUCGUGCGUUGAUGUUGCACGGGAUUGGUGGAGAGGUAGACCGCGCUGACGUUGUCGCAGUAGACGAGGGUGGCGCGCUGGAGGGGACUGUGGAGCUCAUGGAGGAGCUGUCGCAUCCAGGAGGCCUCUGCCACGCCGUUGGCCACAACGCGGUAUUCGGCCUCAGCACUGGAGCGAGAGACAACGGGCUGCCGCUUGGCGGCCCAGGAGACGAGGUUGGCGCCCAGGAACACGGCGUAACCGGAGGUAGAUCGACGCGUGUCUGGACAGCCAGCCCAGUCGGCGUCGGUGUAGACCACGAGUUCCGACGUCGGGGAUGGUCGGAGUAGGAGGCCAUAGUCGAGGGAGCCGCGGAGGUAGCGCAGGAUCCGCUUGAGAGCGGUGAGAUGAGGCUCCCGCGGGGUGUGCAUAUGCAGGCACACCUGCUGAACGGCGUAGGCGAUGUCAGGUCUGGAGAAGGUGAGGUACUGGAGCGCGCCGGUCAGGCUCCGGUAGGACGUCGCAUCGGCGACCGGGGGCCCGUCGUCCUCUGAGAGCUUCGCCUGAGUGUCGACAGGCGUGGAGCAGGGCUUGCAGUCGGACAUGCCAGCCCGCUCCAGUAUGUCGAUGGCGUACUGGCGCUGAUGGAGGAAGAGACCCUGGGGCCGGCGCUCGGCGGUGAUGCCGAGGAAGUGGUGGAGGGGCCCCAGGUCCUUCAUCGCGAACUCCCGCUGCAGGGCAACGAUCGUGCGCUGUAGAAGGUCGGCAGUGGAUGCCGUGAGCACAAUGUCGUCGACGUAGAGCAGAAGGAAGACGGUGUCGUCGCCGCGACGGUAGAUGAAGAGGGACGUGUCCGACUUGGCCUCGACGAAGCCGAUGGAGGCCAAGUAGGAAGCGAAGCGACUGUACCAGGCCCGCGGCGCCUGCUUGAGGCCGUAGAGGGAGCGGUUCAGCCGGCAGACCAGGUCCGGACGAGCUUCGUCGACGAAGCCGGUAGGCUGGCUGCAGUAGACAGUCUCCGUCAGAGUGCCGUGGAGGAAGGCAUUCUUGACGUCGAGCUGAUGGAUCGCCCAGUCCCGGGAGAGGGCGAGGGAGAGAACGGUGCGAACAGUGGCGAACUUGACGACGGGGCUGAAGGUCUCGUCGUAGUCCACUCCGGGGCGUUGGGUGAAGCCCCGAAGGACCCAACGGGCCUUGUAGCGGUCGAGGGAGCCGUCCGAGGUAAGCUUGUGGCGAAAUAGCCACUUGCCGGUGACCACGUUGGUGCCUGGUGGACACGGCACCAGGUCCCAGGUGUGGUUGGCCAGGAGGGCCGCGUACUCCUCCUCCAUAGCGCGUCGCCAGUGUGGGUCGGCGAGAGCGGUACGAACGGAGGAGGGGACCGGGGAGGCGUCCGGUGGAGUGGUAGUCGUAUCAGCUGCCAAGAUCAGCCGGUCGACAGGUCGAAGAAUGCCGGCGGCGCGCCGGGUCACCAUCGGGUGGACGUGCCCGGGGUCACGGUGGAUGGCGACCGGGUGGUACACCGAUGGCUCGGGGCGGUCAGCCUGGACGUCGGGGGCCGCGGGCGUGGCCGACUCGCGGCGGUGAUAGACGACAGCGGGGUCGGCGAAGCGCACCGGGCUCGUCGACGGGCCCGGGUCGGCAGGUGCCGAGGUAGUGACGUGGCGGCGGCGGUAGACGAGCGCGGGGUCCGCGAAGCGAGCCGUGGGCGUCGACGGGGCCGCGCAUGGUGCGGGAGGGGUCGGCGGGGCCGCGCGUGGCGCAGUCGUGGUCGGCGGGGCCGCGCGUGGCUCAGUCGUGGUCGGCGGGGCCGCGCGUGGCGCAGUCGUGGUUGACGGGGCCGCGCGUGGCGCAGGCGUGGUCGAUGGGGCCGCGCGUGGCGCAGGCGGUGGUCGACGGGGCCGCGCGUGGCGCAGGCGUGGUCGAUGGGGCCGCGCGAGGCGCAGGCGUGGUCGGCGGGGCCGCACGUGGCGCAAGCGUGACCGACGGGGCCGCGCGUGGCGCGGAAAUAGGCGCGAGCCGCGGCGCCGAGGCCGCAUGGGGUGCGGGUAACGGCGCAAGACGGGGCGCCUGGGAGGAGGGGGAGACCGGAUCGGACUCGAGGAGAGUGUCGAGAUCAGUGGGUGGGGAGGGGCCAGCAAGGGGAAACACAUCCUCGUCGAAGACGACGUGACGAGAGAUGAUGAUGCGGUGGGAGGCGAGGUCCAGACACCGAUACCCCUUGUGGUCAGAUGAAUAGCCAAGGAAGAGGCAGCGGGUGGAGCGAGGAGAGAGCUUAUGAGGGGCAGUAGCAGAAGUGUUAGGGUAGCAGGCACAGCCGAACACGCGAAGAUGGUCGUAGGUGGGGGUUGUGCCGUACAGUGCGAAGUGGGGAGUAGGGUGGCUCACCGCCUUGGAGGGAAGACGGUUGAGAAGGUGGGUGGCGGUGUGCAGGGCCUCUACCCAGUAGCUGGCAGGGAGAGACGCCUGGAAGAGAAGACAGCGGAUCAUAUUGGUGGUGGUGCGAAUCAUGCGUUCGGCCCGACCGUUUUGGGCAGAUGUGUAAGUGCACGAGAGACGCAACUGGACGCCAUGAGUGAGAAAGAAAGAGCGGGAGGCGUGAUUGUCGAACUCGCGGCCGUUGUCACACUGCAGGGCACGGACCGGGCGGUGAAACUGGGUGGAGACCCAGGCGAAGAAGUGUGUGAGGGUGGUGAACGUGUCGGACUUCAAUCUAAGAGGAAAAGUCCAAAGAAAAUGGGAAAAGUCAUCCAAAAUCACCAAAUAGUAUUUAUAACUAGAAAGACUGAGUACAGGAGAGGUCCAGAGAUCACAAUGAACCAGGUCAAAAGCCUGCUCAGCCCGAGAAGAGGAAGUGGUGAAUGGGAGACGAGUAUGCCGGCCUAACUGACAAGCAUGACAUAGACCCUCAAAAUGUCCCCUACUACAUGAAGGAUCUAGGCUACUGGUAAUCUUGGUCAUGACGGCAGGUCCUGGAUGGCCGAGACGACGAUGCCAAGUGGUGGAGGAGGUGGUGGAGACCAGGGCAGGAGGCGGAGACGCGCCGGAGGUGGAGGGCCGGAGCGUGUAGAGGGGCCCCGAGCUGUCACAGCGGGCGAGGGGAGUCCUGGUGGCCAGAUCCUUCACAGAAAAACCAGAGGGGUCAAACUCGAUGGAACAGGAGUUGUCAGUGGUGAAACGACGAACAGAGAGGAGAUUAUGAGUGAUGUGGGGGGCUACGAGAACGUCGUUGAGAUAGAAUGGUCCAGGGAGAACCGAGGCACCUACUGAGGUGACUGGCAGAGUGGAACCGUUCCCAACGACGAUCGAUGAAGGAUGAGAGGGAUGGGGGGAUGGGAGCGGGAGAGCGUGCCUGUAGUGGGAGUGGUGUGGUAGGAGGCACCAGAGUCGAUCACCCAGUCGGAGGAGGGAGGGGUCAUCGCCAUGGUGCUGAAAGCGGCGGCGAGGGAGGCGUUGUCCCAGCCUCCAGACAGCGGGGACCAAGUCGUCAUGGGGGUCCCCGGGGGCAAUGCAGGCACGCCGUAGGGAGGCGUUGGAGGCACGCCGUAGGGAGGCGUGGGAGGCACGCCGUAGGGUGGCGCAGUCAGGAGAGCCGGCGCCGGGGGACGGGAGGCACGUGGGGCCUGGCCCGACCACAUGGCGAUGGUCCUGGUCCAGGGGUUAUAGAGUGACGGCCACGCCUGGCCGGCACCCCGACCGAGGGAACCACCACGAGAGGAGCCGCCACCCCCACGGCCGCCCUUGCGGGAACGACGACCACCAUCGGCGGCGGACGUCUGACGAGGGGCCACAGGGACGGCGGGUGUGGGGCGGGUAGGGGCCCCGGUCGACGGAGGACGAGGGGCCGAGCCCCCUGAAGGAGCCUGACCACCGGGAGGUGCGCUGUAGAGCGCCGGAGCCGGAGCAGCGGCCUCAGACGCCAUGGUGAGUUCCUCGAGGAGAAGCUCGUUCCUGACGGCAUGGAAUGUGGGAAAGGGAACGGUCCUCUUGAUGAGAGCCUUCAGGUGACCAUAGCGGGGGCUGAGGCCACGCAAAAGGUUCAACACCAAGGUCCGGUCGGCGACAGGCUCGCCGAGAUCGCGGAGAGAGUCCGCCAUGCCCUUCAUCUGGCGGCAGUACUCGUCCACGGAGAGGUCCCCCUGAGAGAACAGGUGGAACUGGGCGUCGAGGUGCAGAGCGCGAGCGUCCCGGUUCCCGAGGAACUGUUCUUCGAGGGCGAGCCACGCCUGACGGCCCGUGUCCGCCUGGUCGCGGAUGAUGUCCUGGAGCUCGACGGUGAUGGUUCCGUGGAGCCAGGAGAGGACCACGGAGUCCAUCAGGGACCAGGCUGGGGACGGCGGGGUGGCGAUGUCGUCGAGGACGUGGUCGUCGAGGGCGUAGCGCCGCAAGGUGAGGAGGACUUGCCCCCUCCAGCGAGGGUAGUGGGAGGACGCCGGGUCCAGAACGACGAACACGAGGGACCGGAUGUUCUGAAGUCCGGCCGCCUGGGCGUGGAGAGCGGCGAUGUGGUUAGCAUCGAGGCCAGAGGCGUGGGGAGCCUCUGGGGUGGGCGGGGGUGUCUCCUGGGCGACCGGAGGAGGUCCGAUGACGAGACGCUGCGCAGUGGCCAUCUGGGCGGUCAGGGUGGCGGCCAAGGCGCGCUCCUGUUCUAGGGCGCGGGACGCGGCGCGCUCGCGCUCCUGAGAGGCGGCCAGGGCAGCCUGGAGAGCCGCGAUGGGCGAUGACAUGGUGGAGUCGGUGGAGAGCGUCGGGGAAGCCCAGGUGGCAUCGGCGACGAGCGGACGAGUGGUGGAGAACCCAGGGGGUGGCUGCCUGGGGAGGCGGGUCGGCGAUAGAAGACCGGUAAGGGCGCCAGUAGACGCCGGGUAGCCCGGUAGGCCGAGCCCGAAGGGGGCGAGGUCAGCAGCGCGUGCGCUGGCCGCAGCAGUGGCGCUAGGCAUGUAGGGGCUGGCAGCCAGGCGCACGUCGACGCCGGUGGUUGCUGCGCCAGCAGUGGGUAGACCUGCGGCAGCGCCAGCAGGGACUAGACCCGCGGCAGCGCCAGCAGGAGCCAGACUGACGGCUGCUCUGGCGUGGGCGGCCGCGUCGGGCGUGCCGACGCCGACGGUCUGCAGGGCGACGGUGUGAAGGUGGUCCAUGGCCGUCGAGGGCGCGAGCGGUGGAGCAGACGAAGCCGCGGCCCUUGUAGCAGAAGCAGCACCGGAUGUGGCCGCUGUUGGGGACCGUCGCGUCCGCGCUGGCGGGAGAUGGGACGGAGGAGGAGGAGCGGCGGCGCGCGGGCAGAGGAGUGCCGGCGGCGCGCGCAGAGGAGUGCAGGCGGCGCGGCUCAGUGGAGCACGGACGACGGCGCAGGGGCCGGCGGCGGUGGAGCGGCGGCGCGCGCAGGAGCGCUGGUGGCGGCGCUGGGGCCCUGGCGGCGACGCGACCAGCAGGAGCAGUAGCGGCGUUGGGGCCCUGGCGGCGGCGCGACCAGCAGGAGCAGAGGGUGGCGCGACCAGGGGAGGAGAAGGAGCAGGGGAGCGGCCGGCGCUGGUGCAGGGGAGGCGGCGCCUGUGCCGGCGGCUGGGAGAAGGGAGAAAAAAAAACUGGCUCUAUACCAUAUUGGAAUAACUGAAACCCUAACCCUACACUAGGGUGGGCUUGUAUAUUAAUUGAUAGUCGCCUAGAGGGGGGGUGAAUAGGGCGAAACUGAAAUUUACAAAUAUAAACACAACUACAAGCCGGGUUAGCGUUAGAAAUAUAAAUGAGUCCGAGAGAGAGGGCGCAAAACAAAUCCCAAGCGAAUAAGCAAGAGAGACACGGAGAUUUGUUUUACCGAGGUUCGGUUCUUGCAAACCUACUCCCCGUUGAGGAGGCCACAAAGGCCGGGUCUCUUUCAACCCUUCCCUCUCUCAAACGGUCCCUCGGACCGAGUGAGCUUCUCUUCUCUAAUCAAAGCCGGGAACAAAACUUCCCCGCAAGGGCCACCACACAAUUGGUGCCUCUUGCCUUGAUUACAAUGGAGUGUGAUCUCAAGAACAAGUGAGAAAGAAAAGAAGCAAUCCAAGCGCAAGAGCUCAAAUGAACACGGCAAAUCACUCUCACUAGUCACUAGGGCUUUGUGUGGAAUUGGAGAGGAUUUGAUCUCUUUAGUGUGUCUAGAAUUGAAUGCUAGAGCUCUUGUAGUAGUUGAGAAGUGGAAAACUUGGAUGCAAUGAAUGGUGGGGUGGUUGGGGUAUUUAUAGCCCCAACCACCAAACUUGACCGUUGGCUGGAGGCGUCUGCUCGAUGGCGCACCGGACAGUCCGGUGCACACCGGACAGUCCGGUGCCCCUGCCACGUCAUCACUGCCGUUGGAUUCUAGCCGUUGGAGCUUCUGACUUGUGGGCCCGCCUGGGUGUCCGGUGCACACCGGACAUGUACUGUUUGAUGUCCGGUGCACCGGUAUGGGCAAGUCUGACGUCUGCGCGCGCUGCGCGCGCAUUAAAUGCACCGCAGAGAGCCGUUGGCGCCGAAGAGAGCCGUUGCUCCGCUGGCACACCGGACAGUCCGGUGCACACCGGACAGUCCGGUGAAUUUUAGCGGAGCGGCUGCCACGCGAAACCGAGGCUGGCGAGUUCCGGAGGCCGCGCUUCCUUGGAGCACCGGACAUGUCCGGUGCACACCGGACAGUCCGGUGAAUUAUAGCGCGCCGGCUUCCGAGAAAUCCCGAGGGUGAAGAGUUUGAGUCUGAGUCCCCUGGUGCACCGGACAGGUAUUGUUCACUGUCCGGUGGCACACCGGACAGUCCGGUGCGCCAGACCAGGGGUGCCCUCGGUUGCCCCUUUGCUCCUUUAUUGAAUCCAAAACUUGGUCUUUUUAUUGGCUGAGUGUGAACCUUUUACACCUGUAUAAUCUAUACACUUGGGCAAACUAGUUAGUCCAAAGAUUUGUGUUGGGCAAUUCAACCACCAAAAUUAUUUAGGAACUAGGUGUAAGCCUAAUUCCCUUUCAAUCUCCCCCUUUUUGGUGAUUGAUGCCAACACAAACCAAAGCAAAUAGAGAAGUGCAUAAUUGAACUAGUUUGUAAAAGGUUGCUUGGAAUUGAGCCAAUAAAACUACUUACAAGAUAUGCAUGGAAUGUUUCUUUCUUAUUUAGCAUUUUGGACCACGUUUGCACCACAUGUUUUGUUUUUGCAAGUCCUUUUGUAAAUCCAUUUCAAAGAUCUUUUGCAAAUAGUCAAAGGUAAAUGAAUAAGAGUUUGCAAAGCAUUUUUAGGAUUUGAAAUUUUCUCCCCCUGAAUCAAAUGCUUUUCCUUUGACUAAACAAAACUCCCCCUAAAAGAUAUCCACCUCUUAGUGUUCAAGAGGGUUUUGAUAUAUCAUUUUGAAAUGCUACUUGCUCCCCCUUUGAACACAAUAGGAUACCAAUUGAUAAAUACUUCUUUGAAAAUACUAAGUUUUUGAAAUUGGUGGUGGUGCGGUCCUUUUGCUUUGGGCUCAUUUCUCCCCCUUUUUGGCAUGAAUCGCCAAAAACGGAAUCAGUAGAGCCCUUAAAGUAAUUUCUUCCCCUUUGGUCAAAAGUAAAUGAGUUAAGAUUAUACCAAAGACGAAAUCCGGUCCUUUUGCUUUUGAGCUUUUACUCUCUCCUCCAAGGAUGAAGUCCUUUUCUUUGAUGCUCAUUUCUCCCCAAGGAAUAGAGAGUUGCUCGGAGUGAUGGCGAAGCAUGAGUUACGGAGUGGAAGCCUUUGUCUUCGCCGAAGACUCCAAUUCCCUUUCAAUAUACCUAUGACUUGGUUUGAAAUAGACUUGAAAACACAUUAGUCAUAGCAUAUAAAGGAGAUAUGAUCAAAGGUAUUCAAAUGAGCUAUGUGUGCAAGCUUAGCAAAAGAAAUUUCUAGAAUCAAGAAUAUUGAGCUCAUGCCUAAGUCUGGUAAAAGAUUGUUCAUCAAGUGGCUUGGUAAAGAUAUCGGCUAAUUGAUCUUUAGUAUUAAUGUAAGAAAUCUCGAUAUCCCCCUUUUGUUGGUGAUCCCUAAGAAAAUGAUACCGAAUGGCUAUGUGCUUAGUGCGGCUAUGCUCGACGGGAUUGUCGGCCAUUUUAAUUGCACUCUCAUUAUCACAUAGCAAAGGGACUUUGGUUAAUUUGUAACCGUAGUCCCGCAGGGUUUGCCUCAUCCAAAGCAAUUGCGCGCAACAAUGUCCUGCGGCAAUGUACUCGGCUUCGGCGGUGGAAAGAGCGACCGAAUUUUGCUUCUUUGAAGCCCAAGACAUCAAGGAUCUUCCCAAGAACUGGCAAGUCCCCGAUGUGCUCUUCCUAUUGAUUUUGCACCCCGCCCAAUCGGCAUCCGAAUAACCAAGUAAAUCAAAUGUGGAUCCCCGAGGGUACCAAAGCCCAAACUUAGGGGUAUAAGCCAAAUAUCUCAAGAUUCGUUUUACGGCCGUAAGGUGGGAUUCCUUAGGGUCGGAUUGGAAUCUUGCACACAUGCAAACGGAAAGCAUAAUGUCCGGUCGAGAUGCACAUAAAUAAAGCAAUGAACCAAUCAUCGACCGGUAUACCUUUUGAUCCACGGACUUACCUCCCGUGUCGAGAUCGAGAUGCCCAUUAGUUCCCAUGGGUGUCUUGAUGGGUUUGGCAUCCUUCAUCCCAAACUUAGCAAGAAUGUCUUGAGUGUACUUCGUUUGGCUAAUGAAGGUGCCCUCUUGGAGUUGCUUGACUUGGAAUCCUAGAAAAUACUUCAACUCCCCCAUCAUCGACAUCUCGAAUUUCUGUGUCAUGAUCCUACUAAACUCUUCACAUGUAGACUCGUUAGUAGACCCAAAUAUAAUAUCAUCAACAUAAAUUUGGCAUAUAAACAAGUCAUUUUCAAGAGUUUUAGUAAAGAGUGUAGGAUCGGCCUUGCCGACUUUGAAGCCAUUAGCAAUAAGGAAAUCUCUAAGGCAUUCAUACCAUGCUCUUGGGGCUUGCUUGAGCCCAUAAAGCGCCUUAGAGAGCCUAUAGACAUGAUUAGGAUACUCACUGUCUUCAAAGCCGGGAGGUUGCUCAACAUAGACCUCUUCCUUGAUCGGUCCAUUGAGGAAGGCACUUUUCACGUCCAUUUGAUAGAGCUUAAAGCCAUGGUAAGUAGCAUAGGCCAAUAAUAUGCGAAUUGACUCAAGCCUAGCUACGGGUGCAUAGGUUUCACCGAAAUCCAAACCUUCGACUUGUGAAUACCCUUUGGCUACGAGUCGAGCUUUGUUCCUUGUCACCACACCAUGCUCAUCUUGCUUGUUGCGGAAGACCCAUUUGGUUCCUACAACAUUUUGGUUAGGACGUGGAACAAAAUGCCAGACCUCAUUCCUCGUGAAAUUGUUGAGCUCCUCUUGCAUCGCCACCACCCAAUCCGAAUCUUGGAGAGCUUCCUCUACCCUGUGUGGCUCAAUAGAGGAAACAAAAGAGUAAUGUUCACAAAAAUGAGCAACCCGAGAUCGAGUAGUUACCCCCUUAUGAAUGUCGCCGAGGAUGGUGUCGACGGGGUGAUCUCGUUGGAUUGCUUGGUGGACUCUUGGGUGUGGCGGUCUUGGUUCUUCCUCAUCCUCCUUUUCUUGAUCAUUUGUAUCUCCCCCUUGAUCAUUGCUAUCAUCUUGAGGUGGCUCGUCUUCUUGAUUUUGCUCUUCAUCAUUUUGAGCCUCAUCCUUAUUUUGAGUUGGUGGAGAUGCUUGCAUGGAGGAGGAUGGUUGAUCUUGUGUACUUGGAGGCUCUUCGGAUUCCUUAGGACACACAUCCCCGAUGGACAUGUUCCUUAGCGCGAUGCAUGGAGCCUGUUCUUCACCUAUCUCAUCAAGAUCAACUUGCUCUACUUGAGAGCCGUUAGUUUCAUCAAACACAACGUCACAAGAGACUUCAACUAGUCCAGUGGACUUGUUAAAGACCCUAUAUGCCCUUGUGUUUGAGUCAUAACCAAGUAAAAAGCCUUCUACAGUUUUAGGAGCAAAUUUAGAUUUUCUACCUCUUUUAAUAAGAAUGAAGCAUUUGCUACCAAAAACUCUAAAAUAUGAAAUGUUGGGCUUUUUACCGGUUAGGAGUUCAUAUGAUGUCUUCUUGAGGAUUCGGUGAAGAUAUAACCGGUUGAUGGCGUAGCAGGCGGUGUUGACCGCUUCGGCCCAAAACCGGUCCGGUGUCUUGUACUCAUCAAGCAUGGUUCUUGCCAUGUCCAAUAGAGUUCGAUUCUUCCUCUCCACUACACCAUUUUGUUGUGGCGUGUAGGGAGAGGAGAACUCAUGCUUGAUGCCCUCCUCCUCAAGGAAGCCUUCAAUUUGAGAGUUCUUGAACUCCGUCCCGUUGUCGCUUCUUAUUUUCUUGAUCCUUAAGCCGAACUCAUUUUGAGCUCGUCUCAAGAAUCCCUUUAAGGUCUCUUGGGUUUGAGAUUUUUCCUGUAAAAAGAAUACCCAAGUGAAGCGAGAAUAAUCAUCCACAAUAACAAGACAAUACUUACUCCCGCCGAUGCUUAUGUAAGCAAUCGGGCCGAAUAGAUCCAUGUGGAGUAGCUCAAGCGGCCUGUCGGUCGUCAUGAUGUUCUUGUGUGGGUGAUGGACUCCAACUUGCUUCCCUGCCUGGCAUGCGCUACAAAUCCUGUCUUUCUCAAAAUGAACAUUUGUUAAUCCUAAAAUGUGCUCUCCCUUUAGAAGCUUAUGAAGAUUCUUCAUCCCAACAUGGGCUAGUCGACGAUGCCAGAGCCAACCCAUGUUAGUCUUAGCAAUUAAGCAAGUGUCGAGUUCAGCUCUAUCAAAAUCUACCAAGUAUAGCUGACCCUCUAACACUCCCUUAAAUGCUAUUGAAUCAUUACUUCUUCUAAAGACAGUGACACCAACAUCAGUGAAUAGACAGUUGUAGCCCAUUUGACAUAAUUGAGAAACAGAAAGCAAGUUGUAAUCUAAGGAAUCUACAAGAAAAACAUUGGAAAUGGAAUGGUCAGGAGAUAUAGCAAUUUUACCAAGACCUUUGACCAAACCUUGAUUUCCAUACCCGAAUGUGAUAGCUCGUUGGGGAUCUUGGUUUUUCUCAUAUGAGGAGAACAUCCUUUUCUCCCCUGUCAUGUGGUUUGUGCACCCGCUAUCGAGUAUCCAACUUGAGCCCCCGGAUGCAUAAACCUACAAAACAAUUUUAGUUCUUGACUUUAGGUACCCAAACGGUUUUGGGUCCUUUGGCAUUAGAAACAAGAACUUUGGGUACCCAAACACAAGUCUUGGAGCCCUUGUGUUUGCCCCCAACAAAUUUGGCAACUACCUUGCCGGAUUUGCUAGUAAGCACAUAAGAUGCAUCAAAAGUUUUAAAUGAAAUGGCAUGAUCAUUUGAUGCAUUAGGAAUUUUCUUCUUAGGCAACUUAGCAUGGGUUGGUUGCCUAGAACUAGAUGUCUCACCCUUAUACAUAAAAGCAUGAUUAGGGCCAGAGUGAGACUUCCUAGAAUGAAUCUUCCUAAUUUUGCUCUCAGGAUAGCCGGCAGGGUAUAAAAUGUAACCCUCGUUAUCCUGAGGCAUGGGAGCUUUGCCCUUAACAAAGUUAGACAAGUUCUUAGGAGGGGCAUUAAGUUUGACAUUGUCUCCCCUUUGGAAGCCAAUGCCAUCCUUGAUGCCAGGGCGUCUCCCAUUAUAAAGCAUGCUACGAGCAAAUUUAAAUUUCUCAUUUUCUAAGUUGUGCUCGGCAAUUUUAGCAUCUAGUUUAGCUAUAUGAUCAUUUUGUUGCUUAAUUAAAAUCAUGUGAUCAUGAAUAGCAUCAAUAUCAACAUUUCUACAUCUAGUACAAAUAGAUACAUGCUCAACAAUAGAUGUAGAGGGUUUGCAAGAUUUUAAUUCUACAACCUUAGCAUGCAGCAUAUCAUUUUUAGUUCUAAGGUCAGAAAUUGUAACAUUGCAAACAUCUAGUUCUUUAGCCUUAGUAAUCAACUUUUCAUUUUCUACUCUAAGGCUAGCAAGAGAAAUGUUCAAUUCUUCAAUCCUAGCAAGCAAAUCAUCAUUAUUAUCUCUAGGAGUGGAAAUUGAAACAUCACAAACAUGAGAAUCAACCUUAGCAUUUAAAAUAGCAUUUUCAUUCCUAAGGUUGUCAAUUAUUUCACGGCAAGUGCUUAGCUCACUAGAUAAUUUUUCACAUUUUUCUACUUCUAGAGCAUAAGCCUUUUUAACCUUAACAUGUUUCUUGUUUUCUUUAAUUAGACAAUCCUCUUGGGAGUCCAAAAGGUCAUCCUUUUCAUGAAUAGCACUAACUAAUUCAUUUAAUUUUUCUUUUUGAGCUAUGUUGAGGUUGGCAAAAAGGGAACGCAAAUUAUCUUCCUCAUCACUAGCAUUGUCAUCACUAGAGGAUUCAUAUUUAGUGGAGGAUUUAGAUUUAACCUUCUUUUUGCCGUCCUUUGCCAUGAGGCACUUGUGGCCGAUGUUGGGGAAGAGGAGUCCCUUGGUGACGGCGAUGUUGGCGGCGUCCUCGUCGUCGGAGGAGUCGCUUGAGCUCUCGUCGGAGUCCCACUCGCGACAAACAUGGGCAUCGCCGCCCUUCUUCUUGUAAUACCUCUUCUUUUCCUUUCGUCUCCCCUUCUUGUCGUCACCUCGGUCACUGUCACUAGAUAUAGGACAUUUAGCAAUAAAAUGACCGGGCUUACCACACUUGUAGCAAACCUUCUUGGAGCGGGACUUGUAGUCUUUCCCCCUCCUUUGUUUGAGGAUUUGGCGGAAGCUCUUGAUGACGAGCGCCAUUUCCUCAUUGUCGAGCUUGGAGGCGUCGAUUGGUUGUCGACUUGGUGUAGCCUCCUCCUUCUUCUCCUCUGUUGCCUUGAAUGCAACGGGUUGGGCUUCGGACGAGUCGCCAAGCUCGUUGAUUUUCCUCGAGCCUUCUAUCAUGCACUCAAAACUUACAAAAUGCCCGAUAACUUCCUCGGGGGUCAUUUUAGUAUAUCUAGGAUUACCACGAAUCAAUUGAACUUGAGUGGGAUUAAGAAAAAUGAGAGAUCUUAAAAUAACAUUUACCACUUCGUGAUCGUCCCACUUCUUGCUCCCGAGGUUGCGCACUUGGUUCACCAAAGUCUUGAGCCGGUUGUACAUGUGUUGUGGCUCCUCUCCUUUGUGAAGCCGGAACCGACCGAGCUCCCCCUCGAUCGUUUCCCGCUUGGUGAUCUUGGUGAGCUCGUCUCCCUCGUGCGCGGUUUUGAGUACAUCCCAAAUCUCCUUGGCGCUCUUUAACCCUUGUACUUUGUUAUACUCCUCUCUACUUAGAGAGGCGAGGAGUAUUGUUGUUGCUUGAGAGUUGAAGUGCUCGAUUUGGGCCACUUCAUCCUCAUCAUAGUCCUCAUCCCCUACGGAUGGUACCUGCGCGCCAAACUCAACAACAUCCCAUAUGCUUUUGUGGAGCGAGGUUAGAUGAAAUCGCAUUAAAUCGCUCCACCUAGCGUAAUCUUCACCAUCAAAUGUUGGUGGUUUGCCUAAUGGGACGGAAAGUAAAGGUGUAUGUUUGGAAAUGCGAGGGUAACGUAGGGGGAUCUUACUAUACUUCUUGCGCUCUUGGCGCUUAGAAGUGACGGAGGGCGCAUCGGAGUCGGAGGUCGAUGUUGAUGAAGUGUCGGUCUCGUAGUAGACCACCUUCCUCAUCCUCUUGUGCUUGUCGCCUUUCCGAUGCGGCUUGUGGGAAGAAGAUUUUUCCUUCUUCUCUUUGUGAUGAGAAGAAGAUUUCUUCUCCUUCCCUUUGUUGGAGGAGCUCUUCUUCUUCUCCCUCCUUUUGGUGCGGGACUCUUCCGAUGAAGUGCUCCCGUGGCUUGUAGUGGGCUUUUCGCCGGUCUCCAUCUCCUUCUUGGCGUGAUCUCCCGACAUCACUUCGAGCGGUUAGGCUCUAAUGAAGCACCGGGCUCUGAUACCAAUUGAUAGUCGCCUAGAGGGGGGGUGAAUAGGGCGAAACUGAAAUUUACAAAUAUAAACACAACUACAAGCCGGGUUAGCGUUAGAAAUAUAAAUGAGUCCGAGAGAGAGGGCGCAAAACAAAUCCCAAGCGAAUAAGCAAGAGAGACACGGAGAUUUGUUUUACCGAGGUUCGGUUCUUGCAAACCUACUCCCCGUUGAGGAGGCCACAAAGGCCGGGUCUCUUUCAACCCUUCCCUCUCUCAAACGGUCCCUCGGACCGAGUGAGCUUCUCUUCUCUAAUCAAAGCCGGGAACAAAACUUCCCCGCAAGGGCCACCACACAAUUGGUGCCUCUUGCCUUGAUUACAAUGGAGUGUGAUCUCAAGAACAAGUGAGAAAGAAAAGAAGCAAUCCAAGCGCAAGAGCUCAAAUGAACACGGCAAAUCACUCUCACUAGUCACUAGGGCUUUGUGUGGAAUUGGAGAGGAUUUGAUCUCUUUAGUGUGUCUAGAAUUGAAUGCUAGAGCUCUUGUAGUAGUUGAGAAGUGGAAAACUUGGAUGCAAUGAAUGGUGGGGUGGUUGGGGUAUUUAUAGCCCCAACCACCAAACUUGACCGUUGGCUGGAGGCGUCUGCUCGAUGGCGCACCGGACAGUCCGGUGCACACCGGACAGUCCGGUGCCCCUGCCACGUCAUCACUGCCGUUGGAUUCUAGCCGUUGGAGCUUCUGACUUGUGGGCCCGCCUGGGUGUCCGGUGCACACCGGACAUGUACUGUUUGAUGUCCGGUGCACCGGUAUGGGCAAGUCUGACGUCUGCGCGCGCUGCGCGCGCAUUAAAUGCACCGCAGAGAGCCGUUGGCGCCGAAGAGAGCCGUUGCUCCGCUGGCACACCGGACAGUCCGGUGCACACCGGACAGUCCGGUGAAUUUUAGCGGAGCGGCUGCCACGCGAAACCGAGGCUGGCGAGUUCCGGAGGCCGCGCUUCCUUGGAGCACCGGACAUGUCCGGUGCACACCGGACAGUCCGGUGAAUUAUAGCGCGCCGGCUUCCGAGAAAUCCCGAGGGUGAAGAGUUUGAGUCUGAGUCCCCUGGUGCACCGGACAGGUAUUGUUCACUGUCCGGUGGCACACCGGACAGUCCGGUGCGCCAGACCAGGGGUGCCCUCGGUUGCCCCUUUGCUCCUUUAUUGAAUCCAAAACUUGGUCUUUUUAUUGGCUGAGUGUGAACCUUUUACACCUGUAUAAUCUAUACACUUGGGCAAACUAGUUAGUCCAAAGAUUUGUGUUGGGCAAUUCAACCACCAAAAUUAUUUAGGAACUAGGUGUAAGCCUAAUUCCCUUUCAUUAAUAGACUGAGUUGGGCCUGGCCCAUUACAAAUACAGGGGUACAAUUCUAACAGAAGAAACAGUGUUUCUGCUUUCCGGAGAUUUCCACACUCGAAUUUGCACUAUUCUUCGUAUACCUAAUCCCUUUACACAGAAAAAGUUACUACCCGACUUUGAUUCUGUUUAUCCCUACAUUUGCUUUGGUGGAUUUUUGGUGGUGAUGAUUGAUGAAUUUCCAUCUUAAUUAUAGUUGUUUUUAGAAGUCUAUUCUACAUUAUGGUACAAGGUUAUGUAUGAUCUGAGAAACAUCUUAUGGCCAGAAUUUUGUUGCUGUACUAAUAAAAUAACAGUAGAUGGCUCGGGUCUCUCCUGCAAAACAAAAUUCUAACCAUAGAUUAGAUAGCUUGCAAGGAGAGGAUGGGGCACUGUUCUAAAAUUUGCUCCCAUCAGCCUGAAAACACAAAGUACAUUGCUCUAUAUUGUUCCUUUGCACAGGAUGUUUGGAAAAACCCCGAACUGGAUGUACGUGGCUAGCUGUAGCUCUAGUCUGCAAUUGCAAAAGACCUCCUAGAAAUGUGGUAAUAGUUCUGGUGGAAAUGAGAAAGGAAGCGAGUGGCAUCGUUGGCUACAUCUUGUGAAACCGUCGCAAUACACCAAACCAUAGCGUGUUUCAAAAAAAAAAAACUGACAAUCAUAUAGCAUCUACUACGUCAUCAUCAGGGAGGAUAUUGCUCAAACAAAGUUAGCAUUAGGAAGUUAAACCUUCUGUAUAGAUUUAAAUCUGCUGGUGUGACCCCACUGUGCCUUUUAAAGUUUCUUACUUCCCUUUUUGAUCAAGAUGACACCGUUCCUGCCUUCCUUUUUAACAAGAAAAAAAAAUCGCACUACUUAUCUGUCCAUAGUUACUUAGUUUAUUUUGGAUACCAUUAUGACGGUAAAAGUAACCAUCUCUUCUCUUCCUCGUCAGGUGAAACCUCUGCUGAUUGGGACAAGGCAUGGUCUGCCUUCAAGAAGAAAGGGAAGAGGACCCUGUUUUCUGAUUUCUCACCGGACAAGUACGUGACCUGGAACCCACGGCGCAGCGAGUAUCCAUUGUCAGAAGAGGUGGAUCCAAUCAAGAGAACUGAAAGAUCUAACUUGAUGCUGUGGACAAGCCCCCAGUUCACCUUGGUCGGGGCGAUUAUCAUCGUCUUGACAUUGCUAAUCUAUACACUAGUUGUUCCUCCUCCCAAGUAACUGCAGAGGUGACAACUACUAGGGGGGGUGAGCUGUAAACUAGUAGCAUUUCAAUUGGGAAGUCUGCAUUGUACAUUUUUUACGUGUACUAUGGCAACUAUAGCAGUAUUGAUUCAAUUGCAAUCAUGUAGAUACAACACCACUGUCCAUUCCAUUCUGGAGGUUUUCUUCAAUUGUGUGCUAAAUGGCUGCUGUCUGAGUCUUAUAUUCACUUAUUAUAAUGAAGAAAUAUUUGGGGUCAGGUAGAAUUAUAUGUUGGUCGAUAUUCGAUGCUCCUGAUGUGUGUUUCUAAACAGCAACUUACCAAUCCUAUCUCCCACCACAUACAUAUUUCAAACUUCACUCUAUGCAGCAUAAAAUAGUGUUUUGUACGACUACGCACGAUCUGGUGGAGAUAGCCUAAAGCUGUAUUAACCUGUGAAAGCUUGUACUAGUGUUGGGAGUGUUUGGGCAAUGGGGAACUGAUGGACACAUGAAAAUCACGUUUCUUAUUACAGAUAAAUUCAGGUCAAUGUCAGAUCAUUGCCUUCAUACAAUAAUAAGCCUUAGGCAUUAGGAUGUGUUUUAACAGACAAUUGGUCCACGGUGGUGGCCAGGACUUUCUUUCCCUGUGUGAAUGGAAUAGAAGAUGGGGUACAAUACAUUCCGGGACCUUUUCAAACCUGAGAGACGAGCUCCUUGCUCCCCAAGGAAGUUUGUCACACACACUCUCCCCCAUCGCCGCAUGUCCCCAGCAUCUCAUCUGCUCUGCGCCUAUAAAAGUGAGCAAGCCUUCGCCUCCUGCCGUCACUCACUCUGACAUCAGACACAACACACUCAGCAGACGGCUCUUCAGUCCCCUGAUUCCCGUGCCUUCCUGAGCAAGAAGCCACCCGCGGCGGCAAUGGAGCGGCAGGAGGCGGCGAGGCGGACCCUGCCGCGGCGCGGGCAGAUCAAGCUGCGCAUCUUCGCGAGCCUGUUCCGGUGCUUCAUCACCCCCGAGGCACCCGCGCGCAAGGAAGGCGACAAGAACAGAGAUGGCGGCGGCCGCCGCGUUUCCCCAGGUGGCUGACGCGGCUCGAGCGAUGCAGGAUGUUGUCUCUGAACUCCGGCUUCAGCUCGAGUGCUACGUCUCACUGUAUAUAAUAUAAUAGGCUUAGCUGCAGUACAGCCUGCGGAAGAGUGGUUCAAUUUUUCUGAGAAUUUGUUAGCCUGAAUGAUGACAAAAACAAAAAAAAACAGCCUGUUCAAGUGUAAAUUUCUACCUGUAGGGCUUGUUUGGGAUCAAGGGUUAUGGAGUGGAUUAAGGGGGCUAGAAUCCUCUAUUACUUAAUUUUGAAUAGUGAGGGAUUAUAGCCCCCUCAAUCCCCUCCAUUACCCUUUGUCCCAAACAAGACCGUAGAGUUGCAGUUGGGGUCAAGUGAUACCUUGACUUUGUAAAUUCGCCUCUCCGAAUAUACUGGUGUAAUCUACUUGUUUCAGCCAAUGCCUUGGCUACCGACACCGAGUACCGAGCAGUAUUGACAUCCCUCCCUCCAUUUCAUUUGGUCGAAUUUCCCUGGUAUCCUAAUCAGGAGUAAUAGCUAUUUGAUAGUUGGUUUAUUAACUAACCUGUUCUAAACCUCUUGGCUAAUUUUAACAGCUAAUAAUUAGUUUUAGAAGUUUGGAACAUUCGCUGGUUUAUUUACUAUAGUAAUGAUUUUGUAGGCCUUAGUACUGGUUCACUAUAGUAUUAACAUAGCCUUAGUACUCUUUCGUACUCACGAUUUUAGUUUCUGUCUAAAUGUAUUAACAAGUUCAUCUAUCCUUUAAAAUAGUAUUCUGACUUCCUUUUAAUCAUUUCCAUUUUUUGGUUAUUUCUUACCAGACCAUGUUAUCCCACCUUGGUCACCGACGGGAGCAUCCCGCCGGCCGGCCCGCCUCCCUCCCUCCCCAUUCUCAUCCUCUGCCAGCCAAUCCAAUUAAAGAAGUUACAUCUUAAACAUCAUGGUAUUGCACAUUUCUGAAUAUGGUUCUGCUCAAAAUAAUAAAUAAAUGAUUUCAAGUAACAUUUCCGAAUAUGCAACUUUUCCAAUGUAUUGUUUAUAGCAUUACUAUCCCUAUAGGCCAAUAAUCACAACAAGUCAAAGGUGACUUUAAUUUGUGUCACAUAGUUUUGAGUUGAUCUUUAUAUGUGCGUACUUCUUUGGAACGCGGGAAUUUCACAUAAACCAUAUAGGAAUUUUAUAGGAAUUAGUCAAAACCUAGGAAAAACACAGGAUUUAGGAAAUAAUCCUUCAACCCAAAGGAGCCCUAACCUCGUAGACAUGCUCGGGGAUAGCUUAAUUCUGCAACACCUACUGUCCAAAUGUUUGGCUGAACAUAGUUCUGACAAUAAUGGGCUCUAUAUACAAACAUCAUAUGUGUUAUUGAUGGGAAGAUGAAAAACAGGCUUGACACUUCUUUGCAUUUUUGUUGCAUAAUUUUUUUGAAUCCAUAUUACAGUUAUAAUGAUCCUACUAUCUCCACAGCUGAGCUAGUAAUGGAUGGAUCGAUGUCAGCUGUUAAAACAAUGGUGAUUAUGACAGGUAAAAUCAAGUACCGAAUCUUCCUGCCUUCCCUUAAAUGUGUUUGUGUGUUUCAGAUUUGAUUAAUGUUGACCCUCACUUGGCAUUCUGUGUUGUAGAAUCACACGAAGAAAAUAAUAAUGUGAACCAAGCAAUCUGUAACACUAGUAAAAAAUGCGAGUGCUCACCUUCUUCACUCCGAAGGACCAAGCUUCACAUCGGUAAUGCAUGUCGGCGCCCGAUUCCACGAGACAUCGGCAAUGACAAGGUUUUGCAUCAAUGGGGUUGUGGGAUCCUGGCAAAGAGUGGUUGGCAUUAUGUGCGUACCAAAGCGAGGAGAGGGUGGAGCAAUGCGCAUCAUAAAGCACUGGUGAAGAGCAUGAGGCGGUCGUCACACGAUGGCAAAGCGACGUUGUGUCCCCCCGCCCCAAUGUCAUCAAUGUGGUGAGCAGGUAUAUGCAUGAGUACUAGGGAUGGAAAUUUAAUCCGUGGAUUUGGAUAUCCGGCGGAUAUCCAACCCGACGGAUUAGGAUAUGGAUAUGUUUUUUGACCCGCGGGUUAGACCCGUAUCCGAUCCGAGAUAAAGUGGGCAUGGAUUUGGAUAUUAAAUCUCACCCGUGGAUAAUCCGUUGGAUAUCCGAAAUUAACCAUUAGUUUAUUAUUGAGCCCAGGCGCCAGCCCACCAAAGUAACAUUCAGCGCACCAAAGCACCAAGCCACCAGCCCACCAUAAUCCCUAAUUUCCCAAUCCCCAUCCGACCAUCCCCUAGCCUCAAUCGUUCAAUCCCAGCCUCCCAGUCAUCCUGCAGCCUCAAGCGCAAAAGCCACCCGCGCCGCCUAGGCAACCCGCAAGCCACCCGCGUUGCCCCGGCCCCCCGUGCAGACGCAGCUCCAAGCUCCGCCCUGCUCUAAGCGCCGUCGGCCCCCGCGUAGACGCAGCUCUGAAAAUCUGAAAUCCGCCCUGCUCUGAGCUCCACCCUGCGCAGCUGCACUGAGCUCCGCUCUGCUCUGUUGAGACAUGUAGACAUGUAUUUUUGUCAUGUUGAGAAUAUUGCUUGUUGAAGGACAUGUGAAAGGGAAUUAGACUUACACCUAUUUCCUAAUUGAUUUAGGUGGUUGAAUUGCCCAACACAAAUAAUUGGACUAACUAGUUUGCUCUAGUCUAUAAGUUCUACAGGUGCCAAAGGUUCACAAUAAGCCAAUAAAAAGACCAAGAAAAGGGUUCAAACAAGAGAGCAAGGGAUAACCGAAGUGUGCCCUGGUCUGGCGCACCGGACUGUCCGGUGUGCCACCGGACAGUGUCCGGUGCACCAGGGGACUCCAAGCUGAACUCCUCACCUUCGGGAAUUCUCAGAGGCGCUCCGCUAUAAUUCACCGGACUGUCCGGUGCCCCAAGUAAGAGCGACUCUGAACUCGCCAGCUUCGGGAAUCCGCUCCGCUAAAAUUCACCGGACUGUCCGGUGUGACAGCGGAGCAACGACUACUUCGCGCGCAACGGCCGACUGCAGCGCAUUAGAUGCGCGCCUGCGCGCGCAGAGGAGCAGAGCACGCGCGGGUGGCACACCGGACAGCCUACAGGGCCUGUCCGGUGCACCACCGAACAGCCAGGCGGGCCCACAAGUCAGAGCUCCAACGGUCGGAACCCAACGGCCGGGUGACGUGGCUGGCGCACUGGACAGUGUCCGGUGGCGCACCGGACUGUCCGGUGCGCCCGUCGACAGCAGCCUCCACCAACUGUCAAGUUUGGUGGUUGGGGCUAUAAAUACCCCAACCACCCCCACAUUCAAGUCAUCCAAGUUUUCCACCUUCCAACUACUUACAAGAGCUCUAGCAUUCAAUUCUAGACACAACCAAAUAGAUCAAAUCCUCUCCCAACUCCACACAAAGCUCUAGUGAUUAGAGAGAGAGAUUUGUUGUGUUCUUUUGAGCUCUUGCGCUUGGAUUGCUUCUUUCUCAUUCUUUCUUGUGAUCAAAACUUAAUUGUAACCAAGGCAAGAGACACCAAUUGUGUGGUGGUCCUUGCGGGAACUUCGUGUUCCGUUUGAUUGAGAAGAGAAGCUCACUCGGUCCGAGGGACCGUUUGAGAGAGGGAAAGGCUUGAAAGUGACCCGGUCUUUGUGACCACCUCAACGGGGAGUAGGUUUGCGAGAACCGAACCUCGGUAAAACAAAUCCUUGUGUCUCACUUCUUAUUCGCUUACUAUUUGUUUUUGUGCCCUCUCUCGGACUCACAUUUAUUUCUAACGCUAACCCGACUUGUAGUUGUGCUUAAGUUGUUAAAUUUCAGAUUCGCCCUAUUCACCCCCCCUCUAGGCGACUUUCAAUUGGUAUCGGAGCUCGGUGCUUCAUUAGAGCCUAACCGCUCGAAGUGAUGUCGGGAGAUCACGCCAAGAAGCCCGCUACAAGCCACGGGAAGGCUCCAUCAGGAGAGUCCUACAACAAAGGGAAGGGGAAGGAAAAGGAAUCCCCUUCACACAAGUCGCGUCGGAGCAGUGACAAGAAAAAGAAGAUGAGGAAGGUGGUCUACUACGAGACCGACUCCUCGUCGCCAUCCACCUCUGGCUCCGACACGCCGUCCAUAACUUCUAAGCGCCAUGAGCGCAAGAAGUUUAGUAAGAUCCCCCUACGCUAUCCUCGCAUUCCUAAACAUGCACCUUUACUUUCCGUCCCAUUAGGCAAACCACCAACAUUUGAUGGUGAAGAUUAUGCUAGGUGGAGUGAUUUGAUGCGAUAUCACCUAACCUCACUCCACAAAAGUAUAUGGGAUGUUAUUGAGUUUGGCGUACAUGUACCAUCCGUAGGGGAUGAAGAUUAUGAUGAGGACGAAGUGGCCCAAAUCCAACACUUCAACUCCCAAGCCACAACUAUACUCCUCGCCUCUCUAAGUCGAGAGGAGUAUAACAAGGUGCAAGGAUUGAAAAGUGCUAAGGAGAUUUGGGACACGCUAAAGACCGCGCACGAAGGAGACGAGGUGACCAAGAUCACCAAGCGGGAGACGAUCGAGGGGGAGCUCGGUCGCUUCCGACUUCGCCAAGGGGAGGAGCCACAAGACAUGUACAACCAGCUCAAAACCUUGGUGAACCAAGUGCGCAACCUCGGGAGCAAAAAAUGGGAUGACCACGAAAUGGUUAAGGUUAUUCUAAGAUCACUUGUUUUCCUUAACCCUACUCAUGUUCAAUUAAUUCGUGGCAAUCCUAGAUAUACACUAAUGACUCCUGAGGAAGUAAUCGUGAAUUUUGUGAGCUUUGAAUUGAUGAUCAAAGGCUCAAAGAAGAUCAACGAGCUUGAUGGCCCCUCCACGUCCGAAGCACAACCGGUCGCAUUCAAAGCGAUGGAGGAAAAGAAGGAGGAGUCUGCAUCAAGUAGACAACCAAUCGACGCCUCAAAGCUCGACAAUGAGGAGAUGGCGCUCAUUGAAAGGGAAUUAGGCUUACAUCUAUUUUUCUAAUUGAUUUUGGUGGUUGAAUUGCCCAACACAAAUAAUUGGACUAACUAGUUUGCUCUAGUCUAUAAGUUAUACAGGUGCCAAAGGUUCACACUUAGCCAACAAAAAGACCAAGAAAUGGGUUCAACAAAGAGAGCAAGGGUUAACAGAAGGCAGCCCUGGUCUGGCGCACCGGACUGUCCGGUGUGCCACCGGACAGUGUCCGGUGCACCACGGGACUUCAAGCCAAACUCUUCACCUUUGGGAAUUUUCAGAGGCGCUUCACUAUAAUUCACCGGACAUGUCCGGUGCACACCGGACAGUGUCCGGUGCUCCAGGGGAGAGCGACUCUGAACUCGCCAGGUUCGGAUUUCCGCUCCGCUAUAAUUCACCGGACAUGUCCGGUGCACACCGGACUGUCCGGUGAGCCAGCGGAGCAACGACUACUUCGCGCCAACGGUCGUCUGCAACGCAUUAAAUGCGCGCCAGCGCGCGCAGAGGAGCAGAGCACGCGCGGGUGGCACACCGGACAGUCUACAGGACUUGUCCGGUGCACCACCGGACAGCCAGGCGGGCCCACACGUCAGAGCUCCAACGGUCGGAACCCAACGGCCAGGUGACGUGGCUGGCGCACCGGACAGUGUCCGGUGGCGCACCGGACUGUCUGGUGCGCCAUGUGACAGCAGCCUCCACCAAACGGCUAGUUUGGUGGUUGGGGUUAUAAAUACCCCCAACCACCCCACAUUCAAGUCAUCCAAGUUUUCCACCUUCCAACCACUUACAAGAGCUAGGCAUUCAAUACAAGACACACCCAAGUGAUCAAAUCCUCUCCCAAUUCCAUAAAAGCUUUAGUGUUAAGUGAGAGUGAUUUGUUGUGUUCUUUUGAGCUCUUGCGCUUGGAUUGCUUUCUUUCUCAUUCUUUCUUGAGAUCAAACUCACUUGUAAUUGAGGCAAGAGACACCAAUCGUGUGGUGAUCCUUGUAGGAACUUUGUGUUCCAAGUGAUUGAGAAGAAAAGCUCACUCGGUCCGAGGGACCGUUUGAGAGAGGGAAAGGGUUGAAAGAGACCCGGUCUUUGUGACCACCUCAAUGGGGAGUAGGUUUGCAAGAACCGAACCUCGGUAAAACAAAUCCACGUGUCACACUCUUCAUUCGCUUGCGAUUUGUUUUGCGCCCUCUCUCUCGGACUCGUUUCUAUUAUUAACGCUAACCCGGCUUGUAGUUGUGAUUAAUUUUGUAAAUUUUAGUUUCGCCCUAUUCACUCCCCCUCUAGGCGACUUUCAAUUGGUAUCAGAGCCUGGUGCUUCAUUAGAGCUUAACCGCUCGAAGUGAUGUCGGGAGAUCACGCCAAAAAGGAGAUGGAGACCGGCGAUAAGCCCACUACAAGCCACGGGAAAGCCUCAUCGGGAGAGUCCCGCAACAAAGGGAAAGGGAAGGAGAAGAAAUCAUCUUCCCACAAGUCGCAUCGGAGUGGCGACAAGAAAAAGAAGAUGAGGAAGAUGGUCUACUACGAGACCGAUACGUCAUCGCCUUCCACCUCCGGCUCCGACGCGCCCUCCGUAACUUCUAAGCGCCAUGAGUGCAAGAAGUUUAGUAAGAUCCCCCUACGCUACCCUCGCAUUCCUAAACAUACUCCAUUACUUUCCGUUCCAUUAGGCAAACUGCCAACCUUUGACGGUGAAGAUUAUGCUAGGUGGAGUGAUUUGAUGAAAUUUCACCUAACCUCACUCCACAAAAGUAUAUGGAAUGUUGUUGAGUUUGGAGCACAGGUACCAUCCGUAGGGGAUGAGGAUUAUGAUGAGGACGAGGUGGCCCAAAUCGAGCACUUCAACUCCCAAGCCACAACUAUACUCCUCAUCUCUCUAAGUCGAGAAGAGUAUAACAAGGUGCAAGGAUUAAAGAGCGCCAAGGAAGUUUGGGACGUGCUCAAGAUCGCGCACGAAGGAGAUGAGCUAACCAAGAUCACCAAACGGGAGACGAUCGAGGGAGAGCUCGGUCACUUCCGUCUUCUCCAAGGGGAGGAGCCACAAGACAUGUACAACCGGCUCAAAACCUUGGUGAAUCAAGUGCGCAACCUCGGGAGCAAAAAAUGGGAUGACCACGAAAUGGUUAAGGUUAUUCUAAGAUCACUUAUUUUCCUUAACCCUACUCAAGUUCAAUUGAUUCGUGGCAAUCCUAGAUAUACACUAAUGACUCCCGAGGAAGUGAUCGGGAAUUUUGUGAGCUUUGAGUUCAUGAUCAAAGGCUCAAGGAAGAUCAACGAGCUUGAUGGUCCCUCCACGUCCGAAGCACAACCGGUCGCAUUUAAGGCGACGGAGGAGAAGAAGGAGGAGUCUACACCAAGUAGACAACCAAUCGACGCCUCAAAGCUCGCCAAUGAGGAGAUGACGCUCGUCAUCAAGAGCUUCCGCCAAAUCCUCAAGCAAAGGAGGGGGAAGGAUCACAAAUCUCGCUCCAAGAAAGUUUGCUACAAGUGUGGUAAGCCCGGUCACUUUAUUGCAAAAUGUCCUAUUUCUAGUGACAGUGACAGGGGCGACGACAAGAAGGGGAGAAGAAAGGAGAAGAAGAGGUACUACAAGAAGAAGGGCGGCGAUGCCCAUGUUUGUCGUGAGUGGGACUCCGACGAGAGCUCCACCGACUCCUCCUCCGACGAGGACGCCACAAACAUCGCCGUCACCAAGGGACUUCUCUUCCCCAACGUCAGCCACAAGUGCCUCAUGGCAAAGGACGACAAAAAGAAGAAGGUUAAAUCCAAAUCCUCCACUAGAUAUGAGUCCUCUAGCGAUGAUAAUGCUAGUGAUGAGGAAGAUAAUUUGCGUACUCUUUUUGCUAACCUCAACAUGCAACAAAAGGAAAAACUAAAUGAACUAAUUAGUGCUAUCCAUGAAAAGGAUGAUCUCUUGGACUCUCAAGAGGACUUCCUUAUUAAAGAAAACAAAAAGCAUGUUAAGGUUAAAAAUGCUUACGCUCUAGAAGUAGAAAAAUGUGAAAAACUAUCUAGUGAGCUAAGCACAUGCCAUGAGACUAUAAACAACCUUAGAAAUGAGAAUGCUAAUUUGCUAGCUAAGGUUGAUGCAAAUGUUUGUGAUGUUUCAAUUCCCAAUCUUAGAAAUGAUAAUGAUGAUUUGCUUGCUAAGAUUGAAGAAUUAAACAUGUCUCUUGCUAGCCUUAGAAAUGAAAAUGAAAGAUUGCUUACUAAGGCUAAAGAAUUAGAUGUUUGCAAUGUUACAAUUUCCGAUCUUAGAGAUAAAAAUGAUAUAUUGUGUGCUAAGAUUGUUGAACUUAAUUCUUGCAAACCCUCUACAUCUACCACUGAGCAUGUCACUAUUUGCACUAGAUGUAGAGAUGUUGAUAUUAAUGCUAUUCAUGAUCACAUGGCUUUAAUUAAACAACAAAAUGAUCAUAUAGCUAAACUAGAUGCUAAAAUUACCGAGCAUGAACUAGAAAAUGAAAAUUUUAAAUUUGCUCGUAGUAUGCUUUAUAGUGGGAGACGCCCUGGCAUUAAGGAUGGCAUUGGCUUCCAAAAGGGGGACAAUGUCAAACUUAAUGCCCCUCCUAAGAAAUUAUCCAACUUUGUUAAGGGCAAGGCUCCUAUGCCUCAGGAUAACGAGGGUUACAUUUUAUACCCUGUCGGUUAUCCCGAGAGCAAAAUUAGGAGAAUUCAUUCUAGGAAGUCUCACUCUGGCCCUAACCAUGCUUUUAUGUAUAAGGGUGAGACAUCUAGUUCUAGGCAACCAACCCGUGCUAAGUUGCCUAAGAAGAAAACUUCUAGUGCAUCAAAUGAUCAUGACAUUUCAUUUAAAACUUUUGAUGCAUCAUAUGUGUUAACUAACAAAUCCGGCAAGGUAGUUGCCAAAUAUGUUGGGGCAAGCACAAGGGGUCAAAGACUUGUGUUUGGGUACCCAAAGUUCUUGUGUCUAAUGCCAAAGGACCCAAAACCAUUUGGGUACCUAAAGUCAAGAACUAAACUUGUUUUGUAGGUUUAUGCAUCCGGGGGCUCAAGUUGGAUCAUCGAUAGCGGGUGCACAAACCACAUGACAGGGGAGAAGAAAAUGUUCUCCUCCUAUGAGAAAAACCAAGAUCCCCAAUGAGCUAUCACAUUCGGGGAUAGAAACCAAGGUUUGGUCAAAGGAUUGAGUAAAAUUGCUAUAUCUCCUGACCAUUCAAUUUCCAAUGUUUUUCUUGUAGAUUCCCUAGAUUACAAUUUGCUUUCUGUUUCUCAAUUAUGUCAAAUGGGCUACAACUGUCUUUUUACUGAUGUAGGUGUCACUGUCUUUAGAAGAAGUGAUGAUUCAAUAGCAUUUAAGGGAGUGUUAGAGGGUCAGCUAUACUUGAUAGAUUUUGACAGAGCUGAACUCGACACUUGCUUAAUUGAUAAGACUAACAUGGGUUGGCUCUGGCACCGCCGACUAGCCCAUGUUGGAAUGAAGAGUCUUCAUAAGCUUCUAAAGGGAGAGCACAUUUUAGGAUUAACAAACGUUCAUUUUGAGAAAGACAGGGUUUGUAGCGCAUGCCAAGCAGGGAAGCAAGUUGGUGCUCAUCAUCCACACAAGAACAUCAUGACGACUGACAGGCCACUGGAACUCCUACACAUGGAUCUAUUCGGCCUGAUUGCUUACAUAAGUAUCGACGAGAGUAAGUACUGUCUAGUUAUUGUGGAUGAUUAUUCUCGCUUCACUUGGGUAUUCUUUUUGCAGGAAAAAUCUCAUACCCAAGAAACUUUAAAAGGAUUCUUGAGACGGGCUGAAAAUGAGUUCGGCUUAAGGAUCAAGAAAAUCAGAAGCGACAACGGGACGGAGUUCAAGAACUCUCAAAUUGAAGGUUUCCUUGAGGAGGAGGGCAUCAAGCAUGAGUUCUCUUCUCCCUACACACCACAACAAAAUGGUGUAGUGGAGAGGAAGAAUAGAACUCUAUUGGACAUGGCAAGAACCAUGCUUGAUGAGUACAAGACUUCAGAUCGGUUUUGGGCCGAGGCGGUCAACACCGCAUGCUACGCCAUCAACCGAUUGUAUCUACACCGAAUCCUCAAGAAGACAUCAUACGAACUCCUAACCGAUAAAAAGCCCAAUAUUUCAUAUUUUAGAGUCUUUGGCAGCAAAUGCUUUAUUCUUGUUAAAAGAGGUAGAAAAUCUAAAUUUGCUCCUAAGACUGUAGAAGGCUUUUUACUAGGAUAUGAUUCAAACACAAGGGCAUAUAGAGUCUUUAACAAGUCCUCUGGACAAGUUGAAGUUUCUUGUGACGUUGUGUUUGAUGAGACUAACGACUCUCAAGUAGAGCAAGUUGAUCUUGAUGAGAUAGGUGAUGAAGAGGCUCCGUGCAUCGCGCUAAGGAACAUGUCCAUUGGGGAUGUGUGUCCUAAGGAAUCCGAAGAGCCUCCAAAUGCACAAGAUCAACCAUCCUCCUCCACGCAAGCAUCCCCACCAACUCAAAAUGAGGAUGAGGCUCAAGUUGAUAAAGGAGAAGAUCAAAGAGAUGAGCCACCUCAAGAUGACGGCAAUGAUCAAGGGGGAGAUGCAAAUGAUCAAGACAAGGAGGAUAAAGAACCAAGGCCGCCACACCCAAGAGUCCACCAAGCAAUCCAACGAGAUCACCUCGUCGACACCAUCCUCGGCGACAUUCAUAAGGGGGUAACCACUAGAUCUCGUGUUGCACAUUUUUGUGAGCAUUACUCUUUUGUUUCCUCUAUUGAGCCACACAGGGUAGAGGAAGCACUUCAAGAUUCGGAUUGGGUGGUGGCGAUGCAAGAAGAGCUCAACAACUUCACGAGGAAUGAGGUAUGGCAUUUGGUUCCACGUCCUAAUCAAAAUGUUGUAGGAACCAAAUGGGUGUUUCGCAACAAGCAAGAUGAGCAUGGUGUGGUGACAACGAACAAAGCCCGACUUGUGGCCAAAGGAUACUCCCAAGUCGAAGGUUUGGAUUUCGGUGAAACCUAUGCACCCGUAGCUAGGCUUGAGUCAAUUCGCAUAUUAUUAGCCUAUGCUACUUACCAUGGCUUCAAGCUUUAUCAAAUGGACGUGAAGAGUGCCUUCCUUAAUGGACCAAUCAAAGAAGAGGUCUACAUUGAGCAACCUCCCGGCUUUGAAGAUAGUGAGUACCCUAACCAUGUAUAUAAACUCUCCAAGGCGCUUUAUGGGCUCAAGCAAGCCCCAAGAGCAUGGUAUGAAUGCCUUAGAGAUUUUCUUAUCACUAAUGGAUUCAAAGUCGGAAAGGCCGAUCCUACACUCUUUACCAAAACACUUGAAAAUGAUUUGUUUGUAUGCCAAAUUUAUGUUGAUGAUAUUAUAUUUGGGUCUACUAACGAAUCUACAUGUGAAGAGUUUAGUAGGAUCAUGACACAAAAAUUCGAGAUGUCUAUGAUGGGGGGAGUUGAAGUAUUUCUUAGGAUUUCAAGUGAAGCAACUCCAAGAGGGCACCUUCCUAAGCCAAACGAAGUAUACUCAAGAUAUUCUAAGCAAGUUUGGGAUGAAGGAUGCCAAACCCAUCAAGACACCCAUGGGAACCAAUGGGCAUCUCGACCUCGACACGGAAGGUAAAUCCGUCGAUCAAAAGGUAUAUCGGUCGAUGAUAGGUUCUUUACUCUAUUUAUGUGCAUCUCGACCGGAUAUUAUGCUUUCCAUAUGCAUGUGUGCAAGAUUCCAAGCCGACCCUAAGGAAGCUCACCUUACGGCCAUAAAACGAAUCUUGAGAUAUUUAGUUUAUACUCCUAAGUUUGGGCUUUGGUAUCCUAGGGGAUCCACGUUUGAUUUGAUUGGUUAUUCGGAUGCCGAUUGGGCGGGGUGUAAGAUUAAUAGAAAGAGCACAUCGGGGACUUGCCAGUUCUAAGGAAGAUCCUUGGUGUCUUGGGCUUCAAAGAAGCAAAAUUCCGUAGCUCUUUCUACCGCCGAAGCCGAGUAUAUUGCCGCAGGACAUUGUUGCGCGCAACUACUUUGGAUGAGGCAAACCUUUAGGGACUACGGUUACAAAUUAACCAAAGUUCCUCUUCUAUGUGAUAAUGAGAGUGCAAUUUGCAUGGCGGAUAAUCUCAUUGAGCAUAGCCGCACUAAACAUAUAGCCAUUCGGUAUCAUUUCUUAAGGGAUCACCAACAAAAGGGAGAUAUCGAGAUUGCAUACAUUAAUACUAAAGAUCAAUUAGCCGAUAUCUUUACCAAGCCACUUGAUGAACAAACUUUUAACAAACUUAGGCAUGAACUAAAUAUUCUUGAUUCUAGGAAUUUCUUUUGAUAUCUUGCAUGCAUAGCUCAUAAGUAUACCUUUGAUCAUGUCUCUUUUAUAUAUGCUCUGACUAAUGUGUUUUCAAGUAUAUUUCAAACCAAGUCAUAGGUGUAUUGAAAGGGAAUUAGAGUCUUCGGCGAAGACAAAGGCUUCCAUUCCGUAACUCAUCCUUCGUCGUCGCUCCGAGCAUCUCUCCGACUUUGGUAUAAUCUUCACUCAUUUAUUUAUGACCAAAGGGGGAGAAAGUAAUUCUAAGGGCUUAUAUCUCACUCAAGUAUCCGUUUUUGGCGAUUCAUGCCAAAGGGGGAGAAAGUAUUAGCCCAAAGCAAAAGGACCGCACCACCACUAAUUUUAAAAAGAGUUUUUCAAAUGAUAUGAUUUUCAAUUUGGUAUCUCCUUGUGUUCAAAAAGGGGAGAGAGUAGUAUUUUCAAAAUCAAUAUCUUAAAACCCUCUUGAACACUAAGAGGAGAAUUUCAUUAAGGGGGAGUUUUGUUUAAGUCAAAGGAAAAGCAUUCGAAACAGGGGGAGAGAAUUUCAAAUCUUGAAAAUGCUUCGCAAAGUCUUAUUCAUUUACCUUUGACUAUUUGCAAAAGAACUUUGAAAAGGAUUUAUAAAAGAAUUUGCAAAAACAAAACAUGUGGUGCAAGCGUGGUCCAAAAUGUUAAAAAUGAAGAAACAAUCCAUGCGUAUCUUAUAAGUAUUAAUAUUGGCUCAAUUCCAAGUAAUCUUUGCACUUACAUUUUGCAAAUUAGUUCAAUUAUACACUUCUAUACUUACUUUGGUUUGUGUUGGCAUCAAUCACCAAAAAGGGGGAGAUUGAAAGGGAAUUAGGCUUACAUCUAUUUUUCUAAUUGAUUUUGGUGGUUGAAUUGCCCAACACAAAUAAUUGGACUAACUAGUUUGCUCUAGUCAAUAAGUUAUACAGGUGCCAAAGGUUCACACUUAGCCAACAAAAAGACCAAGAAAUGGGUUCAACAAAGAGAGCAAGGGUUAACAGAAGGCAGCCCUGGUCUGGCGCACCGGACUGUCCGGUGUGCCACCGGACAGUGUCCGGUGCACCACGGGACUUCAAGCCAAACUCUUCACCUUUGGGAAUUUUCAGAGGCGCUUCACUAUAAUUCACCGGACAUGUCCGGUGCACACCGGACAGUGUCCGGUGCUCCAGGGGAGAGCGACUCUGAACUCGCCAGCUUCGGAUUUCCGCUCCGCUAUAAUUCACCGGACAUGUCCGGUGCACACCAGACUGUCCGGUGAGCCAGCGGAGCAACGGCUACUUCGCGCCAACGGUCGUCUGCAACGCAUUAAAUGCGCGCCAGCGCGCGCAGAGGAGCAGAGCACGCGCGGGUGGCACACCGGACAGUCUACAGGACUUGUCCGGUGCACCACCGGACAGCCAGGCGGGCCCACACGUCAGAGCUCCAACGGUCGGAACCCAACGGCCAGGUGACGUGGCUGGCGCACCGGACAGUGUCCGGUGGCGCACCGGACUGUCCGGUGCGCCAUGCGACAGUAGCCUCCACCAAACAGCUAGUUUGGUGGUUGGGGUUAUAAAUACCCCCAACCACCCCACAUUCAAGUCAUCCAAGUUUUCCACCUUCCAACCACUUACAAGAGCUAGACAUUCAAUACAAGACACACCCAAGUGAUCAAAUCCUCUCCCAAUUCCACAAAAGCUUUAGUGUUAAGUGAGAGUGAUUUGUUGUGUUCUUUUGAGCUCUUGCGCUUGGAUUGCUUUCUUUCUCAUUCUUUCUUGAGAUCAAACUCACUUGUAAUUGAGGCAAGAGACACCAAUCGUGUGGUGAUCCUUAUAGGAACUUUGUGUUCCAAGUGAUUGAGAAGAAAAGCUCACUCGGUCCGAGGGACCGUUUGAGAGAGGGAAAGGGUUGAAAGAGACCCGGUCUUUGUGACCACCUCAACGGGGAGUAGGUUUGCAAGAACCGAACCUCGGUAAAACAAAUCCACGUGUCACACUCUUCAUUCGCUUGCAAUUUGUUUUGUGCCCUCUCUCUCGGACUCGUUUCUAUUACUAACGCUAACCCAGCUUGUAGUUGUGAUUAAUUUUGUAAAUUUCAGUUUCGCCCUAUUCACCCCCCCUCUAGGCGACUUUCACUCAUCAUCAAGAGCUUCCGCCAAAUCCUCAAACAAAGGAGGGGGAACGAUUACAAGCCCCGCUCCAAGAAAGUUUGCUACAAAUGUGGUAAGCCCGGUCAUUUCAUUGCUAAAUGUCCAUUGUCUAGUGAUAGUGACAGGGGCGACGACAAGAAGGGGAGAAGAAAGGAGAAGAAGAGGUACUACAAGAAGAAGGGCGGCGAUGCCCAUGUUUGUCGGGAGUGGGACUCCGACGAGAGCUCCACCGACUCCUCCGACAAGGACGCCGCCAACAUCGCCGUCACCAAGGGACUCCUCUUCCCCAACGUCGGCCACAAGUGCCUCAUGGCAAAGGACGGCAAAAAUAAGAAGGUAAAAUCAAGAUCCUCCACUAAAUAUGAGACCUCUAGCGAUGAGGAUAAUGCUAGUAAUGAGGAGGAUAACUUGCGCAUCCUUUUUGCCAAUCUAAACAUGCAACAAAAAGAAAAAUUAAAUGAAUUGAUUAGUGCUAUUCAUGAGAAGGAUGAUCUCUUGGACACCCCAGAGGACUUCCUUAUUAAAGAAAACAAAAAGCAUGUUAAGGUUAAAAAUGCUUACGCUCUAUAAGUUGAAAAAUGUGAAAAACUAUCUAGUGAGCUAAGCACUUGUCAUAAUAUUAUUACCAACCUUAGAAAUGAGAAUGCAAAUUUAAUUGCUAAGGUUGAUUCGAAUGCUUGUGAUGUUUCAAUUCCCAAUCUUAGAGAUGAUAAUAUUGAUUUGCUUGCUAAGAUUGAAGAAUUGAAUAUCUCUCUUGCUAGCCUUAGAGAUGAAAAUGAAAAAUUGCUUGCUAAGGCUAAAGAAUUAGAUGUUUGCAAUGCUUCCAUUUCCGACCUUAGAAGUAAAAAUGAUAUAUUGCAUGCUAAGGUUGUAGAAUUAAAAUCUUGCAAACCCUCUACAUCUACCGUUAAACAUACUUCUAUUUGUACUAGAUGUAGAGACAUUAAUGUUGAUGCUAUUCAUGACCAUCUAGCUUUAAUUAAGAAACAAAAUGAUCACAUAGCUCAACUUAAUGCUAAAAUCAAUGAGCAUGACUUAGAAAAUGGAAAAUUUAAAUUUGCUAGAGGCAUGCUCUAUAGCGGGAGACGCCCUGGCAUCAAGGAUUGUCAAACUUUGUUAAGGGCAAGGCUCCCAUGCCUCAGGAUAACGAGGGUUACAUUUUGUACCCUGCCAGUUAUCCCGAGAAUAAAAUUAGGAGAAUUCACUCUAGGAAGUCUCACUCUGGCCCAAAUCAUGCUUUUAUGUAUAAGAGUGAGACAUCUAGCUCUAGGCAAUCAAUCCAUGCUAAAUUGGCUAAGAAGAAAACUCCUAGUGCAUCAAAUGAUCAUAAUAUUUCAUUUAAAACUUUUGAUGCAUCCUAUGUUUUAACUAACAAAUCCGGCAAGGUAGUUGUCAAAUAUGUUGGGGGCAAGCACAAGGGGUCAAAGACUUGUGUUUGGGUACCCAAAGUUCUUGUGUCUAAUGCCAAAGGACCCAAAACCAUUUGGGUACCUAAAGUCAAGAACUAAAUUUGUUUUAUAGGUUUAUGCAUCCGGGGGCUCAAGUUGGAUCAUCGAUAGCGGGUGCACAAACCACAUGACAGGGGAGAAGAAGAUGUUCUCCUCCUACGAGAAAAACCAAGAUCCCCAACGAGCUAUCACAUUCGGGGAUGGAAACCAAGGUUUGGUCAAAGGUUUGGGUAAAAUUGCUAUCUCACCUGACCAUUCCAUUUCCAAUGUUUUUUCUUGUAGAUUCUUUAGAUUACAAUUUGCUUUCCGUAUCUCAAUUAUGCAAAAUGGGCUACAACUGUCUUUUCACAGAUGCAGGUGUUACUAUCUUUAGAAGGAGUGAUGAUUCAAUAGCAUUUAAGGGAGUGUUAGAGGGUCAGCUAUACUUAGUAGAUUUUGAUAGAGCUGAACUCGACACUUGCUUAAUUGCUAAGACUAACAUGGACUGGCUCUGGCAUCGCCGACUAGCACAUGUUGGAAUGAAGAAUCUUCACAAACUUCUAAAAGGAGAACACAUUUUGGGACUAACAAAUGUUCAUUUUGAAAAAGACAGGAUUUGUAGUGCAUGCCAAGCAGGGAAGCAAGUUGGUGUUCAUCAUCCACAUAAGAACAUCAUGACGACUGACAGGCCACUCGAGCUCCUACACAUGGACCUAUUCAGCCCGAUAGCUUACAUAAGCAUCGGCGGGAGUAAGUACUGUCUAGUUAUUGUGGAUGAUUAUUCUCGCUUUACUUGGGUGUUCUUUUUGCAGGAAAAAUCUCAUACCCAAGAGACUUUAAAAGGAUUCUUGAGACGAGCUCAAAAUGAGUUCGGCUUAAGGAUCAAGAAAAUUAGAAGCGACAACGGGACGGAGUUCAAGAACUCUCAAAUUGAGGGCUUCCUUGAGGAGGAGGGCAUUAAGCAUGAGUUCUCUUCUCCCUACACGCCACAACAAAAUGGUGUAGUGGAGAGGAAGAAUCAAACUCUAUUGGACAUGGCAAGAACCAUGCUUGAUGAGUACAAGACUUCGGAUCGGUUUUGGGCCGAGGCGGUCAACACCGCUUGCUACGCCAUCAACUGGUUAUAUCUACACUGAAUCCUUAAGAAGACAUCAUAUGGACUCCUAACCGGUAAAAAGCCUAAUAUUUCUUGUUUUAGAGUCUUUGGUAGCAAAUGCUUUAUUCUUGUUAAAAGAGGUAGAAAAUCUAAAUUUGCUCCUAAGACAGUAGAAGGCUUUUUACUAGGAUAUGAUUCAAACACAAGGGCAUAUAGAGUCUUUAACAAGUCCUCAGGACUAGUUGAAGUUUCUUGUGACGUUGUGUUUGAUGAGACUUGAAAGUCGCCUAGAGGGGGUGAAUAGGGCGAAACUGAAAUUCACAAAAUUAAUCAUAACUACAAGUCGGGUUAGCGUUAGAAAUAGAAAUGAGUCCGAGAGAGAGGGCGUAAAACAAAUCGCAAGCGAAUAAAGAGUGUGACACACAGAUUUGUUUUACCGAGGUUCGGUUCUUGCAAACCUACUCCUCGUUGAGGUGGUCACAAAGACCAGGUCUCUUUCAACCCUUUCCCUCUCUCAAACGGUCCCUCGGACCGAGUGAGCUUCUCUACUCAAUCACUUGGAACACAAAGUUCCUACAAGGAUCACCACACGAUUGAUGUCUCUUGCCUCAAUUACAAGUGAGUUUGACCUCAAGAAAGAAUGAGAAAGAAAGCAAUCCAAGCGCAAGAGCUCAAAAGAACACAACAAAUCUCUCUCACUUAACACUAAAGCUUUUGUGGAAUUGGGAGAGGAUUUGAUCACUUGGGUGUAUCUAGAAUUGAAUGCUAGAGCUCUUGUAAGUGGUUGGAAGUUGGAAAACUUGGAUGACUUGAAUGUGGGGUGGUUGGGAGUAUUUAUAACCCCAACCACCAAACUAGCCGUUUGGUGGAGGCUGCUGUCGCAUGGCGCACCGGACAGUCCGGUGCGCCACCGGACACUGUCCGGUGGGCCAGCCAUGUCACCAGGCCGUUGGGUUCCGACCGUUGGAGCUCUGACGUGUGGGCCCGCCUGGCUGUCCGGUGGUGCACCGGACAAGUCCUAUAGACUGUCCGGUGUGCCACCCGCGCGUGCUCUGCUCCUCUACGCGCGCUGGCGCGCAUUUAAUGCGUUGCAGUCGACCGUUGGCGCGAAGUAGCCGUUGCUCCGCUGGCUCACCGGACAGUCCGAUGUGCACCGGACAUGUCCGGUGAAUUAUAGCGGAGCGGAUUCUCGAAGCUGGCGAGUUCAGAGUCGCUCUCCUCUGGAGCACCGGACACUGUCCGGUGGUGCACCGGACAGUCCUGUGAAUUAUAGCGAAGCGCCUCUGAAAAUUCCCGAAGAUACGAAGUUUGGCUUGGAGUCCCCUGGUGCACCGGGCACUGUCCGGUGGCACACCGGACAGUCCGGUGCGCCAGACCAGGGCAGCCUUCGGUUGUCCCUUGCUCUUUUGGUUGAACCCAUUUCUUGGUCUUUUUAUUGGCUAAGUGUGAACCUUUGGCACCUGUAUAACUUAUAGACUAGAGCAAACUAGUUAGUCCAAUUAUUUGUGUUGGGCAAUUCAACCACCAAAAUCAAUUAGGAACUAGGUGUAAGCCUAAUUCCCUUUCAAUCUCCCCCUUUUUGGUGAUUGAUGCCAACACAAGCCAAAGCAAGUAUAGAAGUGCAUAAUUGAACUAGUUUGCAUAAUGUAAGUGCAAAGGUAACUUGGAAUUGAGCCAAUAUAAAUACUUAUAAAAUAUGCAUGGAUUGUUUCUUUAAUUUUUUGACAUUUUGGACCAUGCUUGCACCACAUGUUUUGUUUUUGCAAAUUCUUUUGUAAAUCCUUUUCAAAGUUCUUUUGCAAAUAGUCAAAGAUAAAUGAAUAAGAUUUUUCGAAGCAUUUUGAAGAUUUGAAAUUUUAUCCCCGUGUUUCAAAUGCUUUUCCUUUGACUAAACAAAACUCCCCCUUAAUGAAAUCCUCCUCUUAGUGUUCAAGAGGGUUUUAAGAUAUCGAUUUUGAAAAUACUACUCCUCUCCCCUUUUUGAACAUAAUGAGAUACUAAUUUGAAAAUCAUACCAAUUGAGAAAUUCUUUUUUUUAAAUUAGGUGGUGGUGCGGUCCUUUUGCUUUGGGCUGAUACUUUCUCCCCCUUUGGCAUGAAUCGCCAAAAACGGAUACUUGAGUGAGAUAUAAGCCCUUUCCUAGCUACUUUCUCCCCUUUGGCAAAUAAAACAUGAGUGAAGAUUAUACCAAAGACGGAGAGUUGCUCGGAGCGACGGCGAAGGAUGAGUUAUGGAGUGGAAGCCUUUGUCUUCGCCGAAGACAUAAAUUCCCUUUCAAUACACCUAUGACUUGGGUUGAAAUUCACUUGAGAACACAUUAGUCAUAGCACAUGAAAGAGACAUGAUCAAAGGUAUAUUUAUGAGCUAUGCAUGCAAGACAUCAAAAGAAAUUCCUAGAAUCAAAAAUAUUUAGCUCAUGCCUAAGUUUGUUAAAGGUUUGUUCACCAAGUGGCUUUGUAAAGAUAUCGGCUAAUUGAUCUUUAGUAUUAAUGUAUGAAAUCUCGAUAUCUCCCUUUUGUUGGUGAUCCCUUAAGAAAUGAUACCGAAUGGCUAUGUGUUUAGUGCGGCUAUGCUCAACGGGAUUAUCCGCCAUGCGGAUUGCACUCUCAUUAUCACAUAGAAGAAGAACUUUGGUUAAUUUGUAACCAUAGUCCCUAAGGGUUUGCCUCAUCCAAAGCAAUUGCACGCAACAAUGGCCUGCGGAAAUGUACUCGGGUUCGGCGGUAGAAAGGGCUACGGAAUUUUGCUUCUUUGAAGCCCAAGACACCAAGGAUCUUCCCAAGAACUGACAAGUCCCCGAUGUACUUUUUCUAUUAAUCUUACAUCCCGCCCAAUCGGCAUCCGAAUAACCAAUCAAAUCAAAUGUGGAUCCCCUAGGAUACCAAAGCCCAAACUUAGGAGUAUAAACUAAAUAUCUCAAGAUUUGUUUUACGGUCGUAAGGUGAGCUUCCUUAGGGUCGGCUUGGAAUCUUGCACACAUGCAUAUGGAAAGCAUAAUAUCCGGUCGAGAUGCACAUAAAUAGAGUAAAGAACCUAUCAUCGACCGGUAUACCUUUUGAUCCACGGACUUACCUUCCGUGUCGAGGUCGAGAUGCCCAUUGGUUCCCAUGGGUGUCUUGAUGGGUUUGGCAUCCUUCAUCCCAAACUUGCUUAGAAUAUCUUGAGUAUACUUCGUUUGGCUUAGGAAGGUGCCCUCUUGGAGUUGCUUCACUUGAAAUCCUAAGAAAUACUUCAACUCCCCCAUCAUAGACAUCUCGAAUUUUUGUGUCAUGAUCCUACUAAACUCUUCACAUGUAGAUUCGUUAGUAGACCCAAAUAUAAUAUCAUCAACAUAAAUUUGGCAUACAAACAAAUCAUUUUCAAGUGUUUUGGUAAAGAGUGUAGGAUCGGCCUUUCCGACUUUGAAUCCAUUAGUGAUAAGAAAAUCUCUAAGGCAUUCAUACCAUGCUCUUGGGGCUUGCUUGAGCCGGCUAAAGCGCCUUGGAGAGUUUAUAUACAUGGUUAGGGUACUCACUAUCUUCAAAGCCGGGAGGUUGCUCAACAUAGACCUCUUCCUUGAUUGGUCCAUUGAGGAAGGCACUCUUCACGUCCAUUUGAUAAAGCUUGAAGCCAUGGUAAGUAGCAUAGGCCAAUAAUAUACGAAUUGACUCAAGCCUAGCUACGGGUGCAUAGGUUUCACCGAAAUCCAAACCUUCGACUUGGGAGUAUCCUUUGGCCACAAGUCGGGCUUUGUUCCUUGUCACCACACCAUGCUCAUCUUGCUUGUUGCAGAAAACCCACUUGGUUCCUACAACAUUUUGAUUAGGACGUGGAACCAAAUGCCAUACCUCAUUCCUAGUGAAGUUGUUGAGCUCCUCUUGCAUCGCCACCACCCAAUCUGAAUCUUGUAGUGCUUCCUCUACCCUGUGUGGCUCAAUAGAGGAAACAAAAGAGUAAUGCUCACAAAAAUGUGCAACACGAGAUCUAGUUGUUACCCCCUUAUGAAUGUCGCCUAGAAUGGUGUCGACGGGGUGAUCUCGUUGGAUUGCUUGGUGGACUCUUGGGUGUGGCGGUCUUUGUUCUUCAUCCUCCUUGUCUUGAUCAUUUGCACCUCCCCCUUGAUCAUUGCCGUCAUCUUGAGGUGGCUCAUUUGCUUGAUCUUCUCCUUCAUCAACUUGAGCCUCAUCCUCAUUUUGAGUUGGUGGAGAUGCUUGCGUGGAGGAGGAUGGUUGAUCUUGUGCAUUUGGAGGCUCUUCGGAUUCCUUAGGACACACAUCCCCAAUGGACAUGUUCCUUAGCGCGAUGCACGGAGCCUUUUCAUCACCUAUCUCAUCAAGAUCAACUUGCUCUACUUGAGAGUCGUUAGUCUCAUCAAACACAACGUCACAAAAAACUUCAACUUGUCCAGAGGACUUGUUAAAGACUCUAUAUGCCCUUGUGUUUGAAUCAUAUCCUAGUAAAAAGCCUUCUACAGUCUUAGGAGCAAAUUUAGAUUUUCUACCUCUUUUAAUAAGAAUAAAGCAUUUGCUACCAAAGACUUUAAAAUAUGAGAUAUUGGGCUUUUUACCGGUUAGGAGUUCGUAUGAUGUCUUCUUGAGGAUUCGGUGUAGAUACAACCGGUUGAUGGCGUAACAAGCGGUGUUGACCGCCUCGGCCCAAAACCGAUCCGAAGUGUUGUACUCAUCAAGCAUGGUUCUUGCCAUGUCCAAUAGAGUUCUAUUCUUCCUCUCCACUACACCAUUUUGUUGUGGGGUGUAGGGAGAAGAGAACUCAUGCUUGAUGCCUUCCUCCUCAAGGAAACCUUCGAUUUGUGAGUUCUUGAACUCCGUCCUGUUGUCGCUUCUUAUUUUCUUGAUCCUUAAGCCGAACUCAUUUUGAGCCCGUCUUAAGAAUCCCUUUAAUGUCUCUUGGGUAUGAGAUUUUUCCUGCAAAAAGAAUACCCAAGUGAAGCGAGAAUAAUCAUCCACAAUAACUAGACAGUACUUACUCCCGCCGAUGCUUAUGUAAGCUAUCGGGCCGAAUAGGUCCAUGUGUAGGAGUUCCAGUGGUCUGUCAGUCGUCAUGAUGUUCUUAUGUGGAUGAUGAGCACCAACUUGCUUCCCUGCUUGGCAUGCGCUACAAAUCCUGUCUUUCUCAAAAUGAACAUUUGUUAAUCCUAAAAUGUGUUCUCCCUUUAGAAGCUUAUGAAGAUUCUUCAUCCCAACAUGGUCUAGUCGGCGGUGCAUAGCCAACCCAUGUUAGUCUUAGCAAUUAAGCAAGUGUCGAGUUCAGCUCUAUCAAAAUCUACUAAGUAUACCUGACCCUCUAACACUCCCUUAAAUGCUAUUGAAUCAUCACUUCUUCUAAAGACAGUGACACCUACAUCAGUAAAAAGACAGUUGUAGCCCAUUUGACAUAAUUGCGAAACGGAAAGCAAAUUGUAAUCUAAGGAAUCUACAAGAAAAACAUUUGAAAUUGAAUGGUCAGGAGAUAUAGCAAUUUUACCCAAUCCUUUGACCAAACCUUGGUUUCCAUCCCCGAAUGUAAUAGCUCGUUGGGGAUCAUGGUUUUUCUCGUAGGAGGAGAACAUCUUCUUCUCCCCUGUCAUGUGGUUUGUGCACCCGCUAUCGAUGAUCCAACUUGAGCCCCCGGAUGCAUAAACCUACAAAACAAUUUUAGUUCUUGACUUUAGGUACCCAAAUGGUUUUGGGUCCUUUGGCAUUAGACAUAAGAACUUUGGGUACCCAAACACAAGUCUUUGACCCCUUGUGCUUGCCCCCAACAUACUUGGCAACUACCUUGCCGGAUUUGUUAGUUAACACAUAAGAUGCAUCAAAAGUUUUAAAUGAAAUGCUAUGUUCAUUUGAUGCACUAGGAGUUUUCUUCUUAGGCAACUUAGCACGGGUUGGCUGCCUAGAACUAGAUGUCUCACCCUUAUACAUAAAAGCAUGGUUAGGGCCAGAGUGAGACUUUCUAGAAUGAAUUCUCCUAAUUUUGCUCUCGGGAUAACCGGCAGGGUAUAAAAUGUAACCCUCGUUAUCCUGAGGCAUGGGAGCCUUGCCCUUAACAAAGUUGGACAAUUUCUUAGGAGGGGCAUUAAGUUUGACAUUGUCCCCCUUUUGGAAGCCAAUGCCAUCCUUAAUGCCAGGGCGUCUCCCACUAUAAAGCAUACUACGAGCAAGUUUAAAUUUUUAAUUUUCAAGUUCAUGCUCGGCAAUUUUAGCAUCUAAUUUUGCUAUAUGAUCAUUUUGUUGCUUGAUUAGUACCAUAUGAUCAUGAAUAACAUCAAUAUCAAUAUCUCUACAUCUAGUGCAAAUAGUGACAUGCUCAGUGGUAGAUGUAGAGGGUUUGCAGGAAUUAAGUUCAACAAUCUUAGCACGCAAUAUAUCAUUUUUAUCUCUAAGAUCGGAAAUUGUAACAUUGCAAACAUCUAGUUCUUUAGCCUUAGCAAGUAAUUUUUCAUUCUCAAUCCUAAGGCUAGCAAGAGAGAUGUUUAAUUCUUCAAUCUUAACAAGCAAAUCAUCAUUAUCAUUUCUAAGAUUGGGAAUUAAAACAUCACAAACAUUUGAAUCAACCUUAGCUAACAACUUAGCAUUUUCAUUUCUAAGGUUGUCAAUGGUCUCAUGGCAAGUGCUUAGCUCACUAGAUAAUUUUUCGCACUUUUCUACUUCUAAAGCAUAAGCAUUUUUUACCUUAACAUGCUUUUUGUUUUCUUUAAUAAGGAAGUCCUCUUGAGAGUCCAAGAGAUCAUCCUUUUCAUGGAUAGCACUAAUCAAUUCAUUUAAUUUUUCCUUUUGUUGCAUGUUUAGGUUGGCAAAAAGGGUACGCAAAUUAUCCUCCUCAUCACUAGCAUUAUCAUCACUAGAGGACUCAUAUUUAGUGGAGGAUUUGGAUUUAACCUUCUUCUUUUUGUCGUCCUUUGCCAUGAGGCACUUGUGGCUGACGUUGGGGAAGAGAAGGCCCUUGUUGAUGGCGAUGUUGGCGGCGUCCUCGUCGGAGGAGGAGUCGGAGGAGCUCUCGUCCGAGUCCCACUCGCGGCAUACAUGAGCGUCGCCACCCUUCUUCUUGUAGUAUUUCUUCUUCUCUUUUCUUCUCCCCUUCUUGUCGUCGCCCCUGUCACUGUCACUAGAAAUAGGACAUUUUGCUAUAAUGUGACCGGGAUUACCACACUUGUAGCAAACUUUCUUGGAGCGGGGCUUGUAAUCUUUCCCCCUCCUUUGCUUGAGGAUUUGGCGGAACCUCUUGAUGACGAGCACCAUUUCCUCAUUGUCGAGCUUUGAGGCGUCGAUUGGUUGUCUACUUGAUGUAGACUCCUCCUUCUUCUCCUCCGUUGCCUUGAAUGCAACCGGUUGUGCUUCGGAUGUGGAGGGAUCAUCUAGCUCAUUGAUUUUCUUUGAGCCCUUGAUCAUAUACUCAAAGCUCACAAAAUUCCCUAUUACUUCCUCGGGAGUCAUUAGUGUAUAUCUAGGAUUACCACGAAUUAAUUGAACUUGAGUAGGGUUAAGGAAAAUAAGUGAUCUAAGAAUAACCUUAACCAUCUCGUGGUCAUCCCACUUUUUGCUCCCAAGGUUGCGCACUUGAUUCACCAAGGUUUUGAGCCGGUUGUACAUGUCUUGUGGCUCUUCCCCUUUGCGAAGCCGGAAGCGACCGAGCUCCCCCUCGAUCGUCUCCCGCUUGGUGAUCUUGGUUAAUUAAUCUCCCUCGUGCGCGGUCUUGAGCACGUCCCAAACUUCCUUGGCGCUCUUUAAUCCUUGCACCUUGUUAUACUCCUCUCGACUUAGAGAGGCGAGGAGUAUAGUUGUGGCUUGGGAGUUGAAGUGCUCGAUUUGGGCCACCUCGUCCUCAUCCCCUACGGAUGGUACCUGUACACCAAACUCAACAACAUCCCAUAUACUUUUGUGGAGUGAGGUUAGGUGAAACCGCAUUAAAUCACUCCACCUAGCAUAAUCUUCACCAUCAAAGGUUGGUGGUUUGCCUAAUGGGACGGAAAGUAAAAGUGUAUGUUUAGGAAUGCGAGGGUAGCGUAGGGGGAUCUUACUAAACUUCUUGCGCUCAUGGCGUUUAGAAGUUACGGAGGGCGCGUCGGAGCCGGAGGUGGAAGGUGAUGAAGUAUCGGUCUCGUAGUAGACCACCUUCCUCAUCUUCUUUUUCUUGUCGCCACUCCGAUGUGACUUGUGGGAAGAGGCUUUCUUCUCCUUCCCUUUCCCCUUUUUGCGGGACUCUUCCGAUGAAGCCUUCCCGUAGCUUGUAGUGGGCUUGUCGCCGGUCUCCAUCUCCUUCUUGGCGUGUUCUCCCGACAUCACUUCGAGCGGUUAGGCUCUAAUGAAGCACCGGGCUCCGAUACCAAUUGAAAGUCGCCUAGAGGGGGUGAAUAGGGCGAAACUGAAAUUCACAAAAUUAAUCACAACUACAACCGGGUUAGCGUUAGAAAUAGAAACGAGUCCGAGAGAGAGGGCGUAAAACAAAUCGCAAGCGAAUAAAGAGUGUGACACACGGAUUUGUUUUACCGAGGUUCGGUUCUUGCAAACCUACUCCCCGUUGAGGUGGUCACAAAGACCGGGUCUCUUUCAACCCUUUCCCUCUCUCAAACGGUCCCUCGGACCGAGUGAGCUUCUCUUCUCAAUCACUUGGAACACAAAGUUCCCACAAGGAUCACCACACGAUUGGUGUCUCUUGCCUCAAUUAUAAGUGAGUUUGAUCUCAAGAAAGAAUAAGAAAGAAAGCAAUCCAAGCGCAAGAGCUCAAAAGAACACAACAAAUCUCUCUCACUUAACACUAAAGCUUUUGUGGAAUUGGGAGAGGAUUUGAUCACUUGGGUGUAUUGAAAGGGAAUUAGGCUUACACCUAGUUCCUAAAUAAUUUUGGUGGUUGAAUUGCCCAACACAAAUAAUUGGACUAACUAGUUUGCUCUAAGUGUAUAAGUUAUACAGGUGUAAAAGGUUCACACUUAGCCAAUAAAAAGAUCAAAUAUUGGAUUCAACAAAGGAGCAAAGGGACAACCGAAGGCACCUCUGGUUUGGGGCACCGGACUGUCCGGUGUACCACCAGACAGUGUCCGGUGCACCAGAGGACUCCAACUUAAACUUGCCACCUUUGGGAAUUUCCAGAGGCACUCCGCUAUAAUUCACCGGACUGUCCGGUGUACACCGGACAGUGUCCGGUGCUCCAAGGAAGAGCGGCCUCUGGAACUCGCCAGCCUCGGGAAAACGCAGCGGCUGCUCCGCUAUAAUUCACCGGACAUGUCCGGUGUACACCGGACUGUCCGGUGAACCAGCAGAGCAACGGCUACUUCGAGCCAACGGUCACCUGCAGGCGCAUUCAAUGCGCGCCAGAAGCGCGCAGAAGUCAGGCACGCCCAUACUGGCGCACCAGACAUUGAACAGUACAUGUCCGGUGUGCACCGGACAUCCAGGCGGGCCCAGAAGACAGAAGCUCCAACGGUCGGAAUCCAACGGCAUUGGUGACGUGGCUGGCGCACCGGACAUGUCCGGUGUACAUCGGACUGUUCAGUGCACCAUACGACAGACAGCCUCCACCAACGGUCAUGUUUGGUGGUUGGGGCUAUAAAUACCCCAACCACCCCACCAUUCAUUGCAUCCAAGUUCUCCAUCUUCCAACCACUAUACAAGAGCUAGCAUUCAUUGCAAAGCACACCAAAAGAGAUCAAAUCCUCUCCCAACUCCACACAAAGCAUUAGUGACUAGAGAGAGUGAUUUGUAGUGUUCAUUUGAGCUCUUGCGCUUAGAUCGCUUCUUUUCCUUGGCAUUCUUUAUUGUGAUCAAACACUCACUUGUAAUUGAGGCAAGAGACACCAAUUGUGUGGUGGUCCUUGCGGGAAGUUUGAUUCCCAAGUGAUUUGAGAAGAGAAGCUCACUCGGUCCGAGGGACCGUUUGAGAGAGGGAAAGUGUUGAAAAAGACCCGGCCUUUGUGGCCUCCUCAACGGGGAGUAGGUUUGCGAGAACCGAACCUCGGUAAAACAAAUCCUUGUGUCUCACCGCUUUACUCGCUUGCGAUUUGUUUUACACCCUCUCGCGGACUCGGUUUUAUUUCUAACGCUAACCCAGCUUGUAGUUGUGUUUAUAUUUGUAAAUUUCAGUUUCGCCCUAUUCACCCCCCCUCUAGGCGACUAUCAAUUGGUAUCAAAGUCCGGUGCUUCAUUAGAGCCUAACCGCUCGAAGUGAUGUCGGGAGAUCACGCCAAGAAGGAGAUGGAGACCGGUGAAAAGCCCACUACAAGCCACGGGAGCACUUCAUCGGAAGAGUCCUGCACCAAGAGGAAGGAAAAGAAAGACUCCUCCAAAGGGAAGGAUGAAAGGGAAAUGUGCCCUUGGGCCAUUUCUAAGUAUUUUGGUGAUUGAGUGUCAACACAAGUGCUUAAAAGUGAAUCUAUAGCCAUGGGUGAACAAAGUGCAAAUCAAGAGCAAAGGUAUGUUUCUAAGUCUUGGUACAUUGGUUUUGUGUACUAAUAUACUUGUCUAAGUAUCAGAAACAGAAAGAAGAAGAAAAGAGAAGAGUUGGCUGUGUACAGCCAAGAGGCUGUUUCGGUCUGGGGCACCGGACUGUCCGGUGGUGCACCGGACAGUGUCCGGUGCGCCAGGCUGCCUCAGCGCGAAGUAGCCGCUCUCGGGAAUUCGCCGACGGCAUACGGCUAAAAUUCACCGGACUGUCCGGUGUGCACCGGACUGUCCGGUGAGCCAACGGUCGGCCGGGCCAACGGUCGGCCGCGCGAUCUGCGCGGGACACGUGGCCGAGCCAACGGUCGGAAGGGGGCACCGGACUGUCCGGUGUGCACCAGACAUGUCCGGUGCGCCAACGGCUCCCGCAUCUGCAACGGUCGACUUCGUCAUUUAAGGAAGGAAAUCGGGCACCGAACAGUGUCCGGUGUGCACCGGACUGUCCGGUGCACCCGACGACAGAAGGCAAGAUUGGCCUUCCAGAUUUGUUCUCAACGGCUCCUAGCUGCCUUGGGGCUAUAAAAGGGACCCCUAGGCGCAUGGAGGAGACGACCAAGCAACCUUAGAGCACUCUUGAUCAUCCACACUCAGUCUUUGCGCAUUUGUUUGUCAUUCUAAGUGAUUCGAGCUUCGUUCUAGUGAGAACCUUGAGAUAGUCUUUGAGCUCGAUUCUCGGCCGUGUGUGUGCGCAUUUUGUUGUGGAUUUGUGUGUGUUGCUUCCCUUCCUUACUCCGUGAUUCUUUGUGAACAUCAAAAGUGUAAGGGCGAGAGGCUCCAAGUUGUGGAGAUUCCUCGCGAACGGGAUAAGAAAAGAAAAGCAUAACACUGUGGUAUUCAAGUUGAUCAUUGGAUCACUUGAGAGGAGUUGAGUGCAACUCUCGUCCGUUGGGACGCCACAACGUGGAGUAGGCAAGUUUUGUACUUGGCCGAACCACGGGAUAAAUCACUGUGUCUUCUCUGUGUUGAAUUCUUUGUGAUUACCGUAUUGUGCAAGACCUUCUCUCUAGCCACUUGGCGACUAUUGUGCUAACACUUAACAAGUUUUUGUGGCUAUAAGUUUAAGUUUCACAGGAUCACCUAUUCACCCCCCCCUCUAGGUGCUCUCAAUUGGUAUCAGAGCCGUUCUCUUCAAGAAAGGGACUAACCGCCCGAAGAGAUGGAUCCUAAAGGGAAGGGAAUCGUGAUCAACGACAAGGAGAAGGAGUCCUUCGUCAACGAGCCAAGGGAUGACAAGUCCAACGACUCGGAUUCGGGCCAUAGACGCAAAGAUGGGAAGAAGAAGAAGACAAGACGCAUCAAGGAGAUCAUCUACUACGACAGCGAUGAGUCUACUUCCUCCCAUAAGGACGACGACCACAACGAAUACGAGAGAAAGAAACCGGUCAAUUCGAACUUUUCUUUUGAUUACUCUCGUAUUCCUCAAAGUACUAAUGCUCAUUUAUUAUCUAUUCCACUUGGUAAACCUCCUCAUUUUGAUGGAGAGGACUACGGAUUUUGGAGUCACAAAAUGCGUAGUCACUUGUUCUCUCUCCAUCCUAGCAUAUGGGAGAUUGUAGAAAGUGGAAUGCACUUUGAUAGUACGGAUAGUCCCAUGUUUAUUAAUGAACAGAUUCAUAAAAAUGCACAAGCUACUACUGUGUUGCUAGCCUCUUUGUGCAGGGACGAGUAUCACAAGGUAAGCGGCCUGGACAAUGCCAAGCAGAUCUGGGACACCCUCAAGAUCUCUCAUGAGGGUAACGACGUCACCUUGCUCACCAAAAUGGAGUUGGCGGAAGGCGAGCUUGGACGGUUCGCGAUGAUAAGGGGCGAAGAGCCAACACAAACAUACAACCGGCUCAAGACCCUUAUCAACAAAAUAAGGAGCUACGGGAGCACGCGAUGGACGGACCACGACGUCGUCCGCCUAAUGCUAAGGUCCUUUACCAUUCUUGAUCCUCAUUUGGUGAACAAUAUUCGUGAAAACCCUAGGUACACCAAGAUGUCGCCCGAAGAAGUUCUGGGGAAGUUCAUAAGCGGGCGAAUGAUGAUCAAGGAGGCAAGAUAUGUGGACGACGCGUUGAACGGUCCUAUUCAUGAGCCUCAACCCAUUGCUCUCAAGGCAACAAGGAGCAAGGAGGCGCUACCGAGCAAGGUGGCGCAAGUUGAGGCGGCCGGGCUAAAUAAUGAGGAGAUGGCCCUCAUCAUUAAGCGCUUCAAGACGGCGCUUAAAGGUCGCAAGGGACAGCCAAGCAAGACCAAAACAAAGGAGAAGCGCUCGUGCUUCAAAUGUGGUAAGAUUGGUCAUUUCAUUGCUAACUGUCCCGAUAAUGAAAGUGACCAGGAAAAGGGGAACAAAAGGGAGAAGAAGAAGCAUUACAAGAAGGCCAAGGGCGAGGCACAUAUCGGAAAGGAGUGGGAUUCGGAUUGCUCCUCCUCCGACUCCGACAAUGAAGGACUCGCCGCCACCGCCUUCAACAAGUCAUCCCUCUUCCCCAACGAGCGUCACACAUGCCUUAUGGCAAGGGAGAAGAAGGUAUGCAAUCAAAACAAUGUCACUUAUGAUUCUUCUAGUGAUGAUGAGUCCAGUGAUGAAGAAAUAGAUUACUCUAGUUUGUUCAAGGGAUUGGAUAGAACUAAAAUAGAAAAGAUUAAUGAAUUGAUUGAUGCCUUGAAUGAAAAGGACAGACUCUUAGAAAAACAAGAGGAUCUUUUAUAUGAAGAGCAUGACAAAUUUGUAGAGGCACAAAAAUCUUAUGCUUUAGAAGUUAAAAGAAAUGAAGUGCUUUCUGGUGAAUUAUCUUCUUGCCAUGAAACCAUUGCUACUUUAAAAGGUGUUAAUAAGGAUUUAAAUGCUAAACUAGAAGUGGCUAGUAAAUCUAACUCUUGUGUAGAACAUGUUAUGGUUUGCACUAGGUGUAAAGAUUUUAAUGUUGAUGCUUGUAGUGAACACCUAGUUUCAAUUUCUAAAUUGAAUGAUGAAGUGGCUAGUCUUAAUGCCCAACUUAAGACUAGCAAGAGUAAUUUUGAUAAACUAAAAUUUGCUAGGGAUGCCUACACGAUUGGUAGACACCCCUCAAUUAAGGAUGGACUUGGCUUCAAGAGGGAAGCCAAGAACUUAACAAGUCAUAAGGCUCCCAUCUCCGCAAAGGAGAAAGGGAAGGCCCCUAUGGCAAGUAAUGCUAAAAAGAACCAUGCUUAUAUGUACCAUGAUAGAAGACAAACUAGAAAUGCGUAUAGGAGUUAUAAUGCUUAUGAUGAAUUUGAUUCUCAUGACAUGUUUGUUUCUAGUUCUUCCUAUGUGCAUGAUAGACAUAUUGGUAGAAGGAAUGUUAUUCAUAAUAUGCCUAGGAGAAAUGUUGUUAAUAUUCCUAGGAAAGUUAAUGAACCUUCUACAAUAUAUCAUGCUUUGAAUGCUUCCUUUGCAAUUUGUAGAAAGGAUAGAAAGGUGAUUGCUAGGAAAUUAGGGGCAAAAUGCAAGGGUGAUAAAACUUGCAUUUGGGUCCCUAAGACAAUUGUAACUAACCUUGUAGGACCCAACAAGAGUUGGGUACCUAAGUCCCAAGCCUAAAUUUGCCUUGCAGGUUUAUGCAUCCGGGGGUUCAAGCUGGAUUAUCGACAGCGGAUGCACAAACCAUAUGACGGGGGAGAAGAAGAUGUUCACCUCCUACGUCAAGAAUAAAGAUUCCCAAGAUUCAAUAAUAUUCGGUGAUGGGAAUCAAGGCAAGGUAAAAGGGUUAGGUAAAAUUGCAAUCUCAAAUGAGCACUCUAUAUCUAAUGUGUUUUUAGUAGAGUCUCUUGGAUAUAAUUUGCUAUCUGUUAGUCAAUUAUGCAAUAUGGGAUAUAAUUGUGUUUUUACAAAUGUAGAUGUGUCUGUCUUUAGAAGAAGUGAUGGUUCACUAGCUUUUAAGGGUGUAUUAGACGGCAAACUUUACUUAGUUGAUUUUGCAAAAGAGGAGGCCGGUCUAGAUGCAUGCUUAAUAGCUAAGACUAGCAUGGGCUGGCUGUGGCAUCGCCGCUUAGCACAUGUGGGGAUGAAGAACCUUCACAAGCUUCUAAAGGGAGAACACGUGAUAGGUUUGACUAACGUGCAAUUUGAAAAAGAUAGACCUUGUGCAGCUUGUCAAGCAGGUAAACAAGUGGGAGGAGCACAUCACAGCAAGAAUGUGAUGACCACUUCAAGACCUCUGGAGCUGCUGCAUAUGGACCUCUUCGGACCCGUCGCCUAUCUGAGUAUAGGAGGAAGUAAGUAUGGUCUAGUUAUCGUUGAUGACUUUUCCCGCUUCACUUGGGUGUUCUUUUUGCAGGAUAAGACUGAAACCCAAGGGACCCUCAAGCGCUUCCUCAGGAGAGCUCAAAAUGAGUUUGAGCUCAAGGUGAAGAAGAUAAGGAGCGACAACGGGUCCGAGUUCAAGAACCUUCAAGUGGAGGAGUUCCUUGAGGAGGAAGGGAUCAAGCACGAGUUCUCCGCUCCCUACACACCACAGCAAAAUGGUGUGGUAGAGAGGAAGAACAGGACGCUCAUCGAUAUGGCGAGGACGAUGCUUGGAGAAUUCAAGACCCCCGAGCGAUUUUGGUCGGAAGCCGUGAACACGGCUUGCCACGCCAUCAACAGGGUCUACCUUCAUCGCCUCCUCAAGAAGACUUCGUAUGAGCUACUAACCAGUAACAAACCCAAUGUAUCUUACUUUCGUGUAUUUGGGAGCAAGUGCUACAUUCUAGUAAAGAAGGGUAGAAAUUCUAAGUUUGCUCCCAAAGCUGUAGAAGGGUUUUUGUUAGGUUAUGACUCAAAUACAAAGGCGUAUAGAGUCUUCAACAAAUCAUCGGGUUUGGUUGAAGUCUCUAGCGACGUUGUAUUUGAUGAGACUAAUGGCUCUCCAAGAGAGCAAGUUGUUGAUUGUGAUGAUGUAGAUGAAGAAGAUGUUCCGACGGCCGCUAUACGAACCAUGGCGAUUGGAGAAGUGCGGCCACAGGAACAACAUGAAUGAGAUCAACCUUCUUCCUCAACAAUGAUGCAUCCCCCAACUCAAAACGAUGAACAGGUUCAUCAAGAGGAGUGUGAUCAAGGGGGAGCACAAGAUGAUCACGUGAUGGAGGAAGAAGCGCAACCGGCACCUCCGACCCAAGUUCGAGCGAUGAUUCAAAGGGAUCAUCCCGUCGAUCAAAUUCUGGGUGAUAUUAGCAAGGGAGUAACUACUCGAUCUCGAUUAGUUAAUUUUUGUGAGCAUUACUCCUUUGUCUCUUCUAUUGAGCCUUUCAGGGUAGAAGAGGCCUUGCUAGAUCCGGACUGGGUGUUGGCCAUGCAGGAGGAACUCAACAACUUCAAGCGCAAUGAAGUUUGGACACUGGUGCCUCGUCCCAAGCAAAAUGUUGUGGGAACCAAGUGGGUGUUCCGCAACAAACAGGACGAGCACGGGGUGGUGACGAGGAACAAGGCUCGACUUGUGGCAAAAGGUUAUGCCCAAGUCGCAGGUUUGGACUUUGAGGAGACGUUUGCUCCUGUGGCUAGGCUAGAAUCAAUUCGUAUCUUGCUAGCAUAUGCCGCUCACCAUUCUUUCAGGUUGUACCAAAUGGAUGUGAAGAGCGCUUUCCUCAACGGGCCAAUCAAGGAGGAGGUGUACGUGGAGCAACCCCCUGGCUUCGAGGAUGAACGGUACCCCGACCACGUGUGUAAGCUCUCUAAGGCGCUCUAUGGACUUAAGCAAGCCCCAAGAGCAUGGUAUGAAUGCCUUAGAGACUUUCUAAUUGUUAAUGCUUUCAAGGUUGGGAAAGCCGAUCCAACUCUUUUCACUAAGACUUGCGAUGGUGAUCUCUUUGUGUGCCAAAUUUAUGUCGAUGACAUAAUAUUUGGUUCUACUAACCAAAAGUCUUGUGAAGAGUUUAGCAGGGUGAUGACGCAGAAAUUCGAGAUGUCGAUGAUGGGCGAAUUGAACUACUUCCUUGGGUUCCAAGUGAAGCAACUCAAGGACGGCACCUUCAUCUCCCAAACGAAGUACACGCAAGAUCUGCUAAAGCGGUUUGGGAUGAAGGACGCCAAGCCCGCAAAGACUCCGAUGGGGACCGACGGACACACCGACCUCAAUAAAGGAGGUAAGUCCGUUGAUCAAAAAGCAUACCGGUCAAUGAUAGGGUCUUUACUUUAUCUAUGUGCUAGUAGACCGGACAUUAUGCUUAGCGUAUGCAUGUGUGCUAGAUUUCAAUCCGAUCCUAAGGAGUGUCACUUAGUGGCGGUGAAGCGAAUUCUUAGAUAUUUGGUUGCUACGCCUUGCUUCGGGCUCUGGUAUCCAAAGGGGUCUACCUUUGACUUGGUUGGAUACUCAGACUCCGACUAUGCUGGAUGUAAGGUCGAUAGGAAGAGUACAUCGGGGACGUGCCAAUUCUUAGGAAGGUCCCUGGUGUCAUGGAACUCUAAGAAACAAACCUUCGUUGCCCUAUCCACCGCUGAGGCCGAGUACGUUGUCGCAGGACAGUGUUGCGCGCAACUACUUUGGAUGAGGCAAACCCUCAGGGACUUUGGCUACAAUCUGAGCAAAGUCCCACUCCUAUGUGACAAUGAGAGUGCUAUCCGCAUGGCGGAAAAUCCUGUUGAGCACAGCCGCACAAAGCACAUAGACAUCCGGCAUCACUUUCUGAGAGACCACCAGCAAAAGGGGGAUAUCGAAGUGUUUCAUGUUAGCACCGAGAACCAGCUAGCCGAUAUCUUUACCAAGCCUCUAGAUGAGAAGACCUUUUGCAGGCUGCGUAGUGAGCUAAAUGUCUUAGAUUCGCGGAACUUGGAUUGAAUUGUAGCAUACAUGUGUUUAUGCCUUUGAUCAUGUUCAUUCUGCAUUUUGUUGCUUAUAGUGGUGCUCAAGUUGUACAAACACUCCCUGGACCUCACAAGUCCGUUGCAAAGUGAUGCACACGUUUAGGGGGAGAUGUGUUACAACUUGACCCUUUGAGACUAACCAUGUGCUUGAGUUUGAUGAUUUAGUCUCGAAGGAGGAUUGAAAGGGAAAAGGUGGACUUGGACCAUGAAAGACUUCCACUGCACUCCGAUGAGAGGGUAACUUAUUCCAAGUUCAUCUCAUGAACUCUUAUUGCCAUUUGAUCUUAAUUGAAGACGUUGGUGAGGCAAUGGGGUUAUAGGGCCAAGAUUGAUCCCGUCUUGGUGCUUGAUGCCAAAGGGGGGGAAAAUAAAGGCCAAAGCAAUAAAUGGAUCAGCUACCACUUGAGAAACUUUGAAAACAGUAGGAUAGAGCUCUUGGUUUGUCAAAACUCUUGCAUUGUCUCUUUUGUCAAAAGUUGGCUUCUUGUGGGAAGAAGUGUUGAGUAUGGGAAAUAGGGGGGGGUUUUGAAAUCUUUGAUCCAUCUCUUUUGAAAUGACUCUCUUUAUGCUUCAACAUGUGUGUUUGACUUAGAGAUAGAGAUUUGAGUUUGAUUUGCAAAAACAAACCAAGUGGUGGCAAAGGAUGAUCCAUAUAUGCCAAAAUUGAAUCAAAAUAACUUUGAGUUUUUAUUUGAGGUGAUAUUGCACUUGUUCUAGUUGCUUUAUGUUGUGUUGGCAUAAAUCACCAAAAAGGGGGAGAUUGAAAGGGAAAUGUGCCCUUGGGCCAUUUCUAAGUAUUUUGGUGAUUGAGUGUCAACACAAGUGCUUAAAAGUGAAUCUAUAGCCAUGGGUGAACAAAGUGCAAAUCAAGAGCAAAGGUAUGUUUCUAAGUCUUGGUACAUUGGUUUUGUGUACUAAUAUACUUGUCUAAGUAUCAGAAACAGAAAGAAGAAGAAAAGAGAAGAGUUGGCUGUGUACAGCCAAGAGGCUGUUUCGGUCUGGGGCACCGGACUGUCCGGUGGUGCACCGGACAGUGUCCGGUGCGCCAGGCUGCCUCGGCGCGAAGUAGCCGCUCUCGGGAAUUCGCCGACGGCGUACGGCUAAAAUUCACCGGACUGUCCGGUGUGCACCGGACUGUCCGGUGAGCCAACGGUCGGCCGGGCCAACGGUCGGCCGCGCGAUCUACGCGGGACACGUGGCCGAGCCAACGGUCGGAAGGGGGCACCGGACUGUCCGGUGUGCACCGGACUGUCCGGUGUGCACCGGACAUGUCCGGUGCGCCAACGGCUCCCGCAUCUGCAACGGUCGGCUUCGUCAUUUAAGGAAGGAAAUCGGGCACCGGACAGUGUCCGGUGUGCACCGGACUGUCCGGUGCACCCGACGACAGAAGGCAAGAUUGGCCUUCCAGAUUUGUUCUCAACGACUCCUAGCUGCCUUGGGGCUAUAAAAGGGACCCCUAGGCGCAUGGAGGAGACGACCAAGCAACCUUAGAGCACUCUUGAUCAUCCACACUCAGUCUUUGCGCAUUUGUUUGUCAUUCUAAGUGAUUCGAGCUUCGUUCUAGUGAGAACCUUGAGAUAGUCUUUGAGCUCGAUUCUCGGCCGUGUGUGUGCGCAUUUUGCUAUGGAUUUGUGUGUGUUGCUUCCCUUCCUUACUCCGUGAUUCUUUGUGAACAUCAAAAGUGUAAGGGCGAGAGGCUCCAAGUUGUGGAGAUUCCUCGCGAACGGGAUAAGAAAAGAAAAGCAUAACACUGUGGUAUUCAAGUUGAUCAUUGGAUCACUUGAGAGGAGUUGAGUAAAACUCUCGUCCGUUGGGACGCCACAACGUGGAGUAGGCAAGUUUUGUACUUGGCCGAACCACGGGAUAAAUCAUUGUGUCUUCUCUGUGUUGAAUUCUUUGUGAUUAUCGUAUUGUGCAAGACCUUCUCUCUAGCCACUUGGCGACUAUUGUGCUAACACUUAACAAGUUUUUGUGGCUAUAAGUUUAAGUUUCACAGGAUCACCUAUUCACCCCCCCUCUAGGUGCUCUCAAAGGAGAAGAAGAAGGACUCCUCCAAAGGGAAGGAGAAGAAAUCUUCUUCACACAAAGAGAAGAAGGAGAAGUCUUCCUCCCACAAGCCGCAACGGAGUGGGGACAAGAAAAAGAUGAGGAAAGUGGUCUACUACGAGACCGACUCUUCAUCAACAUCCACCUCCGGCUCCGACGCGGCUUCCGUCACUUCUAAGCGCCAAGAGCGCAAGAAGUAUAGUAAGAUCCCCCUACGCUAUCCUCGCAUUUCUAGACAUACACCUUUACUUUCCGUCCCAUUAGGAAAACCACCAACAUUUGAUGGUGAAGAUUACGCUAGGUGGAGUGAUUUAAUGCGAUUUCAUCUAACCUCACUCCACAAAAGUAUAUGGGAUGUUGUUGAGUUUGGUGCACAGGUACCAUCCGUAGGGGAUAAAGAUUAUGAUGAGGACGAGGUUGCCCAAAUCGAGCACUUCAACUCUCAAGCAACAACAAUACUCCUCGCUUCUCUAAGUAGAGAGGAGUAUAACAAAGUGCAAGGGUUGAAGAGCGCCAAGGAGGUUUGGGAUGUGCUCAAAACCGCACACGAAGGAGAUGAGCUCACAAAGAUCACCAAGCGGGAGACGAUCGAGGGGGAGCUCGGUCGGUUCCGGCUUCGCAAAGGGGAGGAGCCACAAAACAUGUACAACCGGCUCAAAACUUUGGUGAAUCAAGUGCGCAACCUCGGGAGCAAGAAAUGGGAUGACCACGAAAUGGUUAAGGUUAUUUUAAGAUCACUUAUUUUUCUUAACCCUACUCAAGUUCAAUUAAUUUGUGGCAAUCCUAGAUAUACACUAAUGACUCCCGAGGAAGUGAUCGGGAAUUUUGUAAGUUUUGAGUGCAUGAUCGAAGGCUCGAGGAAGAUCAACGAGCUUGAUGAUCCCUCCACGUCCGAAGCUCAACCGGUUGCAUUCAAGGCAACGGAGGAGAAGAAGGAGGAGUCUACACCAAGUAGGCAACCAAUCGACGCCUCCAAGCUCGACAAUGAGGAAAUGGCGCUCGUCAUCAAGAGCUUCCGCCAAAUCCUCAAACAAAGGAGGGGGAAAGACUACAAGCCCCGCUCCAAGAAGGUUUGCUACAAAUGUGGUAAGCCCGAUCAUUUUAUUGCUAAAUGUCCUAUAUCUAGUGACAGUGACCGGGGCAACGACAAGAAAGGGAGAAGAAAGGAGAAGAAGAAAUACUACAAGAAGAGGGGCGGCGAUGCCCAUGUUUGUCAGGAGUGGGAUUCCGACGAAAGCUCUAGCGACUCCUCCUCCGAUGAGGACGCCGCCAACAUCGCCGUCACCAAGGGACUUCUCUUUCCCAACGUCGGCCACAAGUGCCUAAUGGCAAAGGACGGCAAAAAGAAGAAGGUUAAAUCUAAAUCCUCCACUAGAUAUGAAUCAUCUAGUGAUGAAAAUGUUAGUGAUGAGGAAGAAAACUUGCGCACUCUUUUUGCCAACCUCAACAUGCAACAAAAAGAGAAACUUAAUGAAUUGAUUAGUGCCAUUCAUGAAAAGGAUGAUCUCUUGGACACCCAAGAGGACUUCCUUAUUAAAGAAAAUAAGAAGCAUGUUAAAGUUAAAAAUGCUUAUGCUCUAGAAGUAGAAAAAUGUGAAAAAUUGUCUAGUGAGCUAAGCACUUGCCAUGAGACUAUAGACAACCUUAGAAAUGAGAAUUCUAAUUUAUUAGCUAAGGUUGAUUCUAUUGCUUGUAAUGUUUCAAUUCCCAAUCUUAGAAAUGAUAAUGAUGAUAUGCUUGCUAAGAUUGAAGAAUUGAACUUAUCUCUUGUUAGCCUUAGGAAUGAAAAUGAGAAAUUAAUAGCCAAGGCUAAAGAUUUUGAUGUUUGCAAUGCUACCAUUUCCGACCUUAGAACUAAGAAUGAUAUAUUGCAUGCUAAGGUUGUAGAAUUAAAAUCUUGCAAACCUUCUACAUCUACUGUUGAGCACACUUCUAUUUGCACUAGAUGUAGAGAUAUUGAUGUUAAUACUAUUCAUGAUCACAUGACUUUAAUUAAACAACAAAAUGAUCAUAUAGCAAAACUAGAUGCAAAAAUUGCCAAGCAUAACUUAGAAAAUGAAAAAUUUAAAUUUGCUAGAAGUAUGCUCUAUAAUGGGAGAUGCCCUGGCAUCAAGGAUGGCAUUGGCUUCCAAAGGGGAGACAAUGUCAAACUUAAUGCCCCUCCUAAAAGAUUGUUAAAUUUUGUAAAGGGCAAGACUCCCAUGCCUCAGGAUAACGAGGGUUAUAUUUUAUACCCUGCCGGUUAUCCCGAGAGCAAGAUUAGGAGAAUUCACUCUAGGAAGUCUCACUCUGGUCCUAACCAUGCUUUUAUGUAUAAGGGUGAGACAUCUAGCUCUAGGCAACCAACCUGUGCUAAGUUGCCUAAGAAAAGAACUCCUAAUGCAUCAAAUGAUCAUGACAUUUCAUUCAAAACUUUUGAUGCAUCAUAUGUGUUGACUAACAAAUCCGGCAAAGUAGUUGCCAAAUAUGUUAAGGGCAAGCACAAGGGGUCAAAGACUUGUGUUUGGGUACCCAAAGUUCUUGUGUCUAAUGCCAAAGGACCCAAAACCAUUUGGGUACCUAAAGUCAAGAACUAAACUUGUUUUGUAGGUUUAUGCAUCCGGGGGCUCAAGUUGGAUACUCGACAGCGGGUGCACAAACCAUAUGACAGGGGAGAAGAAGAUGUUCUCCUACGAGAAAAACCAAGAUCCCCAACGAGCCAUCACAUUCGGUGAUGGAAAUCAAGGUUUGGUCAAAGGUCUUGGUAAAAUAGCUAUAUCUCCUGACCAUUCUAUUUCCAAUGUUUUUCUUGUAGACUCAUUAGAUUACAAUUUGCUUUCUGUUUCUCAAUUAUGCAAAAUGGGCUACAACUGCUUAUUCACUGAUGUAGGUGUCACUGUCUUUAGAAGAAGUGAUGAUUCAAUAGCAUUUAAGGGAGUGUUAGAGGGUCAGCUAUACUUGGUAGAUUUUGAUAGAGCUGAACUCGACACUUGCUUAAUUGCUAAGACUAACAUGGGCUGGCUCUGGCAUCGCCGACUAGCACAUGUUGGGAUGAAGAAUCUUCACAAGCUUCUAAAGGGAGAACACAUUUUAGGACUAACAAAUGUUCAUUUUGAGAAAGACAGGGUUUGUAGCGCAUGCCAAGCAGGAAAGCAAGUUGCAAUUGGUGCCCAUCAUCCACACAAGAACAUCAUGACGACCGACAGGCCGCUUGAACUACUCCACAUGGAUCUAUUCGGCCCGAUUGCUUACAUAAGCAUCGGCGGGAGUAAGUAUUGUCUUGUAAUAGUGGAUGAUUAUUCUCGCUUCACUUGGGUGUUCUUUCUGCAGGAAAAAUCUCAAACCCAAGAAAUCUUAAAGGGAUUCUUAAGACGGGCUCAAAACGAGUUUGGCUUAAGGAUCAAGAAAAUUAGAAGCGACAACGGGACGGAGUUCAAGAACUCUCAAAUCGAAGGCUUCCUUAAGGAGGAGGGCAUCAAGCAUGAGUUCUCCUCUCCCUACACGCCACAACAAAAUGGUGUAGUGGAGAGGAAGAAUCGAACUCUAUUGGACAUGGCAAGGACCAUGCUUGAUGAGUACAAGACUUCGGAUCGGUUUUGGGCCGAGGCAGUCAAUACCGCUUGCUGCGCCAUCAACCGGUUAUAUCUACACCGAAUCCUCAAGAAGACAUCUUAUGAGCUCCUAACCGGUAAAAAGCCCAACAUUUCAUAUUUUAGAGUCUUUGGUAGCAAAUGCUUUAUUCUUGUUAAAAGAGGUAGAAAAUCUAAAUUUGCUCUUAAGACUGUAGAAGGCUUUUUUACUAGGAUAUGAUUCAAACACAAGGGCAUAUAGAGUCUUUAACAAGUCCACUGGACAAGUUGAAGUUUCUUGUGACGUUGUGUUUGAUGAGACUAACAGCUCUCAAGUAGAGCAAGUUGAUCUUGAUGAGAUAGGUAAUGAAGAGGCUCCAUGCAUCGCGCUUAGGAACAUGUCCAUUGGGGAUGUGUGUCCUAAGGAAUCCGAAGAGCCUCCAAAUGCACAAGAUCAACCGUCAUCCUCCACGCAAGCAUCUCCACCAACUCAAAAUGAGGAUGAAGCUCAAGUUGAUGAAGUAGAAGAUCAAGCAAAUGAGCCACCUCAAGAUGACGGCAAUGAUCAAGGGGGAGAUGCAAAUGAUCAAGACAAGGAAUGAAGAACAACGGCCGCCACACCCAAGAGUCCACCAAGCAAUCCAACAAGAUCACCCCGUCGACACCAUCCUCGGCGACAUUCAUAAGGGGGUAACCACUAGAUCUCGAGUUGCACAUUUUUGUGAGCAUUACUCUUUUGUUUCCUCUAUUGAGCCACACAGGGUAGAAGAAGCACUCCAAGAUUCGGAUUGGGUGGUGGCGAUGCAAGAGGAGCUCAACAACUUCACUAGGAAUGAGGUAUGACACUUAGUUCCACGUCCUAACCAAAAUGUUGUAGGAACCAAAUGGGUCUUCCGCAACAAGCAAGAUGAGCAUGGUGUGGUGACAAGGAACAAAGCCCGACUUCUGGCCAAGGGAUACUCCCAAGUCGAAGGUUUGGAUUUCGGUGAAACCUAUGCACCCGUAGCUAGGCUUGAGUCAAUUCGCAUAUUGUUGGCCUAUGCUACUUACCAUGGCUUUAAGCUCUAUCAAAUGGACGUGAAAAGUGCCUUCCUCAAUGGACCAAUCAAGGAAGAGGUCUAUGUUGAGCAACCUCCCGGCUUUGAAGAUAGUGAGUACCCUAACCAUGUUUACAAACUCUCUAAGGCGCUUUAUGGGCUCAAGCAAGCCCCAAGAGCAUGGUAUGAAUGCCUUAGAGAUUUCCUUAUUGCUAAUGGCUUCAAAGUCGGAAAGGCCAAUCCUACUCUAUUCACUAAAACUCUUGAAAAUGACUUGUUCUGUAUGCCAAAUUUAUGUUGAUGAUAUUAUAUUUGGGUCUACUAACGAGUCUACAUGUGAAGAAUUUAGUAGGAUCAUGACACAAAAGUUCGAGAUGUCUAUGAUGGGGGAGUUGAAGUACUUCUUGGGAUUUCAAGUGAAGCAACUCCAAGAGGGCACCUUCAUUAGCCAAACAAAGUAUACUCAAGACAUUCUAAACAAGUUUGGGAUGAAGGAUGCCAAGCCCAUCAAGACACCCAUGGGAACUAAUGGGCAUCUCGACCUCGGCACGGGAGGUAAGUCCGUGGAUCAAAAGGUAUACCGGUCGAUGAUAGGUUCUUUACUCUAUUUAUGUGCAUCUCGACCGGAUAUUAUGCUUUCCGUAUGCAUGUGUGCAAGAUUCCAAGCCGACCCUAAGGAAGCUCACCUUACGGCCGUAAAACGAAUCUUGAGAUAUUUGGCUUAUACUCCUAAGUUUGGGCUUUGGUAUCCUAGGGGAUCCAUUUUUGAUUUGAUUGGUUAUUCGGAUGUCGAUUGGGCGGGGUGUAAAAUCAAUAGGAAGAGCACAUCGGGGACUUGCCAGUUCUUGGGAAGAUCCUUGGUGUCUUGGGCUUCAAAGAAGCAAAAUUCGGUCGCUCUUUCCACCGCCGAAGCCGAGUACAUUGUCGCAGGCCAUUGUUGCGCGCAAUUGCUUUGGAUGAGGCAAACCCUGCGGGACUACGGUUACAAAUUAACCAAAGUCCCUUUGCUAUGUGAUAAUGAGAGUGCAAUCAAGAUGGCGGAUAAUCCCGUCGAGCAUAGCCGCACUAAACACAUAGCCAUUCGGUAUCAUUUUCUUAGGGAUCACCAACAAAAGGGAGAUAUCGAGAUUUCUUACAUUAACACUAAAGAUCAAUUAGCCGAUAUCUUUACCAAGCCUCUUGAUGAACAAACUUUUAACAAACUUAGGCAUGAGCUCAAUAUUCUUGAUUCGCGCAAUUUCUUUUGCUAAAAUUGCACACAUAGCUCUUUUAUAUACCUUUGAUCAUAUCUCUAUCAUAUGCUAUGACUAAUGUGUUUUCAAGUCUAUUUCAAACCAAGUCAUAGGUGUAUUGAAAGGGAAUUGGAGUCUUCGGCGAAGACAAAGGCUUCCACUCCGUAACUCAUCCUUCGUCGUUGCUCCGUACCACUCUCCAUCUUUGGGGGAGAGAGCAAAAGGACUUCGUCUUUGGUAUAAUCUUAACUCAUUUAUUUAUAACCAAAGGGGAAGAAAAGAACAUGAGGGCUCUAAUGAUUCCGUUUUUGGCGAUUCAUGCCAAAGGGGGAGAGAGUAUGAGCCCAAAGCAAAAGGACCGCACCACCACCAAUUUCAAAAACUUAGUUUUUCAGUUUUUCAAAGAGUAUUUUCAAUUGGUAUCCUAUUGUGUUCAAAAGGGGGAGAAAGUAGUAUUUCAAAAAUGAUACAUCAAAACCCUCUUGAACACUAAGAGGAGGAUCUCAUUUAGGGGGAGUUUUGUUUAGUCAAAGGAAAAGCAUUUGAAACAGGGGGAGAAUUUCAAAUCUUGAAAAUGCUUUUCAAAAUCUUAUUCAUUUACCUUUGACUAUUUGCAAAAGAACUUUGAAAAGGAUUUACUAAAUAGUUUGCAAAAACAAAACAUGUGGUGCAAGCAUGGUCCAAAAUGUUAAAAAUAAAGAAACGAUCCAUGCAUAUCUUGUAAGUAUUAAUAUUGGCUCAAUUCCAAGCAACCUUUGCACUUACAUUAUGCAAACUAGUUCAAUUAUGCUUUUCUAUACUUGCUUUGGUUUGUGUUGGCAUCAAUCACCAAAAAGGGGGAUAUUGAAAGGGAAUUAGGCUUACACCUAGUUCCUAAAUAAUUUUGGUGGUUGAAUUGCCCAACACAAAUAAUUGGACUAACUAGUUUGCUCUAAGUGUAUAAGUUAUACAGGUGUAAAAGGUUCACACUUAGCCAAUAAAAAGAUCAAAUAUUGGAUUCAACAAAGGAGCAAAGGGACAACCGAAGGCACCUCUGGUCUGGGGCACCGGACUGUCCGAUGUACACCGGACAGUGUCCGGUGCACCACCGGACAGUGUCCGGUGCACCAGAGGACUCCAACUUAAACUUGCCACCUUCGGGAAUUUCCAGAGGCACUCCGCUAUAAUUCACCGGACUGUCCGGUGUACACCGGACAGUGUCCGGUGCUCCAAGGAAGAGCGGCCUCCGGAACUCGCCAGCCUCGGGAAAACGCAGCGGCUGCUCCGCUAUAAUUCACCGGACAUGUCCGGUGUACACCGGACUGUCCGGUGAACCAGCAGAGCAACGGCUACUUCGAGCCAACGGUCACCUGCAGGCGCAUUCAAUGCGCGCCAGAAGCGCGCAGAAGUCAGGCACGCCCAUACUGGCGCACCGGACAUUGAACAGUACAUGUCCGGUGUGCACCGGACAUCCAGGCGGGCCCAGAAGACAGAAGCUCCAACGGUCGGAAUCUAACGGCAUUGGUGACGUGGCUGGCGCACCAGACUGUCCGGUGCACCAUACGACAGACAGCCUCCACCAACGGUCAUGUUUGGUGGUUGGGGCUAUAAAUAUCCCAACCACCCCACCAUUCAUUGCAUCCAAGUUCUCCAGCUUCCAACCACUAUACAAGAGCUAGCAUUCAUUGCAAAGCACACCAAAAGAGAUCAAAUCCUCUCCCAACUCCACACAAAGCAUUAGUGACUAGAGAGAGUGAUUUGUAGUGUUCAUUUGAGCUCUUGCGCUUGGAUCGCUUCUUUUCCUUGGCAUUCUUUCUUGUGAUCAAACACUCACUUGUAAUUGAGGCAAGAGACACCAAUUGUGUGGUGGUCCUUGCGGGAAGUUUGAUUCCCAAGUGAUUUGAGAAGAGAAGCUCACUCGGUCUGAGGGACCGUUUGAGAGAGGGAAAGGGUUGAAAAAGACCCGGCCUUUGUGGCCUCCUCAACGGGGAGUAGGUUUGCGAGAACCGAACCUCGGUAAAACAAAUCCUUGUGUCUCACCGCUUUACUCGCUUGCGAUUUGUUUUACACCCUCUCGCGGACUCGGUUUUAUUUCUAACGCUAACCCGGCUUGUAGUUGUAUUUAUAUUUGUAAAUUUCAGUUUCGCCCUAUUCACCCCACCCCCCUCUAGGCGACUAUCAUGUAUCUAGAAUUGAAUGCUAGAGCUCUUGUAAGUGGUUGGAAGUUGGAAAACUUGGAUGACUUGAAUGUGGGGUGGUUGGGAGUAUUUAUAACCCCAACCACCAAAAUAGUCGUUUGGUGGAGGCUGUUGUCGCAUGGCGCACCAGACAGUCUGGUGCGCCACCGGACACUGUCCGGUGCGCCAGCCACGUCACCAGGUCGUUGGGUUCCGACCGUUGGAGCUCUGACGUGUGGGCCCGCCUAGCUGUCCGGUGGUGCACCGGACAAGUCCUGUAGACUGUCCGGUGUGCCACCCGCGCGUGCUCUGCUCCUCUACGCGCGCUGGCGCACAUUUAAUGUGUUGCAGUCGACCGUUGGCGCGAAGUAGUCGUUGCUCCGCUGGCUCACCGGACAGUCCGGUGUGCACCGGACAUGUCCGGUGAAUUAUAGCGGAGCGGAUUCCCGAAGCUGGCGAGUUCAGAGUCGCUCUCCUCUGGAGCACCGGACACUGUCCGGUGAAUUAUAGCGAAGCGCCUCUGAAAAUUCCCGAAGAUGCGAAGUUUGGCUUGGAGUCCCCUGGUGCACCGGACACUGUCCGGUGGUGCACCGGACACUGUCCGGUGCACCAGACCAGGGCAGCCUUCGGUUGUCCCUUGCUCUUUUGGUUGAACCCAUUUCUUGGUCUUUUUAUUGGCUAAGUGUGAACCUUUGGCACCUGUAUAACUUAUAGACUAGAGCAAACUAGUUAGUCCAAUUAUUUGUGUUGGGCAAUUCAACCACCAAAAUCAAUUAGGAACUAGGUGUAAGCCUAAUUCCCUUUCAAGACUAACGGCUCUCAAGUAGAGCAAGUUGAUCUUGAUGAGAUAGGUGAUGAAGAGGCUCCGUGCAUCGCGCUAAGGAACAUGUCCAUUGGGGAUGUGUGUCCUAAGGAAUCCGAAGAGCCUCCAAAUGCACAAGACCAACCAUCCUCCUCCACGCAAGCAUCUCCACCAACUCAAAAUGAGGAUGAGGCUCAAGUUGAUGAAGGAGAAGAUCAAAUAGAUGAGCCACCUCAAGAUGAUGGCAAUAAUCAAGGGGGAGAUGCAAAAGAUCAAGUCAAGGAGGAUGAAAAACCAAGACCGGCACACCCAAGAGUCCAGCAAGCAAUCCAACGAGAUCACCCCGUCGACACCAUCCUCGGCGACAUUCAUAAGGGGGCAACCACUAGAUCUCGUGUUGCACAUUUCUGUGAGCAUUACUCUUUUGUUUCCUCUAUUGAGCCACACAAGGUAGAGGAAGCACUACAAGAUUCGGAUUGGGUGGUGGCGAUGCAAGAGGAGCUCAACAACUUCACUAGGAACGAGGUAUGGCAUUUGGUUCCACGUCCUAAUCAAAAUGUUGUAGGAACCAAGUGGGUUUUCCGCAACAAGCAAGACGAGCAUGGUGUGGUGACAAGGAACAAAGUCCGACUUGUGGCCAAGGGAUACUCCCAAGUCGAAGGUUUGGACUUCGGUGAAACCUAUGCACCCGUAGCUAGGCUUGAGUCAAUUCGUAUAUUAUUAGCCUAUGCUACUUACCAUGGCUUCAAGCUUUACCAAAUGGACGUGAAGAGUGCCUUCCUCAAUGGACCGAUCAAGGAAGAAGUCUAUGUUGAGCAACCUCCCGGCUUUGAAGAUAGUGAGUACCCUAACCAUGUGUAUAAACUCUCUAAGGCGCUUUAUGGGCUCAAGCAAGCCCCAAGAGCAUGGUAUGAAUGUCUAAGAGAUUUUCUUAUCACUAAUGGCUUCAAAGUCGAAAAGGCUGAUCCUACUUUAUUUACUAAAACUCUUGACAAUGAUUUGUUUGUAUACCAAAUUUAUGUUGAUGAUACUAUAUUCGGGUCUACUAACGAAUCUACAUGUGAGGAAUUUAGUAGGAUCAUGACACAGAAAUUCGAGAUGUCUAUGAUGGGGGAGUUGAAGUACUUCUUAGGAUUUUAAGUGAAGCAACUCCAAGAGGGCACCUUCAUUAGCCAAACAAAGUAUAUUCAAGACAUUCUAAACAAGUUUGGAAUGAAGGAUGCCAAGCCUAUCAAGACACCCGUGGGAACCAAUGGGCAUCUCGACCUUGACACGGGAGGUAAAUCCGUCGAUCAAAAGGUAUAUCGGUCGAUGAUAGGCUCUUUACUCUAUUUAUGCGCAUCUCGACCGGACAUUAUGCUUUCCGUAUGCAUGUGUGCAAGAUUCCAAGCCGACCCUAAGGAAGCUCACCUUACGGCCGUAAAACGAAUCUUGAGAUAUUUAGUUUAUACUCCUAAGUUUGGGCUUUGGUAUCCUAGGGGAUCCACUUUUGAUUUAAUUGGUUAUUCGGAUGCCGAUUGGGCGGGGUGUAAGAUUAAUAGAAAGAGCACAUCGGGGACUUGCCAGUUCUUGGGAAGAUCCUUGGUGUCUUGGGCUUCAAAGAAGCAAAAUUCCGUAGCUCUUUCUACCACCGAAGCCGAGUAUAUUGCCGCAGGUCAUUGUUGCGCGCAACUACUUUGGAUGAGGCAAACCCUUAGGGACUACGGUUACAAAUUAACCAAAGUUCCUCUUCUAUGUGAUAAUGAGAGUGCAAUCUGCAUGGCGGAUAAUCCCGUUGAGCAUAGCCGCACUAAACACAUAGUCAUUCGGUAUCAUUUCUUAAGGGAUCACCAACAAAAGGGAGAUAUCGAGAUUGCGUAUAUUAACACUAAAGAUCAAUUAGCCGAUAUCUUUACCAAGCCACUUGAUGAACAAACCUUUAACAAACUUAGGCUUGAGCUAAAUAUUCUUGAUUCUAGGAAUUUCUUUUGAUGUUUUGCAUACAUAGCUCAUAAAUAUACCUUUGAUCAUAUCUCUUAUAUGCUAUGACUAAUAUGACUUCAAGUGAAUUUCAAAGCAAGUCAUAGGUGUAUUGAAAGGGAAUUGGAGUCUUCGGCGAAGACAAAGGCUUCCACUCCACUCCAUCAAAAUACAAUCCUUCGCCGUCGCUCCGCAUCACUCUCCAACUUUGGUAUAAUCUUCACUCAUUUAUUUAUGACCAAAGGGAGAGAAAGUAAUUCAAAAGGCUCUAAUGAUUCCGUUUUUGGCGAUUUAUGCCAAAGGGGGAGAGAGCAUGAGCCCAAAGCAAAAGGACCGCAUCACCACCAAUUUCAAAAAUUUUAGUCUUUCAAUUUGUUUUUAAAGAAGUAUUUUCAAAUUGGUAUCUUAUUUGUGAUAUAAUUUCAAAAUUGGUAUACCCUCUUCAAAAUUAACAUCAAAACCCUCUUGAACACUAAGAGGAGGAUUUUAUCAAGGGGGAGUUUUGUUUUAGUCAAAGGAAAAACAUUUCAAACAGGGGGAGAAAAUUUCAAAUCUUGAAAAUGCUUCUCAAAAUCUUAUUCAUUUACCUUUGACUAUUUGCAAAAGGACUUUGAAAAGAAUUUACAAAAGAAUUUGCAAAAACAAAACAAGUGGUGCAAGCGUGGUCCAAAAUGAUGAAAAUAAAGAAACAAUACAUGCACAUCUUAUGAGAAUUUAUAUUGGCUCAAUUCUAAGUAACCUUUGCACUUACAAUUAUGCAAACUAGUUCAAUUAUGCACUUCUAUAUUUGUUUUGGUUUGUGUUGGCAUCAAUCACCAAAAAGGGGGAGAUUGAAAGGGAAUUAGGCUUACACCUAUUUCCUAAUUGAUUUUGGUGGUUGAAUUGCCCAACACAAAUAAUUGGACUAACUAUUUUGCUCUAGUCUAUAAGUUCUACAGGUGCCAAAGGUUCACAAUAAGUCAAUAAAAAGACCAAGAAAAGGGUUCAAACAAGAGAGCAAGGGAUAACCGAAGUGUGCCCUGGUCUGGCGCACCGGACAGUGUCCGGUGCACCAGGGGACUCUAAGCUGAACUCCUCACCUUUGGGAAUUCUCAGAGACGCUACGCUAUAAUUCACCGGACUGUCCGGUGCCCCAAGGAAGAGCGACUCUGAACUCACCAGCUUCGGGAAUCCGCUCCGUAAAAUUCACCGGACUGUCCGGUGAGUCACCGGACAGUGUCCGGUGCACACCGGACUGUCCGGUGAGCCAGCGGAGCAACGGCUACUUCGCGCCAACGGUCGACUGCAACGCAUUAAAUGCGCGCCAGCGCGCGCAGAGGAGCAGAGCACGCGCGGGUGGCACACCGGACAGCCUACAGGGCCUAUCCGGUGCACCACCGGACAGCCAGGCGGGCCCACAAGUCAAAGCUCCAACGGUCGGAACCCAACGGCCGGGUGACGUGGCUGGCGCACCGGACAGUGUCCGGUGGCGCACCGGACUGUCCGGUGCGCCCGUCGACAGCAGCCUCCACCAACGUUCAAGUUUGGUGGUUGGGGCUAUAAAUACCCCCAACCACCCCUACAUUCAAGUCAUCCAAGUUUUCCACCUUCCAACUACUUACAAGAGCUCUAGCAUUCAAUUCUAGACACAACCAAAUAGAUCAAAUCCUCUCCCAACUUCGGCUUGCUCCUCCUUGCAGCCAGUUCAAAAGAAAUGGCAGGAGGAGAUUAAGUUUACAUUUAAUGUUGGCAAAUGUGAUAAGAUAUUCGAUGAAUUACUAAAAAAUGGUAACAUUAAGAUUGAUUAUAUCGUUCCACUUGCCGACGAACUAAAGCAUCGCGCAUAUUGCAAGUGGCACAACUCAUUUUCCCAUGCCACUAAUGAUUGUAAUGUGUUCCGACGACAAAUCCAAUCGGCCAUUAAUGAGGGACGAUUGAAAUUUCAGGAGGACACAGAGCCCUUCCCAAUGAAUAUGAUUGACUUCAAUGGCAAAAAAGUCCUAAUUCGGCCCAGCACAGCCGAUAAGGGCAAAGACAAAGAAGUCAUCAUCGGCAACGCACGGGAGGUCGAUAGAAACAACAAAAUUGCUUGCAGGAAAGUGGUGGCCGAGAAGACUCUUGAUGGAGGGGAGACACUGAAGGUGACCAUCGCAAACUCUGGCACUAGAGGGCAAGUGCAGACAAGGGGACAUGCGCAAGAACCCAUACUACGCAUCGCGGAUGGUCCGGUGCCCAGGCGCGGACGGUCCGUGACAUCGCCAGACGGUCCGGAGCGUUCCAGCAGACGGUCCGGCAACACCGAAGAACCAAGGCGACCUCGUACCUUCAAACCACGACGACCAGAAAUAGGUACAUGAAAAACUAACACGUUCAAAGCAACUGGUCGGUUGGUAAAAUCCAGCCCGACCUUUGAUCAAUUAUUGUCUAAAUAUGUGAAAAAGAAGGCUGGCCCCAGCGACCGGCCACCAAAGCAACCUCGCUUACCCACCCAGGUGCGACGACAGGUUAAGUCGAUUGGAUCACCGCACCAAUCGGAAAGGACGAAAUGUCAUAAUGUUCAAUCAAGACCUAACGUACCUGCAUGGACACCCCCACCACCAUAUCCACCUAUGCCAUAUCCAUACACAUACAUACCUCCACCAUAUGUCCCAAAUCAAAUGUGGGGCAUGCCACCAUACCCAUUUGGGAUGCCACAAUACCCCGCUUGGGGGGCACCCCAAACAUCUGUGUUCAAUAGGUUGACACCUCCAGUACAAGACCGAUUGAGAGCCCCUCAAUCUGGUCCACGAGCACAGGCCCAACAAGAUUGCCGAACAACUCAGCCCCAAAGGCUGACUAAUCCGGCAGGGGGGCAUACAGCUACAACCUCCAACAAUGCGAAAAAAUGAGACGUCAUUAAAAUAGGAACGACAGAUGUCGUCGUACAACAAAGUAACGAAGGGCCGAUGAUUUUUGGUGAAUCGGCCAACACAAACAAAAAAGAAGGUAUAGCUGUCAACAAAACAACCGAUCCAAAAUACUCCAUGCCCUGAUGGUGCCCAUCGAGAUUGACACGAUCGCAAAAGCGAAAAUUACAGCGCCUCAGAGCAAAGGAGAAUCAGGAAAAGGAGGCGGAAAGAAUAUUCAAUGACACGCAUCUGCAGUAUCCGCCACCACAAAAGAGAUGGAGACCAAAGGCCGUUGAGAAAAAUCAAACGGCCACAAAGAUAGAAAAUAAAACGACAACUGUGCAUCUCUCUGCAGGUAUGGUAGACUGUCCGGCUAUAAAGGCCGGAUCAUCUGCACAGGACGCGGACCAUCCGACCCCUGAGGCCGAACCAUCCGCACUACACCAAGACACCUCCGACGACGUACCGACGCCCAUGGAGGAAGACGACCUGCAAGGAGAAGACCUGGUCGACUACGGAGCUACGCCAGAACACUUAGAAAAUUAGGAAAGCAAGGUGACGAAUUGGUCAGGACCAGUAUGACGCUCGGCGGUGUUGGGACUGACAGUUCGAUCAAAGCUAAAGGGAUCACGUCCGUUGAGUCAACCAUCGAGACCAAGGCCACUGCGUACCAUCCUAGUAAGUGGCAAGAUGCCUAAGAAAACCGAUGUGAUCACAUCGAGUUAGUUGCUUUUGGUUCGCUCAGCUCCACCAAAAGGCAGAGGGGCAUAUGUUGAGCACCAUUUUGAGUGCACGGACGGUCCGGCCCUGGGGCCGGACGGUCCGCGCAGGCGCAGAACAGAUUAGGGUUCCGAGUUUCUUGCUAUGUUUGUUGGCGAAAAUCUCGAGAUAAGCUCGAAAAUUAGUUUGUAAAGAGUCCAGCCCCCCUCCUAUAUAAAUAGAGAGGUAUACGGCCGAUCAAUCAUUAUCAAUCGAAUCAAUACAACUUCUAUUUCGCAUUUUAUCCUAGGAGUAGUUCUAGUCUAGUUUAGGUUUAGCCUCUCGAUCCCCAAAUUCUUCGCCUCUCUUCGACUCUACACCGAUUAGAGGAGUCUAGGUCGGCCGGCCCGAGCCUAGACAACCCCUAGAAUCUCUCCUCCCCGACGGGGUCCCUCCCGGGAGCGAGUCCAGGCGCCGCCGGCGAUCUUCCGCUGCCCCUGCGCACGCGCGGACCGUCCGGCCCCAGGGCGCAGACCUUCCGGCCGUCAGGCAGGAAACCUUAGCCCAUGCGCCAGGUCGCGGACCGUCCGGCCCCAGGCCGCGGACCGUCCGCGCCUGACCAAAGAGCACUGUCGCCGGUUUUUCUUGAGUAUUUGGCGCUCCGAAAAAGUGUCAACACGAAGUAACUUCAAAGUUUAGAUCUGCAUAGACAAAAUCGGCUGUGCAUCAUACAGAAUGCGUGGCCCACUAUUUCUUUUCCUUUUAUUACCGGGAAGAACUGAAUCUACACGCAACAUUACAAUGACCAUUUCUGAUACAUCACUACGAGCUUGGGUACAGGGCAUAUGUUGCCUUCAGGUAGUCUAUGAUUUCAGCGCUUUCAAACAUCUGGACUCCCGUGUUAGGAUCUUCGAUGUACGGCGCCUGCCAACACAGUAACACAUACACACACACAUAUACAUGAUGUCGCACACCAGGCAGGCAAAUCAAAAGAAUGUUCAGCGUCAAAUGCAUCAAUAGCGUUAUAGCAAGGCGUCCUACCUGGAAAAGCCCCUUUUUCUUGAAAAAUUCUUGUCGUUUGGGGCUGCCUCGUGCGCAGCUGCAGGAGUAACUUCUAGUUACUAACACUCUUGCAGAGCACAUAUCUCAGUCCAGAAGAACUGAACUAAAGUGAUAAUUCUACUAGGUUAAGUUUAGCAACAGCUUGCAGGCUGUUCUGAAUUCUGAUGCCAUUCAGUGACUUGUGGUUUUAAAGUAUUUUGGAUACCUGUGUAGCAGAUGUGGCAAUUCCAACUCGACAAGUGUCUCUCGUACUAAUUUACAGAAGGGAGAUCCCUGCGAAAACAGACCAUCAGCUAUUCAGAGUCCACGCGACCUGUAUAGUAAGAAGAGAGCUCAUGUGCUGAGGAUUCAGACCUCACAUGCCCAUAUCUCUAUGGGCUGCGGUGGGACUUUUGAAGCAAUGUAGGAAUUUCCCUGUAAACAACGACGUAAUGCCACACGUUUCUGAGCAAACAUCCAGAGGAAAACACGCAGCGAACUUUGUUAUAUUGUUUUUGCACAAUGUACCUUUCCAAUACGACCAAGAGUAGCAAGCCCUGCUGUAAUUGCCUAAAAAAUAUUUAAAAGUUAUCAAAACUGCAAACUGAUCCUUGGCACAAAAUAAAGCAUUAUACCCAUCGGAUAGGCAAAUACUGAAGCAUACUGAAAGCAAAGUGUAAAUAUGUCAAAUAUUCCUCGAUAAUAGUUGGGGGUACUUAGUUCAAACAUAUUUUUAUACAUUUGGACUAAUAUGUACACUGGUUAAAACAUAUAAUAUACUUUUAAAUUGCUGGGUGCUUGUUUACUUACUGUCAACAGACCAAGUGAUAGCAUAAUUGGAACAGUUCCAUCGCCUAAGAAAAACAAGCAUAAGUGAGUGAGGUCAGUAAGGUCAUUAUAGGAAGAAACUUUAAGAGGGCAUACCCAGUGCCAAAAAUGGGGUCUAGGAAGGGGAUAAAACGAUACAAUCCUUUUCACACACAAAUCCAGUGAGGCUCCCACAUGAAUGGGGUCUCGGGGAUAAACCAAGACAAGCCUUUUCCCCCACAAAUAGGGAGGAACAACCUUUAAGAGCAAAAGUGAAAAGGAGAUGUGUUGAAUACACACCAUAUGUAUCAGCUAGAUAUUUUAUGAUGUCAUCGGAUUCAUACAUGGCGACCCCUGUGUUUGGAUCUACCUGCAAUAGAGGUGCAUCUUAUGUAACUGUUAACACUGAAUGAUAGAACUGAUUUGCAUUUCAUUACGCAAUUUAUUUCUUGGGAAAACUCAGAUGACCAACCUUACUUUCCCCGACGAAAAAUUAUGACACACACAUCAAAGCUUAUUUAUCAAAUAUAAUGAGCAAGUUAACCUAUCUUGCCAGGGGCCCACAGGUUAUACUCAGUGGUCAUCAUAUGAGCAAGUUUAUUUAUCAAAUAAAAUUCAUACGCCACAUUUCCAUAUUUAACAUACGUGGAUGUGGAUGAGGAGAUGCUAGCAACCAAAUAUGAUCUGAAGUGCUAACACAAAAUAGAAUAUCAGAAUUUAUGUAGGACGUCUGCAUACCAUGUAAGGGAAUUGUUUCUUUCCACCCAUUUCGAGGACUUUAGGUCGGAAUGUUGGGCCUUUUUGAGGACAGGGGUAAAAUAAUACAUCUAGGUCCAAGACUGUUACCAUCUCUCUGACCUGCAAUUUUUCCAUGGUGAAUACAAACAACAAAAUUGCUCUUGUGCAUGAAGAAUGACAUCUGCAAAACGCAGUUGCAAGAGGCUGGGCAUAUUCACCUUCCGACAAAAUGGACAACUGAAGAUUAGCAAGAAUACACCAACAAUGAAGAGAAGAAACAAGUCAGCAUGAUUACUCAGCAUGGUAUAAACAGGAGGAAGAAGCAAGAUAUGCUGUACCCUUCAAAUUCAUAUAUCUCGAUAGGCUUUUCUGGUCGUUUGCACUGUCCUAUUUUUGAUUCCUCUUUCACCUUCCAAGCUACGAUAAGAAACGCAUGUUUACAAGUAAACUUAACAGAGCUAUGUAUUCCACAAACUGCAUCUUAUUGUGCGAUUCUUUGUGGUUUCCAUGAUAUAGUAGGAGUAAUAAUAGCUGCAAUGGAAGAAUUGUGAAUAAACUCACCUCCAAAUUCCAGUGCAUACUGGUCUGAUGGUAUCUCUGAUGGAGAAACAAGAGAUGGCGAGUACCUGCACAUUGAAGUGACACGUGCAGGUAAGCAGGUGCAGGCUGUAGCCCGUAGGCGAGGUAGACGCCCGGACGGUGAGAGAAGGCGCGGUGCGUACCCGAGGACGAAGACGCCGGUGCCGAGGCGAAGGGGGAUGGCGAGCGAGGCGCCGAGGACGCUGCCCACCUGGCCGGACUUGACCUCGUACCUCUUGGGCUCGGGCGCCUUGAACCCCGGCGGAGGCUUGAACUCGGGCGCCGGCUCAGGCGCGGAGGUGGAGACGGCUGCGGCGGUGGUGUCCGGCUGGGCCCUGACGGCGAGAGAAGCGGCCCUGGCGGCGCGCGCGGUGGCGGUGGCACCCAAGGCGACGGUGCGGCGGGGGAGGAGGAGGGGCGUGCGGUGGUGCAGCGCGGUGGGUGCGGCGGGCGGAGCCAUGGAUUGGAUUCGGCAGCGACGGCGACUCGGGCCGGACGGCGGGGAGCGGCGUGCGAGUUUCUGUGGCGCCUACGCCGCUACGCGGCGAGACGCGGGGACGAAGCGAUUGGUGUACCUGCGGCACUGCUGGCGAGUUAUUUGUGAUUAUAAUCAUUUCGUCGCGCGGCUUAGCAUCUUUGGUAUCCCGCAGCCCGUCAUCGCCAGAUUGGUAUUGCUGUCGUACAUCACUCGCUGGAUUGGGUUUGUUUUCAUACGGCUGACUAAUUUACCCUUCCCUUUUCAUCCAGUCCGGUCGCAACGACGACGAGCCUCGUCGAUCUCCAGCCAUGGAUGAAGACGUCGUGAUAGCGCCUGAGCACGAGGAGCGUGCGCCCGGAGCUCCAGCGUCACCUCGGCCCGCGGCGACAUCUCCAGGGCGGCCGUGACCAGGCUGAGUGCCGCCGCCGCCGCAUCGUCGGUGUCCUGUGUGGCCGCAGUGAGAGCCGCCCGCGCCUCGCCGAGAUACGUGUCGAACACCUGUCGCACAUGGACUUGGUGCCUGGCGGGACGCAAUGGCGCCAUCGUCCCCUUCCUCCGCUCCGGCCAAGAAACGCAUCCAACUGGUUGAGAGGCAACAACAAGGUUCGUGCCUGCAUUGCAUUGCAUUGCUCUCCUCGAUUUCGCCUUUGUAAUCCCGAGAGGAGAGCCCGAGGUGCUACUCUUGUUGUUUCCAUCCACCAGGCGCUCUCACCUUUCGUCUCCAGAUGGCUCUUCUGUUCCGUGUGAUGCGUUAUGUUUGCGUUGUUCGAGGAUGCGGCUUGAUUUAUUUCGUUGUCCUUUUCCUCCUCGUACGGUUUCGCACGUACCUCGGCGAGGCGCGGGCGGCUCUCGCUGCGGCCGCGCAGGACACCGACGACGCGGCGGCGGCGGCGCUCGGCCUAGUCACGGUCGCCCUGGAGAUGACGCCGCGGGCCGAGGCGGUGCUGGAGCUCCGGGCGCGCUCCUCGCGCUCAGGCGCUACCGUGACGUCUUCAUCCAUGGCUGGAGAUCGUAACGUCUUCAUCCAUGGCUGGAGAUCGACGAGGCUCGUCGUCAUUGCGACCGGACUGGGCGAAAAGGAAAGGGUAAAUUAGUCAGCCGUACGAAAACAAAACCAAUCUGGCGAGUGGUGCACGACAGCAAUACCAAUCUGGCGAUAACGAGCUGCGGGAUACUAAAGAGGCGAAGCCGCACGACGAGAUGAUCAUAAUCAAAAUAACUCACUGCUGGCUGGCUGCUGCAAGUGCAAGUGGAGUGGGUGGGCCCGGUCUGUUAAAUGGAGUAACGACCACCGGUGAUAGGUUAGCCAGCCUCUGACAUGUGGGACAACAGACGGCCCACAAACUCCCGCUCGACUGGGGAUCUUUGGGUCGGCCGAAAUCCCUUUCAACAUUCGUGGGCGGGGCGGAUGACCUGGAGCUGGAGGUUCGUGGUAGCGGCCACCGCCGGCCAUGGAGAAGAGAAAUCGGAUUCUCGACCUGCAGGACCUCCUCUCUGACGCGGACUUCGGCCCACUACUCGCCCGACAGCUACUGUCUCCGUUCGUGCGGCGGCCACCUACCUACCUCGUAGCAAGACACCAUAUCUUAAGUGCUGCCAUGGAUUUGCACCUAGAGCUCUACAUUGGUCGCCGGCGCCGCGGCGGAGGCAAGAGUCAGAAGUACCCUCUCCCAUGGGAGGCACCGUGUUCCAGCUGCUCCACUUCUGUCGGCUUGAUGGAGCUCCUGAUGGAUGGAGAGGAGAGGAGCUCGCCCAACAGGUACUCUCACCCUACCAGGCUAUUUUUCUUUUAUGGAAUUUAUAAUUGAUAAUCUAUUUUAUACAUUCAGAAGCAUCAGAUAGCAUGCAUUAUAUGCCAAUGAAAUUUCCUUCGUGGAGAGUUUGAGUAGCUUGUCUCUGAUGCUUAUCAAUGUCCCUUUCUUAUUUUUUUUCUCCUUUUUUAAUUAGAUAGACGUCGCCGUGGGUUAAAUAUCUUGUGUAGUCAUUUGUUAAGGCGAGAAUAUUGUUACUUCUCAGACAUGUAUUAGUAGCUUGUCUCUGAUCUGGUAGUAACAUGAUAACAAUUAUUAAUUCUGAGAAAAAAAAUCGUACGUACAUUAUAACAUUCGGAGUGAAGUCAAUAUUAUGCAUCAGUAAUAUUGUAUAAAAAAUUUAGCCACCUUACUUUGAUGUAUGUUACAUGAUUUAAUCAUGAACAAAUAAAUAAAAAACGGGGAAUGGGAGGUAAUUAUGGUGGUUGAAAGAAAAAAACGAUAUUUUAUGGUGGCGGUGAGGUUAAGAUAGAGGGAAUGGUUGACGAAGAUAUUGAAAUACUGAUUGCUUCCGUUCUUUUAUAAAAAAAUAGAAUAUAUGGUGAGAAAUUUAGAAGAUAGCCUUAGCUUCCGUUCUUUUAUCCGCAGCCACAAGUUUUGCUCUGCGUCUCCCAAGUUCCCGAUCUCGUACCCGCGCGAGUCAGUGCACCCCGUGCGUGAUCAACAGGUCCUUCCUGCUGCCGCGGCCGCCUCCCACUUCGACUGCUCCCGCACCUUUCGUUCACGCAAGCGCAACCUGCUUCUCCCGCUGGCUGUCUCGGAUCGGACCCCCUCCCUCCUGCCACGCAUCCUCCCCGCCCACGAGCCUCCCCCGCAACCGGAUAAUAAGGAAGAGGAAGAGAAACCGUGCGGUGCGGCGAAAGGAACAGUGAAAAAGGAAGAAUCUCUGAUCGAGGUUCCUGUCCGGCUUGCAGAAUCUUGGCGGCCAGCCAUAUAUGGAUGUACUGCUAGGUUCCGGGAGGUUCUUGGCACGACGGCCUCCCCUCGCGCUCGUCCCUCGCUGCUCUCGAGGCUCCCCGGACAAAAGCGGCAGCGACAAAGGUACGCGAUCUCGUAACUGUCACUGUCUAGUUCCUUGUUGCUACCGUAGAACUGUUUGGUGAAAUGCCACUGAGAGAUCCAGCACGGUUUAAGAAGUAGCCCGGUCAUCGCAUCAGGAGUGCAGGACGCAACUGCCUGCUUUCCUCGUCUAGCUUGAUGCGAUCUGUUUAUCUGAUCGCGUAGGGCCUGCUAAGAUUUGAGUUGCCCCUGCUUGCUUGUUUGCUUCAAUUUCAAGAGGCCGGUGCAGGUUUUGGUGGUUGUCUGCGACCUUUAGACAAGAUAUGUAUACGUUAUAGUUUGACGUAAGGAGUUGUAUUAAGCCGAGCGAGAGAAAAAAAAAAUCAAAGAUGCACCAGUUGUGUAGACCGUCCUCAUGUUGGCGUUCAUUUCCCUUUCUGUGUGUCAGAAUGAGAUUUACAGUCCACAAUCCAGUAGUUAGGUCCUGACUAAUCCAAAACUCUCCUUCACUGUAAUUGAAACCUUUUCUUUUUUAAAAAAAUGUCAGCAGUAUGAUGGUUUUGAAGAAGAAACAGUGUUUCUGCUUUCCGGAGAUUUCCACUAUUCUUCGUAUACCUAAUCCCUUUACACUGAAAAAGUUACUACCCGACUUUGAUUCUGUUUAUCCCUACAUUUGCUUUGGUGGAUUUUUGGUGGUGAUGAUUGAUGAAUUUCCAUCUUAAUUAUAGUUGUUUUUAGAAGUCUAUUCUACAUUAUGGUACAAGGUUAUGUAUGAUACUUAGUUUGGUGAUUCUCUUUAAAGCUUCUUACUUCCCUUUUUGAUCAAGAUGACAACGUUCCUGCCUUCCUUUUUAACAAGAAAAAAAAAUUCGCACUACUUAUCUGUCCAUAGUUACUUAGUUUAUUUUGGAUACCAUUAUGACGGUAAAAGUAACCAUCUCUUCUCUUCCUCGUCAGGUGAAACCUCUGCUGAUUGGGACAAGGCAUGGUCUGCCUUCAAGAAGAAAGGGAAGAGGACCCUGUUUUCUGAUUUCUCACCGGACAAGUACGUGACCUGGAACCCACAGCGCAGCGAGUAUCCAUUGUCAGAAGAGGUGGAUCCAAUCAAGAGAACUGAAAGAUCUAACUUGAUGCUGUGGACAAGCCCCCAGUUCACCUUGGUCGGGGCGAUUAUCAUCGUCUUGACAUUGCUAAUCUAUACACUAGUUGUUCCUCCUCCCAAGUAACUGCAGAGGUGACUACUACUAGGGGGGGGGGGGGGGGUGAGCUGUAAACUAGUAGUAUUUCAACUGGGAAGUCUGUAUUGUACAUUUUUUACGUGUGCUAUGGCAACUAUAGCAGUAUUAAUUCAAUUGCGAUCAUGUAGAUACAACACCACUGUCCAUUCCAUUCUGGAGGUUUUCUUCAAUUGUGUGCUAAAUGGCUGCUGUCUGAGUCUUAUAUUCACUUAUUAUAAUGAAGAAAUAUUUGGGGUCAGGUAGAGUUAUAUGUUGGUCGAUAUUCGAUGCUCCUGAUGUGUGUUAGCAACUUACCAAUCCUAUCUUCCACCACAUAACUAUUUCAAACUUCACUCUGUGAACAAUGCAGCGUAAAAUAGUGUUUUGUACGACUACCCACGAUCUGGUGGAGAUAGCCUAAAGCUGUAUUAACCUGUGAAAGCUUGUACUAGUGUUGGGAGUGUUUGGGCUGUGAAAGCUUGUACUAGUGUUGGGAGUGUUUGGGCAAUGGGGAACUGAUGGACACAUGAGAAUCACGUUUCUUAUUACAGAUAAAUUCAGGUCAAUGUCAGAUCAUCGGCUUCAUACAAUAAUAAGCCUUAGGCAUUAGGAUGUGUUUUAACAGAUAAUUGGUCCACGGUGGUGGCCAGGACUUUCUUUCCCUGUGUGAAUGGAAUAGAAGAUGGGGGUACAAUACAUUCUGGGACCUUUUCAAACCUGAGAGACGAGCUCCUUGCUCCCCAAGGAAGUUUGUCACACACACUCUCCCCCAUCGCCGCAUGUCCCCAGCAUCUCAUCUGCUCUGCGGCUAUAAAAGUGAGCAAGCCUUCGCCUCCUGCCGUCACUCACUCUGACAUCAGACAUCAGACACAACACACUCAGCAGACGGCUCUUCAGUCCCUUGAUUCCCGUGCCUUCCUGAGCAAGAAGCCACCCGCGGUGGCGAUGGAGCGGCAGGAGGCGGCGAGGCGGACCCUGCCGCGGCGCGGGCAGAUCAAGCUGCGCAUCUUCGCGAGCCUGUUCCGGUGCUUCAUCACCCCCGAGGCACCCGCGCGCAAGGAAGGCGACAAGAACAGAGAUGGCGGCGGCCGCGGCGUUUCCCCAGGUGGCUGACGCGGCUCGAGCGAUGCAGGAUGUUGUCUCUGAACUCCGGCUUCAGCUCGAGUGCUACGUCUCACUGUAAUAAUAAUAUAAUAGGCUUAGCUGCAGUACAGCCUGCGCAAGAGUGGUUCAAUUUUUCUGAGGAUUUGUUAGCCUGAAUGAUGACACACAAAAAAACAGCCUGUUCAAGUGUAAAUUUCUACUUGUAGAGUUGCAGUUGGGGUCAAGUGAUACCUUGACUUUGUAAAUUCACCUCUCUGAAUAUACUGGUGUAAUCUACUUGUUUCAGCCAAUGCCUUGGCUACCGAGUACCGAGCAGUAUUGACAUCCCUCCCUCCAUUUCAUUUGGUCGAAUUUCCCUGGUAUCCUAAUCAGGAGUAAUAGCUAUUUGAUAGUUGGUUUAUUAACUAACCUGUUCUAAACAUCUUGGCUAAUUUUAACGGCUAAUAAUUAGUUUUAGAAGUUUGGAACAUUCGCUGGUUUAUUUACUAUAGUAAUGAUUUUGUAGGCCUUAGUACUGGUUCACUAUAGUAUUGACAUCGCCUUAGUACUCUUUCGUACUCACGAUUUUAGUUUCUGUCUAAAUGUAUUAACAAGUUAAUCUAUCCUUUAAAAUAGUAUUCUGACUUCCUUUUAAUCAUUUCCAUUUUUUGGUUAUUUCUUACCAGACCAUGCUAUCCCACCUUGGUCACCGACGGGAGCAUCCCGCCGGCCGGCCCGCCUCCCUCCCUCCCCAUUCUCAUCCUCUGCCAGCCAAUCCAAUUAAAGAAGUUACAUCUUAAACAUCAUGGUAUUGCACAUUUCUGAAUAUGGUUCUGCUCAAAAUAAUAAAUAAAUGAUUUCAAGUAACAUUUCCGAAUAUGCAACUUUUCCAAUGUAUUGUUUAUAGCAUUACUAUCCCUAUAGGCCAAUAAUCACAACAAGUAAAAGGUGACUUUAAUUUGUGUCACGUAGUUUUGAGUUGAUCUUUAUAUGUGCGUACUUCUUUGGAACACGGGAAUUUCACAUAAACCAUAUAGGAGUUUUAUAGGAAUUAGUUCAAAACCUAGGAAAAACACAGGAUUUAGGAAAUAAUCCUUCAACCCAAAGGAGCCCUAACCUCGUAGACAUGCUCGGGGAUAGCUUAAUUCUGCAACACCUACUGUCCAAAUGUUUGGCUGAACAUAGUUCUGACAAUAAUGGGCUCUAUAUACAAACAUCAUAUGUGUUAUUGAUGGGAAGAUGAAAAACAGGCUUGACACUUCUUUGCAUUUUUGUUGCAUAAUUUUUUUGAAUCCAUAUUACAGUUAUAAUGAUCCUACUAUCUCCACAGCUGAGCUAGUAAUGGAUGGAUCGAUGUCAGCUGUUAAAACAAUGGUGAUUAUGACAGGUAAAAUCAAGUACCGAAUCUUCCUGCCUUCCCUUAAAUGUGUUUGUGUGUUUCAGAUUUGAUUAAUGCUGACCCUCACUUGGCAUUCUGUGUUGUAGAAUCACACGAAGAAAAUAAUAAUGUGAACCAAGCAAUCUGUAACGCUAGUAAAAAAUGUGAGUGCUCACCUUCUUCACUCCGAAGGACCAAGCUUCACAUCGGUAAUGCAUGUCGGCGCCCGAUUCCACGAGACAUCGGCAAUGACAAGGUUUUGCAUCAAUGGGGUUGUGGGAUCCUGGCAAAGAGUGGUUGGCACUAUGUGCGUACCAAAGCGAGGAGAGGGUGGAGCAAUGCGCAUCAUAAAGCACUGGUGAAGAGCAUGAGGCGAUCGUCACACGAUGGCAAAGCGACGUUGUGUCCCCCCGCCCCCAUGUCAUCAAUGUGGUGAGCAGGUAUAUGCAUGAGUACUAGGGAUGGAAAUUUAAUCCGUGGAUUUGGAUAUCCGGCGGAUAUCCAACCCGACGGAUUAGGAUAUGGAUAUGUUUUUUGACCCGCGGGUUAGACCCGUAUCCGAUCCGAGAUAAAGUGGGCAUGGAUUUGGAUAUUAAAUCUCACCCGUGGAUAAUCCGUUGGAUAUCCGAAAUUAACCAUUAGUUCAUUAUUGAGCCCAGGCGCCAGCCCACCAAAGUAACAUUCAGCGCACCAAAGCACCAAGCCACCAGCCCACCAUAAUCCCUAAUUUCCCAAUCCCCAUCCGACCAUCCCCUAGCCUCAAUCGUUCAAUCCCAGCCUCCCAGUCAUCCUGCAGCCUCAAGCGCAAAAGCCACCCGCGCCGCCUAGGCAACCCGCAACCCGCAAGCCACCGACGUUGCCCCGGCCCCCCGUGCAGACGCAGCUCCAAGCUCUGCCCUGCUCUAAGCGCCGUCGGCCCCCGCGUAGACGCAGCUCUGAAAAUCUGAAAUCCGCCCUGCUCUGAGCUCCACCCUGCGCAGCUGCACUGAGCUCCGCUCUGCUCUGUUGAGACAUGUAGACAUGUAUUUUUGUCAUGUUGAGAAUAUUGCUUGUUGAAGGACAUGUGAAAGGGAAUUAGACUUACACCUAUUUCCUAAUUGAUUUUGGUGGUUGAAUUGCCCAACACAAAUAAUUGGACUAACUAGUUUGCUCUAGUCUAUAAGUUCUACAGGUGCCAAAGGUUCACAAUAAGCCAAUAAAAAGACCAAGAAAAGGGUUCAAACAAGAGAGCAAGGGAUAACCGAAGUGUGCCCUGGUCUGGCGCACCGGACUGUCCGGUGUGCCACCGGAUAGUGUCCGGUGCACCAGGGGACUCCAAGCUGAACUCCUCACCUUCGGGAAUUCUCAGAGGCGCUCCGCUAUAAUUCACCGGACUGUCCGGUGCCCCAAGUAAGAGCGACUCUGAACUCGCCAGCUUCGGGAAUCCGCUCCGCUAAAAUUCACCGGACUGUCCGGUGUGACAGCGGAGCAACGACUACUUCGCGCGCAACGGCCGACUGCAGCGCAUUAAAUGCGCGCCUGCGCGUGCAGAGGAGCAGAGCACGCGCGGGUGGCACACCGGACAGCCUACAGGGCCUGUCCGGUGCACCACCGGACAGCCAGGCGGGCCCACAAGUCAGAGCUCCAACGGUCGGAACCCAACGACCGGGUGACGUGGCUGGCGCACCGGACUGUCCGGUGGCGCACCGGUCUGUCCGGUGCGCCCGUCGACAGCAGCCUCCACCAACUGUCAAGUUUGGUGGUUGGGGCUAUAAAUACCCCAACCACCCCCACAUUCAAGUCAUCCAAGUUUUCCACCUUCCAACUACUUACAAGAGCUCUAGCAUUCAAUUCUAGACACAACCAAAUAGAUCAAAUCCUCUCCCAACUCCACCCAAAGCUCUAGUGAUUAGAGAGAGAGAUUUGUUGUGUUCUUUUGAGCUCUUGCGCUUGGAUUGCUUCUUUCUCAUUCUUUCUUGUGAUCAAAACUCAAUUGUAACCAAGGCAAGAGACACCAAUUGUGUGGUGGUCCUUGCGGGAACUUCGUGUUCCGUUUGAUUGAGAAGAGAAGCUCACUCGGUCCGAGGGACCGUUUGAGAGAGGGAAAGGGUUGAAAGUGACCCGGUCUUUGUGACCACCUCAACGGGGAGUAGGUUUGCGAGAACCGAACCUCGGUAAAACAAAUCCUUGUGUCUCACUUCUUAUUCGCUUACUAUUUGUUUUUGUGCCCUCUCUCGGACUCACAUUUAUUUCUAACGCUAACCCGACUUGUAGUUGUGCUUAAGUUGUUAAAUUUCAGAUUCGUCCUAUUCACCCCCCCUCUAGGCGACUUUCAAUUGGUAUCGGAGCUCGAUGCUUCAUUAGAGCCUAACCGCUCGAAGUGAUGUCGGGAGAUCACGCCAAGAAGCCCGCUACAAGCCACGGGAAGGCUCCAUCGGGAGAGUCCUACAACAAAGGGAAGGGGAAGGAAAAGGAAUCCCCUUCACACAAGUCACGUCGGAGCAUUGACAAGAAAAAGAAGAUGAGGAAGGUGGUCUACUACGAGACCGACUCCUCGUCGCCAUCCACCUCUGGCUCCGACACGCCGUCCGUAACUUCUAAGCGCCAUGAGCGCAAGAAGUUUAGUAAGAUCCCCCUACGCUAUCCUCGCAUUCCUAAACAUGCACCUUUACUUUCUGUCCCAUUAGGCAAACCACCAACAUUUGAUGGUGAAGAUUAUGCUAGGUUGAGUGAUUUGAUGCGAUAUCACCUAACCUCACUCCACAAAAGUAUAUGGGAUGUUAUUGAGUUUGGCGUACAUGUACCAUCCGUAGGGGAUGAAGAUUAUGAUGAGGACGAAGUGGCCCAAAUCCAACACUUCAACUCCCAAGCCACAACUAUACUCCUCGCCUCUCUAAGUCGAGAGGAGUAUAACAAGGUGCAAGGAUUGAAAAGUGCUAAGGAGAUUUGGGACACGCUAAAGACCGCGCACGAAGGAGACGAGGUGACCAAGAUCACCAAGCGGGAGACAAUCGAGGGGGAGCUCGGUCGCUUCCGACUUCGCCAAGGGGAGGAGCCACAAGACAUGUACAACCGGCUCAAAACCUUGGUGAACCAAGUGCGCAACCUCGGGAGCAAAAAAUGGCAUGACCACGAAAUGGUUAAGGUUAUUCUAAGAUCACUUGUUUUCCUUAACCCUACUCAUGUUCAAUUAAUUCGUGGCAAUCCUAGAUAUACACUAAUGACUCCUAAGGAAGUAAUCGGGAAUUUUGUGAGCUUUGAAUUGAUGAUCAAAGGCUCAAAGAAGAUCAACGAGCUUGAUGGCCCCUCCACGUCCGAAGCACAACUGGUCGCAUUCAAAGCGAUGGAGGAAAAGAAGGAGGAGUCUGCAUCAAGUAGACAACCAAUCGACGCCUCAAAGCUCGACAAUGAGGAGAUGGCGCUCAUUGAAAGGGAAUUAGGCUUACAUCUAUUUUUCUAAUUGAUUUUGGUGGUUGAAUUGCCCAACACAAAUAAUUGGACUAACUAGUUUGCUCUAGUCUAUAAGUUAUACAGGUGCCAAAGGUUCACACUUAGCCAACAAAAAGACCAAGAAAUGGGUUCAACAAAGAGAGCAAGGGUUAACAGAAGGCAGCCCUGGUCUGGCGCACCGGACUGUCCGGUGUGCCACCGGACAGUGUCCGGUGCACCAGGGGACUUCAAGCCAAACUCUUCACCUUCGAGAAUUUUCAGAGGCGCUUCACUAUAAUUCACCAGACAUGUCCGAUGCACACCGGACAGUGUCCGGUGCUCCAGGGGAGAGCGACUCUGAACUCGCCAGGUUCGGAUUUCCGCUACGCUAUAAUUCACCGGACAUGUCCGGUGCACACCGGACUGUCCGGUGAGCCAGCGGAGCAACGGCUACUUCGCGCCAACGGUCGUCUGCAAUGCAUUAAAUGCGCGCCAGCGCGCGCAGAGGAGCAGAGCACGCGCGGGUGGCACACCGGACAGUCUACAGGACUUGUCCGGUGCACCACCGGACAACCAGGUGGGCCCACACGUCAGAGCUCCAACGGUCGGAACCCAACGACCAGGUGACGUGGCUGGCGCACCGGACAGUGUCCGGUGGCGCACCGGACUGUCCGGUGCGCCAUGUGACAGCAGCCUCCACCAAACGGCUAGUUUGGUGGUUGGGGUUAUAAAUACCCCCAACCACCCCACAUUCAAGUCAUCCAAGUUUUCCACCUUCCAACCACUUACAAGAGCUAGGCAUUCAAUACAAGACACACCCAAGUGAUCAAAUCCUCUCCCAAUUCCACAAAAGCUUUAGUGUUAAGUGAGAGUGAUUUGUUGUGUUCUUUUGAGCUCUUGCGCUUGGAUUGCUUUCUUUCUCAUUCUUUCUUGAGAUCAAACUCACUUGUAAUUGAGGCAAGAGACACCAAUCGUGUGGUGAUCCUUGUAGGAACUUUGUGUUCCAAGUGAUUGAGAAGAAAAGCUCACUCGGUCCGAGGGACCGUUUGAGAGAGGGAAAGGGUUGAAAGAGACCCGGUCUUUGUGACCACCUCAAUGGGGAGUAGGUUUGCAAGAACCGAACCUCGGUAAAACAAAUCCACGUGUCACACUCUUCAUUCGCUUGCGAUUUGUUUUGCGCCCUCUCUCUCGGACUCGUUUCUAUUAUUAACGCUAACCCGGCUUGUAGUUGUGAUUAAUUUUGUAAAUUUCAGUUUCGCCCUAUUCACUCCCCCCUCUAGGCGACUUUCAAUUGGUAUCAGAGCCCGGUGCUUCAUUAGAGCUUAACCGCUCGAAGUGAUGUCGGGAGAUCACGCCAAAAAGGAGAUGGAGACCGGCGAUAAGCCCACUACAAGCCACGAGAAAGCCUCAUCGGGAGAGUCCCGCAACAAAGGGAAAGGGAAGGAGAAGAAAUCCUCUUCCCACAAGUCGCAUCGGAGUGGCGACAAGAAAAAGAAGAUGAGGAAGGUGGUCUACUACGAGACCGAUACGUCAUCGCCUUCCACCUCCGGCUCCGACGCGCCCUCCGUAACUUCUAAGCGCCAUGAGUGCAAGAAGUUUAGUAAGAUCCCCCUACGCUACCCUCGCAUUCCUAAACAUACUCCAUUACUUUCCGUUCCAUUAGGCAAACCGCCAACCUUUGACGGUGAAGAUUAUGCUAGGUGGAGUGAUUUGAUGAAAUUUCACCUAACCUCACUCCACAAAAGUAUAUGGAAUGUUGUUGAGUUUGGAGCACAGGUACCAUCCGUAGGGGAUGAGGAUUAUGAUGAGGACGAGGUGGCCCAAAUCGAGCACUUCAACUCCCAAGCCACAACUAUACUCCUCGUCUCUCUAAGUCGAGAAGAGUAUAACAAGGUGCAAGGAUUAAAGAGCGCCAAGGAAGUUUGGGACGUGCUCAAGAUCACGCACGAAGGAGAUGAGCUAACCAAGAUCACCAAGCGGGAGACGAUCGAGGGGGAGCUCGGUCGCUUCCGUCUUCUCCAAGGGGAGGAGCCACAAGACAUGUACAACCGGCUCAAAACCUUGGUGAAUCAAGUGCGCAACCUCGGGAGCAAAAAAUGGGAUGACCACGAAAUGGUUAAGGUUAUUCUAAGAUCACUUAUUUUCCUUAACCCUACUCAAGUUCAAUUGAUUCGUGGCAAUCCUAGAUAUACACUAAUGACUCCCGAGGAAGUGAUCGGGAAUUUUGUGAGCUUUGAGUUCAUGAUCAAAGGCUCAAGGAAGAUCAACGAGCUUGAUGGUCCCUCCACGUCCGAAGCACAACCGGUCGCAUUUAAGGCGACGGAGGAGAAGAAGGAGGAGUCUACACCAAGUAGACAACCAAUCGACGCCUCAAAGCUCGCCAAUGAGGAGAUGACGCUCGUCAUCAAGAGCUUCCGCCAAAUCCUCAAGCAAAGGAGGGGGAAGGAUCACAAAUCUCGCUCCAAGAAAGUUUGCUACAAGUGUGGUAAGCCCGGUCACUUUAUUGCAAAAUGUCCUAUUUCUAGUGACAGUGACAGGGGCGACGACAAGAAGGGGAGAAGAAAGGAGAAGAAGAGGUACUACAAGAAGAAGGGCGGCGAUGCCCAUGUUUGUCGCGAGUGGGACUCCGACGAGAGCUCCACCGACUCCUCCUCCGACGAGGACGCCGCAAACAUCGCCGUCACCAAGGGACUUCUCUUCCCAACGUCAGCCACAAGUGCCUCAUGGCAAAGGACGGCAAAAAGAAGAAGGUUAAAUCCAAAUCCUCCACUAGAUAUGAGUCCUCUAGCGAUGAUAAUGCUAGUGAUGAGGAAGAUAAUUUGCGUACUCUUUUUGCUAACCUCAACAUGCAACAAAAGGAAAAACUAAAUGAACUAAUUAGUGAUAUCCAUGAAAAGGAUGAUCUCUUGGACUCUCAAGAGGACUUCCUUAUUAAAGAAAACAAAAAGCAUGUUAAGGUUAAAAAUGCUUACGCUCUAGAAGUAGAAAAAUGUGAAAAACUAUCUAGUGAGCUAAGCACAUGCCAUGAGACUAUAAACAACCUUAGAAAUGAGAAUGCUAAUUUGCUAGCUAAGGUUGAUGCAAAUGUUUGUGAUGUUUCAAUUCCCAAUCUUAGAAAUGAUAAUGAUGAUUUGCUUGCUAAGAUUGAAGAAUUAAACAUGUCUCUUGCUAGCCUUAGAAAUGAAAAUGAAAGAUUGCUUACUAAGGCUAAAGAAUUAGAUGUUUGCAAUGUUACAAUUUCCGAUCUUAGAGAUAAAAAUGAUAUAUUGCGUGCUAAGAUUGUUGAACUUAAUUCUUGCAAACCCUCUACAUCUACCACUGAGCAUGUCACUAUUUGCACUAGAUGUAGAGAUGUUGAUAUUAAUGCUAUUCAUGAUCACAUGGCUUUAAUUAAACAACAAAAUGAUCAUAUAGCUAAACUAGAUGCUAAAAUUACCGAGCAUGAACUAGAAAAUGAAAAUUUUAAAUUUGCUCGUAGUAUGCUUUAUAGUGGGAGACGCCCUGGCAUUAAGGAUGGCAUUGGCUUCCAAAAGGGGGACAAUGUCAAACUUAAUGCCCCUCCUAAGAAAUUAUCCAACUUUGUUAAGGGCAAGGCUCCUAUGCCUCAGGAUAACGAGGGUUACAUUUUAUACCCUGUCGGUUAUCCCGAGAGCAAAAUUAGGAGAAUUCAUUCUAGGAAGUCCCACUCUGGCCCUAACCAUGCUUUUAUGUAUAAGGGUGAGACAUCUAGUUCUAGGCAACCAACCCGUGCUAAGUUGCCUAAGAAGAAAACUUCUAGUGCAUCAAAUGAUCAUGACAUUUCAUUUAAAACUUUUGAUGCAUCAUAUGUGUUAACUAACAAAUCCGGCAAGGUAGUUGCCAAAUAUGUUGGGGCAAGCACAAGGGGUCAAAGACUUGUGUUUGGGUACCCAAAGUUCUUGUGUCUAAUGCCAAAGGACCCAAAACCAUUUGGGUACCUAAAGUCAAGAACUAAACUUGUUUUGUAGGUUUAUGCAUCCGGGGGCUCAAGUUGGAUCAUCGAUAGCGGGUGCACAAACCACAUGACAGGGGAGAAGAAAAUGUUCUCCUCCUAUGAGAAAAACCAAGAUCCCCAACGAGCUAUCACAUUCGGGGAUAGAAACCAAGGUUUGGUCAAAGGAUUGGGUAAAAUUGCUAUAUCUCCUGACCAUUCAAUUUCCAAUGUUUUUCUUGUAGAUUCCCUAGAUUACAAUUUGCUUUCUGUUUCUCAAUUAUGUCAAAUGGGCUACAACUGUCUUUUUACUGAUGUAGGUGUCACUGUCUUUAGAAGAAGUGAUGAUUCAAUAGCAUUUAAGGGAGUGUUAGAGGGUCAGCUAUACUUGAUAGAUUUUGACAGAGCUGAACUCGACACUUGCUUAAUUGAUAAGACUAACAUGGGUUGGCUCUGGCACCGCCGACUAGCCCAUGUUGGAAUGAAGAGUCUUCAUAAGCUUCUAAAGGGAGAGCACAUUUUAGGAUUAACAAACGUUCAUUUUGAGAAAGACAGGGUUUGUAGCGCAUGCCAAGCAGGGAAGCAAGUUGGUGCUCAUCAUCCACACAAGAACAUCAUGACGACUAACAGGCCACUGGAACUCCUACACAUGGAUCUAUUCGGCCUGAUUGCUUACAUAAGUAUCGACGGGAGUAAGUACUGUCUAGUUAUUGUGGAUGAUUAUUCUCGCUUCACUUGGGUAUUCUUUUUGCAGGAAAAAUCUCAUACCCAAGAAACUUUAAAAGGAUUCUUGAGACGGGCUGAAAAUGAGUUCGGCUUAAGGAUCAAGAAAAUCAGAAGCGACAACGGGACGGAGUUCAAGAACUCUCAAAUUGAAGGCUUCCUUGAGGAGGAGGGCAUCAAGCAUGAGUUCUCUUCUCCCUACACACCACAACAAAAUGGUGUAGUGGAGAGGAAGAAUAGAACUCUAUUGGACAUGGCAAGAACCAUGCUUGAUGAGUACAAGACUUCAGAUCGAUUUUGGGCCGAGGCGGUCAACACCGCAUGCUACGCCAUCAACCGAUUGUAUCUACACCGAAUCCUCAAGAAGACAUCAUACGAACUCCUAACCGGUAAAAAGCCCAAUAUUUCAUAUUUUAGAGUCUUUGGUAGCAAAUGCUUUAUUCUUGUUAAAAGAGGUAGAAAAUCUAAAUUUGCUCCUAAGACUGUAGAAGGCUUUUUACUAGGAUAUGAUUCAAACACAAGGGCAUAUAGAGUCUUUAACAAGUCCUCUGGACAAGUUGAAGUUUCUUGUGACGUUGUGUUUGAUGAGACUAACGGCUCUCAAGUAGAGCAAGUUGAUCUUGAUGAGAUAGGUGAUGAAGAGGCUCCGUGCAUCGCGCUAAGGAACAUGUCCAUUGGGGAUGUGUGUCCUAAGGAAUCCGAAGAGCCUCCAAAUGCACAAGAUCAACCAUCCUCCUCCACGCAAGCAUCCCCACCAACUCAAAAUGAGGAUGAGGCUCAAGUUGAUAAAGGAGAAGAUCAAAGAGAUGAGCCACCUCAAGAUGACGACAAUGAUCAAGGGGGAGAUGCAAAUGAUCAAGACAAGGAGGAUAAAGAACCAAGGCCGCCACACCCAAGAGUCCACCAAGCAAUCCAACGAGAUCACCUCGUCGACACCAUCCUCGGUGACAUUUAUAAGGGGGUAACCACUAGAUCUCGUGUUGCACAUUUUUGUGAGCAUUACUCUUUUGUUUCCUCUAUUGAGCCACACAGGGUAGAGGAAGCACUUCAAGAUUCGGAUUGGGUGGUGGCGAUGCAAGAAGAGCUCAACAACUUCACGAGGAAUGAGGUAUGGCAUUUGGUUCCACGUCCUAAUCAAAAUGUUGUAGGAACCAAAUGGGUGUUCCGCAACAAGCAAGAUGAGCAUGGUGUGGUGACAACGAACAAAGCCCGACUUGUGGCCAAAGGAUACUCCCAAGUCGAAGGUUUGGAUUUCGGUGAAACCUAUGCACCCGUAGCUAGGCUUGAGUCAAUUCGCAUAUUAUUAGCCUAUGCUACUUACCAUGGCUUCAAGCUUUAUCAAAUGUACGUGAAGAGUGCCUUCCUUAAUGGACCAAUCAAAGAAGAGGUCUACGUUGAGCAACCUCCCGGCUUUGAAGAUAGUGAGUACCCUAACCAUGUAUAUAAACUCUCCAAGGCGCUUUAUGGGCUCAAGCAAGCCCCAAGAGCAUGGUAUGAAUGCCUUAGAGAUUUUCUUAUCACUAAUGGAUUCAAAGUCGGAAAGGCCGAUCCUACACUCUUUACCAAAACACUUGAAAAUGAUUUGUUUGUAUGCCAAAUUUAUGUUGAUGAUAUUAUAUUUGGGUCUACUAACGAAUCUACAUGUGAAGAGUUUAGUAGGAUCAUGACACAAAAAUUCGAGAUGUCUAUGAUAGGGGAGUUGAAGUAUUUCUUAGGAUUUCAAGUGAAGCAACUCCAAGAGGGCACCUUCCUAAGCCAAACGAAGUAUACUCAAGAUAUUCUAAGCAAGUUUGGGAUGAAGGAUGCCAAACCCAUCAAGACACCCAUGGGAACCAAUGGGCAUCUCGACCUCGACACGGAAGGUAAGUCUGUGGAUCAAAAGGUAUACCGGUCGAUGAUAGGUUCUUUACUCUAUUUAUGUGCAUCUCGACCGGAUAUUAUGCUUUCUGUAUGCAUGUGUGCAAGAUUCCAAGCCGACCCUAAGGAAGCUCACCUUACGGCCAUAAAACGAAUCUUGAGAUAUUUAGUUUAUACUCCUAAGUUUGGGCUUUGGUAUCCUAGGGGAUCCACAUUUGAUUUGAUUGGUUAUUCGGAUGCCGAUUGGGCGGGGUGUAAUAUUAAUAGAAAGAGCACAUCGGGGACUUGCCAGUUCUAAGGAAGAUCCUUGGUGUCUUGGGCUUCAAAGAAGCAAAAUUCCGUAGCUCUUUCUACCACCGAAGCCGAGUAUAUUGCCGCAGGACAUUGUUGCGCGCAACUACUUUGGAUGAGGCAAAGCCUUAGGGACUACAGUUACAAAUUAACCAAAGUUCCUCUUCUAUGUGAUAAUGAGAGUGCAAUUUGCAUGGCGGAUAAUCCCGUUGAGCAUAGCCGCACUAAACACAUAGCCAUUCGGUAUCAUUUCUUAAGGGAUCACCAACAAAAGGGAGAUAUCGAGAUUGCAUACAUUAAUACUAAAGAUCAAUUAGCCGAUAUCUUUACCAAGCCACUUGAUGAACAAACUUUUAACAAACUUAGGCAUGAACUAAAUAUUCUUGAUUCUAGGAAUUUCUUUUGAUAUCUUGCAUGCAUAGCUCAUAAGUAUACCUUUGAUCAUGUCUCUUCUAUAUAUGCUCUGACUAAUGUGUUUUCAAGUAUAUUUCAAACCAAGUCAUAGGUGUAUUGGAAGGGAAUUAGAGUCUUCGGCGAAGACAAAGGCUUCCACUCCGUAACUCAUCCUUCGUCGUCGCUCCGAGCAUCUCUCCGGCUUUGGUAUAAUCUUCACUCAUUUAGUUAUGACCAAAGGGGGAGAAAGUAAUUCUAGGGGCUUAUAUCUCACUCAAGUAUCCGUUUUUGGCGAUUCAUGCCAAAGGGGGAGAAAGUAUUAGCCCAAAGCAAAAGGACCGCACCACCACUAAUUUUAAAAAGAGUUUUUCAAAUGAUAUGAUUUUCAAUUUGGUAUCUCCUUGUGUUCAAAAAGGGGAGAGAGUAGUAUUUUCAAAAUCAAUAUCUUAAAACCCUCUUGAACACUAAGAGGAGAAUUUCAUUAAGGGGGAGUUUUGUUUAAGUCAAAGGAAAAGCAUUCGAAACAGGGGGAGAGAAUUUCAAAUCUUGAAAAUGCUUCGCAAAGUCUUAUUCAUUUACCUUUGACUAUUUGCAAAAGAACUUUGAAAAGGAUUUACAAAAGAAUUUGCAAAAACAAAACAUGUGGUGCAAGCGUGGUCCAAAAUGUUAAAAAUGAAGAAACAAUCCAUGCGUAUCUUAUAAGUAUUAAUAUUGGCUCAAUUCCAAGUAAUCUUUGCACUUACAUUUUGCAAAUUAGUUCAAUUAUACACUUCUAUACUUGCUUUGGUUUGUGUUGGCAUCAAUCACCAAAAAGGGGGAGAUUGAAAGGGAAUUAGGCUUACAUCUAUUUUUCUAAUUGAUUUUGGUGGUUGAAUUGCCCAACACAAAUAAUUGGACUAACUAGUUUGCUCUAGUCAAUAAGUUAUACAGGUGCCAAAGGUUCACACUUAGCCAACAAAAAGACCAAGAAAUGGGUUCAACAAAUAGAGCAAGGGAUAACCGAAGGCAGCCCUGGUCUGGCGCACCGGACUGUCCGGUGCACCAUCGGACAGUGUCCGGUGCACCAGGGGACUUCAAGCCAAACUCUUCACCUUCGGGAAUUUUCAGAGGCGCUUCACUAUAAUUCACCGGACAUGUCCGGUGCACACCGGACAGUGUCCGGUGCUCCAGGGGAGAGCGACUCUGAACUCGCCAGCUUCGGAUUUCCGCUCCGCUAUAAUUCACCGGACAUGUCUGGUGCACACCGGACUGUCCGGUGAGCCAGCGGAGCAACGGCUACUUCGCGCCAACGGUCGUCUGCAACGCAUUAAAUGCGCGCCAGCGCGCGCAGAGGAGCAGAGCACGCGCGGGUGGCACACCGGACAGUCUACAGGACUUGUCCGGUGCACCACCGGACAGCCAGGCGGGCCCACACGUCAGAGCUCCAACGGUCGGAACCCAACGGCCAGGUGACGUGGCUGGCGCACCGGACUGUCCGGUGCGCCAUGCGACAGUAGCCUCCACCAAACGGCUAGUUUGGUGGUUGGGGUUAUAAAUACCCCCAACCACCCCACAUUCAAGUCAUCCAAGUUUUCCACCUUCCAACCACUUACAAGAGCUAGACAUUCAAUACAAGACACACCCAAGUGAUCAAAUCCUCUCCCAAUUCCACAAAAGCUUUAGUGUUAAGUGAGAGUGAUUUGUUGUGUUCUUUUGAGCUCUUGCGCUUGGAUUGCUUUCUUUCUCAUUCUUUCUUGAGAUCAAACUCACUUGUAAUUGAGGCAAGAGACACCAAUCGUGUGGUGAUCCUUAUAGGAACUUUGUGUUCCAAGUGAUUGAGAAGAAAAACUCACUCGGUCUGAGGGACCGUUUGAGAGAGGGAAAGGGUUGAAAGAGACCCGAUCUUUGUGACCACCUCAACGGGGAGUAGGUUUGCAAGAACCGAACCUCGGUAAAACAAAUCCACGUGUCACACUCUUCAUUCGCUUGCAAUUUGUUUUGCGCCCUCUCUCUUGGACUCGUUUCUAUUACUAACGCUAACCCGGCUUGUAGUUGUGAUUAAUUUUGUAAAUUUCAGUUUCGCCCUAUUCACCCCCCUCUAGGCGACUUUCACUCAUCAUCAAGAGCUUCCGCCAAAUCCUCAAACAAAGGAGGGGAAAGAUUACAAGCCCCGCUCCAAGAAAGUUUGCUACAAAUGUGGUAAGCCCGGUCAUUUCAUUGCUAAAUGUCCAUUGUCUAGUGAUAGUGACAGGGGCGACGACAAGAAGGGGAGAAGAAAGGAGAAGAAGAGGUACUACAAGAAGAAGGGCGGCGAUGCCCAUGUUUGCCGGGAGUGGGACUCCGACGAGAGCUCCACCGACUCCUCCGACGAGGACGCCGCCAACAUCGCCGUCACCAAGGGACUCCUCUUCCCCAACGUCGGCCACAAGUGCCUCAUGGCAAAGGACGGCAAAAAGAAGAAGGUAAAAUCAAGAUCCUCCACUAAAUAUGAGACCUCUAGCGAUGAGGAUAAUGCUAGUAAUGAGGAGGAUAACUUGCGCAUCCUUUUUGCCAAUCUAAACAUGCAACAAAAAGAAAAAUUAAAUGAAUUGAUUAGUGCUAUUCAUGAGAAGGAUGAUCUCUUGGACACCCCAGAGGACUUCCUUAUUAAAGAAAACAAAAAGCAUGUUAAGGUUAAAAAUGCUUACACUCUAUAAGUUGAAAAAUGUGAAAAACUAUCUAGUGAGCUAAGCACUUGUCAUGAUAUUAUUACCAACCUUAGAAAUGAGAAUGCAAAUUUAAUUGCUAAGGUUGAUUCGAAUGCUUGUGAUGUUUCAAUUCCCAAUCUUAGAGAUGAUAAUAUUGAUUUGCUUGCUAAGAUUGAAGAAUUGAAUAUCUCUCUUGCUAGCCUUAGAGAUGAAAAUGAAAAAUUGCUUGCUAAGGCUCAAGAAUUAGAUGUUUGCAAUGCUUCCAUUUCCGACCUUAGAAGUAAAAAUGAUAUAUUGCAUGCUAAGGUUGUAGAAUUAAAAUCUUGCAAACCCUCUACAUCUACCGUUAAACAUACUUCUAUUUGUACUAGAUGUAGAGACAUUAAUGUUGAUGCUAUUCAUGACCAUCUAGCUUUAAUUAAGAAACAAAAUGAUCACAUAGCUCAACUUAAUGCUAAAAUCAUUGAGCAUGACUUAGAAAAUGGAAAAUUUAAAUUUGCUAGAGGCAUGCUCUAUAGCGGGAGACGCCCUGGCAUCAAGGAUGGCAUUGGCUUCCAAAAGGGAGACAAUGUCAAACUUAAUGCCCCUCCUCAAAGAUUGUCAAACUUUGUUAAGGGCAAGGCCCCCAUGCCUCAGGAUAACGAGGGUUACAUUUUGUACCCUGCCAGUUAUCCCGAGAACAAAAUUAGGAGAAUUCACUCUAGGAAGUCUCACUCUGGCCCAAAUCAUGCUUUUAUGUAUAAGAGUGAGACAUCUAGCUCUAGGCAAUCAAUCCAUGCUAAAUUGGCUAAGAAGAAAACUCCUAGUGCAUCAAAUGAUCAUAAUAUUUCAUUUAAAACUUUUGAUGCAUCCUAUGUUUUAACUAACAAAUCCGGCAAGGUAGUUGUCAAAUAUGUUGGGGGCAAGCACAAGGGGUCAAAGACUUGUGUUUGGGUACCCAAAGUUCUUGUGUCUAAUGUCAAAGGACCCAAAACCAUUUGGGUACCUGAAGUCAAGAACUAAAUUUGUUUUGUAGGUUUAUGCAUCCGGGGGCUCAAGUUGGAUCAUCGAUAGCGGGUGCACAAACCACAUGACAGGGGAGAAGAAGAUGUUCUCCUCCUACGAGAAAAACCAAGAUCCCCAACGAGCUAUCACAUUCGGGAUGGAAACCAAGGUUUGGUCAAAGGUUUGGGUAAAAUUGCUAUCUCACCUGACCAUUCCAUUUCCAAUGUUUUUUCUUGUAGAUUCUUUAGAUUACAAUUUGCUUUCCGUAUCUCAAUUAUGCAAAAUGGGCUACAACUGUCUUUUCACAGAUGCAGGUGUUACUGUCUUUAGAAGGAGUGAUGAUUCAAUAGCAUUUAAGGGAGUGUUAGAGGGUCAGCUAUACUUAGUAGAUUUUGAUAGAGCUGAACUCGACACUUGCUUAAUUGCUAAGACUAACAUGGACUGGCUCUGGCAUCGCCGACUAGCACAUGUUGGAAUGAAGAAUCUUCACAAACUUCUAAAAGGAGAACACAUUUUGGGACUAACAAAUGUUCAUUUUGAAAAAGACAGGAUUUGUAGUGCAUGCCAAGCAGGGAAGCAAGUUGGUGUUCAUCAUCCACAUAAGAACAUCAUGACGACUGACAGGCCACUCGAGCUCCUACACAUGGACCUAUUCAGCCCGAUAGCUUACAUAAGCAUCGGCGGGAGUAAGUACUGUCUAGUUAUUGUGGAUGAUUAUUCUCGCUUUACUUGGGUGUUCUUUUUGCAGGAAAAAUCUCAUACCCAAGAGACUUUAAAAGGAUUCUUGAGACGAGAUCAAAAUGAGUUCAGCUUAAGGAUCAAGAAAAUUAGAAGCGACAACGGGACGGAGUUCAAGAACUCUCAAAUUGAGGGCUUCCUUGAGGAGGAGGGCAUCAAGCAUGAGUUCUCUUCUCCCUACACGCCACAACAAAAUGGUGUAGUGGAGAGGAAGAAUCAAACUCUAUUGGACAUGGCAAGAACCAUGCUUGAUGAGUACAAGACUUCGGAUCGGUUUUGGGCCGAGGCGGUCAACACCGCUUGCUACGCCAUCAACUGGUUAUAUCUACACUGAAUCCUUAAGAAGACAUCAUAUGGACUCCUAACCGGUAAAAAGCCCAAUAUUUCUUAUUUUAGAGUCUUUGGUAGCAAAUGCUUUAUUCUUGUUAAAAGAGGUAGAAAAUCUAAAUUUGCUCCUAAGACAGUAGAAGGCUUUUUACUAGGAUAUGAUUCAAACACAAGGGCAUAUAGAGUCUUUAACAAGUCCUCAGGACUAGUUGAAGUUUCUUGUGACGUUGUGUUUGAUGAGACUUGAAAGUCGCCUGGAGGGGGGUGAAUAGGGCGAAACUGAAAUUCACAAAAUAAUCAUAACUACAAGCCGGGUUAGCGUUAGAAAUAGAAAUGAGUCCGAGAAAGAGGGCGUAAAACAAAUCGCAAGCGAAUAAAGAGUGUGACACACGGAUUUGUUUUACCGAGGUUCGGUUCUUGCAAACCUACUCCUCGUUGAGGUGUCACAAAGACCAGGUCUCUUUCAACCCUUUCCCUCUCUCAAACGGUCCCUCAGACCGAGUGAGCUUCUCUACUCAAUCACUUGGAACACAAGUUCCUACAAGGAUCACCACACGAUUGGUGUCUCUUGCCUCAAUUACAAGUGAGUUUGAUCUCAAGAAAGAAUGAGAAAGAAAGCAAUCCAAGCGCAAGAGCUCAAAAGACACAAACAAAUCUAUCUCACUUAACACUAAAGCUUUUGUGGAAUUGGGAGAGGAUUUGAUCACUUGGGUGUAUCUAGGAUUGAAUGCUAAGCUCUUGUAAGUGGUUGGAAGUUGGAAAACUUGGAUGACUUGAAUGUGGGUGGUUGGGAGUAUAUAUAACCCCAACCACCAAACUAGCCGUUUGGUGGAGGCGCUGUCGCAUGGCGCACCGGACAGUCCCGGUGCGCCACCGACACUGUCCGGUGCGCCGCCAGUCACCAGGCCGUUGGGUUCCGACCGUUGGAGCUCUGAUGUGUGGGCCCGCCUGGCUGUCCGGUGGUGCACCGGACAAGUCCUGUAGACUGUCCGGUGUGCCACCCGCGCGUGCUCUGCUCCUCUGCGCGCGCUGGCGCGCAUUUAAUGCGUUGCAGUCGACCGUUGGCGCGAAGUAGUCGUUGCUCCGCUGGCUCACGGACAGUCCGGUGUGCACCGGACAUGUCCGGUGAAUUAUAGCGGAGCGGAAUCCGAAGCUGGCGAGUUCAGAGUCGCUCUCCUCUGGAGCACCGGACACUGUCCGGUGGUGCACCGGACAGUCCGGUGAAUUAUAGCGAAGCGCCUCUGAAAAUUCCCGAAGAUGGGAAGUUUGGCUUGAGUCCCUGGUGCACCGGACACCUGUGCCGGCACUGUCGGUGGCACACCGGACAGUCCGGUGCGCCAGACCAGGGCGCCUUCGGUGUCCCUUGCUCUUUUGUUGAACCCAUUUCUUGGUCUUUUUAUUGGCUAAGUGUGAACCUUUGGCACCUGUAUAACUUAUAGACUAGAGCAAACUAGUUAGUCCAAUUAUUUGUGUUGGGCAAUUCAACCACCAAAAUCAAUUAGGAAAUAGGUGUAAGCCUAAUUCCCUUUCAAUCUCCCCCUUUUUGGUGAUUGAUGCCAACACAAACCAAAGCAAGUAUAGAAGUGCAUAAUUGAACUAGUUUGCAAAUGUAAGUGCAAAGGUAACUUGGAAUUGAGCCAAUAUAAAUACUUAUAAGAUAUCGCAUGGAUUGUUUCUUUAUUUUUAACAUUUUGGACCACGCUUGCACCACAUGUUUUGUUUUUGCAAAUUCUUUUGUAAAUCCUUUUCAAAGUUCUUUUGCAAAUAGUCAAAGGUAAAUGAAUAAGAUUUUGCGAAGCAUUUUCAAGAUUUGAAAUUUUCUCCCCCUGUUUCAAAUGCUUUUCCUUUGACUUAAACAAAACUCCCCCUUAAUGAAAUUCUCCUCUUAGUGUUCAAGAGGGUUUUAAGAUAUGAUUUUGAAAAUACUACCUCUCCCCUUUUUGAACAAAGAGAUACCAAAUUGAAAAUCAUACAUUUGAAAAACUUUUUUAAAUUAGUGGUGGUGCGGUCCUUUUGCUUUGGGCUAUUUCUUUCCCCCUUUGGCAUGAAUCGCCAAAAACGGAUACUUGAGUGAGAUAUAAGCCCUUCUAGUUACUUUCUCCCCUUUGGCAAAUAAAAAUGAGUGAAGAUUAUACCAAAGACGGAGAGAUGCUCGGAGCGACGGCGAAGGAUGAGUUACGGAGUGGAAGCCUUUGUCUUCGCCGAAGACUUAAUUCCCUUUCAAUACACCUAUGACUUGGUUUGAAAUUACUUGAAAACACAUUAGUCAUAGCAUAUAAAGAGACAUGAUCAAAGGUAUAUUAUGAGCUAUGCAUGCAAGAAUCAAAAGAAAUUCCUAGAAUCAAGAAUAUUUAGCUCAUGCCUAAGUUUGUUAAAAGUUUGUUCAUCAAGUGGCUUGGUAAAGAUAUCGGCUAAUUGAUCUUUAGUAUUAAUGUAUGCAAUCUCGAUAUCUCCCUUUUNNNNNNNNNNNNNNNNNNNNNNNNNNNNNNNNNNNNNNNNNNNNNNNNNNNNNNNNNNNNNNNNNNNNNNNNNNNNNNNNNNNNNNNNNNNNNNNNNNNNAUCACCAAGCGGGAGACAACGAGGGGAGCCUCGGUCGCUUCCGACUUCGCCAAGGGGAGGAGCCACAAGACAUGUACAACCGGCUUCAAAACCUUGGUGAACCAAGUGCGCAACCUCGGGACAAAAAUGCAUCCACGAAAUGGUUAAGGUUAUUCUAAUCACGUUUCUUAACCCUACUCAGUUCAAUUAAUUCGUGGCAAUCCUAGAUAUACACUAAUGACUCCUAAAGGAAGUAAUCGGGAAUUUUGUGAGCUUUGAAUUGAUGAUCAAAGGCUCAAAGAAGAUCAAACGAGCUUGAUGGCCCCCUCCACGUCCGAAGCACAACUGGUCGCAUUCAAAGCGAUGGAGGAAAAGAAGGAGGAGUCGCAUCAAGUAGACAACCAAUCGACGCCUCAAAGCUCGACAAGAGGAGAUGGCGCUCAUUGAAAGGGAAUUAGGCUUAAUCUAUUUUCUAAUUGAUUUUGGUGGUUGAAUUGCCCAACACAAAUAAUUGGACUAACUAGUUUGCUCUAGUCUAUAAGUUAACAGGUGCCAAAGGUUCACACUAGCCAAAAAAAGACCAAGAAAUGGGUUCAACAAAGAGAGCAAGGGUAACAGAAGCAGCCCUGGUCUGGCGCACCGGACUGUCCGUGUGCCACCGGACAGUGUCCGGUGCACCAGGGACUUCAAGCCAAACUCUCACCUUCGAGAAUUUUCAGAGGCGCUUCACUAUAAUUCACCAGACAUGUCCGAUGCACACCGGACAGUGUCCGUGCUCCAGGGAGAGCGACUCUGAACUCGCCAGGUUCGGGAUUUCCGCUACGCUAUAAUUCACCGGACAUGUCCGGUGCACACCGGACUGUCCGGUGAGCCAGCGGAGCAACGCUACUUCGCGCCAACGGUCGCUGCAAGCAUUAAAUGCGCGCCAGUGCGCGCGCAGAGAGCAGAGCACGCGCGGUGGCACACCGGACAGUCUACAGGACUUGUCCGGUGCACCACCGGACAGCCAGGGGCCCACAGUCAGAGCUCCAACGGUCGGAACCCAACGGCCAGGUGACGUGGCUGGCGCACCGACAGUGUCCGGUGGCGCACCGACUGUCCCGUGCGCCAUGGACAGCAGCCUCCACCAAACGGCUAGUUUGGUGGUUGGGGUAUAAAUACCCCAACCACCCCACAUUCAAGUCAUCCAAGUUUCCACCUUCCAACCACUUACAAGAGCUAGCAUUCAAUACAAACACACCCAAGUGAUCAAAUCCUCUCCCAAUUCCACAAAAGCUUUAGUGUUAAGUGAGAAGUGAUUUGUUGUGUUCUUUUGAGCUCUUUGCGCUUGGAUUGCUUUCUUUCUCAUUCUUUCUUGAGAUCAAACUCACUUUAAUUGAGGCAAGAGACACCAAUCGUGUGGUGAUCCUUGGUGGAACUUUGUGUUCCAAGUGAUUGAGAAGAAAAGCUCACUCGGUCCGAGGGACGUUUGAGAGAGGGAAAGGGUUGAAAGAGACCCGGUCUUGUGACCACCUCAAUGGGGAGUAGGUUUGCAAGAACCGAACCUCGGUAAAUACAAAUCCACGUGUCACACUCUUAUUCGCUUGCGAUUUGUUUGGCCCUCGUCUCUCGACUCGUUUCUAUUAUAACGCUAACCCGCUGUAGUUGUUAUUAAUUUUGUAAAUUUCAGUUUCGCCCUAUUCACUCCCCCCUCUAGGCGACUUUCAAUUGGUAUCAGAGCCCGGUGCUUCAUUAGAGCUUAACCGCUCGAAGUGAUGUCGGGAGAUCACGCCAAAAGGAGAUGGAGACCGGGCGACAAGCCCACUACAAGCCACGAGAAGCCUCAUCGGAAGUCCCGCAACAAAGGGAAAGGGAAGGAGAAGAAACCUCUCCCACAAGUCGCAUCGGAGUGGCGACAAGAAAAAGAAGAUGAGGAAGGUGUCUACUACGAGACCGAUACGUCAUCGCCUUCCACCUCCGGCUCCGACCGCCCUCCGUAACUCUAAGCGCCAUGAGUGCAAGAAGUUUAGUAAGAUCCCCUACGCUACCCCUCGCAUUCCUAAACAUACUCCAUUACUUUCCGUUCCAUUAGGCAAACCGCCAACCUUUGACGGUGAAGAUUAUGCUAGGUGGAGUGAUUUGAUGAAAUUUCACCUAACCUCACUCCACAAAAGUAUAUGGAAUGUUGUUGAGUUUGGAGCACAGGUACCAUCCGUAGGGGAUGAGGAUUAAUGAUGAGGACGAGGUGCCCAAAUCGAGCACUUCAACUCCCAAGCCACAACUAUACUCCUCCUCUCUAAGUCGAGAGAGUAUAACAAGGUGCAAGGAUUAAAGAGCGCCAAGGAAGUUUGGGACGUGCUCAAGAUCACGCACGAAGGAGAUGAGCUAACCAAGAUCACCAAGCGGGAGACGAUCGAGGGGGAGCUCGGUCGCUUCCGUCUUCUCAAGGGGAGGAGCCACAAGACAUGUACAACCGGCUCAAAACCUUGGUGAAUCAAGUGCGCAACCUCGGGAGCAAAAAAUGGGAUGACCACGAAAUGGUUAAGGUUAUUCUAAGAUCACUUAUUUCCUUAACCCUACUCAAGUUCAAUUGAUUCGUGGCAAUCCUAGAUAUACACUAAUGACUCCCGAGGAAGUGAUCGGGAAUUUGUGAGCUUUGAGUCAUGAUCAAAGGCUCAAGGAAGAUCAACGAGCUUGAUGGUCCCUCCACGUCCGAAGCACAACCGGUCGCAUUUAAGGCGACGGAGGAGAAGAAGGAGGAGUCUACACCAAGUAGACAACCAAUCGACGCCUCAAAGCUCGCCAAUGAGGAGAUGACGCUCGUCAAUCAAGAGCUUCCGCCAAAUCCUCAAGCAAAGGAGGGGGAAGGAUCACAAAUCUCGCUCCAAGAAAGUUUGCUACAAGUGUGGUAAGCCCGGUCACUUUAUUGCAAAAUGUCCUAUUUCUAGUGACAGUGACAGGGGCGACGACAAGAAGGGGAGAAGAAAGGAGAAGAAGAGGUACUACAAGAAGAAGGGCGGCGAUGCCCAUGUUUGUCGCGAGUGGGACUCCGACGAGAGCUCCACCGACUCCUCCUCCGACGAGGACGCCGCAAACAUCGCCGUCACCAAGGACUUCUCUUCCCAACGUCAGCCACAAGUGCCUCAUGGCAAAGGACGGCAAAAAGAAGAAGGUUAAAUCCAAAUCCUCCACUAGAUAUGAGUCCUCUAGCGAUGAUAAUGCUAGUGAUGAGGAAGAUAAUUUGCGUACUCUUUUGCUAACCUCAACAUGCAACAAAAGGAAAAACUAAAUGAACUAAUUAGUGAUAUCCAUGAAAAGGAUGAUCUCUUGGACUCUCAAGAGGACUUCCUUAUUAAAGAAAACAAAAAGCAUGUUAAGGUUAAAAAUGCUUACGCUCUAGAAGUAGAAAAAUGUGAAAAACUAUCUAGUGAGCUAAGCACAUGCCAUGAGACUAUAAACAACCUUAGAAAUGAGAAUGCUAAUUUGCUAGCUAAGGUUGAUGCAAAUGUUUGUGAUGUUUCAAUUCCCAAUCUUAGAAAUGAUAAUGAUGAUUUGCUUGCUAAGAUUGAAGAAUUAAACAUGUCUCUUGCUAGCCUUAGAAAUGAAAAUGAAAGAUUGCUUACUAAGGCUAAAGAAUUAGAUGUUUGCAAUGUUACAAUUUCCGAUCUUAGAGAUAAAAAUGAUAUAUUGCGUGCUAAGAUUGUUGAACUUAAUUCUUGCAAACCCUCUACAUCUACCACUGAGCAUGUCACUAUUUGCACUAGAUGUAGAGAUGUUGAUAUUAAUGCUAUUCAUGAUCACAUGGCUUUAAUUAAACAACAAAAUGAUCAUAUAGCUAAACUAGAUGCUAAAAUUACCGAGCAUGAACUAGAAAAUGAAAAUUUUAAAUUUGCUCGUAGUAUGCUUUAUAGUGGGAGACGCCCUGGCAUUAAGGAUGGCAUUGGCUUCCAAAAGGGGGACAAUGUCAAACUUAAUGCCCCUCCUAAGAAAUUAUCCAACUUUGUUAAGGGCAAGGCUCCUAUGCCUCAGGAUAACGAGGGUUACAUUUUAUACCCUGUCGGUUAUCCCGAGAGCAAAAUUAGGAGAAUUCAUUCUAGGAAGUCCCACUCUGGCCCUAACCAUGCUUUUAUGUAUAAGGGUGAGACAUCUAGUUCUAGGCAACCAACCCGUGCUAAGUUGCCUAAGAAGAAAACUUCUAGUGCAUCAAAUGAUCAUGACAUUUCAUUUAAAACUUUUGAUGCAUCAUAUGUGUUAACUAACAAAUCCGGCAAGGUAGUUGCCAAAUAUGUUGGGGCAAGCACAAGGGGUCAAAGACUUGUGUUUGGGUACCCAAAGUUCUUGUGUCUAAUGCCAAAGGACCCAAAACCAUUUGGGUACCUAAAGUCAAGAACUAAACUUGUUUUGUAGGUUUAUGCAUCCGGGGGCUCAAGUUGGAUCAUCGAUAGCGGGUGCACAAACCACAUGACAGGGGAGAAGAAAAUGUUCUCCUCCUAUGAGAAAAACCAAGAUCCCCAACGAGCUAUCACAUUCGGGGAUAGAAACCAAGGUUUGGUCAAAGGAUUGGGUAAAAUUGCUAUAUCUCCUGACCAUUCAAUUUCCAAUGUUUUUCUUGUAGAUUCCCUAGAUUACAAUUUGCUUUCUGUUUCUCAAUUAUGUCAAAUGGGCUACAACUGUCUUUUUACUGAUGUAGGUGUCACUGUCUUUAGAAGAAUGAUGAUUCAAUAGCAUUUAAGGGAGUGUUAGAGGGUCAGCUAUACUUGAUAGAUUUUGACAGAGCUGAACUCGACACUUGCUUAAUUGAUAAGACUAACAUGGGUUGGCUCUGGCACCGCCGACUAGCCCAUGUUGGAAUGAAGAGUCUUCAUAAGCUUCUAAAGGGAGAGCACAUUUUAGGAUUAACAAACGUUCAUUUUGAGAAAGACAGGGUUUGUAGCGCAUGCCAAGCAGGGAAGCAAGUUGGUGCUCAUCAUCCACACAAGAACAUCAUGACGACUAACAGGCCACUGGAACUCCUACACAUGGAUCUAUUCGGCCUGAUUGCUUACAUAAGUAUCGACGGGAGUAAGUACUGUCUAGUUAUUGUGGAUGAUUAUUCUCGCUUCACUUGGGUAUUCUUUUUGCAGGAAAAAUCUCAUACCCAAGAAACUUUAAAAGGAUUCUUGAGACGGGCUGAAAAUGAGUUCGGCUUAAGGAUCAAGAAAAUCAGAAGCGACAACGGGACGGAGUUCAAGAACUCUCAAAUUGAAGGCUUCCUUGAGGAGGAGGGCAUCAAGCAUGAGUUCUCUUCUCCCUACACACCACAACAAAAUGGUGUAGUGGAGAGGAAGAAUAGAACUCUAUUGGACAUGGCAAGAACCAUGCUUGAUGAGUACAAGACUUCAGAUCGAUUUUGGGCCGAGGCGGUCAACACCGCAUGCUACGCCAUCAACCGAUUGUAUCUACACCGAAUCCUCAAGAAGACAUCAUACGAACUCCUAACCGGUAAAAAGCCCAAUAUUUCAUAUUUUAGAGUCUUUGGUAGCAAAUGCUUUAUUCUUGUUAAAAGAGGUAGAAAAUCUAAAUUUGCUCCUAAGACUGUAGAAGGCUUUUUACUAGGAUAUGAUUCAAACACAAGGGCAUAUAGAGUCUUUAACAAGUCCUCUGGACAAGUUGAAGUUUCUUGUGACGUUGUGUUUGAUGAGACUAACGGCUCUCAAGUAGAGCAAGUUGAUCUUGAUGAGAUAGGUGAUGAAGAGGCUCCGUGCAUCGCGCUAAGGAACAUGUCCAUUGGGGAUGUGUGUCCUAAGGAAUCCGAAGAGCCUCCAAAUGCACAAGAUCAACCAUCCUCCUCCACGCAAGCAUCCCCACCAACUCAAAAUGAGGAUGAGGCUCAAGUUGAUAAAGGAGAAGAUCAAAGAGAUGAGCCACCUCAAGAUGACGACAAUGAUCAAGGGGGAGAUGCAAAUGAUCAAGACAAGGAGGAUAAAGAACCAAGGCCGCCACACCCAAGAGUCCACCAAGCAAUCCAACGAGAUCACCUCGUCGACACCAUCCUCGGUGACAUUUAUAAGGGGGUAACCACUAGAUCUCGUGUUGCACAUUUUUGUGAGCAUUACUCUUUUGUUUCCUCUAUUGAGCCACACAGGGUAGAGGAAGCACUUCAAGAUUCGGAUUGGGUGGUGGCGAUGCAAGAAGAGCUCAACAACUUCACGAGGAAUGAGGUAUGGCAUUUGGUUCCACGUCCUAAUCAAAAUGUUGUAGGAACCAAAUGGGUGUUCCGCAACAAGCAAGAUGAGCAUGGUGUGGUGACAACGAACAAAGCCCGACUUGUGGCCAAAGGAUACUCCCAAGUCGAAGGUUUGGAUUUCGGUGAAACCUAUGCACCCGUAGCUAGGCUUGAGUCAAUUCGCAUAUUAUUAGCCUAUGCUACUUACCAUGGCUUCAAGCUUUAUCAAAUGUACGUGAAGAGUGCCUUCCUUAAUGGACCAAUCAAAGAAGAGGUCUACGUUGAGCAACCUCCCGGCUUUGAAGAUAGUGAGUACCCUAACCAUGUAUAUAAACUCUCCAAGGCGCUUUAUGGGCUCAAGCAAGCCCCAAGAGCAUGGUAUGAAUGCCUUAGAGAUUUUCUUAUCACUAAUGGAUUCAAAGUCGGAAAGGCCGAUCCUACACUCUUUACCAAAACACUUGAAAAUGAUUUGUUUGUAUGCCAAAUUUAUGUUGAUGAUAUUAUAUUUGGGUCUACUAACGAAUCUACAUGUGAAGAGUUUAGUAGGAUCAUGACACAAAAAUUCGAGAUGUCUAUGAUAGGGGAGUUGAAGUAUUUCUUAGGAUUUCAAGUGAAGCAACUCCAAGAGGGCACCUUCCUAAGCCAAACGAAGUAUACUCAAGAUAUUCUAAGCAAGUUUGGGAUGAAGGAUGCCAAACCCAUCAAGACACCCAUGGGAACCAAUGGGCAUCUCGACCUCGACACGGAAGGUAAGUCUGUGGAUCAAAAGGUAUACCGGUCGAUGAUAGGUUCUUUACUCUAUUUAUGUGCAUCUCGACCGGAUAUUAUGCUUUCUGUAUGCAUGUGUGCAAGAUUCCAAGCCGACCCUAAGGAAGCUCACCUUACGGCCAUAAAACGAAUCUUGAGAUAUUUAGUUUAUACUCCUAAGUUUGGGCUUUGGUAUCCUAGGGGAUCCACAUUUGAUUUGAUUGGUUAUUCGGAUGCCGAUUGGGCGGGGUGUAAUAUUAAUAGAAAGAGCACAUCGGGGACUUGCCAGUUCUAAGGAAGAUCCUUGGUGUCUUGGGCUUCAAAGAAGCAAAAUUCCGUAGCUCUUUCUACCACCGAAGCCGAGUAUAUUGCCGCAGGACAUUGUUGCGCGCAACUACUUUGGAUGAGGCAAAGCCUUAGGGACUACAGUUACAAAUUAACCAAAGUUCCUCUUCUAUGUGAUAAUGAGAGUGCAAUUUGCAUGGCGGAUAAUCCCGUUGAGCAUAGCCGCACUAAACACAUAGCCAUUCGGUAUCAUUUCUUAAGGGAUCACCAACAAAAGGGAGAUAUCGAGAUUGCAUACAUUAAUACUAAAGAUCAAUUAGCCGAUAUCUUUACCAAGCCACUUGAUGAACAAACUUUUAACAAACUUAGGCAUGAACUAAAUAUUCUUGAUUCUAGGAAUUUCUUUUGAUAUCUUGCAUGCAUAGCUCAUAAGUAUACCUUUGAUCAUGUCUCUUCUAUAUAUGCUCUGACUAAUGUGUUUUCAAGUAUAUUUCAAACCAAGUCAUAGGUGUAUUGGAAGGGAAUUAGAGUCUUCGGCGAAGACAAAGGCUUCCACUCCGUAACUCAUCCUUCGUCGUCGCUCCGAGCAUCUCUCCGGCUUUGGUAUAAUCUUCACUCAUUUAGUUAUGACCAAAGGGGGAGAAAGUAAUUCUAGGGGCUUAUAUCUCACUCAAGUAUCCGUUUUUGGCGAUUCAUGCCAAAGGGGGAGAAAGUAUUAGCCCAAAGCAAAAGGACCGCACCACCACUAAUUUUAAAAAGAGUUUUUCAAAUGAUAUGAUUUUCAAUUUGGUAUCUCCUUGUGUUCAAAAAGGGGAGAGAGUAGUAUUUUCAAAAUCAAUAUCUUAAAACCCUCUUGAACACUAAGAGGAGAAUUUCAUUAAGGGGAGUUUUGUUUAAGUCAAAGGAAAAGCAUUCGAAACAGGGGGAGAGAAUUUCAAAUCUUGAAAAUGCUUCGCAAAGUCUUAUUCAUUUACCUUUGACUAUUUGCAAAAGAACUUUGAAAAGGAUUUACAAAAGAAUUUGCAAAAACAAAACAUGUGGUGCAAGCGUGGUCCAAAAUGUUAAAAAUGAAGAAACAAUCCAUGCGUAUCUUAUAAGUAUUAAUAUUGGCUCAAUUCCAAGUAAUCUUUGCACUUACAUUUUGCAAAUUAGUUCAAUUAUACACUUCUAUACUUGCUUUGGUUUGUGUUGGCAUCAAUCACCAAAAAGGGGGAGAUUGAAAGGGAAUUAGGCUUACAUCUAUUUUUCUAAUUGAUUUUGGUGGUUGAAUUGCCCAACACAAAUAAUUGGACUAACUAGUUUGCUCUAGUCAAUAAGUUAUACAGGUGCCAAAGGUUCACACUUAGCCAACAAAAAGACCAAGAAAUGGGUUCAACAAAUAGAGCAAGGGAUAACCGAAGGCAGCCCUGGUCUGGCGCACCGGACUGUCCGGUGCACCAUCGGACAGUGUCCGGUGCACCAGGGGACUUCAAGCCAAACUCUUCACCUUCGGGAAUUUUCAGAGGCGCUUCACUAUAAUUCACCGGACAUGUCCGGUGCACACCGGACAGUGUCCGGUGCUCCAGGGGAGAGCGACUCUGAACUCGCCAGCUUCGGAUUUCCGCUCCGCUAUAAUUCACCGGACAUGUCUGGUGCACACCGGACUGUCCGGUGAGCCAGCGGAGCAACGGCUACUUCGCGCCAACGGUCGUCUGCAACGCAUUAAAUGCGCGCCAGCGCGCGCAGAGGAGCAGAGCACGCGCGGGUGGCACACCGGACAGUCUACAGGACUUGUCCGGUGCACCACCGGACAGCCAGGCGGGCCCACACGUCAGAGCUCCAACGGUCGGAACCCAACGGCCAGGUGACGUGGCUGGCGCACCGGACUGUCCGGUGCGCCAUGCGACAGUAGCCUCCACCAAACGGCUAGUUUGGUGGUUGGGGUUAUAAAUACCCCCAACCACCCCACAUUCAAGUCAUCCAAGUUUUCCACCUUCCAACCACUUACAAGAGCUAGACAUUCAAUACAAGACACACCCAAGUGAUCAAAUCCUCUCCCAAUUCCACAAAAGCUUUAGUGUUAAGUGAGAGUGAUUUGUUGUGUUCUUUUGAGCUCUUGCGCUUGGAUUGCUUUCUUUCUCAUUCUUUCUUGAGAUCAAACUCACUUGUAAUUGAGGCAAGAGACACCAAUCGUGUGGUGAUCCUUAUAGGAACUUUGUGUUCCAAGUGAUUGAGAAGAAAAACUCACUCGGUCUGAGGGACCGUUUGAGAGAGGGAAAGGGUUGAAAGAGACCCGAUCUUUGUGACCACCUCAACGGGGAGUAGGUUUGCAAGAACCGAACCUCGGUAAAACAAAUCCACGUGUCACACUCUUCAUUCGCUUGCAAUUUGUUUUGCGCCCUCUCUCUUGGACUCGUUUCUAUUACUAACGCUAACCCGGCUUGUAGUUGUGAUUAAUUUUGUAAAUUUCAGUUUCGCCCUAUUCACCCCCCCUCUAGGCGACUUUCACUCAUCAUCAAGAGCUUCCGCCAAAUCCUCAAACAAAGGAGGGGGAAAGAUUACAAGCCCCGCUCCAAGAAAGUUUGCUACAAAUGUGGUAAGCCCGGUCAUUUCAUUGCUAAAUGUCCAUUGUCUAGUGAUAGUGACAGGGGCGACGACAAGAAGGGGAGAAGAAAGGAGAAGAAGAGGUACUACAAGAAGAAGGGCGGCGAUGCCCAUGUUUGCCGGGAGUGGGACUCCGACGAGAGCUCCACCGACUCCUCCGACGAGGACGCCGCCAACAUCGCCGUCACCAAGGGACUCCUCUUCCCCAACGUCGGCCACAAGUGCCUCAUGGCAAAGGACGGCAAAAAGAAGAAGGUAAAAUCAAGAUCCUCCACUAAAUAUGAGACCUCUAGCGAUGAGGAUAAUGCUAGUAAUGAGGAGGAUAACUUGCGCAUCCUUUUUGCCAAUCUAAACAUGCAACAAAAAGAAAAAUUAAAUGAAUUGAUUAGUGCUAUUCAUGAGAAGGAUGAUCUCUUGGACACCCCAGAGGACUUCCUUAUUAAAGAAAACAAAAAGCAUGUUAAGGUUAAAAAUGCUUACACUCUAUAAGUUGAAAAAUGUGAAAAACUAUCUAGUGAGCUAAGCACUUGUCAUGAUAUUAUUACCAACCUUAGAAAUGAGAAUGCAAAUUUAAUUGCUAAGGUUGAUUCGAAUGCUUGUGAUGUUUCAAUUCCCAAUCUUAGAGAUGAUAAUAUUGAUUUGCUUGCUAAGAUUGAAGAAUUGAAUAUCUCUCUUGCUAGCCUUAGAGAUGAAAAUGAAAAAUUGCUUGCUAAGGCUCAAGAAUUAGAUGUUUGCAAUGCUUCCAUUUCCGACCUUAGAAGUAAAAAUGAUAUAUUGCAUGCUAAGGUUGUAGAAUUAAAAUCUUGCAAACCCUCUACAUCUACCGUUAAACAUACUUCUAUUUGUACUAGAUGUAGAGACAUUAAUGUUGAUGCUAUUCAUGACCAUCUAGCUUUAAUUAAGAAACAAAAUGAUCACAUAGCUCAACUUAAUGCUAAAAUCAUUGAGCAUGACUUAGAAAAUGGAAAAUUUAAAUUUGCUAGAGGCAUGCUCUAUAGCGGGAGACGCCCUGGCAUCAAGGAUGGCAUUGGCUUCCAAAAGGGAGACAAUGUCAAACUUAAUGCCCCUCCUCAAAGAUUGUCAAACUUUGUUAAGGGCAAGGCCCCCAUGCCUCAGGAUAACGAGGGUUACAUUUUGUACCCUGCCAGUUAUCCCGAGAACAAAAUUAGGAGAAUUCACUCUAGGAAGUCUCACUCUGGCCCAAAUCAUGCUUUUAUGUAUAAGAGUGAGACAUCUAGCUCUAGGCAAUCAAUCCAUGCUAAAUUGGCUAAGAAGAAAACUCCUAGUGCAUCAAAUGAUCAUAAUAUUUCAUUUAAAACUUUUGAUGCAUCCUAUGUUUUAACUAACAAAUCCGGCAAGGUAGUUGUCAAAUAUGUUGGGGGCAAGCACAAGGGGUCAAAGACUUGUGUUUGGGUACCCAAAGUUCUUGUGUCUAAUGUCAAAGGACCCAAAACCAUUUGGGUACCUGAAGUCAAGAACUAAAUUUGUUUUGUAGGUUUAUGCAUCCGGGGGCUCAAGUUGGAUCAUCGAUAGCGGGUGCACAAACCACAUGACAGGGGAGAAGAAGAUGUUCUCCUCCUACGAGAAAAACCAAGAUCCCCAACGAGCUAUCACAUUCGGGGAUGGAAACCAAGGUUUGGUCAAAGGUUUGGGUAAAAUUGCUAUCUCACCUGACCAUUCCAUUUCCAAUGUUUUUUCUUGUAGAUUCUUUAGAUUACAAUUUGCUUUCCGUAUCUCAAUUAUGCAAAAUGGGCUACAACUGUCUUUUCACAGAUGCAGGUGUUACUGUCUUUAGAAGGAGUGAUGAUUCAAUAGCAUUUAAGGGAGUGUUAGAGGGUCAGCUAUACUUAGUAGAUUUUGAUAGAGCUGAACUCGACACUUGCUUAAUUGCUAAGACUAACAUGGACUGGCUCUGGCAUCGCCGACUAGCACAUGUUGGAAUGAAGAAUCUUCACAAACUUCUAAAAGGAGAACACAUUUUGGGACUAACAAAUGUUCAUUUUGAAAAAGACAGGAUUUGUAGUGCAUGCCAAGCAGGGAAGCAAGUUGGUGUUCAUCAUCCACAUAAGAACAUCAUGACGACUGACAGGCCACUCGAGCUCCUACACAUGGACCUAUUCAGCCCGAUAGCUUACAUAAGCAUCGGCGGGAGUAAGUACUGUCUAGUUAUUGUGGAUGAUUAUUCUCGCUUUACUUGGGUGUUCUUUUUGCAGGAAAAAUCUCAUACCCAAGAGACUUUAAAAGGAUUCUUGAGACGAGAUCAAAAUGAGUUCAGCUUAAGGAUCAAGAAAAUUAGAAGCGACAACGGGACGGAGUUCAAGAACUCUCAAAUUGAGGGCUUCCUUGAGGAGGAGGGCAUCAAGCAUGAGUUCUCUUCUCCCUACACGCCACAACAAAAUGGUGUAGUGGAGAGGAAGAAUCAAACUCUAUUGGACAUGGCAAGAACCAUGCUUGAUGAGUACAAGACUUCGGAUCGGUUUUGGGCCGAGGCGGUCAACACCGCUUGCUACGCCAUCAACUGGUUAUAUCUACACUGAAUCCUUAAGAAGACAUCAUAUGGACUCCUAACCGGUAAAAAGCCCAAUAUUUCUUAUUUUAGAGUCUUUGGUAGCAAAUGCUUUAUUCUUGUUAAAAGAGGUAGAAAAUCUAAAUUUGCUCCUAAGACAGUAGAAGGCUUUUUACUAGGAUAUGAUUCAAACACAAGGGCAUAUAGAGUCUUUAACAAGUCCUCAGGACUAGUUGAAGUUUCUUGUGACGUUGUGUUUGAUGAGACUUGAAAGUCGCCUGGAGGGGGGUGAAUAGGGCGAAACUGAAAUUCACAAAAUUAAUCAUAACUACAAGCCGGGUUAGCGUUAGAAAUAGAAAUGAGUCCGAGAAAGAGGGCGUAAAACAAAUCGCAAGCGAAUAAAGAGUGUGACACACGGAUUUGUUUUACCGAGGUUCGGUUCUUGCAAACCUACUCCUCGUUGAGGUGGUCACAAAGACCAGGUCUCUUUCAACCCUUUCCCUCUCUCAAACGGUCCCUCAGACCGAGUGAGCUUCUCUACUCAAUCACUUGGAACACAAAGUUCCUACAAGGAUCACCACACGAUUGGUGUCUCUUGCCUCAAUUACAAGUGAGUUUGAUCUCAAGAAAGAAUGAGAAAGAAAGCAAUCCAAGCGCAAGAGCUCAAAAGAACACAACAAAUCUAUCUCACUUAACACUAAAGCUUUUGUGGAAUUGGGAGAGGAUUUGAUCACUUGGGUGUAUCUAGGAUUGAAUGCUAGAGCUCUUGUAAGUGGUUGGAAGUUGGAAAACUUGGAUGACUUGAAUGUGGGGUGGUUGGGAGUAUAUAUAACCCCAACCACCAAACUAGCCGUUUGGUGGAGGCUGCUGUCGCAUGGCGCACCGGACAGUCCGGUGCGCCACCGGACACUGUCCGGUGCGCCAGCCAUGUCACCAGGCCGUUGGGUUCCGACCGUUGGAGCUCUGAUGUGUGGGCCCGCCUGGCUGUCCGGUGGUGCACCGGACAAGUCCUGUAGACUGUCCGGUGUGCCACCCGCGCGUGCUCUGCUCCUCUGCGCGCGCUGGCGCGCAUUUAAUGCGUUGCAGUCGACCGUUGGCGCUAAGUAGUCGUUGCUCCGCUGGCUCACCGGACAGUCCGGUGUGCACCGGACAUGUCCGGUGAAUUAUAGCGGAGCGGAUUCCCGAAGCUGGCGAGUUCAGAGUCGCUCUCCUCUGGAGCACCGAACACUGUCCGGUGGUGCACCGGACAGUCCGGUGAAUUAUAGCGAAGCGCCUCGAAAAUUCCCGAAGAUGCGAAGUUUGGCUUGGAGUGCCCUGGUGCACCGGACACUGUCCGAUGGUGCACCGGGCACUGUCCGGUGGCACACCGGACAGUCCGGUGCGCCAGACCAGGGCAGCCUUCGGUUGUCCCUUGCUCUUUUGGUUGAACCCAUUUCUUGGUCUUUUUAUUGGCUAAGUGUGAACCUUUGGCACCUGUAUAACUUAUAGACUAGAGCAAACUAGUUAGUCCAAUUAUUUGUGUUGGGCAAUCCAACCACCAAAAUCAAUUAGGAACUAGGUGUAAGCCUAAUUCCCUUUCAAUCUCCCCCUUUUUGGUGAUUGAUGCCAACACAAGCCAAAGCAAGUAUAGAAGUGCAUAAUUGAACUAGUUUGCAUAAUGUAAGUGCAAAGGUAACUUGGAAUUGAGCCAAUAUAAAUACUUAUAAAAUAUGCAUGGAUUGUUUCUUUAAUUUUUUUGACAUUUUGGACCAUGCUUGCACCACAUGUUUUGUUUUUGCAAAUUCUUUUGUAAAUCCUUUUCAAAGUUCUUUUGCAAAUAGUCAAAGAUAAAUGAAUAAGAUUUUGCGAAGCAUUUUGAAGAUUUGAAUUUUAUCCCCCUGUUUCAAAUGCUUUUCCUUUGACUAAACAAAACUCCCCCUUAAUGAAAUCCUCCUCUUAGUGUUCAAGAGGGUUUUAAGAUAUCGAUUUUGAAAAUACUACUCCUCUCCCCUUUUUGAACAUAAUGAGAUACUAAUUUGAAAAUCAUACCAAUUGAGAAAUUCUUUUUUUAAAAUUAGGUGGUGGUGCGGUCCUUUUGCUUUGGGCUGAUACUUUCUCCCCCUUUGGCAUGAAUCGCCAAAAACAGAUACUUGAGUGAGAUAUAAGCCCUUUCCUAGCUACUUUCUCCCCUUUGGCAAAUAAAACAUGAGUGAAGAUUAUACCAAAGACGGAGAGUUGCUCGGAGCGACGGUGAAGGAUGAGUUAUGGAGUGGAAGCCUUUGUCUUCGCCGAAGACAUAAAUUCCCUUUCAAUACACCUAUGACUUGGGUUGAAAUUCACUUGAGAACACAUUAGUCAUAGCACAUGAAAGAGACAUGAUCAAAGGUAUAUUUAUGAGCUAUGCAUGCAAGACAUCAAAAGAAAUUCCUAGAAUCAAGAAUAUUUAGCUCAUGCCUAAGUUUGUUAAAGGUUUGUUCACCAAGUGGCUUUGUAAAGAUAUCGGCUAAUUGAUCUUUAGUAUUAAUGUAUGAAAUCUCGAUAUCUCCCUUUUGUUGGUGAUCCCUUAAGAAAUGAUACCGAAUGGCUAUGUGUUUAGUGCGGCUAUGCUCAACGGGAUUAUCCGCCAUGCGGAUUGCACUCUCAUUAUCACAUAGAAGAAGAACUUUGGUUAAUUUGUAACCAUAGUCCCUAAGGGUUUGCCUCAUCCAAAGCAAUUGCGCGCAACAAUGGCCUGCGGCAAUGUACUCGGGUUCGGCGGUAGAAAGGGCUACGGAAUUUUGCUUCUUUGAAGCCCAAGACACCAAGGAUCUUCCCAAGAACUGACAAGUCCCCGAUGUACUUUUUCUAUUAAUCUUACACCCCGCCCAAUCGGCAUCCGAAUAACCAAUCAAAUCAAAUGUGGAUCCCCUAGGAUACCAAAGCCCAAACUUAGGAGUAUAAACUAAAUAUCUCAAGAUUCGUUUUACGGUCGUAAGGUGAGCUUCCUUAGGGUCGGCUUGGAAUCUUGCACACAUGCAUAUGGAAAGCAUAAUAUCCGGUCGAGAUGCACAUAAAUAGAGUAAAGAACCUAUCAUCGACCGGUAUACCUUUUGAUCCACGGACUUACCUUCCGUGUCGAGGUCGAGAUGCCCAUUGGUUCCCAUGGGUGUCUUGAUGGGUUUGGCAUCCUUCAUCCCAAACUUGCUUAGAAUAUCUUGAGUAUACUUCGUUUGGCUUAGGAAGGUGCCCUCUUGGAGUUGCUUCACUUGAAAUCCUAAGAAAUACUUCAACUCCCCCAUCAUAGACAUCUCGAAUUUUUGUGUCAUGAUCCUACUAAACUCUUCACAUGUAGAUUCGUUAGUAGACCCAAAUAUAAUAUCAUCAACAUAAAUUUGGCAUACAAACAAAUCAUUUUCAAGUGUUUUGGUAAAGAGUGUAGGAUCGGCCUUUCCGACUUUGAAUCCAUUAGUGAUAAGAAAAUCUCUAAGGCAUUCAUACCAUGCUCUUGGGGCUUGCUUGAGCCCAUAAAGCGCCUUGGAGAGUUUAUAUACAUGGUUAGGGUACUCACUAUCUUCAAAGCCGGGAGGUUGCUCAACAUAGACCUCUUCCUUGAUUGGUCCAUUGAGGAAGGCACUCUUCACGUCCAUUUGAUAAAGCUUGAAGCCAUGGUAAGUAGCAUAGGCCAAUAAUAUACGAAUUGACUCAAGCCUAGCUACGGGUGCAUAGGUUUCACUGAAAUCCAAACCUUCGACUUGGGAGUAUCCUUUGGCCACAAGUCGGGCUUUGUUCCUUGUCACCACACCAUGCUCAUCUUGCUUGUUGCGGAAAACCCACUUGGUUCCUACAACAUUUUGAUUAGGACGUGGAACCAAAUGCCAUACCUCAUUCCUAGUGAAGUUGUUGAGCUCCUCUUGCAUCGCCACCACCCAAUCUGAAUCUUGUAGUGCUUCCUCUACCCUGUGUGGCUCAAUAGAGGAAACAAAAGAGUAAUGCUCACAAAAAUGUGCAACACGAGAUCUAGUUGUUACCCCCUUAUGAAUGUCGCCUAGAAUGGUGUCGACGGGGUGAUCUCGUUGGAUUGCUUGGUGGACUCUUGGGUGUGGCGGUCUUUGUUCUUCAUCCUCCUUGUCUUGAUCAUUUGCACCUCCCCCUUGAUCAUUGCCGUCAUCUUGAGGUGGCUCAUUUUCUUGAUCUUCUCCUUCAUCAACUUGAGCCUCAUCCUAAUUUUGAGUUGGUGGAGAUGCUUGCGUGGAGGAGGAUGGUUGAUCUUGUGCAUUUGGAGGCUCUUCGGAUUCCUUAGGACACACAUCCCCAAUGGACAUGUUCCUUAGCGCGAUGCACGGAGCCUCUUCAUCACCUAUCUCAUCAAGAUCAACUUGCUCUACUUGAGAGCCGUUAGUCUCAUCAAACACAACGUCACAAAAAACUUCAACUUGUCUAGAGGACUUGUUAAAGACUCUAUAUGCCCUUGUGUUUGAAUCAUAUCCUAGUAAAAAGCCUUCUACAGUCUUAGGAGCAAAUUUAAAUUUUCUACCUCUUUUAAUAAGAAUAAAGCAUUUGCUACCAAAGACUUUAAAAUAUGAGAUAUUGGGCUUUUUACCGGUUAGGAGUUCGUAUGAUGUCUUCUUGAGGAUUCGGUGUAGAUACAACCGGUUGAUGGUGUAACAAGCGGUGUUGACCGCCUCGGCCCAAAACCGAUCCGAAGUGUUGUACUCAUCAAGCAUGGUUCUUGCCAUGUCCAAUAGGGUUCUAUUCUUCCUCUCCACUACACCAUUUUGUUGUGGGGUGUAGGGAGAAGAGAACUCAUGCUUGAUGCCUUCCUCCUCAAGGAAACCUUCGAUUUGUGAGUUCUUGAACUCCGUCCUGUUGUCGCUUCUUAUUUUCUUGAUCCUUAAGCCGAACUCAUUUUGAGCCCGUCUUAAGAAUCCCUUUAAUGUCUCUUGGGUAUGAGAUUUUUCCUGCAAAAAGAAUACCCAAGUGAAGCGAGAAUAAUCAUCCACAAUAACUAGACAGUACUUACUCCCGCCGAUGCUUAUGUAAGCUAUCGGGCCGAAUAGGUCCAUGUGUAGGAGUUCCAGUGGUCUGUCAGUCGUCAUGAUGUUCUUAUGUGGAUGAUGAGCACCAACUUGCUUCCCGGCUUGGCAUGCGCUACAAAUCCUGUCUUUCUCAAAAUGAACAUUUGUUAAUCCUAAAAUGUGUUCUCCCUUUAGAAGCUUAUGAAGAUUCUUCAUCCCAACAUGGGCUAGUCGGCGGUGCCAUAGCCAACCCAUGUUAGUCUUAGCAAUUAAGCAAGUGUCGAGUUCAGCUCUAUCAAAAUCUACUAAGUAUAGCUGACCCUCUAACACUCCCUUAAAUGCUAUUGAAUCAUCACUUCUUCUAAAGAAAGUGACACCUACAUCAGUAAAAAGACAGUUGUAGCCCAUUUGACAUAAUUGCGAAACGGAAAGCAAAUUGUAAUCUAAGGAAUCUACAAGAAAAACAUUUGAAAUUGAAUGGUCAGGAGAUAUAGAAAUUUUACCCAAUCCUUUGACCAAACCUUGGUUUCCAUCCCCGAAUGUAAUAGCUCGUUGGGGAUCAUGGUUUUUCUCGUAGGAGGAGAACAUCUUCUUCUCCCCUGUCAUGUGGUUUGUGCACCCGCUAUCGAUGAUCCAACUUGAGCCCCCGGAUGCACAAACCUACAAAACAAUUUUAGUUCUUGACUUUAGGUACCCAAAUGGUUUUGGGUCCUUUGGCAUUAGACACAAGAACUUUGGGUACCCAAACACAAGUCUUUGACCCCUUGUGCUUGCCCCCAACAUACUUGGCAACUACCUUGCCGGAUUUGUUAGUUAACACAUAAGAUGCAUCAAAAGUUUUAAAUGAAAUGCUAUGUUCAUUUGAUGCACUAGGAGUUUUCUUCUUAGGCAACUUAGCACGGGUUGGCUGCCUAGAACUAGAUGUCUCACCCUUAUACAUAAAAGCAUGGUUAGGGCCAGAGUGAGACUUCCUAGAAUGAAUUCUCCUAAUUUUGCUCUCGGGAUAACCGGCAGGGUAUAAAAUGUAACCCUCGUUAUCCUGAGGCAUGGGAGCCUUGCCCUUAACAAAGUUGGACAAUUUCUUAGGAGGGGCAUUAAGUUUGACAUUGUCCCCCUUUUGGAAGCCAAUGCCAUCCUUAAUGCCAGGGCGUCUCCCACUAUAAAGCAUACUACGAGCAAAUUUAAAUUUUUAAUUUUCAAGUUCACACAGCAAUUUUAGCAUCUAAUUUUGCUAUAUGAUCAUUUUGUUGCUUGAUUAGUACCAUAUGAUCAUGAAUAGCAUCAAUAUCAAUAUCUCUACAUCUAGUGCAAAUAGUGACAUGCUCAGUGGUAGAUGUAGAGGGUUUGCAGGAAUUAAGUUCAACAAUCUUAGCACACAAUAUAUCAUUUUUAUCUCUAAGAUCGGAAAUUGUAACAUUGCAAACAUCUAGUUCUUUAGCCUUAGCAAGUAAUUUUUCAUUCUCAAUCCUAAGGCUAGCAAGAGAGAUGUUUAAUUCUUCAAUCUUAGCAAGCAAAUCAUCAUUAUCAUUUCUAAGAUUGGGAAUUAAAACAUCACAAACAUUUGAAUCAACCUUAGCUAACAACUUAGCAUUUUCAUUUCUAAGGUUGUCAAUGGUCUCAUGGCAAGUGCUUAGCUCACUAGAUAAUUUUUUGCACUUUUCUACUUCUAAAGCAUAAGCAUUUUUUACCUUAACAUGCUUUUUGUUUUCUUUAAUAAGGAAGUCCUCUUGAGAGUCCAAGAGAUCAUCCUUUUCAUGGAUAGCACUAAUCAAUUCAUUUAAUUUUUCCUUUUGUUGCAUGUUUAGGUUGGCAAAAAGGGUACGCAAAUUAUCCUCCUCAUCACUAGCAUUAUCAUCACUAGAGGACUCAUAUUUAGUGGAGGAUUUGGAUUUAACCUUCUUCUUUUUGUCGUCCUUUGCCAUGAGGCACUUGUGGCCGACGUUGGGGAAGAGAAGGCCCUUGUUGAUGGUGAUGUUGGCGGCGUCCUCGUCGGAGGAGGAGUCGGAGGAGCUCUCGUCCGAGUCCCACUCGCGGCAUACAUGAGCGUCGCCACCCUUCUUCUUGUAGUAUUUCUUCUUCUCUUUUCUUCUCCCCUUCUUGUCGUCGCCCCUGUCACUGUCACUAGAAAUAGGACAUUUUGCUAUAAAGUGACCAGGAUUACCACACUUGUAGCAAACUUUCUUGGAGCGGGGCUGUAACACCCCUGGUGUUACUAUAACUAAAACUUGAUCAUGGCAUCAUAAGCAUUGGCAUUGCAUAUGUUUGACACACCUAGAGUGCAUUCACUAGGCAAAAUUUCAAACAAGUUAUAUUGUUUUAAUGUUUUGCAAAUAGAACCCUGGUUAAAGGACUUAACCCUAAAUAGUGGUUAAAGGGGUAAAACUUAACCCAAGUUAAGAAAACCUAAAAGCUUUAGGGUAAAGGUCAUAAAAUGACCCCAAAAAUAAAGUUGAAUCACAUUUAUACCCCUGGGAUACCAGAAACCCUAAAUGAAGCCCUAGGAAAACCCUAAGUCCAAACCCUAGGGACUUAUGUGUAAAAGUGAUGAACCUUUGGACUAAAGUGUAAAAACUACUAUGUUUAAACAUAUAAAGUCAUUUGGUUCACAAAUGUGUGGACUUGAAAGCCAAAUGUUGAGUUUUGGACUUAAAUGCAAAAUGGACCUCAAUUAGGGUCUAUUCUAAGUCUAAAAAUCAGAGAAUUGGCUCAACUUUGGAGCUUUGCAUCUUUCAAAUUCUAGGGUUUUUGCCCUAGGUCACCACAUCAAAAUUGUAGACCAAACAAAGGAGAACAUUUUUGCUUAAGAGUGCAAGCCAUGUUCUUGUAAAGAAUUUGGAGAAAAGUGCACUCAAAGUUGAACUUUCAGGCUGUCUGAAGUAUGAAAUUCAGACUAACAGUAGUAUUAAGUCAACUUUGAACUGGAAAUCAACCUUGCUCUAAUAAGAAUUUGGCUUUGGAUGCUAUAGCAAGAUUGUUGUUGGACUAUCAGACAACAACUUUGUCAUUAGCUGAUCCACUGGUUGCCAUUGAAAAUCCGGAGUAAAUCAACGCUAAACAUGGGCUGUCAGACUCAUUGAUUCUACUGAAACCGAGCACUGUUCACCGGCCUUCAGAAAUAUCGCGCCAUGGAUAUGGUCAGCCCCUCGCCGACGAUAAGAACGCCACCGCAGCGGAUGGUCGUCGGCGGCUGCGGUAAAGGUCUGGUGCGACGUGGCUUCAAAGCGUUGAGGUGGCGCUACCCGGUUAAACGGCGGCCACCGGACUUGCGCCGUGGCUCUGCCGUGCGGGUGAGCUCGCCAGCACGAUUACAGCCGGUGAAGCUCAUCCGAUUGCGGCCGGUUGACUAUAAAUUGAGGGCGAGCGUUGCUUCUUCACCGUAUCCCACGUCUCAGCCACUAAGCGCCCGACUCAAGAUCACCGGAAAACCUACGUAGCCUCCAAAUCCCUUGCUCCCUUGUUCUUAACUCCGCCGCGAAGAACAUCUCCGUGGCCAGCCUUCCUCGAGUGAGUACUUACCCAAUUGUUUCAUGUUCUUGCUUGCUAUUAGCCCCCUAUUGCUCCCAGUACCAACCAAUCGAACUUAAGCCAAAAGCUUUCACCGGAACGUGUGCUUGCUCUGAAGAACACCGCCGUGACCCCCUCACCGUCGACCCACUCCUCGGGCCUUGUUCUGCCCAAACCAAAAUGUGUCCGUAGACCCUGGUGAACCCGUGAAGCUUUACCCAGCCCCAAUUUGGCCAUUCUCAUCGCUGUUUGGCCGGAACACUUCCAUCCAUAUGACCAUUCGCCCUGUCACCGUGGACCGGUAGAUUCGUAGUCGCAACGAUGAAAUUGAAUUGGGGGAAAGGUUCGGUAGGGGUUCAAUUGUGUUUAUGACGCUCGGACGCUUCAGCCGUGGUGGCAUCCGGCCGGUCUAGCUCGCCGGAGCUCGGCCUCCCGUGCGGAGCGCCGUCGGGGACUAGCUAUAGUAAAAGAAUAGAACGCGAAGGGUUUUUCUGCAAACCAUCAACGACUCAGUACAAUAGUAAUCGAACUCACUUCGGAUUACUCAGUAAGCCGUGGGCCUUUCUGCAAAAUCGCCAGGGCGCGGGCGCGGACGCGCGCACGUUUCCGCGUGGGCAUGGGCCGCUUGAACUAGAUUUGGCCCAGUACUGUGUAGAGUUUUUCCUUUUUCUUUUUCAGUGAAGCUUUAGAAAAUUGUUAAAAAUGGUAGAAAAAUCAUAAAAAUAUGAGACCAAUUUUCUUAGAACCCUAAUUUCCUGUAGUAUUUAAUAAAAAUAAAUUCAUGAUUUUUAGAUCAAAUAGGGAAUUUUAGAGUAUUUAAAAUAGCUUAAACUAACAGUUCUGGAUUUUUUAGAAAUUAAAUGAUAAUCCCAAAAUUGCCCAAACUUUUUAUGUAAGCUUUUCACAUUAUUUAGAAGCCUUGGAUAGAGUUUGAAUUGAUUUGGACCUUGUUUGAUCACCAAACCCCAAAACACCCCCCUGCCCUAUGCACUCCUUUACCGACUCCGGAAACCCUAAGUUCCCGGAAUUCCGUGAAGGAAAAUUAUAUUCAAGAUUUAGAUAAUAAAUCCUUAUUACCUUUGCACGCUCAUGAGCAUGACAUGGCAUUCAUUCUUAUAUAUAUACCUAUAUGGUUAUAUUUAGAAAACGAAGAAGAGAGUGAAGUGACUCAAGAGAAGACACCACCACCUUUGGAAUUUCGGGCAAGGACUUGGCUCUACUUCGACAACUGCGAGUCCGAGCCUGACUCACCUACUAACGAAGGCAAGCCCCGGUGCAUGCAACCCUUUCCUUGUGUUUUUAAAUACUUUUCGCACACUUAAGUCUAGUGAAAUGUGCAUUAGGUUCAUAGGAAUUGCUUGGAACCCUUUGAUGCAUUGCUUUCCUUGAUAUCCACACCUUUAUAGAUAUUUCUGUGAAGUAUCAAAAUAUGAUUUUCAAAAAUGCUUAGCCUUGCUUAGAUCUUGUGGAUAGAGGUUGUCCUUAAUUUAACUCGAGAAAGGAUGACUUCUACCUGCAAGAAUAUUUUCAUUUGGAGCAAUGAUGGGAUCUUACUGCAAAGUUCCCUGUGAUGCUCUUUCAUCCUAAGGAACAGACACAAUCCUAAGGAUGGAAAUACUUAAAUCGAGACUUGGGCUAGGAACAGGUGAUGCUCCGCCCGGGUCAAUUAAGGAUUGGAUGCGUAUGUAGGCCUGUUGAUCAAGGACUAUCUUAUCUAGCCACAUGCCCUGAGAAUGGGACAGGGUAAGCUUGAACCCGGCUAUUCCAUACAUGAAAAGACAAUCGCGCACUGGGCGUGGAGAGAUGGCGAGAGUGGCACGUACCCUCCUGGCAACGGAUCGCCUAAAAGGGGUGGUGUACUCUCGGGUGGCGCGGACCUGUUCAUGCAGUGGAGGAUCCGUGGGAAUAGUAGACAUCAAGGUUUACGAGAAACAUAUGUCGUGUGGUUAGAAAUCCUCAGCUGAGUAAAUCGAUUCGGAUCGCCGUUAUAUCCCCGGAGAGUGGAGACUUGAGCUCCGACCUACAACCUAAGUCAAGAUGUGAACACUAUGGAUAAAAAUGAUGUUGUAUUGAUGAGAUGAUGAAAUUAGACUAGAUGCAAACAGAGUCUAUUAAAUAUUUAAUCUGGCGUUAAAAUAUUGAAAGUAAGGACUCACUUUAGUAAGCUAUUUCUGCAAAAGUAUCUAAGUUGAUUCUUGCUAAAGCCUCUCCUUGACUCCUAUUUAUCCAGCAUACCCUUGAGAGUCUUUUCCUUAGUCGGGUAAGACUUGCUGAGUAAUUCCAUACUCAGGGUUUAUCCCUUUGUUGUUUUUAGGUGAGGAAGCGACAUAUUUUUGUUGCUUUUGCUCCAAGGUGGUACCAAAUGAGGAAAAACAGGAGUGAAGAUGCGGGAGGACUUGGUCCUCCAUAUAGGAUCUUUUUGUUUUAAAGCUAUCGGGAGGAGUCUGUGCCUCCCUUGAUAUGUGUAACUACUCAGCACUCGUUUAUAGCUCUGGUCUGUAAUAAGUAACUUGAUCUUACUUUCUAAAUAAAUGUAAGUUUAUGUAAUUGCUUCUGCACUUCUAUAACUCCGAUGUUCUGUAAUGUCUGCAAGACGGGUGAAACGUUCCUGGUAAGGUAAGGAAAGAUACCGAGCUUGUCAAGUAACUUAGGAACAUCUACAGGGUGUCUGAUGUCUGUUAGACAAGGACAACUGUAGGUGGGCCUAAUUACUUGGGAGGUUCCGUCACAGGGGCUUGUAAUCUUUCCCCCUCCUUUGCUUGAGGAUUUGGCGGAACCUCUUGAUGACGAGCGCCAUUUCCUCAUUGUCGAGCUUUGAGGCGUCGAUUAGUUGUCUACUUGAUGUAGACUCCUCCUUCUUCUCCUCCGUUGCCUUGAAUGCAACCGGUUGUGCUUCGGAUGUGGAGGGAUCAUCUAGCUCAUUGAUUUUCUUUGAGCCCUUGAUCAUAUACUCAAAGCUCACAAAAUUCCCUAUUACUUCCUCGGGAGUCAUUAGUGUAUAUCUAGGAUUACCACGAAUUAAUUGAACUUGAGUAGGGUUAAGGAAAAUAAGUGAUCUAAGAAUAACCUUAACCAUCUCGUGGUCAUCCCACUUUUUGCUCCCAAGGUUGCGCACUUGAUUCACCAAGGUUUUGAGCCGGUUGUACAUGUCUUGUGGCUCUUCUCCUUUACGAAGCCGGAAGCGACCGAGCUCCCCCUCGAUCGUCUCCCGCUUGGUGAUCUUGGUUAAUUCAUCUCCCUCGUGCGCGGUCUUGAGCACGUCCCAAACUUCCUUGGCGCUCUUUAAUCCUUGCACCUUGUUAUACUCCUCUCGACUUAGAGAGGCGAGGAGUAUAGUUGUGGCUUGGGAGUUGAAGUGCUCGAUUUGGGCCACCUCGUCCUCAUCCCCUACGGAUGGUACCUGUCACCAAACUCAACAACAUCCCAUAUACUUUUGUGGAGUGAGGUUAGGUGAAACCGCAUUAAAUCACUCCACCUAGCAUAAUCUUCACCAUCAAAGGUUGGUGGUUUGCCUAAUGGGACGGAAAGUAAAGGUGUAUGUUUAGGAAUGCGAGGGUAGCGUAGGGGGAUCUUACUAAACUUCUUGCGCUCAUGGCGUUUAGAAGUUAAGGAGGGCGCGUCGGAGCCGAAGGUGGAAGGUGAUGAAGUAUCGGUCUCGUAGUAGACCACCUUCCUCAUCUUCUUUUUCUUGUCGCCACUCCGAUGUGACUUGUGGGAAGAGGCUUUCUUCUCCUUCCCUUUCCCCUUUUUGCGGGACUCUUCCGAUGAAGCCUUCCCGUGGCUUGUAGUGGGCUUGUCGCCGGUCUCCAUCUCCUUCUUGGCGUGUUCUCCCGACAUCACUUCGAGCGGUUAGGCUCUAAUGAAGCACCGGGCUCCGAUACCAAUUGAAAGUCGCCUAGAGGGGGUGAAUAGGGCGAAACUGAAAUUCACAAAAUUAAUCACAACUACAAGCCGGGUUAGCGUUAGAAAUAGAAACGAGUCCGAGAGAGAGGGCGUAAAACAAAUCGCAAGCGAAUAAAGAGUGUGACACACGGAUUUGUUUUACCGAGGUUCGGUUCUUGCAAACCUACUCCCCGUUGAGGUGGUCACAAAGACCGGGUCUCUUUCAACCCUUUCCCUCUCUCAAACCGUCCCUCGGACCGAGUGAGCUUCUCUUCUCAAUCACUUGGAACACAAAGUUCCCACAAGGAUCACCACACGAUUGGUGCCUCUUGCCUCAAUUACAAGUGAGUUUGAUCUCAAGAAAGAAUGAGAAAGAAAGCAAUCCAAGCGCAAGAGCUCAAAAGAACACAACAAAUCUCUCUCACUUAACACUAAAGCUUUUGUGGAAUUGGGAGAGGAUUUGAUCACUUGGGUGUAUUGAAAGGGAAUUAGGCUUACACCUAGUUCCUAAAUAAUUUUGGUGGUUGAAUUGCCCAACACAAAUAAUUGGACUAACUAGUUUGCUCUAAGUGUAUAAGUUAUACAGGUGUAAAAGGUUCACACUUAGCCAAUAAAAAGAUCAAAUAUUGGAUUCAACAAAGGAGCAAAGGGACAACCGAAGGCACCUCUGGUCUGGGGCACCGGACUGUCCGGUGUACCACCGGACAGUGUCCGGUGCACCAGAGGACUCCAACUUAAACUUGCCACCUUCGGGAAUUUCCAGAGGCACUCCGCUAUAAUUCACCGGACUGUCCGGUGUACACCGGACAGUGUCCGGUGCUCCAAGGAAGAGCGGCCUCCGGAACUCGCCAGCCUCGGGAAAACGCAGCGGCUGCUCCGCUAUAAUUCACCGGACAUGUCCGGUGAACCAGCAGAGCAACGGCUACUUCGAGCCAACGGUCACCUGCAGGCGCAUUCAAUGCGCGCCAGAAGCGCGCAGAAGUCAGGCACGCCCAUACUGGCGCACCGGACAUUGAACAGUACAUGUCCGGUGUGCACCGGACAUCCAGGCGGGCCCAGAAGACAGAAGCUCCAACGGUCGAAAUCCAACGGCAUUGGUGACGUGGCUGGCGCACCGGACAUGUCCGGUGUACAUCGGACUGUCCGGUGCACCAUACGACAGACAGCCUCCACCAACGGUCAUGUUUGGUGGUUGGGGCUAUAAAUACCCCAACCACCCCACCAUUCAUUGCAUCCAAGUUCUCCAUCUUCCAACCACUAUACAAGAGCUAGCAUUCAUUGCAAAGCACACCAAAAGAGAUCAAAUCCUCUCCCAACUCCACACAAAGCAUUAGUGACUAGAGAGAGUGAUUUGUAGUGUUCAUUUGAGCUCUUGCGCUUGGAUCGCUUCUUUUCCUUGGCAUUCUUUCUUGUGAUCAAACACUCACUUGUAAUUGAGGCAAGAGACACCAAUUGUGUGGUGGUCCUUGCGGGAAGUUUGAUUCCCAAGUGAUUUGAGAAGAGAAGCUCACUCGGUCCGAGGGACCGUUUGAGAGAGGGAAAGUGUUGAAAAAGACCCGGCCUUUGUGGCCUCCUCAACGGGGAGUAGGUUUGCGAGAACCGAACCUCGGUAAAACAAAUCCUUGUGUCUCACCGCUUUACUCGCUUGCGAUUUGUUUUACACCCUCUCGCGGACUCGGUUUUAUUUCUAACGCUAACCCAGCUUGUAGUUGUGUUUAUAUUUGUAAAUUUCAGUUUCGCCCUAUUCACCUCCCCUCUAGGCGACUAUCAAUUGGUAUCAAAGUCUGGUGCUUCAUUAGAGCCUAACCGCUCGAAGUGAUGUCGGGAGAUCACGCCAAGAAGGAGAUGGAGACCGGCGAAAAGCCCACUACAAGCCACGGGAGCACUUCAUCGGAAGAGUCCCGCACCAAGAGGAAGGAAAAGAAAGACUCCUCCAAAGGGAAGGAGAAGAAGAAGGACUCCUCCAAAGGGAAGGAGAAGAAAUCUUCUUCACACAAAGAGAAGGAGAAGUCUUCCUCCCACUAGCCGCAACGGAGUGGGGACAAGAAAAAGAAGAUGAGGAAAGUGGUCUACUACGAGACCGACUCUUCAUCAACAUCCACCUCCGGCUCCGACGCGGCUUCCGUCACUUCUAAGCGCCAAGAGCGCAAGAAGUAUAGUAAGAUCCCCCUACGCUAUCCUCACAUUUCUAGACAUACACCUUUACUUUCCGUCCCAUUAGGAAAACCACCAACAUUUGAUGGUGAAGAUUACGCUAGGUGGAGUGAUUUAAUGCGAUUUCAUCUAACCUCACUCCACAAAAGUAUAUGGGAUGUUGUUGAGUUUGGUGCACAGGUACCAUCCGUAGGGGAUAAAGAUUAUGAUGAGGACGAGGUUGCCCAAAUCGAGCACUUCAACUCUCAAGCAACAACAAUACUCCUCGCUUCUCUAAGUAGAGAGGAGUAUAACAAAGUGCAAGGGUUGAAGAGCGCCAAGGAGGUUUGGGAUGUGCUCAAAACCGCACACGAAGGAGAUGAGCUCACAAAGAUCACCAAGCGGGAGACGAUCGAGGGGGAGCUCGGUCGGUUCCGGCUUCGCAAAGGGGAGGAGCCACAAAACAUGUACAACCGGCUCAAAACUUUUGUGAAUCAAGUGCGCAACCUCGGGAGCAAGAAAUGGGAUGACCACGAAAUGGUUAAGGUUAUUUUAAGAUCACUUAUUUUUCUUAACCCUACUCAAGUUCAAUUAAUUCGUGGCAAUCCUAGAUAUACACUAAUGACUCCCGAGGAAGUGAUCGGGAAUUUUGUAAGUUUUGAGUGCAUGAUCGAAGGCUCGAGGAAGAUCAACGAGCUUGAUGAUCCCUCCACGUCCAAAGCUCAACCGGUUGCAUUCAAGGCAACGGAGGAGAAGAAGGAGGAGUCUACACCAAGUAGGCAACCAAUCGACGCCUCCAAGCUCGACAAUGAGGAAAUGGCGCUCGUCAUCAAGACCUUCCGCCAAAUCCUCAAACAAAGGAGGGGGAAAGACUACAAGCCCCGCUCCAAGAAGGUUUGCUACAAAUGUGGUUGUAAGUGCAAUCAACCCUAAUUGAGGGUUUUGGUGAUUAAUGACAAAACAAACUAAGAUUCUAACAAGUUUGCUUCUAGUAUGUACACAGUAUUUCUACAUACAGGAGAAGCACAGAUCUUACGAGCAUAAAAGUAUAAAGCACAGCGGAUUUAAAAUUCCACAUCAAAUGGCGUGCUCCAAGUGCUAAGAAACAACGGCGGUGCUAAAUUUAUAAUUCUUGAGUCAUAGGAAUCGCCGUACAAUUAAGAGGGAUCCGCGACGGUUAAGUAAGAUGUGAAACGAGCCAAGUUCAAAAUCUUUUGAAAACUCCUUGGAGAUCAUUUUCCCAGAUCAUGAAUGCCCUUAAGAAAAACAAAUUUUACUUCCCACAAAGUCUCCCCUUUUGUUCUCUUCAAAAUUCUCAAAGUUUGGUUUCAGCCCCCAAAAACCGGUUCAACCGGUCCUGAAACCGGUUCAACCGGUUUCGGUACUGUUCACCCUGCCACCUCUGCUCUGACCUGUCUGACAGUCAGAGCUGGCAGAAAAGUCGCAGCAGAUAUUUUUCAGAAACCGGUUGAGCCGAAUUUUGUCCCUACUCAGCCGGUUUUGAAACCGGUCGAGUGUCCGGCUGAGUAGCCCAGUGGACCGGGAUCCCCCUGGUAGAAACCGGUUCAACCGGUUUGAAAACCGGUUCAACCGGUUUUUGCCCAUUUUCUCCCAACGGCUGCCAGCUUUUGGGGGAUCCUUUAUAUACCCCCUCACACUCUCUCUCUCAUUUACUCCGGCCUCUCCCACGAAUCUUUGGCUGACCAACCUUCAAACAAGAGCAUUCACUUCACCUUUCACACCCGCAAUCGCAUCUCCUUCAAUCAUUUGAAGGACCCUUGGUGUGAGGUGAACUCGAUCGAACUCGCUGUCAAUUUCAUCUCGAUUCUUCCAUUCUCUUGUUCUUGAGCUCGUUGCAAACUUAACCGUGUGCGGAUUUGUUACUCUUGGAACCUCGUGUUCCUUGACGGUUAGAGGUUGCUUGGGAGUCUCCAAAUUUGCGGACGACCCCAAGAAGUUUGUAUCACCCGCUCCUUGAGCAGAUUUGAGAAGAGAUUGCCUUGACCUUUGUGGUCGGCUUGUGGAGGAUUAGGGUUGGAAAAGACCCGGCCCUUUGUGGGUUCCUCAACGAGGAGUAGGACACUUUUGUGGUGGUUGCCGAACCUCGGGUUAUAUCGCGUGUUCUUGUGUGUUCUUGUCAAGCGCUUUAUACUCUGUGGUUGGUUCAUAUUAUUCAUUUAAGUAGUCUUUGUGUAGGGCAAAUCUUUAGCUAUAUUCUUCACUACUUCGCAUUUGUUCAAUAGAUUAUCAAAUUUAAGUUGAGCGGGUUCAAACUUGUUCAGUUGUGAUUAAAAUCGACUGAACCGGUUUGCACCUGUGCAACUUUAAUUUAACCUAUUUCGAAGUUUUUAGUGAAAAUUUUCAGGUGUAGCCUAUUCACCCCCCCCCCCUCUAGGCUACUUUCAAUUGGUAUCAAAGCUUCGUGCCUCGUUUUACACUUAACCGUGUGAGGAAACGAUCAUGUCUACACAACGGGACCAUGUGGAUCCUCUCCUCGAGGAAAUCUCCGUCACAUCUUCCGGUGAGGAAGUGGACCCCAAGGUCCUCGACCUCGCCAUGAAGAUUGCCGAGAGAAUGUUCCUCAAAAUGAAAGAAGAAGAAUCAAGAAGAAAGGCCGAAGAAGAUAAAGGUAAGGGAACAUUUGAUUAUAAUGACGAUCUAGUGGACCUUUUGGUGUCUAAGGUAUUGAGCAAGGUAAGUCUCAACACCGAAGGAUCAUCUACCAAAAGCAAAGGUAAUGACUUUAGCAAAGUUCAAUUCGAUUACUCUAGAAAUUAUAUUCCCAACUUCUCUUCCGCCCCACUUGGAAAGUUACCAACUCUUAGUGAGUUGAACUAUGAUGAGUGGGCCGACAAGAUGAAGUCGCAUUUAAUCGGUGUGCAUCCUAGUCUUUGGGAGAUUGUUAAUGUAGGUAUGUAUAAGCCCGCCCAAGGAGAAGAGAUGACUCCGGAAAUGAUGCAAGAGGUUCAUCGAAAUGCUCAAGCAGUGAGCAUAAUUAAAGGAAGUCUUUGUCCGGAAGAAUACCGGAAAGUUCAAGGAAGAGAAGAUGCCCGUGACAUUUGGAAUAUUCUUAAAAUGUCACAUGAAGGAGAUCCCAAAGCUAAAAGACAUAGAGUUGAAGCUUUGGAAAGUGAGCUUGCAAGAUAUGAUUGGACAAAGGGUGAGUCGCUCCAAUCACUCUUUGAUCGGUUGAUGGUGUUGGUCAACAAAAUAAGAGUUCUUGGGAGUGAAGAUUGGAGUGACUCCAAGGUCACAAGAUUGUUCAUGAGAGCUUAUAAAGAGAAGGACAAAAGUCUUGCAAGGAUGAUAAGGGAUCGUGAUGACUAUGAGGAUAUGACGCCUCAUCAAUUAUUUGCAAAAAUUCAACAACACGAGUCCGAAGAAGCCCCCAUCAAGACAAAAGACUCUCAUGCCUUGAUCACAAAUGAACAAGACAACCUCAAGAAGAACAAAGACCACAAAGCAAAGAAAGUGGUCGAGACCUCAAGUGAUGAAGAUAGCUCAAGUGAUGAAGACACAGCUAUGUUCAUCAAAACAUUCAAGAAAUUUGUAAGGAAGAAUGACAAGUUCCAAAGGAAAGGAAAGAAGAGGGCGUGCUAUGAAUGUGGCCAAACCGGUCAUUUCAUAGCGGAUUGUCCUAACAAGAAGGAACAAUAAGCUAAGAAGGAAUACAAGAAGGACAAGUAUAAAAAGGGAGGCAAGACCAAGGGAUACUUCAAGAAGAAGAAGUAUGGUCAAGCUCAUAUUGGUGAAGAAUGGAACUCCGAUGAAGAGAGUUCUAGCUCCGAGGAAGAGGAAGUGGUGGCAAAUGUGGCCAUCCAAUCUACAUCAAGCGCGCAACUCUUCACCAACCUUCAAGACGACUCCUACACUCCAACUUGCCUCAUGGCAAAGGGAGAUAAGGUAACUUUAUUUAGUAAUGAUUUUUCAAAUGAUGAUGAUGAUGAUCAAAUUGCCAUGAAAAAUAAAAUGAUUAAAGAAUUUGGCUUAAAUGGAUACAAUGUUAUCACAAAAUUAAUGGAAAAGCUAGAUAAAAGAAAAGCAACUCUUGAUGCUCAAGAAGACUUGCUUAUCCUUGAAAAGGAAAGAAACCUAGAGCUUCAAGAGUUGAUUCACAAUAAAGAUAAAGAAGUAAUUAACAUGAAAACCUCUAUUGAUAAUCUUGCAAAUGAAAAGAAUGCACUUGAAUCAAGCAUGUUAAGCUUGAAUGUUCAAAAUCAAGAACUUCAAGUGCAACUUGAAAAUUGCAAGAACAUCAAUGCCCCCUCUUUAAUAUUUGAAUCUAAGUCUAGCUCUAAUGAUGAUUCUUGCAAGCAUUGUGCCAAAUAUCAUGCUUCUUGUUGUCUAACUAACCAUGCAAGGAAGCAUAGCCCACAGGUGAAGGUCAAAGAAAUUUUGAAAAGAUGCUCUAGCAAUGAUGGGUUAAAGAAAGUUGAACCCAAGUACAAGUCUCUUAAGCCCAACAAUGGAAGAAGGGGGCUUGGGUUCAACUCAUCCAAGGAAAACCCUAGCACAGUGCAUAAGGGGUGGAGAUCCCCCAAGUUCAUAGAGGGAACCACUCUAUAUGAUGCCUUGGGGAGGAUCCACUCCUCAAAUGACAAGUCAUCUCAGGUAAAGGUUAACUUGAGUUCCACAAAGAGUAAGAUGAAGGAAGUGGGAUCCUCAAGUGGACAAAAAUCUAAUGCUCCCAUUGCCCACUCAUAUCUUUGUGAUUAUAUGUUGACUUGGGAUUCAGGGAAAUUGGUUGUGAAAUAUGUGGGUGCCUACACUAAACGAAAAGUCAUGAAAAGAAGUGUGUGGGUACCCAAGGCUAUAACUAACACUGUAGGACCCAAUUCAAUUUGGGUACCUAAAAGCAUAGCCUAAACUUGUUUUGCAGGUCUACUCCUCUGGUGGGUCAAGUUGGGUGCUUGACAGUGGAUGUACAAAUCACAUGACCGGGGAGAAAGACAUGUUUCAUACAUUGCAACUAACUCAAGAAGCACAAGAAAUUGUCUUUGGAGAUAGUGGCAAGAGUAAGGUGAUUGGUAUUGGUAAAAUUCCUAUCUCUGACCAACAAUCACUUUCAAAUGUUUUAUUAGUAGAUUCCUUAAGCUAUAAUUUGUUGUCUGUUUCACAACUUUGUGGAAUGGGUUAUAAUUGCUUAUUUUCGGAUGUGGAUGUGAAGAUCCUUAGAAGGGAGGACUCCUCAGUUGCCUUUACCGGUCGCUUGAAGGGCAAGCUUUAUCUUGUUGAUUUCACAACAAGUAAAGUGACGCCUGAGACUUGUUUAGUGGCAAAAUCCGACAAGGGUUGGCUAUGGCAUCGCUGGCUAGCCCAUGUCGGUAUGAGGAAUUUGGCCAAACUUCAAAAGGAUAAUCACAUCAUUGGACUAACAAAUGUUGUAUUUGAGAAAGAUAGGGUUUGUGGCGCAUGCCAAGCAGGAAAGCAACAUGGAGUCCCACAUCAAUCAAAGAAUGUGGUCACAACAAAGAGGCCAUUGGAGCUUCUUCACAUGGACCUCUUCGGACCUGUGGCCUACAUUAGCAUUGGUGGUUGUAAGUAUGGUUUAGUUAUUGUUGAUGAUUUUUCUCGAUUCACCUGGGUUUUCUUUUUGAGUGACAAAGGUGAAACUCAAGAAAUUUUAAAGAAAUUCAUGAGGAGAGCUCAAAAUGAAUUUGAGCUCAAAAUCAAGAAAGUGAGAAGCGAUAAUGGGACAGAAUUCAAGAACACAGGUGUCGAAGAAUUCUUAGGAGAAGAGGGAAUCAAACAUGAGUUCUCGGUGCCUUACACUCCACAACAAAAUGGUGUUGUGGAAAGAAAGAACCGAACUCUAAUUGAAGCUGCAAGAACCAUGUUGGAUGAAUACAAGACACCUGACAACUUCUGGGCAGAGGUGGUCAACACCGCCUGUCAUGCAAUCAACCGUCUCUAUCUUCAUAAGAUCUACAAAAAGACUGCUUAUGAGCUUCUCACUGGUAACAAACCUAAAGUUGAUUAUUUUAGAGUAUUUGGUUGUAAAUGUUUUAUUCUUAACAAGAAAGUCAAGAGCUCAAAGUUUGCUCCUAGAGUGGACGAGGGCUUCUUGCUUGGUUAUGCAUCAAAUGCGCAUGGAUAUCGUGUUUUCAACAAUACCACCGGUCUUGUUGAAAUAGCGAUAGACAUGACAUUUGAUGAGUCUAAUGGCUCGCAAGGGCAUGUUUCUAAUGACACUGCAAGAAAUGAAGAACUACCUUGUGAGGCCAUAAAGAAACUUGCAAUAGGUGAGGUGAGACCUCAAGAAAGGGAUGAUGAAGAAGGAAUCUUAUGGAUGACCAAUGAGGUAGUUGAUGUGGGUGCAAGGGUGGUGAGUGACAAAGUCUCCACCCAAGCAAACCCAUCAACCUCAAGUCAUCCAAGCCACGAAGAAAAUCAUCAAAGGAUGCCAACAGUGGUAGAAGAUGAACAAGAAAGUAUUGAUGGUGAAGUGCCUCUUGAUCAAGUAAUUGAUGAGGAGGAGCAAAUACAAAGACAUCCAUCAGUGCCUCAUCCUAGAGUCCAUCAAACAAUUCAAAGGGAUCAUCCAGUGGACAACAUCCUGGGUAGCAUCAGGAGAGGGGUAACAACUCGAUCUCGUUUAGCUAAUUUUUGUGAAUUUUACUCAUUUGUUUCCUCUCUUGAGCCACUUAAGGUUGAAGAAGCAUUGGGUGAUCCGGAUUGGAUAAUUGCCAUGCAAGAGGAGUUGAACAACUUCACUAGGAAUGAAGUCUGGUCCUUAGUCCAAAGACCCAAACAAAAUGUGAUUGGGACUAAAUGGGUCUUUAGGAACAAGCAAGAUGAAAAUGGCGUUGUUACAAGAAACAAGGCACGGUUGGUUGCCCAAGGCUAUACUCAAGUGGAAGGACUUGAUUUUGGUGAAACAUAUGCGCCGGUAGCAAGGUUAGAAUCAAUUAGAAUAUUAAUUGCCUAUGCUACUAACCAUGAUUUCAAGCUAUAUCAAAUGGAUGUCAAGAGCGCUUUUCUAAAUGGACCACUACAAGAAAGAGUAUAUGUGGAGCAACCACCGGGCUUUGAAGACCCAAAGAAGCCAAAUCAUGUUUAUCUUCUUCACAAGGCACUCUACGGGCUUAAACAAGCCCCUAGAGCUUGGUAUGACUGUCUUAAAGAUUUUUUAAUUAAGAAUGGGUUUACAAUAGGAAAAGCUGACUCUACUUUAUUUACUCGAAAAGUUGAUAAUGAAUUAUUUGUGUGCCAAAUAUAUGUUGAUGACAUUAUAUUUGGUAGUACUAAUGAAAAAUUUUGUGAAGAGUUUAGCAAAGUAAUGACGAACAGGUUUGAGAUGUCUAUGAUGGGCGAGCUUAAAUACUUCCUGGGAUUUCAAGUCAAACAACUCAAGGAAGGUACCUUUCUAUGCCAAACUAAAUAUACUCAAGAUAUGCUCAAGAAGUUUGGCAUGGAAAAAGCAAAGCACGCCAAGACUCCAAUGUCAUCAAAUGGACAUCUCGACCUAAAUGAGGAAGGUAAACCUGUAGAUCAAAAAUUAUAUAGAUCAAUGAUAGGUCACUGCUUUACUUAUGUGCAUCUAGGCCUGAUAUAAUGUUGAGUGUUUGCAUGUGUGCACGUUUUCAAGCAAAUCCUAAAGACUGCCAUCUUGUAGCCGUUAAGAGAAUUCUAAGAUACUUAGUCCACACCCAAAACCUAGGAUUAUGGUAUCCUAAAGGCUCCCUUUUCGAUUUGCUUGGCUACUCUGACUCAGAUUAUGCCGGUUGCAAAGUAGAUCGAAAAAGCACUACUGGGACUUGCCAAUUCCUUGGGCGGUCCUUAGUGUCAUGGAGUUCCAAGAAACAAAAUUAUGUUGCACUUUCCACUGCAGAAGCUGAAUACAUAGCAGCUGGGGCAUGUUGUGCACAGUUGUUAUGGAUGAAGCAAACCCUUAGAGAUUUUGGUUGUGAGUUUAACAAAAUUCCACUUUUGUGUGACAAUGAGAGUGCCAUAAAACUUGCAAACAAUCCGGUGCAACACUCUAGAACUAAACAUAUUGACAUCAGACACCAUUUCUUGAGAGACCAUGAAGCCAAAGGAGAUAUCGAACUAUUUCAUGUGAGCACCGAAAAUCAACUAGCCGAUAUCUUCACAAAACCCCUUGAUGAGACUAGGUUUUGUUUUCUUAGGAGUGAGCUAAAUAUCUUGGAUUCUCGAAACGUGGCUUAAUAACUAAAAUUUUGAUCAAACUUGACGGUUGAAAAUUGAUUGUUUGAGCUAUAUGAAAUGAGAAAUAUCAUUUUUAUCUUUAAAAUAUUUCAUGUCAUAUUUGCUAAGUGGUAUUACAGCCCUUCCGGGCAAUAUUUAAAAUCUGGUUGAGUAAACCGGCUGAGUAGACCACUCAACCGGUUUCUCCCUGGUGGAAACCGGUUGAACCAGUAUAAAAACCGGUUGAACCGGUUUUGGCCGUCGCGCCGUCAGUCAGCGCGCAGUCUGCGCUGACAGCUGCGCAGUCUGCGCUGUCAGUUUUGCAGUCUGUGCUGUCAGACUGCCAGGAUUUCCGUGCAGUCAACACCGUUUUCUGCGCGCUUUUACUGCGCCGUUUGACCCGAAACCGGUUGAACCGGUUUUGGAACCGGUUGAACCGGUUUUCGGUUUUCUGGCGGCCGACUCCUCCCCUUUUUAUGUCUCUCCCUCUCUCCUCUUCCCUUCUCAGACUCUUUUCCAGCCGCCGCCGCUCUCUCAUUCCUCUCUCACACCUUCACACUCCUCUCCAAAAACUCUCUCGAGCCCUCACUCUUUUGGAAGAGUGGUUGGAGAUCCGUUCUUCCCGGCGUGUUUCCACCAUCUUCCUCCAUCUCGUUGGGAGUUCUUGACCCAAUCUUCGGAUCGAGGUAUUGCCCUAUGUUAUUUCCUUGUACUCGAUCCUACGCGUUCUUGAUUAUCAUAUGUAUCAUUCGUUGGGUACAUUUUAGUUUAAGUGAUUGCAACACUUAGAUUAUCUUCAUUUUGUCACAAACAUUGUUAGAGAUUAGCGAUUUGAUAUUGUUCGUUGCAGUUGAACCGCUCAUACGAACGGUUGAAGUGCAUGCUCAAUAUCUUAUGCGUUUCUACUCAAACGUGUUUGAUCCUUGCUCAUCAUAGGUUCUAUUUCUUAUUUUUUAGAAUGGUGCGUCGAAGGAACCCGUCGGUGGUCGAAUCCGACUCCUCGGAUGACCAGGAAAUCCACGGAGAUACUCCACCUCGCUCUCGAUCCAAGCGAGGGCGCGGAAGCGGCAAUGUCAUGCCGGGUGCUGAGGCCUCCGGGUCUCAAAGUGCUCGCGGUCGGACUUCCCGGAAUCCUUCCGGUCGGUCUCGACCUGCGACGAAUCCGCAGGCGUGGGAGCCUGCAAGUGAUGAUGAUGGCGGGAAGGACGAUGAAGUUGAUCUUCCCCCGGCCCACGCUCAUGUGAUUCGCGGCUUGGUCCUCCACCGGGCAGAGGCUCGGCGUGCUGGCAAUGAGCCAGUCACUGACUUCACUGCCAGUGGAGGGUCUGCUCUUCUCCAGGAUCUUCGUUUCCAAAAUCCUGUAUUGCGUAUUCGCGAUGCCAGGAUCGAUGGAAAUCGCUUUUGGACUCUUCACCACGUGGAUUUCUAUAAUUCCGUCAUUCUUCCCAAGAAGCAUCAACCCAUCCUACAUCAACGAUAUAUUAACUGGGAAGGUUGUGAAGCGAUUGGGGACCCAGAAAUGUCACAGGCACUGAGGGCCUGUGAAAGGAAACAAAUGAAGAAUAUCAUGACAUUCCAAUAUGAUUGGAAUGAUGAAGUGAUUGCUCAAUUCUACUCCACUCUCUGGAUAAAGCUUGCUGACGAGGAGAGUCAUUACAACUACCCCUAUCUGAACUUCUUCAUUGAAGGUAGUUGGUACAAGGUGAGCUAUCGUCGAUUUGCUCACAUUCUCGGCUUUUCUGACGAUGAUAUAUCUGGAGACAAGAUCAAGAUUCAUGAUUUCCGGCAGCCCACAAGAGAUGAAGCCAAGGAUCUUCAUCUUUCUGAGUCUGGAAAGUAUUGGGAGUCGACCAACAUUCAUAAGUAUUAUCGUUAUAUCAACUCCCUCUGCAGGAUGACCCUCAUUCCAAAAGGGGGAAAUCAGAUGAACAUCCUUGGGGAGAGCAAGGUCUUGCUCUCUUUUAUGAAACCCAACAGCUCAGAAAGGAUUAAUGUCUUUGACAUGAUAUGGCAGGAAAUUAUUCAUGCAGCCUGCUUUCCUUUGAAGGGGUGUCUUCAUGCUCCAUUCAUUAUGAAGAUGAUUGAGGUCGUGACCCAGUUCAGAUUUGACAAAGGUACCCGACAUCAGUCAUACACCCCUUUCUGGAUUGAUCCCAACAAUCCAGCUGGGCGCCUCAGGAAAGCCCCCUCCAGUUCUCGUGGUCAUACAUCUGCGGGUCCGUCUGCUGGUGCUGGUGCUGGUGCUGGUGCUGGUGCUGCUGCUGCUGGUGCCUCGCGCCCUUCCCCUGGCCGCGGAUCUCCCACACCACGUGGUCGUGGUCGUGGUCGAGGUCGUGGCCGUGGGAUGGGUGCCCGCUUGGCCCACGGGUUUGCGACUUUCUUCUCCAUGUGCCGAAAUAUUGCUGCAGAUGUCCAUGAGGUGGCUCGACGUCAGCGGGAGACCAACGACAACCUACGUCGUCAAGCUUCCGCUUUGGGUACUCCCUUCGCCCCUCGCUCUCCUGAUGUACCUCUUCACCCUCCUCCUCCAGAUGUCAACGAGUGGUACCAGCAGGCAUAUGGGGUACCUUUUUCAACAGCUGAUGACGUCGAAGAAGAAGAAACUUAUUUUGAUGAUCCGGAGCAGUUUGUCCCGCCCCCAUAUCACGGGGAUCCGGGCCAAUCGUCCUCUUAUCCUCCGCCCCAGGACCCGUCUGGCAGUGCUCCUCCUCCGGCCCAGUCUGGAGAGGAACACUUUGCCUCCGACCUGGCGCAACACCUCUUCGCUCCUCAUCAUCCUCCUCCCCACUGGUGAUCAUUGGAUCGGCGCUUUUCUCUCUCUUUUUGGUUCUUGUUGCCAAAAAGGGGGAGAAAGUUUAUUCAGUACUCCUUUAUUUUUGUAAUGAACACUUGGUCUGUAAUAACUAUUUGAUGCAUGCAUGGCUUGAAUGCCAUAAACACUUUUAUGAUGUGAUCAGACGAGCUCUCAUUAUUGUAAUAGCUGUAGAACUUUUUUAUAUCAUAUGCUAUGCAAUAAUGAGCUUGAAUGUGCUUUUACUCUUUAUAUCCAAUUAUGUUUCAUACCUCAUCACUUUUGUAUAUGGUGUUGAUUGUUCUCUCUCUCUAAAUAUGUUGCAAAUUGACAUAUCAAGUCAAUGUUAAUAUCGCAAAACUCAUGCACAUAUUUAGGGGGAGCUACACAUACACAAAAGAUUUUAUAUCGCAAGUACUUGUAACUUUUAAUUCUUAUUUCCAUUCUAGUUUGUUUUGGCAUCAAUCACCAAAAAGGGGGAGAUUGUAAGUGCAAUCAACCCUAAUUGAGGGUUUUGGUCAUUAAUGACAAAACAAACUAAGAUUCUAACAAGUUUGCUUCUAGUAUGUACACAGUAUUUCUACAGACAGGAGAAGCACAGAUCUUACGAGCAUAAAAGUAUAAAGCACAACGGAUUUAAAAUUCCACAUCAAAUGGCGUGCUCCAAGUGCUAAGAAACAACGGCGGUGCUAAAUUUAUAAUUCUUGAGUCAUAGGAAUCGCCGUACAAUUAAGAGGGAUCCGCGACGGUUAAGUAAGAUGUGAAACGAGCCAAGUUCAAAAUCUUUUGAAAACUCCUUGGAGAUCAUUUUCCCAGAUCAUGAAUGCCCUUGAGAAAAACAAAUUUUACUUCCCACAAAGUCUCCCCUUUUGUUCUCUUCAAAAUUCUCAAAGUUUGGUUUCAGCCCCCAAAAACCGGUUCAACCGGUCCUGAAACCGGUUCAACCGGUUUCGGUACUAUUCACCCUGCCACCUCUGCUCUGACCUGUUUGACAGUCAUAGCUGGCAGAAAAGUCGCAGCAGAUAUUUUUCAGAAACCGGUUGAGCCGAAUUUUGUCCCUACUCAGCCGGUUUUGAAACCGGUCGAGUGUCCGGCUGAGUAGCCCAGUGGACCGGGAUCCCCCUGGUAGAAACCGGUUCAACCGGUUUGAAAACCGGUUCAACCGGUUUUUGCCCAUUUUCUCCCAACGGCUGCCAGCUUUUGGGGGAUCCUUUAUAUACCCCCUCACACUCUCUCUCUCAUUUACUCCGGCCUCUCCCACGAAUCUUUGGCUGACCAACCUUCAAACAAGAGCAUUCACUUCACCUUUCACACCCGCAAUCGCAUCUCCUUCAAUCAUUUGAAGGACCCUUGGUGUGAGGUGAACUCGAUCGAACUCGCUGUCAAUUUCAUCUCGAUUCUUCCAUUCUCUUGUUCUUGAGCUCGUUGCAAACUUAACCGUGUGCGGAUUUGUUACUCUUGGAACCUUGUGUUCCUUGACGGUUAGAGGUUGCUUGGGAGUCUCCAAAUUUGUGGACGACCCCAAGAAGUUUGUAUCACCCGCUCCUUGAGCAGAUUUGAGAAGAGAUUGCCUUGACCUUUGUGGUCGGCUUGUGGAGGAUUAGGGUUGGAAAAGACCCGGCCCUUUGUGGGUUCCUCAACGAGGAGUAGGACACUUUUGUGGUGGUUGCCGAACCUCGGGUUAUAUCGCGUGUUCUUGUGUGUUCUUGUCAAGCGCUUUAUACUCUGUGGUUGGUUCAUAUUAUUCAUUUAAGUAGUCUUUGUGUAGGGCAAAUCUUUAGCUAUAUUCUUCACUACUUCGCAUUUGUUCAAUAGAUUAUCAAAUUUAAGUUGAGCGGGUUCAAACUUGUUCAGUUGUGAUUAAAAUCGACUGAACCGGUUUGCACCUGUGCAACUUUAAUUUAACCUAUUUCGAAGUUUUUAGUGAAAAUUUUCAGGUGUAGCCUAUUCACCCCCCCUCUAGGCUACUUUCAGUGGUAAGCCCGGUCAUUUUAUUGCUAAAUGUCCUAUAUCUAGUGACAGUGACCAGGGCAACGACAAGAAAGGGAGAAGAAAGGAGAAGAAGAAAUACUUCAAGAAGAGGGGCGGCGAUGCCCAUGUUUGUCAGGAGUGGGAUUCCGACGAAAGCUCUAGCGACUCCUCCGACGACGAGGACGCCGCCAACAUCGCCGUCACCAAGGGACUUCUCUUUCCCAACGUCGGCCACAAGUGCCUAAUGGCAAAGGACGGCAAAAAGAAGAAGGUUAAAUCUAAAUCCUCCACUAGAUAUGAAUCAUCUAGUGAUGAAAAUGUUAGUGAUGAGGAAGAAAACUUGCGCACUCUUUUUGCCAACCUCAACAUGCAACAAAAAGAGAAACUUAAUGAAUUGAUUAGUGCCAUUCAUGAAAAGGAUGAUCUCUUGGACACCCAAGAGGACUUCCUUAUUAAAGAAAAUAAGAAGCAUGUUAAAGUUAAAAAUGCUUAUGCUCUAGAAGUAGAAAAAUGUGAAAAAUUGUCUAGUGAGCUAAGCACUUGCCAUGAGACUAUAGACAACCUUAGAAAUGAGAAUUCUAAUUUAUUAGCUAAGGUUGAUUCUAUUGCUUGUAAUGUUUCAGUUCCCAAUCUUAGAAAUGAUAAUGAUGAUAUGCUUGCUAAGAUUGAAGAAUUGAACUUAUCUCUUGUUAGCCUUAGGAAUGAAAAUGAGAAAUUAAUAGCCAAGGCUAAAGAUUUUGAUGUUUGCAAUGGUACCAUUUCCGACCUUAGAACUAAGAAUGAUAUAUUGCAUGCUAAGGUUGUAGAAUUAAAAUCUUGCAAACCCUCUACAUCUACCGUUGAGCACACUUCUAUUUGCACUAGAUGUAGAGAUAUUGAUGUUAAUGCUAUUCAUGAUCACAUGACUUUAAUUAAACAACAAAAUGAUCAUAUAGCAAAACUAGAUGCAAAAAUUGCCAAGCAUAACUUAGAAAAUGAAAAAUUUAAAUUUGCUAGAAGUAUGCUCUAUAAUGGGAGAUGCCCUGGCAUCAAGGAUGGCAUUGGCUUCCAAAGGGGAGACAAUGUCAAACUUAAUGCCCCUCCUAAAAGAUUGUUAGGGCAAGGCUCCCAUGCCUCAGGAUAACGAGGGUUAUAUUUUAUACCCUGCCGGUUAUCCCGAGAGCAAGAUUAGGAGAAUUCACUCUAGGAAGUCUCACUCUGGUCCUAACCAUGCCUUUAUGUAUAAGGGUGAGACAUCUAGCUCUAGGCAACCAACCCGUGCUAAGUUGCCUAAGAAAAGAACUCCUAAUGCAUCAAAUGAUCAUGACAUUUCAUUCAAAACUUUUGAUGCAUCAUAUGUGUUGACUAACAAAUCCGGCAAAGUAGUUGCCAAAUAUGUUGGGGGCAAGCACAAGGGGUCAAAGACUUGUGUUUGGGUACCCAAAGUUCUUGUGUCUAAUGCCAAAGGACCCAAAACCAUUUGGGUACCUAAAGUCAAGAACUAAACUUGUUUUGUAGGUUUAUGCAUCCGGGGGCUCAAGUUGGAUACUCGGCAGCGGGUGCACAAACCAUAUGACAGGGGAGAAGAAGAUGUUCUCCUCCUACGAGAAAAACCAAGAUCCCCAACGAGCUAUCACAUUCGGUGAUGGAAAUCAAGGUUUGGUCAAAGGUCUUGGUAAAAUAGCUAUAUCUCCUGACCAUUCUAUUUCCAAUGUUUUUCUUGUAGACUCAUUAGAUUACAAUUUGCUUUCUGUUUCUCAAUUAUGCAAAAUGGGCUACAACUGCUUAUUCACUGAUGUAGGUGUCACUGUCUUUAGAAGAAGUGAUGAUUCAAUAGCAUUUAAGGGAGUGUUAGAGGGUCAGCUAUACUUGGUAGAUUUUGAUAGAGCUGAACUCGACACUUGCUUAAUUGUUAAGACUAACAUGGGCUGGCUCUGGCAUCGCCGACUAGCACAUGUUGGGAUGAAGAAUCUUCACAAGCUUCUAAAGGGAGAACACAUUUUAGGACUAACAAAUGUUCAUUUUGAGAAAGACAGGGUUUGUAGGCAUGCCAAGCAGGAAAGCAAGUUGGUGCCCAUCAUCCACACAAGAACAUCAUGACGACCGACAGGCUGCUUGAACUACUCCACAUGGAUCUAUUCGGCCCGAUUGCUUACAUAAGCAUCGGCGGGAGUAAGUAUUGUCUUGUAAUAGUGGAUGAUUAUUCUCGCUUCACUUGGGUGUUCUUUCUGCAGGAAAAAUCUCAAACCCAAGAAAUCUUAAAGGGAUUCUUAAGACGGGCUCAAAACGAGUUUGGCUUAAGGAUCAAGAAAAUUAGAAGCGACAACGGGACGGAGUUCAAGAACUCUCAAAUCGAAGGCUUCCUUGAGGAGGAGGGCAUCAAGCAUGAGUUCUCCUCUCCCUACACGCCACAACAAAAUGGUGUAGUGGAGAGGAAGAAUCGAACUCUAUUGGACAUGGCAAGGACCAUGCUUGAUGAGUACAAGACUUCGGAUCGGUUUUGGGCUGAGGCGGUCAAUACCGCUUGCUGCGCCAUCAACCGGUUAUAUCUACACCGAAUCCUCAAGAAGACAUCUUAUGAGCUCCUAACCGGUAAAAAGCCCAACAUUUCAUAUUUUAGAGUCUUUGGUAGCAAAUGCUUUAUUCUUGUUAAAAGAGGUAGAAAAUCUAAAUUUGCUCUUAAGACUGUAGAAGGCUUUUUACUAGGAUAUGAUUCAAACACAAGGGCAUAUAGAGUCUUUACCAAGUCCACUGGACAAGUUGAAGUUUCUUGUGACGUUGUGUUUGAUGAGACUAACAGCUCUCAAGUAGAGCAAGUUGAUCUUGAUGAGAUAGGUAAUGAAGAGGCUCCAUGCAUCGCGCUUAGGAACAUGUCCAUUGGGGAUGUGUGUCCUAAGGAAUCCGAAGAGCCUCCAAAUGCACAAGAUCAACCGUCAUCCUCCACGCAAGCAUCUCCACCAACUCAAAAUGAGGAUGAAGCUCAAUUUGAUGAAGUAGAAGAUCAAGCAAAUGAGCCACCUCAAGAUGACGCAAAGAUCAAGGGGGAGAUGCAAAUGAUCAAGACAAGGAGGAUGAAGAACAACGGCCGCCACACCCAAGAGUCCACCAAGCAAUCCAACGAGAUCACCCCGUCGACACCAUCCUCGGCGACAUUCAUAAGGGGGUAACCACUAGAUCUCGAGUUGCACAUUUUUGUGAGCAUUACUCUUUUGUUUCCUCUAUUGAGCCACACAGGGUAGAAGAAGCACUCCAAGAUUCGGAUUGGGUGGUGGCGAUGCAAGAGGAGCUCAACAACUUCACUAGGAAUGAGGUAUGGCACUUAGUUCCACGUCCUAACCAAAAUGUUGUAGGAACCAAAUGGGUCUUCCGCAACAAGCAAGAUGAGCAUGGUGUGGUGACAAGGAACAAAGCCCGACUUGUGGCCAAGGGAUACUCCCAAGUCGAAGGUUUGGAUUUCGGUGAAACAUAUGCACCCGUAGCUAGGCUUGAGUCAAUUCGCAUAUUGUUGGCCUAUGCUACUUACCAUGGCUUUAAGCUCUAUCAAAUGGACGUGAAAAGUGCCUUCCUCAAUGGACCAAUCAAGGAAGAGGUCUAUGUUGAGCAACCUCCCGGCUUUGAAGAUAGUGAGUACCCUAACCAUGUUUACAAACUCUCUAAGGCGCUUUAUGGGCUCAAGCAAGCCCCAAGAGCAAGGUAUGAAUGCCUUAGAGAUUUCCUUAUUGCUAAUGGCUUCAAAGUCGGAAAGGCCGAUCCUACUCUAUUCACUAAAACUCUUGAAAAUGACUUGUUUGUAUGCCAAAUUUAUGUUGAUGAUAUUAUAUUUGGGUCUACUAACGAGUCUACAUGUGAAGAAUUUAGUAGGAUCAUGACACAAAAGUUCUAGAUGUCUAUGAUGGGGGAGUUGAAGUACUUCUUGGGAUUUCAAGUGAAGCAACUCCAAGAGGGCACCUUCAUUAGCCAAACAAAGUAUACUCAAGACAUUCUAAACAAGUUUGGGAUGAAGGAUGCCAAGCCCAUCAAGACACCCAUGGGAACUAAUGGGCAUCUCGACCUCGACACGGGAGGUAAGUCCGUGGAUCAAAAGGUAUACCGGUCGAUGAUAGGUUCUUUACUCUAUUUAUGUGCAUCUCGACCGGAUAUUAUGCUUUCCGUAUGCAUGUGUGCAAGAUUCCAAGCCGACCCUAAGGAAGCUCACCUUACGGCCGUAAAACGAAUCUUGAGAUAUUUGGCUUAUACUCCUAAGUUUGGGCUUUGGUAUCCUAGGGGAUCCACUUUUGAUUUGAUUGGUUAUUCGGAUGCCGAUUGGGCGGGGUGUAAAAUCAAUAGGAAGAGCACAUCGGGGACUUGCCAGUUCUUGGGAAGAUCCUUGGUGUCUUGGGCUUCAAAGAAGCAAAAUUCGGUCGCUCUUUCCACCGCCGAAGUCGAGUACAUUGCCGUAGGCCAUUGUUGCGCGCAAUUGCUUUGGAUGAGGCAAACCCUGCGGGACUACGGUUACAAAUUAACCAAAGUCCCUUUGCUAUGUGAUAAUGAGAGUGCAAUCAAGAUGGCGGAUAAUCCCGUCGAGCAUAGCCGCACUAAACACAUAGCCAUUCGGUAUCAUUUUCUUAGGGAUCACCAACAAAAGGGAGAUAUCGAGAUUUCUUACAUUAACACUAAAGAUCAAUUAGCCGAUAUCUUUACCAAGCCUCUUGAUGAACAAACUUUUAACAAACUUAGGCAUGAGCUCAAUAUUCUUGAUUCACGCAAUUUCUUUUGCUAAAAUUGCACACAUAGCUCUUUUAUAUACCUUUGAUCAUAUCUCUUUCAUAUGCUAUGACUAAUGUGUUUUCAAGUCUAUUUCAAACCAAGUCAUAGGUGUAUCGAAAGGGAAUUGGAGUCUUCGGCGAAGACAAAGGCUUCCACUCCGUAACUCAUCCUUCGUCGUCGCUCCGUACCACUCUCCAUCUUUGGGGGAGAGAGCAAAAGGACUUCGUCUUUGGUAUAAUCUUAACUCAUUUAUUUAUAACCAAAGGGGAAGAAAAGAACAUGAGGGCUCUAAUGAUUCCGUUUUUGGCGAUUCAUGCCAAAGGGGGAGAGAGUAUGAGCCCAAAGCAAAAGGACCGCACCACCACCAAUUUCAAAAACUUAGUUUUUCAGUUUUUCAAAGAGUAUUUUCAAUUGGUAUCCUAUUGUGUUCAAAAGGGGGAGAAAGUAGUAUUUCAAAAAUGAUACAUCAAAACCCUCUUGAACACUAAGAGGAGGAUCUCAUUUAGGGGGAGUUUUGUUUAGUCAAAGGAAAAGCAUUUGAAACAGGGGGAGAAUUUCAAAUCUUGAAAAUGCUUUUCAAAAUCUUAUUCAUUUACCUUUGACUAUUUGCAAAAGAACUUUGAAAAGGAUUCACUAAAUAGUUUGCAAAAACAAAACAUGUGGUGCAAGCAUGGUCCAAAAUGUUAAAAAUAAAGAAACGAUCCAUGCAUAUCUUGUAAGUAUUAUAUUGGCUCAAUUCCAAGCAACCUUUGCACUUACAUUAUGCAAACUAGUUCAAUUAUGCUUUUCUAUACUUGCUUUGGUUUGUGUUGGCAUCAAUCACCAAAAAGGGGGAUAUUGAAAGGGAAUUAGGCUUACACCUAGUUCCUAAAUAAUUUUGGUGGUUGAAUUGCCCAACACAAAUAAUUGGACUAACUAGUUUGCUCUAAGUGUAUAAGUUAUACAGGUGUAAAAGGUUCACACUUAGCCAAUAAAAAGAUCAAAUAUUGGAUUCAACAAAGGAGCAAAGGGACAACCGAAGGCACCUCUGGUCUGGGGCACCGGACUGUCCGGUGUACACCGGACAGUGUCCGGUGCACCAGAGGACUCCAACUUAAACUUGCCACCUUCGGGAAUUUCCAGAGGCACUCCGCUAUAAUUCACCGGACUGUCCGGUGUACACCGGACAGUGUCCGGUGCUCCAAGGAAGAGCGGCCUCCGGAACUCGCCAGCCUCGGGAAAACGCAUCGGCUGCUCCGCUAUAAUUCACCGGACAUGUCCGGUGUACACCGGACUGUCCGGUGAACCAGCAGAGCAACGGCUACUUCGAGCCAACGGUCACCUGCAGGCGCAUUCAAUGCGCGCCAGAAGCGCGCAGAAGUCAGGCACGCCCAUACUAGCGCACCGGACAUUGAACAGUACAUGUCCGGUGUGCACCGGACAUCCAGGCGGGCCCAGAAGACAGAAGCUCCAACGGUCGGAAUCCAACGGCAUUGGUGACGUGGCUGGCGCACCGGACUGUCUGGUGCACCAUACGACAGACAGCCUCCACCAACGGUCAUGUUUGGUGGUUGGGGCUAUAAAUAUCCCAACCACCCCACCAUUCAUUGCAUCCAAGUUCUCCAGCUUCCAACCACUAUACAAGAGCUAGCAUUCAUUGCAAAGCACACCAAAAGAGAUCAAAUCCUCUCCCAACUCCACACAAAGCAUUAGUGACUAGAGAGAGUGAUUUGUAGUGUUCAUUUGAGCUCUUGCGCUUGGAUCGCUUCUUUUCCUUGGCAUUCUUUCUUGUGAUCAAACACUCACUUGUAAUUGAGGCAAGAGACACCAAUUGUGUGGUGGUCCUUGCGGGAAGUUUGAUUCCCAAGUGAUUUGAGAAGAGAAGCUCACUCGGUCCGAGGGACCGUUUGAGAGAGGGAAAGGGUUGAAAAAGACCCGGCCUUUGUGGCCUCCUCAACGGGGAGUAGGUUUGCGAGAACCGAACCUUGGUAAAACAAAUCCUUGUGUCUCACCGCUUUACUCGCUUGCGAUUUGUUUUACACCCUCUCGCGGACUCGGUUUUAUUUCUAACGCUAACCCGGCUUGUAGUUGUGUUUAUAUUUGUAAAUUUCAGUUUCGCCCUAUUCACCCCCCCUCUAGGCGACUAUCAUGUAUCUAGAAUUGAAUGCUAGAGCUCUUGUAAGUGGUUGGAAGUUGGAAAACUUGGAUGACUUGAAUGUGGGGUGGUUGGGAGUAUUUAUAACCCCAACCACCAAAAUAGUCGUUUGGUGGAGGCUGUUGUCGCAUGGCGCACCGGACAGUCUGGUGCGCCACCGGACACUGUCCGGUGCGCCAGCCACGUCACCAGGCCGUUGGGUUCCGACCGUUGGAGCUCUGACGUGUGGGCCCGCCUGGCUGUCCGGUGGUGCACCGGACAAGUCCUGUAGACUGUCCGGUGUGCCACCCGCGCGUGCUCUGCUCCUCUGCGCACGCUGGCGCGCAUUUAAUGCGUUGCAGUCGACCGUUGGCGCGAAGUAGCCGUUGCUCCGCUGGCUCACCGGACAGUCCGGUGUGCACCGGACAUGUCCGGUGAAUUAUAGCGGAGCGGAUUCCCGAAGCUGGCAAGUUCAGAGUCGCUCUCCUCUGGAGCACCGGACACUGUCCGGUGAAUUAUAGCGAAGCGCCUCUGAAAAUUCCCGAAGAUGCGAAGUUUGGCUUGGAGUCCCCUGGUGCACCUUACACUGUCCGGUGGUGCACCGGACACUGUCCGGUGCGCCAGACCAGGGCAGCCUUCGGUUGUCCCUUGCUCUUUUGGUUGAACCCAUUUCUUGGUCUUUUUAUUGGCUAAGUGUGAACCUUUGGCACCUGUAUAACUUAUAGACUAGAGCAAACUAGUUAGUCCAAUUAUUUGUGUUGGGCAAUUCAACCACCAAAAUCAAUUAGGAACUAGGUGUAAGCCUAAUUCCCUUUCAAGACUAACGGCUCUCAAGUAGAGCAAGUUGAUCUUGAUGAGAUAGGUGAUGAAGAGGCUCCGUGCAUCGCGCUAAGGAACAUGUCCAUUGGGGAUGUGUGUCCUAAGGAAUCCGAAGAGCCUCCAAAUGCACAAGACCAACCAUCCUCCUCCACGCAAGCAUCUCCACCAACUCAAAAUGAGGAUGAGGCUCAAGUUGAUGAAGGAGAAGAUCAAAUAGAUGAGCCACCUCAAGAUGAUGGCAAUAAUCAAGGGGGAGAUGCAAAAGAUCAAGUCAAGGAGGAUGAAGAACCAAGACUGGCACACCCAAGAGUCCACCAAGCAAUCCAACGAGAUCACCCCGUCGACACCAUCCUCGGCGACAUUCAUAAGGGGGUAACCACUAGAUCUCGUGUUGCACAUUUCUGUGAGCAUUACUCUUUUGUUUCCUCUAUUGAGCCACACAAGGUAGAGGAAGCACUACAAGAUUCGGAUUGGGUGGUGACGAUGCAAGAGGAGCUCAACAACUUCACUAGGAACGAGGUAUGGCAUUUGGUUCCACGUCCUAAUCAAAAUGUUGUAGGAACCAAGUGGGUUUUCCGCAACAAGCAAGACGAGCAUGGUGUGGUGACAAGGAACAAAGUCCGACUUGUGGCCAAGGGAUACUCCCAAGUCGAAGGUUUGGACUUCGGUGAAACCUAUGCACCCGUAGCUAGGCUUGAGUCAAUUCGUAUAUUAUUAGCCUAUGCUACUUACCAUGGCUUCAAGCUUUACCAAAUGGACGUGAAGAGUGCCUUCCUCAAUGGACCGAUCAAGGAAGAAGUCUAUGUUGAGCAACCUCCCGGCUUUGAAGAUAGUGAGUACCCUAACCAUGUGUAUAAACUCUCUAAGGCGCUUUAUGGGCUCAAGCAAGCCCCAAGAGCAUGGUAUGAAUGUCUAAGAGAUUUUCUUAUCACUAAUGGCUUCAAAGUCGAAAAGGCUGAUCCUACUUUAUUUACUAAAACUCUUGACAAUGAUUUGUUUGUAUACCAAAUUUAUGUUGAUGAUACUAUAUUCGGGUCUACUAACGAAUCUACAUGUGAGGAAUUUAGUAGGAUCAUGACACAGAAAUUCGAGAUGUCUAUGAUGGGGGAGUUGAAGUACUUCUUAGGAUUUCAAGUGAAGCAACUCCAAGAGGGCACCUUCAUUAGCCAAACAAAGUAUAUUCAAGACAUUCUAAACAAGUUUGGAAUGAAGGAUGCCAAGCCUAUCAAGACACCCAUGGGAACCAAUGGGCAUCUCGACCUUGACACGGGAGGUAAAUCCGUCGAUCAAAAGGUAUACCGGUCGAUGAUAGGCUCUUUACUCUAUUUAUGCGCAUCUCGACCGGACAUUAUGCUUUCCGUAUGCAUGUGUGCAAGAUUCCAAGCCGACCCUAAGGAAGCUCACCUUACGGCCGUAAAACGAAUCUUGAGAUAUUUAGUUUAUACUCCUAAGUUUGGGCUUUGGUAUCCUAGGGGAUCCACUUUUGAUUUAAUUGGUUAUUCGGAUGCCGAUUGGGCGGGGUGUAAGAUUAAUAGAAAGAGCACAUCGGGGACUUGCCAGUUCUUGGGAAGAUCCUUGGUGUCUUGGGCUUCAAAGAAGCAAAAUUCCGUAGCUCUUUCUACCGCCGAAGCCGAGUAUAUUGCCGUAGGUCAUUGUUGCGCGCAACUACUUUGGAUGAGGCAAACCCUUAGGGACUACGGUUACAAAUUAACCAAAGUUCCUCUUCUAUGUGAUAAUGAGAGUGCAAUCUGCAUGGCGGAUAAUCUCGUUGAGCAUAGCCGCACUAAACACAUAGUCAUUCGCUAUCAUUUCUUAAGGGAUCACCAACAAGAGGGAGAUAUCGAGAUUGCGUAUAUUAACACUAAAGAUCAAUUAGCCGAUAUCUUUACCAAGCCACUUGAUGAACAAACCUUUAACAAACUUAGGCUUGAGCUAAAUAUUCUUGAUUCUAGGAAUUUCUUUUGAUGUUUUGCAUACAUAGCUCAUAAAUAUACCUUUGAUCAUAUCUCUUAUAUGCUAUGACUAAUAUGACUUCAAGUGAAUUUCAAAACAAGUCAUAGGUGUAUUGAAAGGGAAUUGGAGUCUUCGGCGAAGACAAAGGCUUCCACUCCACUCCAUCAAAAUACAAUCCUUCGCCGUCGCUCCGCAUCACUCUCCAACUUUGGUAUAAUCUUCACUCAUUUAUUUAUGACCAAAGGGGGAGAAAGUAAUUCAAAAGGCUCUAAUGAUUCCGUUUUUGGCGAUUUAUGCCAAAGGGGGAGAGAGCAUGAGCCCAAAGCAAAAGGACCGCACCACCACCAAUUUCAAAAAUUUUAGUCUUUCAAUUUGUUUUUAAAGAAGUAUUUUCAAAUUGGUAUCUUAUUUGUGAUAUAAUUUCAAAAUUGGUAUACCCUCUUCAAAAUUAACAUCAAAACCCUCUUGAACACUAAGAGGAGGAUUUUAUCAAGGGGGAGUUUUGUUUUAGUCAAAGGAAAAACAUUUCAAACAGGGGGAGAAAAUUUCAACUCUUGAAAAUGCUUCUCAAAAUCUUAUUCAUUUACCUUUGACUAUUUGCAAAAGGUCUUUGAAAAGAAUUUACAAAAGAAUUUGCAAAAACAAAACAAGUGGUGCAAGCGUGGUCCAAAAUGAUGAAAAUAAAGAAACAAUCCAUGCACAUCUUAUGAGAAUUUAUAUUGGCUCAAUUCUAAGUAACCUUUGCACUUACAAUUAUGCAAACUAGUUCAAUUAUGCACUUCUAUAUUUGUUUUGGUUUGUGUUGGCAUCAAUCACCAAAAAGGGGAAGAUUGAAAGGGAAUUAGGCUUACACCUAUUUCCUAAUUGAUUUUGGUGGUUGAAUUGCCCAACACAAAUAAUUGGACUAACUAUUUUGCUCUAGUCUAUAAGUUCUACAGGUGCCAAAGGUUCACAAUAAGUCAAUAAAAAGACCAAGAAAAGGGUUCAAACAAGAGAGCAAGGGAUAACCGAAGUGUGCCCUGGUCUGGCGCAUCGGACAGUGUCCGGUGCACCAGGGGACUCCAAGCUGAACUCCUCACCUUCGGGAAUUCUCAGAGACGCUACGCUAUAAUUCACCGGACUGUCCGGUGCCCCAAGGAAGAGCGACUCUGAACUCGCCAGCUUCGGGAAUCCGCUCCGCUAAAAUUCACCGGACUGUCCGGUGAGUCACCGGACAGUGUCCGGUGCACACCGGACUGUCCGGUGAGCCAGCGGAGCAACGGCUACUUCGCGCCAACGGUCGACUGCAACGCAUUAAAUGCGCGCCAGCGCGCGCAGAGGAGCAGAGCACGCGCGGGUGGCACACCGGACAGCCUACAGGGCCUGUCCGGUGCACCACCGGACAGCCAGGCGGGCCCACAAGUCAGAGCUCCAACGGUCGGAACCCAACGGCGGGGUGACGUGGCUGGCGCACCGGACAGUGUCCGGUGGCGCACCGAACUGUCCGGUGCGCCCGUCGACAGCAGCCUCCACCAACGUUCAAGUUUGGUGGUUGGGGCUAUAAAUACCCCCAACCACCCCCACAUUCAAGUCAUCCAAGUUUUCCACCUUCCAACUACUUACAAGAGCUCUAGCAUUCAAUUCUAGACACAACCAAAUAGAUCAAAUCCUCUCCCAACUUCGGCUUGCUCCUCCUUGCAGCCAGUUCAAAAGAAACGGCAGGAGGAGAUUAAGUUUACAUUUAAUGUUGGCAAAUGUGAUAAGAUAUUCGAUGAAUUACUAAAAAAUGGUAACAUUAAGAUUGAUUAUAUCGUUCCACUUGCCGACGAACUAAAGCAUCGCGCAUAUUGCAAGUGGCACAACUCAUUUUCCCAUGCCACUAAUGAUUGUAAUGUGUUCCGACGACAAAUCCAAUCGGCCAUUAAUGAGGGACGAUUGAAAUUUCAGGAGGACACAGAGCCCUUCCCAAUGAAUAUGAUUGACUUCAAUGGCAAAAAAGUCCUAAUUCGGCCCAGCACAGCCGAUAAGGGCAAAGACAAAGAAGUCAUCAUCGGCAACGCACGGGAGGUCGAUAGAAACAACAAAAUUGCUUGCAGGAAAGUGGUGGCCGAGAAGACUCCUGAUGGAGGGGAGACACUGAAGGUGACCAUCACAAACUCUAGCACUGGAGGGCAAGUGCAGACAAGGGGACAUGCGCAAGAACCCAUACUACGCAUCGCGGACGGUCCGGUGCCCAGGCGCGGACGGUCCGUGACAUCGCCAGACGGUCCGGAGCGUUCCAGCGGACGGUCCGGCAACGCCGAAGAACCAAGGCGACCUUGUACCUUCAAACCACGACGACCAGAAAUAGGUACAUGAAAAACUAACACGUUCAAAGCAACUGGUCGGUUGGUAAAAUCCAGCCCGACCUUUGAUCAAUUAUUGUCUGAAUAUGUGAAAAAGAAGGCUGGCCCCAGCGACCAGCCACCAAAGCAACCUCGCUUACCCACCCAGGUGCGACGACAGGUUAAGUCGAUUGGAUCACCGCACCAAUCGGAAAGGACGAAAUGUCAUAAUGUUCAAUCAAGACCUAACGUACCUGCAUGGACAGCCCCACCACCAUAUCCACCUAUGCCAUAUCCAUACACAUACAUACCUCCACCAUAUGUCCCAAAUCAAAUGUGGGGCAUGCCACCAUACCCAUUUGGGAUGCCAUAGUACCCCGCUUGGGGGGCAUCCCAAACAUCUGUGUUCAAUAGGUUGACACCUCCAGUACAAGACCGAUUGAGAGCCCCUCAAUCUGGUCCACGAGCACAGGCCCAACAAGAUUGCCGAACAACUCAGCCCCAAAGGCUGACUAAUCCGGCAGGGGGGCAUACAGCUACAACCUCCAACAAUGCGAAAAAAGGAGACGUCAUUAAAAUAGGAACGACAGAUAUCGUCGUACAACAAAGUAACGAAGGGUCGAUGAUUUUUGGUGAAUCGGCCAACACAAACAAAAAAGAAGGUAUAGCUGUCAACAAAACAACCGAUCCAAAAUACUCCAUGCCCCGAUGGUGCCCAUCGGGAUUGACACGAUCGCAAAAGCGAAAAUUACAGCGCCUCAGAGCAAAGGAGAAUCAGGAAAAGGAGGCGGAAAGAAUAUUCAAUGACACGCAUCUGCAGUAUCCGCCACCACAAAAGAGAUGGAGACCAAAGGCCGUUGAGAAAAAUCAAACGGCCACAAAGAUAGAAAAUAAAAUGACAACUGUGCAUCUCUCUGCAGGUAUGGUAGACUGUCCGGCUAUAAAGGCCGGAUCAUCUGCACAGGACGCGGACCAUCCGACCCCUGAGGCCGAACCAUCCGCACUACACCAAGACACCUCCGACGACGUACCGACGCCCAUGGAGGAAGACGACCUGCAAGGAGAAGACCUGGUCGACUACGGAGCUACGCCAUAACACUUAGAAAAAUAGGAAAGCAAGGUGACGAAUUGGUCAGGACCAGUAUGACGCUCGGCGGUGUUGGGACUGACAGUUCGAUCAAAGCUAAAGGGAUCACGUCCGUUGAGUCAACCAUCGAGACCAAGGCCACUGCGUACCAUCCUAGUAAGUGGCAAGAUGCCUAAGAAAACCGAUGUGAUCACAUCGAGUUAGUUGCUUUUGGUUCGCUCAGCUCCACCAAAAGGCAGAGGGGCAUAUGUUGAGCACCAUUUUGAGUGCACGGACGGUCCGGCCCUGGGGUCGGACGGUCCGCGGUCCGGACAGUCCGCGCCUAUGGGCCGGACGGUCCGCGCAGGCGCAGAACAGAUUAGGGUUCCGAGUUUCUUGCUAUGUUUGUUGACGAAAAUCUCGGGAUAAGCUCGAAAAUUAGUUUGUAAAGGGUCCAGCCCCCCUCCUCUAUAAAUAGAGAGGUAUACGGCCGAUCAAUCAUUAUCAAUCGAAUCAAUACAACUUCUAUUUCGCAUUUUAUCCUAGGAGUAGUUCUAGUCUAGUUUAGGUUUAGCCUGUCGAUCCCCAAAUUCUUCGCCUCUCUUCGACUCUACGCCGAUUAGAGGAGUCUAGGUCGGUCGGCCCGAGCCUAGACAACCCCUAGGAUCUCUCCUCCCCGACGGGGUCCCUCCCGGGAGCAAGUCCAAGCGCCGCCGGCGAUCUUCCGCCGCCUCUGCGCACGCGCGGACCGUCCGGCCCCAGAGCGCGGACCGUCCGGCCGUCAGGCAGGAAACCUUAGCCCAUGCGUCAGGUCGCGGACCGUCCGGCCCCAGGCCGCGGACCGUCCGUGCCUGACCAAAGAGCACCGCCGUCGGUUCUUCUUGAGUAUUUGGCGCUCCGAAAAAGUGUCAACACGAAGUAACUUCAAAGUUUAGAUCUGCAUAGACAAAAUCGGCUGUGCAUCAUACAGAAUGCGUGGCCCACUAUUUCUUUUCCUUUUAUUACCGGGAAGAACUGAAUCUACACGCAACAUUACAAUGACCAUUUCUGAUACAUCACUACGAGCUUGGGUACAGGGCAUAUGUUGCCUUCAGGUAGUCUAUGAUUUCAGCGCUUUCAAACAUCUGGACUCCCGUGUUAGGAUCUUCGAUGUACGGCGCCUGCCAACACAGUAACACAUACACACACACAUAUACAUGAUGUCGCACACCAGGCAGGCAAAUCAAAAGAAUGUUCAGCGUCAAAUGCAUCAAUAGCGUUAUAGCAAGGCGUCCUACCUGGAAAAGCCCCUUUUUCUUGAAAAAUUCUUGUCGUUUGGGGCUGCCUCGUGCGCAGCUGCAGGAGUAACUUCUAGUUACUAACACUCUUGCAGAGCACAUAUCUCAGUCCAGAAGAACUGAACUAAAGUGAUAAUUCUACUAGGUUAAGUUUAGCAACAGCUUGCAGGCUGUUCUGAAUUCUGAUGCCAUUCAGUGACUUGUGGUUUUAAAGUAUUUUGGAUACCUGUGUAGCAGAUGUGGCAAUUCCAACUCGACAAGUGUCUCUCGUACUAAUUUACAGAAGGGAGAUCCCUGCGAAAACAGACCAUCAGCUAUUCAGAGUCCACGCGACCUGUAUAGUAAGAAGAGAGCUCAUGUGCUGAGGAUUCAGACCUCACAUGCCCAUAUCUCUAUGGGCUGCGGUGGGACUUUUGAAGCAAUGUAGGAAUUUCCCUGUAAACAACGACGUAAUGCCACACGUUUCUGAGCAAACAUCCAGAGGAAAACACGCAGCGAACUUUGUUAUAUUGUUUUUGCACAAUGUACCUUUCCAAUACGACCAAGAGUAGCAAGCCCUGCUGUAAUUGCCUAAAAAAUAUUUAAAAGUUAUCAAAACUGCAAACUGAUCCUUGGCACAAAAUAAAGCAUUAUACCCAUCGGAUAGGCAAAUACUGAAGCAUACUGAAAGCAAAGUGUAAAUAUGUCAAAUAUUCCUCGAUAAUAGUUGGGGUACUUAGUUCAAACAUAUUUUUAUACAUUUGGACUAAUAUGUACACUGGUUAAAACAUAUAAUAUACUUUUAAAUUGCUGGGUGCUUGUUUACUUACUGUCAACAGACCAAGUGAUAGCAUAAUUGGAACAGUUCCAUCGCCUAAGAAAAACAAGCAUAAGUGAGUGAGGUCAGUAAGGUCAUUAUAGGAAGAAACUUUAAGAGGGCAUACCCAGUGCCAAAAAUGGGGUCUAGGAAGGGGAUAAAACGAUACAAUCCUUUUCACACACAAAUCCAGUGAGGCUCCCACAUGAAUGGGGUCUCGGGGAUAAACCAAGACAAGCCUUUUCCCCCACAAAUAGGGAGGAACAACCUUUAAGAGCAAAAGUGAAAAGGAGAUGUGUUGAAUACACACCAUAUGUAUCAGCUAGAUAUUUUAUGAUGUCAUCGGAUUCAUACAUGGCGACCCCUGUGUUUGGAUCUACCUGCAAUAGAGGUGCAUCUUAUGUAACUGUUAACACUGAAUGAUAGAACUGAUUUGCAUUUCAUUACGCAAUUUAUUUCUUGGGAAAACUCAGAUGACCAACCUUACUUUCCUCGACGAAAAAUUAUGACACACACAUCAAAGCUUAUUUAUCAAAUAUAAUGAGCAAGUUAACCUAUCUUGCCAGGGGCCCACAGGUUAUACUCAGUGGUCAUCAUAUGAGCAAGUUUAUUUAUCAAAUAAAAUUCAUACGCCACAUUUCCAUAUUUAACAUACGUGGAUGUGGAUGAGGAGAUGCUAGCAACCAAAUAUGAUCUGAAGUGCUAACACAAAAUAGAAUAUCAGAAUUUAUGUAGGACGUCUGCAUACCAUGUAAGGGAAUUGUUUCUUUCCACCCAUUUCGAGGACUUUAGGUCGGAAUGUUGGGCCUUUUUGAGGACAGGGGUAAAAUAAUACAUCUAGGUCCAAGACUGUUACCAUCUCUCUGACCUGCAAUUUUUCCAUGGUGAAUACAAACAACAAAAUUGCUCUUGUGCAUGAAGAAUGACAUCUGCAAAACGCAGUUGCAAGAGGCUGGGCAUAUUCACCUUCCGACAAAAUGGACAACUGAAGAUUAGCAAGAAUACACCAACAAUGAAGAGAAGAAACAAGUCAGCAUGAUUACUCAGAACAGGAGGAAGAAGCAAGAUAUGCUGUACCCUUCAAAUUCAUAUAUCUCGAUAGGCUUUUCUGGUCGUUUGCACUGUCCUAUUUUUGAUUCCUCUUUCACCUUCCAAGCUACGAUAAGAAACGCAUGUUUACAAGUAAACUUAACAGAGCUAUGUAUUCCACAAACUGCAUCUUAUUGUGCGAUUCUUUGUGGUUUCCAUGAUAUAGUAGGAGUAAUAAUAGCUGCAAUGGAAAAAUUGUGAAUAAACUCACCUCCAAAUUCCAGUGCAUACUGGUCUGAUGGUAUCUCUGAUGGAGAAACAAGAGAUGGCGAGUACCUGCACAUUGAAGUGACACGUGCAGGUAAGCAGGUGCAGGCUGUAGCCCGUAGGCGAGGUAGACGCCCGGACGGUGAGAGAAGGCGCGGUGCGUACCCGAGGACGAAGACGCCGGUGCCGAGGCGAAGGGGGAUGGCGAGCGAGGCGCCGAGGACGCUGCCCACCUGGCCGGACUUGACCUCGUACCUCUUGGGCUCGGGCGCCUUGAACCCCGGCGGAGGCUUGAACUCGGGCGCCGGCUCAGGCGCGGAGGUGGAGACGGCUGCGGCGGUGGUGUCCGGCUGGGCCCUGACGGCGAGAGAAGCGGCCCUGGCGGCGCGCGC